RNAcentral lists this long non-coding RNA (268705 nucleotides) under Citrus x clementina. RNAcentral's name for it is "Citrus clementina (C. clementina) long non-coding RNA (CCLE_LNC001436)". Lineage: Eukaryota; Viridiplantae; Streptophyta; Magnoliopsida; Sapindales; Rutaceae. The record is from RNAcentral.
ACAGCAGCUUCAGUUUAUCAAACUCAAUCAAUUUUCUUUCUUAACAAAAUUCCAAAGAUGUGUAGCAUUUUUCAGAUCGCAUGCGAUGGUGCUCUUUUCAAUCGUUGCUUGGAUUGCUUUCUUGGAAAAGCAGCAUACCUUCGUAACCUCCCAGAUAAUCUUGUAGACUUGGAGACUGAACUGGGAAGACUAAUCGCAGCAAAGAACGAUGUGAUGAUGAGGGUUGUCAAUGCUGAACGGCAACAAAUGAGAAGGCUGGGCCAAGUGGAAUGGUGGGUUUCGAGGGUGGAUGCUGUUAAAACUGGAGCCGAUGAACUUAUCACAGACGGCUCUGAAGAAAUUGGCGAAUUAUGUGUUGGAGGCUACUGUUCCAAGAACUGCAGGUCAAGCUACAAGUUCGGAAAACAAGUGGCUAAAAAGCUACAAGAUGUGAAGGCUUUAAUCGCCGAGGGAGUUUUUGAGGCGGUGGCUACUGAGGUGGUGCCCGAGAGAGCUCCGGAACCUGUAGCAGAUGAAAGACCCAUUGAGCGAACAGUAGUAGGCUUGCAAUCACAACUUGAACAAGUCUGGAGAUGUCUUGUAGAAGAAUCAGUGGGAAUCAUUGGCCUAUAUGGUAUGGGCGGUGUUGGUAAAACCACACUGUUGACCCAUAUCAACAAUAAAUUUCUUGAGAGUCCCACCAACUUUGAUUGUGUGAUUUGGGUCGUAGUUUCAAAAGACCUGCGACUUGAAAAAAUUCAAGACGAUAUUGGGAAGAAGAUAGGUCUGUCUGAUGAUUCAUGGAAGAAUAAAAGUUUUGAGGAGAAAGCUGUAGACAUCCUGCGGAGUUUAGGAGAGAAGAGAUUUGUAUUGUUGUUAGAUGAUUUAUGGGAGCGGGUUGAUUUAACAAAAGUGGGCGUUCCACUUCCCGGACCACAAAAUACUACCUCAAAAGUCGUAUUCGCAACCCGUUUCAUCGAUGUUUGUGGUAGCAUGGAAGCUGACAGGAAGUUCCUAGUGGCGUGCUUAUCAGAAAAGGAUGCUUGGGAACUGUUUCGAGAAAAAGUUGGGGAAGAAACUCUUCAGAGUCAUCAUGAUAUCGUUGAGCUAGCCCAAAUUGUGGCCAAAGAGUGUGGUGGUUUGCCACUCGCACUUAUUACUAUUGGUCGAGCUAUGGCCUGCAAAAGGACAGCCGAGGAGUGGAUACACGCAGUUGAAGUGCUAAGAAGAUCAGCUUUUGAGUUUGCAGGUUUGGGAAAAGAGGUGUAUCCUCUUUUAAAGUUUAGCUAUGAUAGUUUGCAGAAUGAGACGAUUAGAUCUUGUUUCUUAUAUUGUUGUUUAUAUCCCGAAGAUUAUGGAAUUCUUAAAUGGGACUUGAUUGAUUGUUGGAUUGGUGAGGGAUUCUUAGAGGAAUCUGACAGGUUUAGUGCAGAAAACCAAGGUUACUACAUUGUGGGCACUCUUAUUCAUGCGUGUUUACUAGAAGGGAUAGAAGAUGAUAGAGUAAAAAUGCAUGACGUUGUUCGUGAUAUGGCUCUAUGGAUAGCUUGUGAAAUUGAGGAGAGGAGACACUUUUUGGUUUGUGCAGGCGCUGGAUUAGAACAGGCACCGGCUGUUAGAGAAUCGGAAAAUGUGACAAGAUUGUCAUUGAUGCAAAACCAAAUUAAAAUUCUGUCGGAGGUUCCCACAUGCCCUGAUCUCCUCACUUUAUUUCUUGACUUUAAUGAGGAGUUGGAGAUGAUCGCGGAUGGCUUCUUCCAAUUUAUGCCUUCUCUCAAAGUUUUGAAGAUUUCAAACUGCGGGAAUUUUACUUUUCAAUUACCUUUGGGGAUGUCAAAGUUGGGUUCACUAGAACUUUUUGAUAUUUCACGCACCGAAAUACAAGAGUUACCAGAAGAGUUAAAGUUGUUGGUAAAUCUGAAAUGUUUGAAUUUGAGGUGGACAAGCAAGUUAAUUAGAAUUCCACGGCAACUAAUAUCAAAUUCUUCAGGGUUACGUGUGUUGAGAAUGUUCGCUACUGGCUAUGAAUGUUUUCAUGAAGCACCAGAAGACAGCGUUUUAUUUGGUGGGGGUGAAGUUUUAGUACAGGAAUUGCUCGGUUUGAAAUAUUUAGAGGUAUUGGAGUUGACCUUGGGAAGUUAUCAGGCUCUCCAAAUCUUUUUGAGCUCAAAUAAGUUAAAAAGUUGUAUUCGAUCUCUUUUCCUCCAGUUGGCCGGAGAUACAAAGUCGAUUAUUGAUGCUGCGGCUUUCGCAGAUCUAAACCACCUCAAUGAAUUAUAUAUUUAUGAAGGUAUUGAGUUGGAAGAAUUGAAGAUUGAUUAUACAGAGAUAGUACGAAAAAGGCGGGAACCUUUUGUUUUCCGCAGCCUUCACCGUGUUACCAUAUUUAGUUGCGGUAAAUUGAAAGAUGUGACAUUCCUCGUUUUUGCUCCAAACCUCAAGUCUCUUGAGCUAUUGCAAUGCGAUGCUAUGGAAGAAAUAAUCAGCGUCGGAGAAAUUGCUGAGACUCCUGAGAUGAUGGGACACAUAAGCCCUUUUGAAAAUCUCCAAAGUCUUCAUUUAUCGUAUUUACCAAUUUUGAGGAGCAUCUACUGGAAGCCAUUGCCUUUCACUCAUCUCAAAAAAAUGGAGGUACGUAGAUGCGAUCAGCUUAGAAGGCUUCCGCUCGAUUCCAACAGUGCAACAGAGCGUAAUGUUGUUAUUCGUGGAUACACACUCUGGUGGAACCGACUUCAAUGGGAGGAUGAAGCCACUCAAAUUGCUUUUCGUUCCUGUUUCCAACCUCGUUCCUGAGCAGUGGUCGCAAAAUUUGAUUUCUGGUGAGUGCGUUUGUCUUUUAAAAAGAAGAAUUUAAAAGAAAUUUAUUCUUGUCGUUUUCUUCACUGUUUUUAUUUGAUUUCUGGUUAGUUUCUUUCUCUCUCUCUCUCUCUUUGUCUUCUGCAAAUCACAAUUAAAUGUUGAAUUAAUGGAAUUGAUGCUCUGGUUUUUUACUUUUUGUUGUCAAAUUUUGCCCUGUUCUAUCUUCUUAGCGAUUUAAUUUCCUGUCAAAAGACGAGCGAGAAGAACAUAUAUAUGACUUAAACCAAUUGAUACUUUAUUUAUGUGCAUUGUAUGUAAUAAAUAUUAAGUAUACUUUAUUUUUGCCCUGUUCUCUGUUUUUAUUUCAGUCUCUCUCUCUCUUUCCUGUCUUCUGCAAAAUAUAAUCAAUUAUUUUCAAAAUAUCAUUGAUGAUUUUUCUGCUCUAAUGCUAUGUAAAUAGUAUGUUAAGUAAAACAUAAUCAAUUAUUUGUGUUUUAUCUCUAAUUAGAACAUCAAUCAGUUCAGUACCUCACAAAUAAUUCGCAAUAUCUACAAAAUACUAUAAUGGCUACAAAACAAAUCCUGCUUGCAAAUUGUCAAGGAUACCUAUCCGUUCGCUUGACAAGUCAUUUGAAUAAAUAUUGUUCACAUUCCUUACUCUAUCAAUUAUCCAAAGCACCAUCAAUGGUCCUCAACUUUAGUUUGAAUAGUAUACAUGCCAUCACCAUUACCAAGAAUCAAGCAUGGAAGAGUCAUUCUAUAGAGUUAAUCGAAGCAAGGAAUGAUGUAUCAGAAAAUAUUUGGUGGAGAAUUCAGCACAAACAUAUUUUGGAUGAUCAGAAUCAAUAAAACCUGGUGGUUGCGCCAUAUAAACAUCUUCGGAAAGCUGACCUUGAAGAAAGGCGUUAUUGAUAUCCAAUUGACGAAGAGGCCAGCCAUGACUAACAUCAAUACUAAGAACAAGCCGUACUGUGGUGGACUUAACAACUGGACUGAAAGUGUCAUAAUAGUCCACACCAGGCCAUUGAUUGAACCCUUUGGCAACAAGAUGAGCUUUAAACCUGUCAACAGAACCGUUGGAAUGUCUUUUAAUACAAAAAUCCAUUUGCAGCCAACAAUAUUGGAAGGGAUGGGAGGUGGAACAAGCUUCCAUGUCCCGUUACGAACAAGAGCAUCAUACUCUUCUGACAUAGCUGGACGCCAGUGAAGAUUUUUGAUAGCUUGCGUCACAGUUGUAGGUUCACAAUCAGAAGAAGGGCUAAAAUGAGCACGGAGGUUAAGUUUUUGUAACGGCUUGUGAAUCUUAUUUUUAGCUCGGGUAGUCAUAUCAUGAUGACUUGUGGGGCAAUGAUCUAGUGGAGUUUAGGAAGAUGAUUGAACAGGAAGUGAAGAAGUGCUUUGUGUAGAGGUAGAAGUAGGUUGGGAGGAUUGCUGCGGAGAUGUUACCGGUAGAGAAGAAGGAGCAGUACACGGUGGCAACUCCAGAGGGCCCACAAUAGAUGGAGUAGGUGCCGACAAUGGAGUACUAGGAAAUGAAACAGGAAGAAUUGGUGGAACACUUGCGUAAUUAGGAGUGGUAGAUGAGCUUGUAAUGAUUUGUAUGGAAAAACAAACUCUACAAAUUUAACGUGACGUGAAAUAAAAAUUCAACCCGAUUGCAUAUUUAAGAACAUCUCAAAUGAAUUGCUUACUGCUAUCAUCAUCAUUAUUGUCUAUAUAAUAAUGGAUCUUUAUUAUAUAUAUGUUUCCACUAAAAUAUAUUUAAUUAUUCUUUAUUUUUCUAUUGUUGCGUGUAAGAUUUAUUUGAGUUCUAAGUUAUAUCAAUACAAAUGUUAUCUUAUCCAUAAAAAGUUAGAUCCAACAAUUAUGAAAAUUACUAUAGAGUUGCUUUCAAUUAUUUUUUUAAAAUACCAGGAGUAAAUAAUAAUUAGUUCAAAUGGUGGAGACUAAAAUGCGUUCACCUUUAUUUUUUAUCUGUUAUUUACUUUUGUCAUUACAUUAAUGCACAUGCUAUACAUUUGAGACAUUCCAUUAAUUGCCAAUUAUGUAUGUGAGAUAGUAAUUUAAAUUAAAAAAUAAAAGUGAAAGUUAAUCCUAUGCAAUGUGAAUAAAUUUCUUUCCUUUUUCCUUUACUCUUUUUAUUUGACAAUAAAGUUUCCAUCUAUCAUCUAUCAUCUAUGUACACAAAAUUUCUGCAACAAGUACAAAACAUAAAAAUAUAUGAAUAUUAAGGGAAACACGCAGAAGUUCAUCAUUUCAAUGUUCAGUAUUACCAAUUUUGGCAUUAAGCUUGUACGAAUAUAUUCUACUUCGAAAGCAAAAUAUUAGACUCGUGAUUUUAAUUCAUUCAUUAUCUCUCAUUUUAAUCCCAAAAUAUUCAAGAGUAUCCAAGUUACCAUAAGACUUCAGAGGCUCGAGCCUUAGCCAGAGAUGGUUAAUUGAUAGACUAUGUGCCUGGGUCGAGCACUGGAAGCCUGCAAUGCAGACUGAUUGAUUUAUCAGUUUAACGUGUGCCAGGAAUGAAGAACUGGAAUAUCACCGUCAAGCAAGCACCCUGUGGAGCAAUACCAAAGAAUGCACAAUCUGGCUUUGCUAGGUGACCCUGGAGGCUUUUUGAAAAGUGCUUCAUGCUCACUUGCACAGAUUGAGCAUCCCCUCUGGAUAUUGCCCUCUCUGAUCGAGUCUGAGCACUCAAAUUUCGGUCCUCAGAUGGAGCUACAGCUUUCUCUCCAAUAACCAACAAUUUUCUAAACUCAGCACCUAGUGUGAUCAGAGUUGUUGAUAUUUGCAAAUGGAGAUCCCCAUAUUUGCAAAUGGAGACAUUUAACAAAUCACCAACAUGCUUCAUCCGGUCCACGAAAUUCUGCAACUGAUUCAAAUCUGGAACCUGAACCAGAGUCGGAGGUAUAUCUUGAGCCAUAUCUAAAGCAGUUUGAAGUUCAAGACCUUGAGCCCUUGACAAUGGUUUUGAAAUUGGAACAUCUUGGAUUACUGCAGACUUGUACCCCUUGGUUUCAAAGGUAAGGAAAGGCAUUGCUUGAGUACAAUUUGGAGGCAGCUUCUUCACCAAUUUUAUUUGGAGGCAAUUGGCAGCGGAUCCAGCUGCACCAAUUUCAGAGCAACUACUGACACUACUUCGAACAGCACACUGACGAAGUGAUAUGUCUACGGCAAAGGCAAUGCAGUCCUCAUUUUGGCUUGAGAUGCAGUAAUCAUCGAAGAGAGUUUCCUUGUGAAACUGGGCAACACAUUGAAUCCCUUCGCCACUGAGAAGGUUGUGGAGGAAGUAAGCUGUCUCUCUAGUGAGGAAGAGGUGGCAUACCUUCCCCAUUUUGUCUAGGGCAGGUAGGAAUCUUUUUUCUAAGAGAUUUACUUCAUUCUCUGUGAGAAAUGCUUUGAACUUCAUCCCUCUGUCUCUAUCCUCACUUAUCAGGAAAUAAGUUGAAAGCACUAUGAAGAGAGAGAGAGAGAGAGAGAGAAUUAAGAUAUAUAGACAAGAAAAUAAUUAGACGUUGAUCUUACAAACUAAUACUUCAAGCAGUAUCCUAGAAAGCUAAAAACUGCAAGAUGGCUUGAAAUUUGAAAAGAGCACAUGGUUUUCCUCCUUAACUUGAGAAAAUGUUUAAUAUAGUGCACCUUACAGAAGCAUUUAAGCAAUUAGAACUUUGCACAAAAACAUCAAGAAGACUAAACAAAUCAGAUGCAGUGUAUUUGUCCAAGCACAAAUUGCAUUUUGUCCUCAACUUUAAUAUUUAUUGAUGAGAAUCAAUACAGGUCCCUCAUUUGUUAUAGAAAGCUUUCUUGUAGUCUCACCAGUUAAUUCACAGGUCUAUAAUCAUCUUGCAAAGUUAAGGGCAUUUCUUUCGAUCUAAAGUCUUUGCAUCACCACCUCAUCACACGCCAAGCCAAUAUUCCAUUUACCUCUACAACAAAAAGUUUUUAAGUAAAUAAUCCUAAUGCACGCAGCCGAAUAAAAUGCAGUAAGAAUAUUCAACUUAAAAAUCUGAAAGCCAACUUGGUGAAUUGCCUCCUUAGGUGAAGUUCCAUGCUUUACUAUAGUUGACAGAACUCAGCAAAAGCUUCCAUACAACAGAUUUUGAAAAUGAUGAUGCCAAUAGAUACUCAUUCAAUCCAUUGAAACUCCAAAGGUUCAUUGUUCAUAGAAGUUUACAGAGUUUUGGUCAUCAAAUAGCUCAGACCUAAUCCCAAACAAAAAACGAGUGAAAAUUAGAUCACGAGCAGCUAAUUGUAAAUUCUAACUUAACUCUUCAUCUCCUUUGUAAACAAGAAACAAAAUGGAGACACGCAAAAUGAAUAUGGAGAAAAUUUGAACUCAAAUGAAAUGAGGGCACGAAAGCAAACAAAUGGCAUGCACAAAAAAACCAAGCCUCGAUAAAAAACUAAUUAACCAUUAAGAAAAAAAUUGGUCAGAGAAUGAACUCCAAAUUCAGGAGUCAAGCAAGAAGCUUUCAUUAUUUCAGAAGCUCCUGUACAAAUUAAUAAGUUAUGCUCUUUGGAAGCAAACCUAAAUUCCAAGAGAAACAGAACCCAAAAAAUUUGCAAUUAUACGCAAAGGAAGUGAAGCACAGGAUUCUAUCACACAUAGGAAUUGUAUAACAAGAGAUCGAUAUAUCGAAUUAGAAAACUCAAUUCGAAUUUGUGUCAAAAAUCAAAAUUAGAAGAUUUCACAUUUCGAGAGGAACAAGCAACAGAUGAAGUUCAAAAUUUCAGCCAUAACAUGCUAAAAAUGCUACACUUAACGGUUCAUUUUCAUGGAUUUUCUCGGGAAACAAACAGAAAAUUACGGUUUAGAGAGUUGACUGACCUUUUGGCUUUUGAAAUUGACCAGAUCGCGCGCCAAAUUGGAAGAGGGAAAGUGAAAGCGCGAGUUUUAAUAUGGGUAUUAGAUAAGGAAAUUUUAUUAGGUUGCGAGGGUAAAAAAGGAAAGAGAUAUCAUUAUUUUAUUAUCGAUAAUUAUUAAAUUUUUUUCCAAAAAAAAGAACAAGCAAGGAUUUUUUAUUGUCAUCACUAAGUUAAAAAAAAUUGUUUCAAAAUUACUUGAGUCAUAUCCAAUGGACCAACAAAGUAAUCGUUUUUAUUUUUAUUGAUUUUUGCAGGAAAUUAAUAACUUAAAAAUACUGAAAGCUACUGUAAAAAUUUUUAUUAUCAACCUCAUAAUUUUUUUUUUUUGGGGAAGAGAAUUCAAACUUUUUUUUUAUGAAUAUCGCUGUUUCGUUUGAGUUGGAUGUGAAUUCAAAUCCAAAUAUUCUUUGUUUUUCAAUUUUGAACUCAAUUUCUUUUUCUCAAGAAUGUUAUGCAGAAAUAAUUUUUACUAAAUCUUUUUUGAUGAAUUGUUUAAAUUAAACAAUUGGAAUAAGAAUUGUAACGAUUUAUCAUAAGCGUGCUAAUAUGAUAACUUGUUUUACGAAGGAUUAAUUAAUCAAUUAAUAUUAAAUUAUAUAUUAGUCAAUUAGAUAUGUGUUACAUUUAUCAUGUUUUGUAGGUGAUAGUACAUCAUUUCUAAAAGAAUAUAGUACGUUAAAAUAUUAUUUUAAUGAAGAAAAUUUUAUUAUUUUAUUAUUAGGUGACACAAUAAUAAAUGGAUUUCUGUAAGAAUUGAGAUUCUUGAUAUAAUUAUUACAUAAGGAGAAGUUUAGUUGGUUCAAUUUUGACGUGAUAAGAAGACAACACAGCACAGAAAACCCAAAUUGCCACUUCCACUAAUAAAAGAUACCUGUUUGAAAAGUAAUUAUAAACUAUCUUCUUUGUGUUAUUUCUCAAAACUUUUGUGGCACAAAUGUUAUUUCCAUUGACAACAGUACGAAAUACCACCCCUUUCACUUGAGCAGGAGCAAAGCAAAGGUAUGAUGAGCUAUCUCUGUAUAAUUGAAACGCCAUUACUAAACGAUUCUUGAUGAUGGGAGCCACCGUGCCAGCUUUGUCGCUGAUUUGCAUGAUUUAUUAGUUGUCCAGAUGGCGGAUUUUGUACUGUUACCUUCGUUUCAUUCUUCAGAGCCAUGUACUGUUCUAGGAUACCAGAGAAACCAAGGUGGCAUUGAAGUUGCCCUGGUGGUUAGUUUUCCGAUCAUUUUUUUAUUCAAUUAUUUAUGUUUUUAGAAAAAUGUAGGAAAUAUGUAGAAAUGUUGACAGCUAUGAUUUUGAAACUUUUGCCUAAAAUUGUUAUCAUUACUUGUUGUUUCUUAUUUAAAGAGAAAUUCUAGAAACAUGAAAUGAUUAUUCUACGCUUGUUUUAAUAUUGUGCUAUGAAGAUUACGAAGGUUUGAUUAUAUGUCACUAUCAAUUGCCUUAAUCGUUUGUCGUAAAUCAAUUAAGCAUUUUGAUGCGAAUGAUUCCCUAUUAAAAAAUUCAAGUCAGAGCUGAAUUGCAAAGUAGUUAGUCGUGCUUGCAAUUCAAAUUAAGUAUUGUAUUUUCUCCCUGAUUUGGUUGAUUCAACUAUGUGCAUUUGCUUAUGAACGUUGCAGUAUAGAAAUCGAAAUAUCUUGUCUUUUGCUAAGCCCAGAAGCAAAUUCUUUGUAUUCUACUCAUCAGUUUUCUUCAUUCUCUUUGUUGAAAUUUUAUCUAAACAGCGGUUUCUUCGAAUUUAUGCCUUCGCUUACUCUUUUAAAUUUUAUCCAAACAACGGUUUUGAAAUUGUUUUCACUACAAUACCUUAGUCUUUCAGAUGCUCCCGUCACUGAGUUGCCAGAAGAGCUAAAAGCCUUGGUAAAUCUUAAGUGUUUGAACCGGAGUACACAAAUUAUCUCUCUACAUUUCCAAAGCAAUUGAUUUGUUACUUUUCGAUGCUACAUGUUCCGCGAAUAUUCAGUUGUGGUUAUCUUGUUCAGAUACCAGAAAAUAGCGUUAUAUUUAGUGGUAAUGAAUUCUUGGUUUGGGAGUUGCUUAGUUUAAAACGUUUAAAUGUAUUAAGCAUCAUCUUGAAAAGUUUUUCUGCUGUCCAAAAACUUAUGAGCUUCCAAAAGUUUCAAAGCUGUACACAAUGCAUGGAGCUUGUAGACUGUGAUGAUCCAAAGUCAUUUGCCGUGGCAGAGUUGAAGCAUCUUGAAAAACUAGGUUUUUCAAGUUGUGGAAAUUUGGAAGAGUUAAAGUUCUGCUGUGUCGAAGUUGCAAAGGCUCGAGAAUGUUUUCGUUUGAACAGCCCUCACUGAGUUAAGAUGAAGGCUUGUCAUAAAUUGUGGGAAGCGACAGGUUAUUCAAAUAGAAAAAUUUAUGGAGAUGGAUGUUAAUCUUAAGGUUAUUCAAUUAGAAAAAUUUGAAUAAAAUUUAUGGUAAGUGCUUUUCCAUUUAUUGCAUAUUUAUAUCUAAUUUUUAUUUUCCUUUAUUGUUAAAUUUUGGUCUCUAUUUGUUGUUGUAUGGUGGCAUUCUUGUACAAUUAUUAGCUUUUCAUUUCUCUUCUCACAUUAACUGCCCUUCUGAUCAUGUAGGAUUUGCUGAUGCAAAGAGUCAUAAUUUGGGAUACAAAUGUAAGAAUUAGACAGAUGACAUGUUGUUUUGAAGCUCUCAAAGAAGGACUAAUUAUGUCAUUGAAAGCCUCCAAUUUUGUGAUUGGUUUCUUUUUAUUUUAUUUGUUGUUUUCUCUAUUUUCAGAUCACUUAAUUGUUAGUUGUUGUAAUGUAAUGUUUUAGUAUAGCAAAUUAUAUUCGGCCAAGACAGUGAUAGGAGGGCACAUUGUGCAUGCACACUAGUGGAUUUGGCAUGCCAAAUCCAAUUAGGAUGGAUAACACUUUAUAAGCAUUAGGCUUCUCUCAUACCUGAGUAAUAUAGAAUAUGUUUAUAAGUUGUGAAUCACCCUUUACAAGUGUUAGGCUUCUGCUAUACUCAGUGAUGUGAAAUAUAUUUAUAAGCACUAAACUUCUCCCAUACACUUUAUGUUAAUAAUAAUAAUAAUAAUAAUAAUAAUAAUAAUAAAAUAAUAAUAAAUAAACCCAUUUUAACAGACUCUUUUUUCUUUUUCUAUAUGAACAAAUGCAUUCUUCAAAGCAACUGUGGGGAGAAGAAGUGAGUAGAGAAGAACUGAGCCCCUGUCAUUCCCCUAAAACCUCACCAAAACCUCUCUUGUAAGCUUCUCGGAUUUUCUUUCUAUAUUUCUUAGGAACUCAUUUUUUAUUGAAUCACUUAUUUUGCAUGCUGCAUUUUUUGGUUGUCGUAUUUGUGUAUUAUCUUAUCUGGAAUGCUGUUAUGAUUGAUGGAACAAGUAAUCGAUUUUUGGUCUAAUGGAAGUUGAUUUAUUUAUUUAUUGUUGUUUUUAUUUGAAAUUAUGUACAAUUGUAUUUCAUUCAUUUCUCUCUCUUUUGCUUUUUUCCCCCCAUAUAUUUGUUAUGUAUAAUUGCGUUUCAUUUAAUAUUGAUCAUACUGUAGGUAACCAUGUGAUUGUAGAUGGGGAUUUCGAGUUUGUUGAAUAUUCAUGUAAGUGAAGUAACCGUCACAAUACUAGUGAAAUUGGGAGCUUUAUUCAUGAGUUUGUGGUUUUGAAAAGUACCACAGUUCAACUGGUGAAGGCUCCGUUUUGGGAUUCUUCUUUUUCUAGGCUGCAAUUAGGAUAUGUACAUGAUAGACAAUCUUUUGUUGGUUUAGCAUAUCUUCGCUGAUUUUGUCUUUUAUUCCCCAAUUUUAUAAUUACACACCAUGAAUGUUGGGUGAUUGUAUAGAAAAUUUGUGUUAUAACAAAAACAUUGUGAAGGAGUUUCCGUGCUAAUAGUUAGUGGCUUCUGUUUUAUUGGCAUUGAUUGGGUAGAUUACGUGUUACAGUGAUUCAAUUUGUGUUCCAAACUUUGCUUUAAUUUUCUGUUUUCCCCAACUAUUUAUGUCAAAUUUAAAUCCAGAAGCAUGUGCUGAUUUUUUCUUUUUGUAUUAAUCUGUGAAGUUUAUUUGGAAUGGAAGUAACUGGGUCGGGUCUAAUGGAUUAAAUUAUGACAUUGAGGGGAAGGCACUAAAAGGGUUUGCUUGACACAUUUGGUUCUGUGUUUACUCUGCAAGAAAUAACUUUUGCUUAUUGCAAUGCAGGGGGAAAUCCCGAUUUGGCUGGUGAAUUUCUCUGCAACAAACAGGCAAACACCUCAACAUCUUCUGUCCAUACUUCUGCUGGGGAGGCAAGGGGUAAAGAGUCUUCAAAAUCAUCAAAUAGUUACAUCUCUGAGAAUUCAUUUUAUGGAAAUGGAAAAUCUAGAGUUUCUAAUACAAAAUGGCAUCUGGUAUCAGGACGUACCGUUUCAAGUUUUCUUGGUAAAGAUUAUGUUAAACCUGCACAGCCAGCUAAUGGCACUUUUCUGGCAUCAAAGCCAUUGAAGUUGGAUCCAAGGGAGUUUCGCAUUUCUGCACUUUCAGAGAAGAAACUAAACCGACAAUCAAAGGAUGACCAUUUGCAGAAGGAUAUGGAAGAUUUUCUUUUUAAAUUGCUAGGAGAAGGGUUCCAGCUGUACAGGGAUGUGAUUCAGGAGGUUCAUGGUAACGUCUUAAAUAUAUUGAUGCCAAUUUAAUACAUAUUGUCCUUUUCAAUGUUCUUUCUUUCUUUCUCCUCUUUUUAUUAUUCUUCUUCUUCUUUUUUCUUUUCAUGUGCAUGUGAUCACUAAUUUGGUAUUAUUCUUGACUUGCAGAUAGUUGUGGAUAUGAAAUGCAAAAGGUAAGGGCUAUAUCUUCUUGAUGGAGGCCUCUGAUUUUUUAAAUCGCAUUUUCCUUUGUGAUUGAUAUAUCAUACCAAAGUCAAGUCUUAAAUACUGCUGUCAUAUGUUAAGGUUCAACUUCCAUUUUGAUUAACGUCGAUUUGCUACUGCUUCCAAAAGUGAGAAUGAGAUACUUUGGUUAAUUUCAGUAGUUGAACUCAAUGGAGUACUUUAUUUAGAUCUUCAUGGUUCAAAGGCCUGAAAAAACUUGCCGGUAUUUGCAAAAUGACAUCUGUGCUUUUAUUUAGACUUAUUAUUAAAGACAACAUUUUAUUUCAGCCAAAAAUGUUUGUUUCAAUUAAAGACUUGAACCAUUUUCAUUUAACCUGAUUGUGAUGCUUUACAUUAUGCAUGUUCCUCUCAAUCAAUAAAAGUUGAGGUCAUGAUUUUAUAUUUCUAUUUUGUAACUUGAAAUAAUUGGUCUGCCUGUUUCUGUUGCUUGAUAACAUGAAUUUUUCCUUCUGAAGUUAAUUUGAUCAAUAAAGUAAUUCUUCGGAGAGGAUAUGCCCAUUCUAUAGUCAUUUUCUUAGCUAACAUGUUUUUUCUUCACUCUUCAAAGCAUGUCUAAACUAAUUGAUCGCUCAGCGGAGACUUUGGGUGAGAAGACAAAAUUUCUUGGUAAAUCCUCUGAAAAGGUAUGCAUAAUUCCCGAGUAUUAAAUAAUCAUUGGUCAUAAUUUUUGUACACGACUCUUGUUUUGGAGAUCGUUAAAAGUGGUUGAUGAUCUAUUUUGUAAUAUCAUAGAGGGAUCAUGAAUUCCUUUUCUUUUCUGUGGCUAGGCAACACUUUCGAGCCAAGCUAAGGAAAUCUAUUUUAGGUAAUGUGAAAACUAGUUGUAGGAUGUAAUAGUUUAUUAUGCCCUGACAAUAACUUUUUGUAUAAUUGUCAGUUUAAUGAAUACAAGAGGAACUCUGUUGGCAAGUUCAUCCAUGAUAGAUGCUAAAAUUAUUUAUGCAUACCAGUUGCCUUAACUAAUUUUUCUCAACACUGGUAUUGAACAGGAAAAUGAAUAUGCAAUUUGUAUAUUGUGCCAUUGUGGAGAAUUUGGAUAUUCUUAUUUAAGUAACAAGGAGAGUAUUUGCCUCAUCUUUAAACAAUGAAUCUUUGAGAAAUGAGGAGUGGGUGAUUGACAGUGUCUUCAUGUAAAUGUUCAUUUAUUUGUAUUUUGAACUAUUAUGAGAAUCUUUGUAUGCCAAAUUAGUAAUACAAAUGUUCAGAUGAUUUUUCCUGUUGAUCAUGCGUGUGUAUCUGCACACAACCAUUGUGUACCACUUUAUUCUGAUGCACAAAUAUCUGUAGUUUAGAAGAAAAGAAAUAAUAAUCAUAUAUUAUUGCUUGGUUCAUGAUUAUUAAAUGAUUAUGGCUUUAGAAAAUCCACAAAUCCUUUGUGUUCAUAUAUGAAUGUGCGAAGUUCGCUAUAUCUUAGAUUACCUUCUUCCAAGAUAACAAGUUCAUAUAUUUUUUUUAAUCCUUUUUCAUCACAGUUGAAUUUCAAGUGUAAGUUUUGUUAUUAAUAGCUGGUUUCCUGUUAUUAUGAUUUCAUAAACAAUGAGAGGAUAUGUGCUCUACUUUUGGAUGGCCUCCACAUAAAAGAAAAUUGCAACAAUUGAAUUCUUCUGGAGGGUAUGGUAUUUAAUUUAUUUUCUCAGCUUGUUGUAAGACUAAUAUAUUUCCUUCAGUACGCACGGCAUGGUGGGAAGGGUUUUUAUUGAAAGAAUUAUGAUAUUUCUUAGACUUUGUUUUGGAAGGGGGUGGAGGGAUUUCUCAUCCAUGUAUGGUUACUUGAUUAGCUUUUGACUGUACUGUCUCCGUCGUGCAAAGGAAAAUCCAAAUACUAACGAAGGGGAAUUGCUUAGGCACCCAAAGGACAGAAAUGAAUUACGGAAGGAGGUUUUUGCUGCUUUAUUUAGUGCUGCUGAGAAAUCUGAUGAAUUUCCUGAAAUUACGGUGAAGACGGAGUGGAGGUCCAACGCAUUAGGAAAGGUGGUGAGUGAACCGCCAGAGGAAUUAGUACCAGAAUACAAGGCUAAUGUGGUGCACUGGCAGCAAGAUGACCAGACCUGUAUGUGCUCUUAUAUUAACUAUAUUGGCUGGAUUUGUGAGUGUGUUCAUUUUUGUGUGUAUACUCACUUUUGUAUUUAUGCAUAUUCACGUGUGUAGGAUUCUCGAUUUCUGCCACUUACUGGAGAACUAGUGGAAAGCUUUAUACUGAUAUAUGUGCUAUAUAACUAAUGGAAACUACAAUAUGAAUAUUUUCUCUCACCUGGAGAGCAGUGUAACUAAUAUAAUUUGUGGCUCUGGAAUACUGAAGAUUCUGCAAUAACUAAUGGAAAAUAUGAUAUGAAUAUUUUUUCUCACCUGGAGAACUUUGUAACAGAUACAUUUUGUGCUGGAAUGUCUAAAGAAUGCUUCAGUUUAUAUCAAAUAUCUUUUAGUUAGAAAAGAUAAAAUUCUCUGAAUCUGAAAGACUGAAACAUUUUGCAUAUUUCGUGAAAGGCAAGUAUCUGUAGAUACUAGCUCAUGCAUUGAGGUAAUAUCAAUGUUAAAGAAAAACAGCAAUAAUUUAUUAUACAGAAUUAGGUUCACUUGCUUUAAAUGCUGGUCUGAUCAACCAUAUCAACCUGUAAUGGUCCUGCAGAAAUAUAUAUACGGGGAGAAACUAGCUAAUUUUCCUUUCACUUAUGGGUUUGGUCUUUUUUUCCCCAAUUUUUCAGCUUUCCUUCUCCUGAAGUAUGUUAAUAAUUGCAGAUAAUGGCGAAGAGGACUGCUUCCAGGCUACCGGCAAAAACUUUGUGAAAGCUUUGGAGUUAAACAGGGAAUUCACUUACUGCUAAGGACAAUUGGUGGCGAGCUAUUUCAUUCAUUUUAUGUCCAUACAUCUAUUUAAUUAUUAAAGAUAAUGUACGCAUUUGUAAAUUUCAGAUUGUGUGUCUCUGAAAAUAACAAUAUUUAAAAUGUCUCUUAAAUUAUUAUAAAUUUUAAUUUACUCUCGAUUUAAAAUGGAACAUGUUGGUGAAAUAUUUUUUCUUCUUAAUAAAAUUGAAAUAAAUUAUGUUAGCAGUAGUUUGAAAUAUUUUAAAGAUGAUUAUUUUAUAAGGGAGUAAUAUGAAAUGAAAUUUACUUUUCAUGCGUGAAAUGUUGAAAAAGGACAAAGCAAGUGUCCCUGCUUUUAUUUUAUUUCAAAGUGGAGUCAUCUCACAUACUUUAGCUCUAUCAUUAGGAGCCGGCUAAGUUACGUUAAACGUAAUUUACGCCAGGCACAGCAAUAAUGACAAGUCCCAUGACUAGUAUUGUUGCUGUGUCUGACGUAAGUUACGUUUAACGUAACUUAGCCAAAGCCCUAUCAUUAAUAUAUAUUUAAAUUUAACACAUGCAUGUGGGUUACUUUUCCGUAAGUUCCUUAAUAUAUAUUUAACACAAAUCAUGGAAGAGAUGGGAGUAUAUCAAGAUGAUCAAAGCAUGAAACAAAAAUAUUUAAGAAGUAAAACACUGAAAAUGGAGAAGAGAUGCAAGCAAAAGAUAUUCUAAAGAAAAGCAAUCUAUCCCCUUUCGAGGGCAAACUUAUCAGGUUUAAGAAAAGUACAUGCUUUGGAUUGGUAGUUGCAGCCUUGCAGGAUAAUUGUUUUUGCCACUAUAUUAGUUGGAGGAGUUGAACCCAGUGAAGAAUGUUAUGGAAGAGCAAAUGAUAUUUCUGAUAGACUCUAUUUGAUUAUGUAGCCUGAAUAGAUGUCUUGUUGAAAGAUAUAUCAGUGCAUUAGUUCAUCCUUGUCUGUCAAUGUGUUUUUAAUGGUUUUUCCAAUUGUUUUUUUUUUUUUUGAAACUGAUUAAGCAUCAGGUUACUGCAUUACACAGAUAUAUAUACAACUGCUAUGACAGCAGGUCAUUACACUGAUAUUUACAAUCAGAUAUAUAUACAUGGGACUUAUAUUAUUACAUUUUUAUUCUAUGAAGUACAUGCCCAUCCCAAAUACCCCUCACGGAGGAGGGAUGUCUCUACUCCACUCGCAUUUCGCAAGGGAGAAAGACGUUUAUAGAAAUCUCCACACAAUUAUGUUUAAUUGGAGGAGGUUGAGUCCGUGGGGACUCGAACCAUUGCCCUCAAAGUCAUGCUUAACUUUGAGGGCAAUGGUCCACCACUGGGCUACAAGCCCAAGUGGCGGUUUUUCCAAUUGUUUAUUGCUAUAGAUUGAUUGUAAAUUGAUGUGAACUUAAUGUUGAAAUAUUUUCUCUUUAGUGGAAUGAAAGUUAAACAUUCAAGAUUAGAUUAUUCAAGGUCCACAUAGUAUGUGUUCCGUUGUGUUGUCUGUAAUUUUGCAUUUAAAUAAAUUUGAGUGCUGCCGUUUCGCUCCCACAAUCUCUCGCCUUUUUUUAAUUUUAAAAAUUAAAAUAUUAAUAAAAAACAAUAAAGAAAAUCGAAUCCUUUAUGUCAUUCCAUCUUUACAACUCUCUCUCACAAACUCCAUCUAACAGACUUCUCUCUUACUAUCUCGGUCGAACAAGACCAGUGACAAUGAUGACACGACCGCCGACGAUGAGAUGGUCAUCGCUAAAGAAUCGGGCCGUGUAUUUUACAAUUUCUUGGUUUGUGACAACAAUGGAAAACUCCUGAAAAUUUUGAAUUUGUAGUCGAGCAAAGGAAGAAGCAAGUUAUCUUCAAAGCAUUUUCCAGUAAUAGCUGAUGAAAUUUAAUACUUCAAGCUGGCCCUUUGCUGUCACAACUAGAUGCAUUUGCACUGUCAUUACAAUUUAUGGAAAUUAAAGUAAUUAAUGGUUCUAAUUAAUAGCUUCCCAAAAAACCAAUCUGCCCUUGUGAGAACCAAAGCAUUAAUUUCUUGUAAGAGCUGCAGAAGGCCAGAGAAUUUCAGAUCGUGAAAAGGAGUGUGUGAGUGAGAGAGAGAUCGUGAAAUAGUGAGAGACAAUGAGAGAGAGAGCCGCUCGACUGAGAUGGUGAGAGAGUUGCAAAAAUGGAGUAAGGAGCAGAUAAGAUUAUGUUUUCUUUAUUAUUUUUUAUUAAUAUUUUAAUUUUUUUAAUUAAAAAAGGGCGAGAGAUUUUGGGAGUGAAACGGCAGCAUGUUCCAAUAAAUUUUUACCAAAGUUUCUCUCGUGUUUCUCUCACCUUUCUAGAUACCAAGCAUUUUCCAAUAAAUUUUUACUAAAAACUUAGCAAGCCCUUGAAACUUUGGUCAAAAUUAUUGUUAUUAUUACUUUUAGAGGAAAAACUUUUAUUAAAACCUCAUUAACACAAUUCUUAAUUAAAAUUAUAAGUUUGUGUUGGUGUAAGGAUUUGCAGGAGCAAUUACUGCCUAGCCAAGUGUCAAAAGCACAAAAUAAAUCAAGAGAAAGUAGACAUGAAUUAGGAUCCAAUGAAAUUUAAAUCCCGGAGAAAAGAAAUAAUCAUGCAGAUUAUCAAGAUUUCAAUAAGGGAUAUUGAUAUCCUAUUUUGAUUAAUAAUAUCCUUUUACUGUGUUAACUCAAAAAAUAUGUAUAUUCUAAUAUUUUACAAUAAAUAGAAAUCUAAUAUUAAAAUAAAUGUGAUAUAUAUAUAUAUAUAUUAAAUAAUUUAAAUAUAAAAAAUAUUUUAAUGUUUUACAAUCUACUACACAUAUUUUAUUAAGUUAAUAUAAUUUUUCAAAUAAAUAGGGACAUAAUAUUAAAAUAAAUUUAUAAAAAUUUAAAUUAUUUUGAAUUUAAAAUAAUUUUAAUAUUAUUAAUAUGUUAGAUAUGUUUGAUUAAUUAUAAAAAUUAUUUACGCAAAUUUUUUUAAUAUUUUCAGUAGAUAUAAAUAUAUUACUUACAUUUUGAUUAUUUAACUAUUAUUAUUCUACAAUUAUUUAUAUAAUGUUUGCACUUAUUAGAAUAUAUUUAAAGUCAAAUCUUUUGCACUUCUACCUAGCUAGAAUUAUUGGACGCAGAGAAAUAAGCAUAUAUGCUUUAUAACUUUAGAAAUCGAAUUAUCUAUACAAAUUGAUUUUAGCUGGAAAAAAAGUGAGCUGAAUGAUAUAGGCGAUUAGUGUGGUAAUAUUUCAUAGAGUUAGACUAUUGAAUUUGGCACCCCUCCAAUCUUCUCAUGAUUACCUUUUUGAGUUAUUAAUACACUUCUAAUUUUUCGUUUAAUUUUUUUUAUUGUUAUACUCAAAGUAGUAUUGUGAUAUUUUAUAUUUCUUUUGCAAUCUUAUUAUUAUUUUACACAAAAUUAAAAAGUUUUCUAGGUGAUGAACUUUUGAGUUUUGAACAUUAAUCAUUGGCUUAAAUUUCAUAUAUUUUACAUUAUAAUUUGAAAUUAAGUACGAAAAUAUUUAAUAAAUUAUGAAAAGAUUAACAGAUUAUUCUAAAUUGAUACAACUUAUUUUAGUUAAAUAAAAAGUAACAGGUAAAAAAAAAAAGGAUUGGUUAUGAAAUUUGUUGGAAAAAAAUCUGUGUGUGUUUAAUUUUUAUUUGUCCUUAAUUGUAAUUUAUUUGAAGUGAGGUUUUAUAAGGAUAAUGAAGGGGUGCCAUAGUUUCACUCUAUUUCAUAUGGAGAGAGAAGUAAAAGGUACACCUGAGGUUAAUGGAAAGGACUUCGAAAGUUUCUUUUGAUUAUAAUACUGUUUGUUCUAAUUAACUUAAAAAAUUUUACUUUAAUAUUUUAUAAUAAAUUAAAUUUUAAUCUUAAAAUAAGUAUAAUCAUAUAUUUUAAAAUAAUCUUAAAAUAAAUACAAUCAUAUAUUUUAAAAUAAUCUUAAAAUAAAUACAAUCAUAUAUUUUAAAAUAAUCUUAAAAUAAAUACAAUCAUAUAUUUUAAAAUAAUCUUUAUAUUUAAAAUUUAUUUAUUUGUACAUAUUUUAUAAUAAAUAUAACACAUACUAUUAAAAUAAUAUAUAAAAAAUUAAAGUAUUUUGAAUAUUAUAUAAAAUAACUUUAAGAUUCUUAAUAUGUAAGAUAUAUUUUAUUAAUUUAAAAUUCUAUUUAAAAUUUUAUUAAUUUAAAAUUCUAUUUAACCCAAAGAUUUAUUUAAGAUAAAUUAAUAAUCAUAUUUUUUAAAUCAUUUCAAAUAUUAAAAAAUAUUUUGAUAUUACUAGUCUAUUAAAUAGAUUAAAUAUUUUUAUUAUUUUGUACUAAUCAAAAGUUACAGCUCGAAUGAUAUUAUGAGAACAGAAUUUUUAUGUCUUUAUUAAAAAUUUGGGUUUGUAUAAUUAUUUUUUCAAAUGUUAGGGGCAUAGCUGUCUUUUUACUUUUAUAUAUGUGAACCGCGGUGGUGAAAAAGUGUGAUUUAAUAUUAGUUAUUUAAAUAAUAUCUGAAUUAAAGAUGUACAGAGAAGAAAUUUCGGUGGGCAUUUUAGUCUUUUAACGAUUAUCAUGAUUAGGGAUUAGGUCCUGCUCUUGAAACGUUGGUCAGAAAAGUUCUAAAAUGCGUACAUUAUCUUUACUUUAAAAAAGUUAUUUUAUUUUAUUACAAAUUAAUGCCGACAAGAAAAAGCAAGAUCUUAAANNNNNNNNNNNNNNNNNNNNNNNNNNNNNNNNNNNNNNNNNNNNNNNNNNNNNNNNNNNNNNNNNNNNNNNNNNNNNNNNNNNNNNNNNNNNNNNNNNNNAUAAAGAUGAAGAAAAGGGCAAAAAAAUAUUAAUGAUUAACGAAAUCUCUAUCCAAAUUGAUUUUAGCAGGAAAAAAGUGAGCUAAAUGAUGUAGACGAUUAGUGGUAAUAUUUCAUAGAGUUAGACUAUUGGCACCCUUCCAAUCUUCUCACGAAUCCUCUUUUUGAGUUAUAUUUAUUUUAUUUUUAAAAUAUCUUUUUUCUCUUUUACUACACUUCUAAUUUUUCAUUUAAUUUUUUUAUUGUUAAACUCAAAGUAGUAUUGUGAUAUUUUUAAUUUCUUUUGCAAUCUUAUUAUUACUCUGCAUAUAAAUUAAAAAGUUUUUUAGGUGAUGAAUUUUUGAAUGUUAAUCAUUAGCUUAAAUUUCACAUAUUUUACAUUACAAUUUGAAAUUUAAUAUGAAAAUAUUUAAUCAAUAAGAAUUAUGAAAAGAUUAAUAAAUUAUUCUAAAUUUAUACAACUUAUUUUAGUUAGAUCAGAAGUAGCAGGUUAACAAAAGAAAGGAUUGGUUAUGAAAUUUGUUGGAAAAAAAUCUAUGUGUGUUUAAUUUUUAUUCGUUGUUAACUCUAAUUAAGUAGGUUAAAUAUUUUUGUUAUUUUUUACUUAUCAAAAAAUUUAAGAUCAAUAUUUUUAGUUACCAUUCGAAGGAUAUUAUGACAAAAACAGAAUUUUCACUUCUUUGUUAAAAAUUUGGGGGUUUGUGUAACUAUUUUUUCAAAUGUUAGGGGCAUAUCUGUCUUUUUACUCUAUAUAUAUGAACCAUGGUGGUGAAAAAGCGUGAUUUAAUGUUAUUUAUUUAAAUAAUAUCUCAAUUAAAAAUGUAAGGAGAAGAAAUUUCGGUGGGCAUUUUAGUCUUUUAACGAUUAUCAUGGUUAGGCCCUGGUCUUGAAACGUUGGUCAGAAAAGUUCUAAAAUGCGUUCAUUUGUCUUUACGCCAACAAUAAAAAGCAAGAUCUUAGUGUCCCACAAAAGCAAAUCGUAAUAUUCCGCAAUGGAGUUAGAUCCGCAAAAGCAAACAAAUUCUUUUAUUAAACUACAAAUUAAAGUGGAAUCAUUUACUAAACAACAAAUUAAAUUUGAAAUAUUUAAAUAGUCGUGCGUUAGACGAUUAGAGACUCUUAUUAAAGGCAAGUACAAAGUAGUGAAGAAUCGAAUAUUUCUAUUGUCUAGUCUUUUUUUAAAAAAAAUUUUCUUUUAUUAUUUUUCAGAAUAUGUUUUGGUGAUUACUAUUGGGUUAUUAUUCAGAGUUAUUGUUAUCUUCCGGGGCAGUUUCUGUUCAUCGAAUUCGUUAAUAAAAUUUUAAAACUCUUAUUGAAAGAAUGUUUUUCCGUUAUCUUUUUUAUAAUCUAAUUUUAAGUGUAAGAAGUAGUCAUUUUAGAAUUUGGGUCUUGAAUCGAAUUUCAAUGCAUGAAUUAAUAUUUAAAAAAAAUUUACUACAUGCAGUUUAGGUUACAAACUAUUUUUUGCAAAGUUGACUAUGAAAUUGGAGAAAUUAAGUAAUUUAUAAUGUUUGCAAAGAAAGAGACCAACAUACUUCCAAUUACACUAUAUCUCAAUUAUCAUAAUGUUAAGAUUAAACUAACUUAAAAUAAAAUUUAUUUAAAAAGUUUAUCAAACGCAGUCUAAUUUUAUUAACUUGAAGAGAUAAUAGUUAUAGAAAUUAUUAUUCUAACUUAAUUAGUAAAAGUGGUAUAAAGGUUAAGUGUGCACUAAAUCUAUUUAAAUUUUUUUCCAGUAUAACUAACAGAGGUCAUUACUAGAAUUAUAUUACUAGUCUAUUAGAUAGAAAAAAUUAUUUAUAUUGUUUUAUAUUUAUUAAAAAAAUUUAAAGUCAAUCUUUUUAAUUACUAUUUAAAGGAUAUUAUAAUUAAAAAAAUUUUAAUGUCUUCAUUAAAAAUUUAAAAUUUUAUAUGACCGUUAUCUAAAUAUUUAAAGUGUAACUGUCAUUUUCUCAUAUAUAUAUAUAAUUUCAUCAACCCCUUAUACUUUAUGUUAUUUAUAUUUUAUUCAUGAAUAUUAUAAAUUUUUUGAAAUAUAAAAUUUCGUUUAACCCUUUAUACUCAAUUUUAUUUUAUUAAAACCCUAGAGUAUGAAUUCGUCCCUAUAAUAUUAAAUUCUCAAAAUAACUUCCAUUUAAUUAAAAAAUAUAAUUAUUAUUAAAUGAAUUAUAAUUAUUAUUAUUAUGUUAUUAUAAUCAUAAAAAGCGAGAUCAUAUUCCACAAAAGCAUAAGUGACAAAACAACCAACUGGAUUCUUUUAUUAAUCAACAAAUUGUAUAGUCUUUUUCAAAUUGUUAUAAAUUGGUGGCCCCUACAAUCCUCAAUAAUUGUACCGAAAUUCACAAGUUGGUGGGCCCUACAAUUCUGUUCCGAUAAUUUAACUGUGCAAGUGCUCAUUCACAAUCUUCCAGGUCAUGCUCUUAACAAUUGUUUUUUCUUUUCUGCACGCCCUUUCAUGCUCUUAAUAAUUGAAGAGCAUACUUUUCAAAUGUGAAGCCGCAUCUAAUGUCGCUAAUUUAAUUUGGGAUUAAAUUACGGGACUAUUAUAUUGCAGUGUGCACUAAUUUUUAUGUUUAUCUAAACUCUUCAAAUUUAAAACAUAUUAUGGCAUAAAUAAGAAUGUAACAAUAACAAAAGAGUAAGAAAGUGUAGAGAAAAUCUUGCAGAAAUAUAAAUAAUAUUUAUUUUUAAAAUAAUAUUAAUAUUUAAAAUAAUUUUUAAUAUUUUAUGGUCCAUUAGAUAUAUUUUAUUAUAUUAAAAUAAAUUUUAUAAUAAAUAAAAACAUACUAUUAAAAUGAAUAUAUAUAGAAAAUUUAGAGUAUUUUAAGUAUUAUAUAAAAUAAUUUUAAUAAAAUAUGUGAGAUAUUCAUAUUUUAUUAAUUUAAGAUACCAUUUAACCUAAAGAUUUAUUUAUGAUAAAUUAAUAAUUAUAUUUUUGAAAUUACUUCAAAUAUUAAAAAAAUUAAUAUUACUAAUAUAUUAGAUAGAUUAAAUUAUAUAUAUUAUUUUUACUUAUUAAAAAAAUUUUAAAAUUAUUUUUAAUUACUAUUCAAAAAACGUAUUCAAAAAACAUAAUGAUAAAAAAAUCUUAACAUCUUUAUUAAAAAAUUAAAAACUUAUAUGAUAAAUUCUCUAAAUAUUUACGGUAUAUGUGAACCACGGUGGAUAAGCUUUAUUUAAUAUUAUUGAUUUAAAUAAUAUGUCAAUUAAAAAUGUACAGAGAAGAAAUUUCGGUGGGUAUUUUAGUCUUUUAAGCAAUUAUCAUGAUCAGAUCAGCCUUUAGCCUUCAAACGUCGGUCAGAAAAGUUUUAAAAUUAAUGCUAAAUUGUUUUUCACUUUUAACGUUGGUGGCCUUGAAAUUGCUUGUAUUUUAUUAAAAAUUAAUGCUAACAAGAAAAAGCUAGGUCAUAUUCCACAAAAUCAAAAGUGACAAAACAACCAGCUGGUUUCUUUUACUAAACUACAAAUUAAAAUAAAUUUUUUCGAUAAAUUACAAAUUAAAGUGGAUUCUUUUGAAUACAAAUGGGACAGACGAUUAGGCUCUUUUUAUUAGAGGCAAGUAAAAACUAGUCAAGAAUCGAACAGUCUUUUUCCAAUUCUUGUUUUAUUAUUUUUCAAAACUAGUUUUUGGUAAUUACAACCGGGUCAUUAAUCAUUAUUCAGAGUUAUCUUCCGGGGCAGUUUCUGUUCAUCGAAUUCGUUAAUAAAAUGUUAAAACUCUUAUUGAAAGAAUGUUUUUCCGUUAUCUUUUUUAUAAUCUAAUUUUAAGUGUAAGAAGUAGUCAUUUUAGAAUUUGGGUCUUGAAUCGAAUUUCAAUGCAUGAAUUAAUAUUUAAAAAAAAUUUACUACAUGCAGUUUAGGUUACAAACUAUUUUUUGCAAAGUUGACUAUGAAAUUGGAGAAAUUAAGUAAUUUAUAAUGUUUGCAAAGAAAGAGACCAACAUACUUCCAAUUACACUAUAUCUCAAUUAUCAUAAUGUUAAGAUUAAACUAACUUAAAAUAAAAUUUAUUUAAAAAGUUUAUCAAACGCAGUCUAAUUUUAUUAACUUGAAGAGAUAAUAGUUAUAGAAAUUAUUAUUCUAACUUAAUUAGUAAAAGUGGUAUAAAGGUUAAGUGUGCACUAAAUCUAUUUAAAUUUUUUUCCAGUAUAACUAACAGAGGUCAUUACUAGAAUUAUAUUACUAGUCUAUUAGAUAGAAAAAAUUAUUUAUAUUGUUUUAUAUUUAUUAAAAAAAUUUAAAGUCAAUCUUUUUAAUUACUAUUAAAGGAUAUUAUAAUUAAAAAAANNNNNNNNNNNNNNNNNNNNNNNNNNNNNNNNNNNNNNNNNNNNNNNNNNNNNNNNNNNNNNNNNNNNNNNNNNNNNNNNNNNNNNNNNNNNNNNNNNNNNNNNNNNNNNNNNNNNNNNNNNNNNNNNNNNNNNNNNNNNNNNNNNNNNNNNNNNNNNNNNNNNNNNNNNNNNNNNNNNNNNNNNNNNNNNNNNNNNNNNNNNNNNNNNNNNNNNNNNNNNNNNNNNNNNNNNNNNNNNNNNNNNNNNNNNNNNNNNNNNNNNNNNNNNNNNNNNNNNNNNNNNNNNNNNNNNNNNNNNNNNNNNNNNNNNNNNNNNNNNNNNNNNNNNNNNNNNNNNNNNNNNNNNNNNNNNNNNNNNNNNNNNNNNNNNNNNNNNNNNNNNNNNNNNNNNNNNNNNNNNNNNNNNNNNNNNNNNNNNNNNNNNNNNNNNNNNNNNNNNNNNNNNNNAUUGUGGGCACUCUUGUUCGUGCAUGUUUGCUAGAAGAGAUGGAAGAUGAUAAAGUAAAAAUGCAUGACGUUGUUCGUGAUAUGGCUUUAUGGAUAGCUUGUGAAAUUGAGAAGGAGAAGAGAAACUUUUUGGUUUGUGCAGGUGCUCGAUUAGAAGAGGCACCGGGUGUUAAAGAAUGGGAAAAUGUGAGAAGAUUGUCAUUGAUGCAAAACCAAAUUGAAACUGUGUCAGAGAUUCCCGCAUGCCCUCAUCUCCAUACUCUAUUUCUUGCCUCUAAUAGGAAUUUCAGGAUGAUCACGGAUGGCUUCUUUCAAUUUAUGCCUUCUCUCAAAGUUUUGAAGAUGUCACGCUGUGGGCAAUUCGAAGGUUUUCAAUUACCUGUUGGGAUGUCAGAGUUGGGUUCAUCACUAGAACUUCUUGAUAUUUCACAUACCACCAUAAGAGAGUUACCCGAAGAGUUAAAGUUGCUGGUAAAUCUGAAAUGUUUGAAUUUGAGGUGGACAGGUGCGUUAAUUAGAAUUCCACGGGGACUAAUAUCAAAAUUUUCAAGGUUACGUGUGUUGAGAAUGUUGGGUACUGGCGGGUUCAUUUUUUAUGAAGCACCAGAAGACAGCGUUUUAUUUGGUGGGGGUGAAGUUUUGAUACAGGAAUUGCUCGGUUUGAAAUAUUUAGAGGUAUUGGAGUUGACCUUGGGAAGUUAUCAUGCUCUCCAAAUUCUUUUGAGCUCAAAUAAGUUAAAAAGUUGUAUUCGAUCUCUUUACCUCUAUUUGACCGGAGAUAAAAAGUCGAUUAUUGAUGCUACGGCUUUCACAGACCUAAACCACCUCAAUGAAUUAUGGAUUGAUAAUGGAAUUGAGUUGGAAGAAUUGAAGAUUGAUUAUACGGAGAUAGUACGAAAAAGGCGGGAACCUUUUGUUUUCCACAGCCUUCACCUUGUUACGAUAUAUAGUUGCCAUAAAUUGAAAGAUUCGACAUUCCUCGCUUUUGCUCCAAACCUCAAGUCUCUUUCGCUAUUCAAAUGCCGUGCUAUGGAAGAAAUAAUCAGCGUCGGAAAAAUUGCUGAGAAUCCUGAGAUGAUGGGACAUAUAAGCCCUUUUGAAAAUCUCAAAAGUCUUGAUCUAUCAUAUUUGCCGGAGUUGAAGAGCAUUUUCUGGAAGCCAUUGCCUUUCACUCAUCUCAAAGAAAUGGGGGUAAGAGCAUGUGAUCAGCUUAGAAAGCUUCCACUCGAUUCCAACAGUGCAAAAGAGCGUAAAUUUGUAAUUCGUGGAGAAGAAGACUGGUGGAACCGACUUCAAUGGGAGGAUGAAGCCACUCAAAUUGCUUUUCGUUCCUGUUUCCAACCUGAUUCCUGAGCGGUGGUCGCAAAAUUUGAUUUCUGGUGAGUGCGUUUGUCUUUUAAAAGAAGAAUUUAAAAGAAAUUUAUUCUUGACGUUUUCUUCACUGUUUUUAUUUCAGUCUCUCUCUCUCUCUUUUUGUCUUCUGCUAAUCACAAUUAAAUGUUGAAUUAAUGGAAUUAAUGCUUCAUAAAUUUGCCGGCACUGCCAUUACUUUUUUUUUUUUUAAUACAAAUUGAUACUUUAUUUAUAUCUUCUUAGCGAUUUAAUUUCCUGUCAAUUGACGAACGAGAAGAACAUAUGACUUGAACCAAUGCUCGCAUAAACUUGCUGUAAAAAGAUAUAAUCUCACUGAAAUGCACACGCCUAGAAUGAAUAGAAUUAAAACAGGGAAAAUAUUAAGUAUAUUAGCCCUCUUUACCGAAAAUCAAAUGACAAUAAAUUUUUUGAAGUUUUGAUUUUCUAUGGUCAAUUCCACCUUUUGCAAUUUCUUCUGUUCUAACAAAAACCAAUUUCUUUGUUCAAGUAUUUUCGUUUGGGUAUUAAUAAUUCUCCACCGAAAGAGUGAACUCUUGCUCAAGGGAUCUCUAAUCAAUAGCCGGAAGGGCGCCGAGACCUGAUCGGACCUAGGCCCAAGUUUGGUCUUAAAGCCUGGGCUUGAGCCUGGCAAUUAAAUUAAAACAGUAAUUGAUUUCUUGAAUGAAUUGUCGUGUAAUUGAUUUAUGGGGGAUGACACAUCAACAUACUUGAAAAUACACUAAUCUCAGCAUCAUCCGUUAAUAACUUUUAGAUUUAUGGGCAAUCAAUAGUUAAAUUAGUUGUCAUUAAUACUAAAUAAUUUUUACUUUUUUUGUCUCUUCUAGAGGAUCUUCUAGAAAAAUGCAUCCACAAUUAAAUUUAAUACUUUACAUAAUAAAGAAAGCAUAAAUGUUAAAUUUAAGAAACUGCAUUGUAUUUCAGCUGAAGUUGACUUUAAUAUUUAGGGUAGAAAAAAAUUAAAUCCUUAAUGUGUUUAAUUUCUAUCACUUGUGUCAUUAAAAUUUUCUAGUCACCCUAACCAAUUACAUCUCAACCCACUUUUUUUUGGAUGAUUUUAUUUUUACACUAUUAUUUUCAACAUUUUUUUUUCCUUUUAACACCAACAUUAGUGUAUGUUACGUAACAUAAUCCAUAUUUGGAUAAUUUGAAAUUUGUUUGUGUUUUAUCUCAAAAUAGAGCUUCAAUCAAUUUGUACCUCAUAAAUUCACAAUAUCUGGCAUAUUGUCAAAUGUGCUUAUCCUUUUGCUUGACAUGUCAUUUUAAAAUUGUCAUUCAAUGUCAAAAAAUCACAUCAACUAAUGGCCGACUACUUUAAUUUGAAAGCAUGCGUGCGAUCGCCAAUAAUUAUAACUUAAUUGUUAUAUUGAAAUUUUUUUCUUUAUAAUUUAAGUUUAAUACUGCUACAUGUGUGGCACAUAAGUUGGAAAAUAUAACAUAAAAUUUGAAAAAUGUGUAGUUUUCGUUCCUUUUUUUUCUAAAAAAAUGGGAAAAAAGAAUGUAAUUUUGUUUAAAUUACUGUUGUCAUAACAAUUAUUAUUUUAUUGAUUAAUUGGCAGAGAAUCGUAAUGGUUUCGCAUGGUUGUUAAAACAUUGGAAAGUCCACUACAUCAUCGGUUAAUAACUUUCAGAUUUAUGGUUAAUUAAUAGCUGAGAUUUAUUAUCAUUAAUGCUAAAUAUUUUUUCUCUCUCCUGGAGGAUCAUCCACAGGCAGGUGCUUCCUGACGAUGACAAAAUUUUGGGCAGGCAGGUGCUUCCUGACUUUCACACGGUAAUUCUCAAAUUCUGAUUUCACCAUAUUUUAAUUACUGAUUAGCAUAUAUUCAAGUGCUCUCCAUUAUAAUGGAAGCCGCCGCCUCACUCGUAAUUCCAAACUUUAUCUUUUUUUCCUUUUUUAAAUUAAUGCAAGUAGCCGCUGUCCUUUCUAUUAAUUAAUUAAUUCGGCCGCCCACAUUUCUUUUCCUAAUGUCUUCUACUGUCGAGUUUAUUUUAUUUUCUCUUUAUUAUUAAAAUAUACUUAUAAUAAUAAAAAAAUAAAAAUUAACAUAUCAAAAUAUAAUUUAACAGAAAAUUAAGAUAAAAAAUUAAAAAUAAAUAAAUUAUGAGCAUAUCAAUCAAUAAAUGAAAAAUAAUAAUUUUUAUUUUUAUUAAAUAUAAAUUUUUCAGUAUUAAUCAAUUAUCUGAAUAAAUAAAAUCAUUUAAAAAUAAAUAAAUAAAUUAUUCUUAAAAAAAAAAAAAAAACUUUUUAUAACACUCACUAUGCUGGUUGUAGGGUUGACGCUUUGGGUACUGAAGCUAGUAACUUCUACAAGUAGUCUUAAGUUGACUGGCAACAACUAUAUUGGCAUUUAGAAAUAAUGUACUGCAACCAUAUUGGCAUGUUCAAAUGUUCUUAUUAUUGUAUUGGUGUGUCAAUAUUAUCUCUAACGGUUUUAUAAAUAAAAAAAUAAUCUAAAUUUAUAAUUUAACAUAAAAUAAAAUAAUUGGUAGAAAAACAAUUAUGGUUCAUUUACUUAUCAGUAAUCAGAAUAGACUGAAAUCGAAAUGAGUUGUAUUACUGUUGAUGUGUUUAUGUUGUACUCGAAUCGAAAUGAAUUAUUUUAAAUUACUAAAAUAUCCUUGGUCUGUUAUUCUAAUUAUUAUUAUUAUUUAAUAUUUAUUAUAAUAUUUUUCAUAUCAUUAAAAAAAAAUAAUAAUGAUGAUAAUAUUCUCAUUAUUGUUUGUUACAUUAUUAUUAUUCAAAAAAAUUAUUGUUAAUAACAAUAAUUACUUUAUUUCAAUAAUAAUAAUGAUAAAAUUAAUAAUAAUAAACAUGACAACAACAAUAAUUAUUUAUUAUGCCAAAAAAUAACAAUAAUAAUAAGAAUAAUAAUCAUCAUCAUUUUUUUGCCAAAGAAGCAUUAUCAUCAUCAUUUCAAAAAAAAAAUCAUCAUCAUCAUCAUCAUUUUUGUAGUGGCUACCUAUCGGCUGCUGCUUUCAUGUGAGAUUGACUUGCGACGCUUCAACGGCUAUUAUUUCUGACAAUGUCAGGUGUUGCUAUUUCAAUUUAGGAAGAAGUUGUUUCGGUGUGCUAGCGAUGGGAGAUGUUGUGGCUGCGAUUCGGGGAGCUACUAGUUUAUUGCACUAAUAACGGCAGGUGCUGUUGCUUGAUGCGAGGUCCAUGGCCAGUUGUCAGCAGUUCGACUUUGGUAUGGGUGCUGCUGGUUCGAUUUUAGGUGUUGUCCAAUUUCAUUUUCAGGAUUUUAAUUUUAUUUUUCUUUUAUAUUUUCAUUAAUUAAUCAGGGUAAAAUUGGAUUUUAGAAUUUAGAAUGAAGGUAAUUUUGUUAAUAAUGGAAAUGAGAUUCUGAUUGUCGAGAAUGAGCUUACACAAACAACUAUAAAUUAAGUGAAAACAAAACACUUUUUCUCUUUGUGUGAUUAAAACAUGAUAUGUACCAUAAAUAAAUAAGUAAAAAAUAAAUCAACACAAUCUAAAACAGUAAACAAAUUACAAGAGGCACAGAUUUUUAUGUGAAACACCGAAAAUGGAAAAAACCACAGCAUCUUAGUUUGAUAUAAUCUUCUACUAUAUUAAUGGGAUUAUAGCACAAAUUCUUUCCUAUAUAACACUAGAGAUUAACAACAUCAAGAAUCUCAAUAAUCUUGACUUACAAUACAGCCUAAUAUUUGUCUCUCUAAUAAGUAGAUAUCUAAAAUAACAGUCUCUAAUAAGUAUGUAUCUAAAAUAAUAGUCAACAAGAGGAUAAAACAAAAAUUAAGAUUAGUAGGAUGUGUAUAAGGUGAUGCUAUCAAUUUAUCUUCUAAAUUUGAGAAAAAUAGUUAAAUUCACUUUUUCGAUUGUCCGACCAAAAAUGGAAACCCUUGCCCCAAAACCAAAGGAAUCACCAUUAUGUUUUUCUCUCUCUCUCUCUCUAUCUCGUUCUUUUCUUCUUCUUUUCUUAAUGUUAGCCAUCACUUGCUUUUAUUCUUUAUAGCAUUCAAAAAGCUACUUUUAAUGGUAAAUUUCAUUUAAGUCUGCAACUUAGUGAUAAUUGCACACCAAACAAUCCUUACAUAGUGUUUUGGGCCCUCAAAUGAGAUGAAUACAACAAAUCUCCCCCUUUAAAUCAUGUGGGGGGCACCGCAAGCCCGCUAUUUGCAUAUAGCUUUUCAGCUUCUCCUUGAAUAAUGACUUUGUCAUCAUACAUAAUCCAUUCUUCGUUGUGUAAAUCUUCUCAAGCUGUAACUGUUCCUUCUCAAGCUGUAAUUAUUCCUUCUCAAGCACGUCUCGUAUCUAAUGAUACCUUACAUCAAUAUGCUUAGAUUUCGAAUAGUAUAACAGCACUCUGACUAUCGUAGUACAUAACAUAGCUGUCUUGUUUUACACCCAGCUCUUGUAGGAAAUUCUUCGUCCACAAUAUUUUUUUGCAACCUUCAAUAAUUGUAAUAUCAUUUGCUUUAGUGGUAGAAAAGGCAACUUAUUACUAAAGUUUAGAUUGCGAUGAGACUGUUCCCCCUGCAAAAGUGAGCAAACAUCCUAGUAGGAAUUUUUCGGAAUCAACAGCUCCUGCCAUAUCUACACACUUGUAACACAGGUUUGUCACCACCAAAAUAUAAACAUGCUCUGGAAAUGCAUCUAAGAUAUCUGAGAAUUUUUCACUGUUGUCCAGUGCUCUUUACCGAGGUUGAAGAGAAACCACUGACUACACUAACUGUAUAGGCAAUAUUUGGUCUUGUACAAAUUAUGGCGUACAAUAAACUGCCAACUGCUGAAGCAUAAGGAACUCCUCUCAUGGAGAAAUGGGUUUUACUCUUGAGAUUUUUGGGACCAUGAAGAAUAAAGAUGUAAUUUCUUAUACUGCCAUUGUUUCGGGAUAUAUAAAUAGAGAACAAGUCGAUAUAGCUCGACAGUGUUUUGAUCAGAUGCCAGAACGAGAUUAUGUCUUAUGGACUACCAUGAUUGAUGGGUACCUUCGAGUGAAUAGGUUCAGAGAGGCUUUGACACUUUUUCAGGAGAUACAAACUUCAAAUAUAAUGGGAGACGAGUUUACCAUUGUUAGCAUUCUUACAGCUCGUGCGAAUCUGGGGGCACUAGAACUGGGAGAAUGGAUAAAGACUUAUAUUGACAAAAACAAAGUCAAGAAUGAUAUAUUUGCGGGGAAUGCUUUGAUAGACAUGUACUGUAAAUGUACUGUAAAUGCGGAGAUGUUGAGAAAGCUCAAAAGGUAUUCAGGAAGAUGCUUUGAAAGGUCAAAUUCACAUGGACGACCAUGAUUGUUGGCCUUGCCAUCAGUGGAAAUGGUGAUAAAGCUCUUGAUAUGUUUUCCCAAAUGCUCAGGGCUUCGAUCAAACCAGAUGAGGUAGCUUAUGUUGGUGUUCUGUCUGCCCGUACUCACAAUGGUAACGAAACUUUUGUGAUAAAUAGUUGCAACUUAAGGUGAGAACUGGAGGAAGGGAAAUAGAUUGAAGUUGUUCAAUCAUCAGUAGUUGCUACUUGGUUUUAAGUUGUUCAAUCAUCGGUCGUCUCUAUUUGGUUUUCUCCAAUAUCUCAUCUUCAAUUUUGACUCAGAUUGUAUCUUACCACUAGUAAUUACAUAGACUUGCUGCCAAAGGUAAGAAUGGGAAUAAAUUAAAUAGAUUAUGUCGAAAACGAAAUAAAUUUACUAUUGUUCUGUUCAUUCUAUUUGUUUCCUACAAAAUAUUUCUCCUGCCUAAAAUUUUUUGAAUCAGUAAGUUUUUACCUUAUGGAUGAAUUGUGUUGAGAGUAAUUCCAUUUCUCAGUCUCUUUAUGUUUCAAUGAAGACGUAAAACUUGUGUUCUAGUGCACCAACGUUUAUGCUUCUUACAAUUUGACUUUAAUUUACUUUGUAAAAUUUUUGUCAAAAAGUACUAAAAAGUAGUGCACCAAACACCAACUUUAUUACAGAGAGGACUUUAGUUAAAUUUUAAGAAAACACUCAAAAGAAAGAGUUGUAAAUUAUUAUAAAAAUAUUUCACAUAAAUAAAAGCCAUCCCAUGCUGCAAAGAUCUUGCUAUAAUCACCAAAAACUAUCGGGAGCUUUUAGGGUUUCCAUAAAAAUGCCAUUUCGUUCCAUGUAUAUGAUUCUAUAGUCUCACUGGCAAGUAAACCACAGCCCAACAGCACUGACUGUCCAUGAUGAUUCACCCCAAUGAACGAAACCAGCGUUGCAUCAUAUCUUUCUGUCAAGCAUGUAAUAUCAAUUGAUUUGAGCUAUUAACAUCAUUUCCAAAUACUCCAUUGGCAUCUACAUUACCAUUUCCCUCGGCAUCAAUGAUAAGAGUUCGAAACAGUCUAAUCUUUUGAACUUCUUCAGCACCAUCUAAGAGCAAUGUUCUUUUGGUUCCAAUACCCAUGUGCUUAUGAUAUUUGUAAAAUAAUUAUUUGUAAAAUAAUUAGUUCAAUUUUGACAUAAUACGGAAUAAACACAACCUGCCAAUCUAAGUUACUAUCUUUUCCCGUCAUCAGGUACCUGUUUGAAAAAUAAUUAUAUACAAUUUUAUUUGCGUCGUCCCUCUAAAAAUUUGGGACUCAAAUGUUAUUUCUAAUUGCUAAAAGUACGAAAUUGCCCCCUUUCUCUUCAGCUAAAGGAGUGCAAAGUCAUCUGUAUAAUUGAAUCUGCAUCAUCAGUUUCUAUUGCUGGCUGGUGUUACUGCAUGCUUACAGUUGCUUGACAAAGUGAGCCAGUUUUUUGUUUAUUAAUUUUUUUUCUUGUCGAGACAGUCACAAAGUAUUACUUGUUCUAUUUGAGAAUGAUGUGAAUCAAUUUUUCAAUUAUGCAUUCUGUGGUAAUUAUUGUGAAUUUAGUUUCAUUUGUCUUGUCUCCUGCAAAUUUUGAAGAAAAUGCAGACAUACAAAUUUACAAUAUGUAUUUGCGUUAGUAUAAAAACAAUUGUUAGAUGAUUAAAGCGAUUUAUUUUUUUUUUUACAGCAUUUGAUUGUAUUAGUUAAAAUCAUUUUUUAAGGAUAAAAAUAAAUAGAAAAUUAUUCUCAUGUAGUGUGGAAAUCUUUUCUAAUUUCUUGUUGACUUGUACAUUUAUUUCAGAAUUUCCAUUCAUUAAUUCUACUGUUUUAAUCUUUGACUUAGCUACCGUAGUUGACUUUUUAUAUCAAAGGCUUAAACAGCAUGCAUUUUUGAAUUGACUGAGAAUAAUUUGGUGGACAAAUUACUAGUAAAGGACUUCAAAUGGUUGAAUUGACUGUGGGUUUUUCAUGCCCAAGUCACUCGUCACGUCGUUUCAUCGAAACAAAGUGCCCGGUGCAAAUGGUGUGAUGUAAAACACCUUUUUAAAUUGUCAUUUUUUUUCCUUUGCUUUUGCUUUAAUUUUCUAAAUGCUCAACGCCAUAAAUCCAUGUAUUCUUAAUUUUCGUUUGCUGUAUUGAUUCCCAACCCUCUAUGUCACAAGGUUUUGAAUGCCAGUAAUUAAGUUAAAUUAAACAUAUUUUAAGUCCUACUUUAAAUUAUUGAAAAAUGUAUUAUGGUUGAACUGAAUUUUAACUAAAAAAUAUAUACAAAAUAAAAGAUUAAUCAUAUCUUUUUAUGAGGAAGGUCAGUCAUCAUUCUGACCACAGACACUUAAAAUUAAUUGAGUGGAAUAUUGCAAAAUAUAUAUAAACCAUGCCAAAACUAGAUGUUUGAGUAAUGAAAACGAGAAUUCAUAUGACUCAGAAAUAUGGUCGCUUUCCUUUUUCUGAAAGGCAAAAAAAAAGGGGGAACCAAAAAGGACCAAAAUGAACAAAAAUGGAAGGCGAAGGUAAGCAGACAUGUUAUAUGUUUUACCUAAGAUGCCAAAUGCAACUCCCCAUUGAUGGUGAUCGAACAUUAUGGCCAUUUUCUUAGUAAACAAAAAAUGAAUUUUGAACACUCAACAACGAAACUUGAGCAGAAGAUCAAGCAAGGGCCUCGAUCUCAAAGAAGAUACUAUGAAACCCUACUUAAUGGUUAAAUAACUUUCAUUCAGCUUUGGACCCUAUUUCGUGAUACGGAAAGACAAACCUUUCUUGGCCGGCAGUGUCCCAGAUCUGGGCUUUGAUGAUCUAGAGGUUGAUGGUGACAGUUCUGGUUUGGAACUCGACGCCAAUGGUUUAUUUCGAUUCAAAGCAAAACUCAUUCUUGGUGAAUCUCGAAAGAAUCUGAGACUUGCCCACGGCCGAGUCACCGAUCACCACUACCUUGAAUACAUAGUCUAUUUUGUCAGGAAUCAUAUUCUCUCGUUGUUGAUGACGAUGAUCGGUGCCAUCACCACUCAUUUCUUCGUUCAUUCAUUCUAUGUCCAUUGAUCUUUUUGAAUUAUUGAAGACAAGUGGCUCACCGCUUUUAGUAUUGGUAAAAUUCAGAUAAUCUCUAUUCCGAAAUAAUAAUAUUAAAAAUAUCUCUUAAAUCAUUAUAAACUUCAAAUCUAUUUUAAUUUUAUUUAAAAGAUAAAAGAAAAAUAAGUUAUGUUGGUGAUUUUUUAUUAUCUUUUUAAUAAAAAUAGAAUAAAUUGAUGUUUAUAAUUAUUUAAAGUAUUUUAAAGAUUGCUAUUUUAUGAGAGAAUAAUAUUUCAUUUUUUUUUUCGUGUGAAAGACCGAAAAAGGACAAAGCAAGUUUCCCUAAUUUUUAUUUUAUGUGAAAUUGGUCAUCUCAUAUACUUUACCCUUCAACACUCUAAUUUUUUUGGUUAUAAUUUUAUUAUUUUUUCUCUUUUACACAUGCAUGUGAAUUACUUUUCUUUAAGCUCCUGAAUAUUUAAGACAAAUCAUGGAAGAGAUGAGAGUAUAACAAGAUGAUCAAAAUAUGUAACAAAAAAAUUUUAGAAGUGAAAAAUAUGUUAGAGUCGAAGUAAAACUCUGAGGUGAUGUUUGAUUUGAAGAAAAUGGAGGAGAGAAAAAGAGUGGAAUGGAGAGGAAAAGAGAGAAAAGGAGAGGAGAGGAGAGGAGAGUGAACUUUUUUUCUAAUGUUUGGUUUGUCACAUAAAUAUACAAAGAAAGGAAAUCUCCAAUUUUUUAUUUAGACAAUUUUAACCUUAAUAAGUAUUAAGCUUUCAAUAUUUAUCAUGUGUAUAAUUUAAAAAAAGUAAAUGGUAGAAAGCGGUUUCUGAUUCCGGCCACAUCGCCGGCAAUGGAAGGUACUUAUCAGAACAUCAAGAACCGGCCAUCAUUCCCUAGCCAUCACUGCUGUAGGAACACUGCUAAAAAGCUGCCGAUUGAACCGCGAAAAGUCGUGGAAAUCGUUGCCUCAAAUCGGUGAGUUUCGCCUUUUUCUGGUCAUGCCGUCGCCUUGGCUUUGUCCAUCAACGCUGCCACUUCCAUUUCAACCAUCCAUAGCCACUAUUAACCGCCAAAUCGCCGCCGAUCAGCGGGAUCUGUGGAAGUUAAAAAGUUUCUAAAAUUUUUUAAUUGGAUUUGAACAACAUACAACCAUUUUUUGAUCUCAAUAACGACAUAGUAAUGUUGAUCGUUGGUCGGCAAGUCGAAUGGUAGUGGCGGUGAGUAACACGCGCCAAUGACAUCGGCGGCGGCGGCGGCACUAUCCGGCUACUGUUAAAAUUAAUAUUUUAUAUUUGUAGAUUAAAUAAAUUUAUUUUAUUAAACUUUUUAAAUCAUUAUUUAAAUUUAAUUAAUUUAAAAUUAUCUAUGAUGUUGAAUUGAUAAAAUAAAUUUAUAAAUAAUAAUUAUGUGAUUACAUUAAAUAAGUUAAAAAGUUGAAGGGUUAUUUUUGGAAGAUUUAGUUUCCAACACAAAGGGAAUUUGAAUUCUUCACUUCUUAGUGUGGAAUUCAAAUUCUAUAUUGUAAUGGAUAUUAAAUUCCAAUAGAAAUUAAAUUCUUAUAAGUUAUGUCAAACCAAACAACGGAAAUAAAAAAAAAGAAUUUAAAUUACUUUCCUUUCCUCCACCCUCUCCUUCCAACCAAAUACAUCCUGAAAAUAGAGAUAUUGAUUAAUUUAGAAGAGAUGCAAGCAAAAGAUAUUCCACAAAAAAAAAAAAGCAAUAUGUCCCUUUGGAGGGCAAACUUGUCAGUUUUAAAAAAGUACAUGCUUUGGAUUGAUAGUUGUAGGAUAUUUGUUUUGUCACUAUGUGUUAGUUGGAGAAGUCAAGCCUUGUGAAGAAUGUUAUGAAAGAGCAAAGGAUAUUCCUGAUAGCUGAUAGAGCUCUAUUUGAUUAUGUAUCCAAUGAAUGGAUGUGUUGUUGGAAGAUAUUUGAGUGCAUUAGUUCAUAUGUGUCUAUCAAUGUGAUUUUAAUGAUUUUUCCACUUGUUUGUUGUAAAAGAUUAUUGUAAAUUGAAAUGAACUUGAUGUUGUAAUAUUUUCUCCUUAGUAGAAUUUCACCUAGUAUGUAUUUAGUUGUGUUGUCUAUAAUUUUGCAUUCGAAUAAGUUUCACCUAAAAUAUUAGCAUGAGUAGUGGCCCUUGAAACUUUGGUCAAAAUUAUUGUUAUUAUUUCCGACUAGAUGUAAAUUUUUUAUUAAAUCUCGCUAACACAAUUCUUAAUUAAAAGUAUAGGUUAGUGUUGGUGCAAGACUUGCCACACCAAAUUCUGCCUAACUGUCAAAAGUGCAAAAUAAAUGAAGAGAAAGCACAAAUACACGACUUGAAUAAGGAUACAACGAAACUUAAAUUCAAGAGAAAAUGAUAGCUAUAUCUCAAGAUUUGAAAAAACGGUCAUGUAGAUUUUUAAGAUUUCAAUAAGCGACUGAGAUUCAAAUAAUAUCCUUUAAUUCUAUUAACAAAAAACAAAGACUCAAAUAUUUUAUGAUAAAUAAAAAUAUAAUAUUAAAAUAUAUGUGAUAAUAUACACAUUUUAAAUACUUUCAAUCCAAAAAAAUAGUUAUGUUUUACAAUCUAUUAGACAUAUUUUAUUAAAUUAAUAUAAAUUUUCUAUAAAAUAAGAAUAUAAUAUUAAAAUAAAUUCACAAAAAUUUAAAGAAUUUUGAAUGUAAAAUAAUUUUAAUAUAUCAAUACGUGAGUUUUUUUAUUAAUAUAAAAUUUAUUUAACUUUAAGAUUUUUUAAAAUCUUUACAAUAAGUAUAACUAUAUUAUUUACAUUUAAAAAUAUUUAAAUAUUAUUAACCUACAAUUAUAUUUGCAUUUGUUAGAAAUUUUUUAAGUCAAAUAUUUUGCACUUCUAUAUUAUUAGAAUUAUUGCACAAAAAGAAAGAAACAUACACCUUUAGAAAUUGUUUUCUUUUAAAAUAGAGAUGAUGAUUAGUAUAAGGAUGAAAAAAAGGAUAAAGAAUAUUAAUGAUUAACGAAAUCUCUAUACAAAUUGAUUUUAGUAGGAAAAGAGUGAGAUGAAUGAUUUCUUUUACAGUUAGAAACAUAGAUGAUGAUUAUUAUAACGAAGAAAAAAAGAUAAAGAAUAUUAAUUAUUAAUGGAAUCUCUAUACAAAUUGAUUUUAGUAGGAAAAAAAUGAUUAAAUGAUUUAGAGUGCGUUUGGAAUUGAGAUUGGGCAGCCAUAGAUUUUAAGUUACAACACUGAAGUGUUUAGUAAAUACUAGUUGCUGCAGAUUGAAAGUUAUGUUGAUAUGAUUUUUCACAUGUAUCAUAGAAAAUAUAUUACAUCUUUAAUAUUUUUUAAAAAUUUAUAUUUGCUAUAUAUUAUUAAUUUUUUUUUAUAGUUAUAACUUUUUUUCCACAACAGUUGUAGCUUAAAAGUCACAGCACCUCAAUCUCAAACAAAUCCUUAGACAUUCAUAGUGUGUUUAUUUUUUGGAUUGGUGAAUCAAAAUUAUUGACAACGCUAACUUCAUCUUCACUGUUCGCAAUCCAACAGCAGCAAUUGUCGCCAAUAAUGAUAUCUCCAAUGAUGAUGACAAUUAUUAUUAUUAUUUUUAUUAUUAUUAUUAUUAUUAUUAUUAUUAUUAUUAAUUAAUUAAUUAAUUAAUUAAUUAAUUAAUUAAUAUAUUAAUGUUGAUAUUAUUAUUAUUAAGAUUAACAAUAAUUAUUAGUAAUACAAUUUUUUGAAUAAAAAUAAUCACAAUAAUUAAAAUACAAAUUAAUAAUUAUGACAAUAAUUAAUUAAUGUCUUUUUAGUAAUUUGUAAUAAUCUAACUCAUUUUGGUUCUGAUUAUUACAGCUUAAGUAAACAAAUUAUUAUGAUUCCUAUUCUCCUUUCCCAUUUUAACUCACUUUGAUUCCAGUCUAUUCCGAUUUCUAUUUAAUAAAUGCACCAUUAGUGCUAAAGUAAUAUUUCAUACAUAGAAAAAUAAAAACUACGCCUAAGGUUAAGGGAAAAGACUUCAAAAUUCUCUUUUGAUCAUAAUACAUUUUGUCCUAAUUAACUUAAAGAUUUUGAAUCUAAUAUUUUAUAAUAAAUAAAAAUAUAUUCCUAAAAUAAAUAUAAUAUCAAUAUUUAAAAUAUGUUUUAAUAUUUUACAAUCUAUCAUACACAUUUUAUUAUAUUAAAGUAGAUUUAUAAUAAAUAUAUAAAAAUUUAGAAUAUUUAGAAUAUUAUAUAAAAUAAUUUUAAUAUAAUGCGUGAUAUAUAUUUUAUUAAUUUAAAAUGUCAUUUUACCUAAAAAAUAUGAUAAAUUAAUAAUUACAUAUUUGAAGUUAUUUCAAAUAUUAAAAAAAUUUAAUAUUAUUAAUCUUUUAGAUAGAUUAAAUUAUUUUUUAUAAGAGAGAUUAAAUUAUUUUAAAAUGCCUUAAUUGUUUUUACUUUUAACGUUACGGGCCUUUCUUUUAUUUUAUUGCAAAUUAAUGCUAACUAGAAAAACAAAAACAAAAGUGACAAACACAACCAGCUGGAAUCUUUUAUAAAACUACAAAUUAAAAUGGAUUUUUUUUUUUUGUUGAUAAAUUACACAUGAAAGUGGAUUCUUUUGAAUAUAAGUGGGGUAGGCUCUUUUAUUUUUUUUUUAAUACCGUAUAACAGGACUGUAGACUCUUUUAUUAAGCACAAAUAUAGAGUUGUCGAGACAAUUAGGGUCUUUUAUUAAACUACAAAUUGUAUAGUCUUUUUUAAAUUGUUCAGAUAUUUAUAAAUUGGUGGCCCCUACAAUCCUCAAUAAUUGUACCGAUAUUCACAAGCUGGUGGCCCCUACAAUCCUUAAUAAUUGUUUUUUUUUUUUUCUGCAUUCCCUUUCAUGCUCUUAAUAAUUAAAGAGCAUACUUUUCAAAUGUGGAGCCGCGGCUAAUGUCGCUAAUUUAAUUUGGGAUUAAAUUAGGGGACUAUUAUAUUGCAGUGUGCACUAAUUUUUAUGUUUAUCUAAACUCCUUAAAUUUAAGAUAUAUUAUGGCAUAAAUAAGAAUAUAACAAUAGCAAAAGAGUUAGAAAGUGUAGAGAAGAUCUUGCAGAAAUAUAAAUAAUAUUUAUUUUAAAAUAAUAUCAAUAUUUAAAAUAAUUUUUAUUAUUUUAUGAUCCAUUAGAUAUAUUUUAUUAUAUUAAAGUAAAUUUUAUAAUAAAUAAAAACAUACUAUUAAAAUGAAUAUAUAGAAAAUUUAGAGUAUUUUAAGUAUUAUAUAAAAUAAUUUUAAUAAAAUAUGUGAGAUAUUCAUAUUUUAUUAAUUUAAAAUACCAUUUAACCUAAAGAUUUAUUUAUGAUAAAUUAAUAAUUAUAUUUUUGAAAUUACUUCAAAUAUUAAAAAAAUUAAUAUUACUAAUCUAUUAGAUAGAUUAAAUUAUAUAUAUUAUUUUCUAUUUAUUAAAAAAUUUCAAAUUAUUUUUAAUUACUAUUCAAAAAAUAUGAUGAUAAAAAAAUCUUAACAUCUUUAUUAAAAAAUUAAAAACUUACAUGAUCAAUUCUCUAAAUAUUUAGGGUAUAUGUGAACCACGGUGGACAGAGGUCAUUACUAAAAUUUCUCUUCCACAGGCAAUUACAGCAGCUCCAGUUUAUCAAACUCAACCAAUUUUCUUUCUUAACAAAAUUCCAAAGAUGUGUAGCUUUUUUCAGAUCACAUGCGAUGGUGCUUUUUUCAAUCGUUGCUUGGAUUGCUUUCUUGGAAAAGCAGCAUACAUACGUAACCUCCAAGAUAAUCUUGAUGCCUUGGACACUGAACUGGGAAGACUAAUCGCAGCAAAGAACGAUGUGAUGAUUAGGGUUGUCAAUGCUGAACGGCAAUAAAUGAGAAGGCUGGACGGAGUGCAAGUGUGGGUUUCGAGUGUGGAUGCUGUUAAAACUGGAGCCGAUGAACUUAUCACAGACGGCUCUGAAGAAAUUGGCAAAUUAUGUGUUGGAGGCUACUGUUCCAAGAACUGCAGGUCAAGCUACAAAUUCGGAAAACAAGUGGCUAGAAAGCUACGAGAUGUGGAGACUUUAAUCGCCGAAGGAGUUUUUGAGGCGGUGGCUACUGAGGUGGUGCCUGAGAGAGCUCCAGAGCCUGUAGCAGAUGAAAGACCUACCGAGCGAAAAGUAGUAGGCUUGCAAUCACAACUUGAACAAGUCUGGACGUGUCUUGUGGAAGAAUCAGCGGGAAUCAUUGGCCUAUACGGUAUGGGCGGUGUUGGUAAAACCACACUAUUGACCCAUAUCAACAAUAAAUUUCUCGAGAGUCCAACCAACUUUGAUUGUGUGAUUUGGGUAGUAGUUUCAAAAGACCUGCGACUUGAAAAACUUCAAGAAGAUAUUGGGAAAAAGAUAGGUUUGGUUGGUGAUUCAUGGAAGAGUAGAAGUGCAGAGGAGAAAGCUCUCGACAUCUUCCGGAGUCUAAGAGGGAAGAGAAUUGUAUUGUUGUUAGAUGAUAUAUGGGAGCGGGUUGAUUUAACAAAAGUGGGCGUUCCACUUCCUGGACCACAAAAUACUACCUCAAAAGUCGUAUUCACAACNNNNNNNNNNNNNNNNNNNNNNNNNNNNNNNNNNNNNNNNNNNNNNNNNNNNNNNNNNNNNNNNNNNNNNNNNNNNNNNNNNNNNNNNNNNNNNNNNNNNNNNNNNNNNNNNNNNNNNNNNNNNNNNNNNNNNNNNNNNNNNNNNNNNNNNNNNNNNNNNNNNNNNNNNNNNNNNNNNNNNNNNNNNNNNNNNNNNNNNNNNNNNNNNNNNNNNNNNNNNNNNNNNNNNNNNNNNNNNNNNNNNNNNNNNNNNNNNNNNNNNNNNNNNNNNNNNNNNNNNNNNNNNNNNNNNNNNNNNNNNNNNNNNNNNNNNNNNNNNNNNNNNNNNNNNNNNNNNNNNNNNNNNNNNNNNNNNNNNNNNNNNNNNNNNNNNNNNNNNNNNNNNNNNNNNNNNNNNNNNNNNNNNNNNNNNNNNNNNNNNNNNNNNNNNNNNNNNNNNNNNNNNNNNNNNNNNNNNNNNNNNNCAGGAAGUCCUAGUGCGUGCUAUCAGAAAAGAUGCUGGGAACUGUUUCGCGAAAAUGUUGGGGAAGAAACUCUUGAGAGUGAUCAUGAGAUCGUUGAGCUAGCCCAAACUGUGGCCAAAGAGUGUGGUGGUUUGCCACUCGCACUUAUUACUAUUGGUCGAGCUAUGGCCUACAGAAAGAAAGCGGAGCAGUGGAGACGUGCAAUUGAAGAGUUAAGAAGAUCAGCUUCAGAGUUUGCAGGUUUGGGAAAAGAGGUGUAUCCUCUUUUAAAGUUUAGCUAUGAUAGUUUGCAGAAUGAUACAAUUAGAUCUUGUUUCUUGUAUUGUUGUUUAUAUUCUGAAGAUUAUGGCAUUCUUAAAUGGGACUUGAUUGAUUGUUGGAUUGGUGAGGGAUUUUUGGGGGAAUCUGACAGGUUUGGUGCAGAAAACCAAGGAUAUGACAUUUUGGACACUCUUGUUCGUGCAUGUUUAUUAGAAGAGGUGGAAGAAGAUGAAGUAAAAAUGCAUGACGUUAUUCGUGAUAUGGCUAUAUGGAUAACCAGUGAAAUUGAGAAGGAGAAGAGAAACUUUUUGGUUUGUGCAGGUGCUGGAUUAGAAGAGGCACCGGAUGUUAAAGAAUGGGAAAAUGUGAGAAGAUUGUCAUUGAUGCAAAACCAAAUUGAAACUCUGUUUGGGGUUCCCACAUGCCCUCAUCUCAUCACUUUAUUUAUUGACUUUAAUAGGGAGUUGAAGACUAUCGCGGAUGGCUUCUUCCGAUGUGUGCCUUCUCUCAAAGUUUUGAAGAUGUCAAACUGUGGAAAGCCUUAGAAAGGUUUGGAAUUACCUUUGGGGAUGUCAAAGUUGGGUUCACUACAACUUCUUGAUAUUUCACACACCUGCAUACAAGAAUUACCACAAGAAUUAAAGUUGUUGGUAAAUCUGAAAUGUUUGAAUUUGAGGCGGACAAUUUGGUUAAAUAAAAUUUCAUGGCAACUAAUAUCAAAAUUUUCAAGGUUACGUGUGUUGAGAAUGUUCGCUACUGGCUGGUUCAGUUUUCAUGAAGCACCAGAAGACAGCGUUUUAUUUGGUGGGGGUGAAGUUUUGAUACAGGAAUUGCUCGGUUUGAAAUAUUUAGAGGUAUUGGAGUUGACCUUGGGAAGUUAUCAUGCUCUCCAAAUUCUUUUGAGCUCAAAUAAGUUAAAAAGUUGUAUUCGAUCUCUUUUCCUACAGUUGUUCAGAGAUACAACGUCGAUUAUUGAUGCUACGGCUUUCGCAGAUCUAAACCACCUCAAUCAAUUAUGUAUUAGUAACGGUUCUGAGUUGGAAGAAUUGAAGAUUGAUUAUACGGAGAUAGUACGAAAAAGGCGGGAACCUUUUGUUUUCCGCAGCCUUCAACGUGUUACCAUAGAGGAGUGCCAUAAAUUGAAAGAUUUGACAUUCCUCGUUUUUGCUCCAAACCUCAAGUCUCUUUCGCUAUACGAUUGCGGUGCUAUGGAAGAAAUAAUCAGCGUCGGAAAAUUUGCUGAGACUCCUGAGAUGAUGGGACAUAUAAGCCCUUUUGAAAAUCUCCAAAUGCUUUAUUUAAUGGCAUUGCCGGAGUUGAAGAGCGUCUACUGGAAGCCAUUGCCUUUCACUCAUCUGAAAGAAAUGGAGGUACUUGGGUGUGAUCAGCUUAAAAAGCUUCCACUCGAUUCCAACAGUGCAAAAGAGCGUAAAUUUGUAAUUCUUGGAGACACACAGUGGUGGAACCGUCUUCAAUGGGAGGAUGAAGCCACUCAAAUUGCUUUUCGUUCCUAUUUCCAAACCUGAUUCCUGAGCGGUGGUCGCAAAAUUUGAUUUCUGGUGAGUGCGUUUGUCUUUUAAAAGAAGAAUUUAAAAGAAAUUUAUUCUUGUCGUUUUCUUCUCUGUUUUUAUUUCAGUUUGUUUCUCUCUCUCUCUUUUUGUCUUCUGCAAAUCACAAUUAAAUGUUGAAUUAAUGGAAUUAAUGCUUCAUAAAUUUGCCGGCACUGCCAGUACUUUUUUUUUUUUUUAAUACGAAUUGAUGCUUUAUUUAUUUCUUCUUAGCGAUUUAAUUUCCUGUCAAAAGACGAGCGAGAAGAACAUAUGACUUAAACCAAUUGAUACUUUAUUUAUGUGCAUUGUAUGUAAUAAAAUUUUCUCUGUUUUUUUCAAAUUGAGGCUUUAUUUAUAUUUUCUUCGUGAAGAGUGAUUUAAUUUCCUGCCAAAAGACAAACGAGAAGAACAUUAGAGUCAAACUAAUGCUCACAUAAAUUUCCCGUAAGAAUAUAUAUAUAAUUAGACUGGAAUGCACACCUCUAGAUUGAACAGAAUUAAAGCUGAGAAAAUAUUGAGUAUAGUAGCCCUCUUUACAGAAAAUGACGCGAAAGUUAAUUUAGAAAGAUAUAUUCUUGAUUAAUCCAUUUUCUGAAGUUUUUUAUUUUGUAUGGUCAAUUAUACCUUCAUACUAAAAAAAAAAAAAAAAAAGAGAAAAUAUGUAAUCCAUGAAUGGUUAAUUUUGUUUGUUUGUUUUUUUUUCUUAAAUAUCAUUCUUUUUCGGCCACCCAAGGACAUUUUCACAAAUACCUUUUGUGUGCAGAAGUCUUCCAAACCAUCAAUGGAAAAAUAAAAAAUAAAAAAAACACGGUCCAGUAUACCUCAAAAUAUCAUUGAUGACUUUUCUGGUCUAAUGCUAUGUAAAUAGUAUGUUAAGUAAAACAUAAUCAGUUCAGUACCUCACAAAUAAUUCGCAAUAUCUACAAAAUACUAUAAUGGCUACAAAACAAAUCCUGCUUGCAAAUUGUCAAGGAUACCUAUCCGUUCGCUUGACAAGUCAUUUGAAUAAAUAUUGUUCACAUUCCUUACUCUGUCAAUUAUCCAAAGCACCAUCAACUUUAGUUUGAAUAGUAUACAUGCCAUCACCGUUACCAAGAAUCAAGCAUGGAAGGGUCAUUCUAUAGAGUGCAGAACAUGACUCUAUGCGGUAGUCAAUUUGACACACGACGAACACCAUAUGCUGCAUAACAUACAAAUUAAUUUCCCAUAUGUGAUGCAAUUUUCUCCUCAACAUAUGCGCAAUUCUUUCCAUUCCGGCAUUUACACUCAAAUUUUCCUUCCUUUCUCUUUGUGGUUGAAUCUUACACCACAACUCAUGUGAUGCAAUCUCCUCUCGCUGCCUAAAUUGCACUCUCAGCAAAGCAGCAUAUGUAAGCAAGCUUGAAGAUAAUCUUGCUGCUCUGCAGAAGAACGGCAAAAGUUAAUCGAAGCAAGGAAUGAUGUAUCAGAAAAUAUUUGGUGGAGAAUUCAGCACAAACAUAUUUCGGAUGAUCAGAAUCAAUAAAACCUGGUGGUUGUGCCAUAUAAACAUCUUUGGAAAGCUGACCUUGAAGAAAGGCGUUAUUGAUAUCCAAUUGAUGAAGAGGCCAGCCAUGACUAACAUCAAUACUAAGAACAAGCCGUACUGUGGUGGACUUAACAACUGGACUGAAAGUGUCAUAAUAGUCCACACCAGGCCAUUGAUUGAACCCUUUGGCAACAAGAUGAGCUUUAAACCUGUCAACAGAACCGUUGGAAUGUCUUUUAAUACAAAAAUCCAUUUGCAGCCAACAAUAUUGGAAGGGAUGGGAGGUGGAACAAGCUUCCAUGUCCCGUUACGAACAAGAGCAUCAUACUCUUCUGACAUAGCUGGACGCCAGUGAAGAUUUUUGAUAGCUUGCGUCACAGUUGUAGGUUCACAAUCAGAAGAAGGGCUAAAAUGAGCACGGAGGUUAAGUUUUUGUAACGGCUUGUGAAUCUUAUUUUUAGCUCGGGUAGUCAUAUCAUGAUGACUUGUGGGGCAAUGAUCUAGUGGAGUUUAGGAAGAUGAUUGAACAGGAAGUGAAGAAGUGCUUUGUGUAGAGGUAGAAGUAGGUUGGGAGGAUUGCUGCGGAGAUGUUACCGGUAGAGAAGAAGGAGCAGUACACGGUGGCAACUCCAGAGGGCCCACAAUAGAUGGAGUAGGUGCCGACAAUGGAGUACUAGGAAAUGAAACAGGAAGAAUUGGUGGAACACUUGCAUAAUUAGGAGUGGUAGAUGAGCUUGUAAUGAUUUGCAUGGAAAAACAAACUCUACAAAUUUAACGUGACGUGAAAUAAAAAUUUGAAAGGUGGAUGGGUCAAAACAUAAAUAAGCACUUUGAGAUAAAGGAAUAUCCUAGAAAAACACAAGGCUUAGAGGGUGGUUCGAGUUUAUGUGAUGAAACACAAACAUUCAAAAAAUUUUAAGUUUAUAUUAAUUAGGAGUGGUACCAAAAAUUAAUUAGCUAUGGGGUUGUUGGAUGUGUUUUGGAUAUUUACAGUUAAGUUUGAGUAUCUCAACUUAAAAUUUGUAGUUUUCACUUGAAAAAAUUCAGUUAAAUUUUGCAAUGCAGACUGAUUGAUUUAUCAGUUUAACGUGUGCCAGGAAUGAAGAACUGGAAUAUCACCGUCAAGCAAGCACCCUGUGGAGCAAUACCAAAGAAUGCACAAUCUGGCUUUGCUAGGUAACACUGGAGGCUUUUUGAAAAGUGCUUCACGCUCACUUGCACAGAUUGAGCAUCCCCUCUGGAUAUUGCCCUCUCUGAUCGAGUCUGAGCACUCAAAUUUUGGUCCUCAGAGGGAGCUACAGUUUUCUCUCCACUAACCAACAAUAUUCUAAACUCAGCACCUAGUGUGAUCAGAGUUGUUGAUAUUUGCAAAUGGAGAUCCCCAUAUUUGCAAAUGGAGACAUUUAACAAAUCACCAACAUGCUUCAUCCGGUCCACGAAAUUCUGCAACUGAUGCAAAUCUGGAACCUGAACCAGAGUCGGAGGUAUAUCUUGAGCCAUAUCUAAAGCAGUUUGAAGUUCAAGACCUUGAGCCCUUGACAAUGGUUUUGAAAUUGGAACAUCUUGGAUUACUGCAGACUUGUACCCCUUGGUUUCAAAGGUAAGGAAAGGCAUUGCUUGAGUACAAUUUGGAGGCAGCUUCUUCACCAAUUUUAUUUGGAGGCGAUUGGCAGCGGAUCCAGCUGCACCAAUUUCAGAGCAACUACUGACACUACUUCGAACAGCACACUGAAGAAGUGAUAUGUCUACGGCGAAGGCAAUGCAGUCCUCAUUUUGGCUUGAGACACAGUAAUCAUCGAAGAGAGUUUCCUUGUGAAACUGGGCAACACAUUGAAUCCCUUCGGCACUGAGAAGGUUGUGGAGGAAGUAAGCUUUCUCUCUAGUAAGGAAGAGGUGGCAUACAUUCCCCAUUUUGUCUAGGGCAGGUAGGAAUCUUUUUUCUAAGAGAUUUACUUCAUUCUCUGUGAGAAAUGCUUUGAACUUCAUCCCUCUGUCUCUAUCCUCACUUAUCAGUAAAAUAGUUGAAAGCGCUACAAGGAGAGAAAAGAAGAGUAUUAAGAUAUAUAUAUUAUAUAGACAAGAAAAACAUUAGAUGUCGAUCUUACAAGCUAAUACUUCAAACAAUAUCCUAGAAAGCUAAAAACUGCAAGAUGGCUUGAAAUUUGAAAAGAGCACGUGCUUUUCCUCCUUAACUUGAGAAAAUGUUUAAUAUAGUGCACCUUACAGAAGCAUUUAAGCAAUUAGAACUUUGCACAAAAACAUCAAGAAGACUAAACAAGUCAGAUGCAGUGUAUUUGUCCAAGCACAAAUUGCAUUUUGUCCUCAACUUUAAUAUUUAUUGAUGAGAAUCAAUACAGGUCCCUCAUUUGUUAUAGAAAGCUUUCUUGUAGUCUCACCAGUUAAUAUGGAUAUUAGAUAAGGAAACUUUAUUAGGUUGCGAGGGUAAAAAAGGAAAGAGAUAUCAUUAUUUUAUUAUCGAUAAUUAUUAAAUUUUUUUCCAAAAAAAAGAACAAGCAAGGAUAUUUUAUUGUCAAUUGCAACCUUUAAUUUUUUUAAAUGCUAUUAGAAACACAAGAUAACAAAAAUGUAGUGAGAUGGGAUCUCCUGCAUGCCACUCUGGUUUAGAACACAAAGAAUGUGUCUGCAUAAAUAUCCUCUGAAAUUGAACAACCCACAAACACAAAGCACCUCCAAGUCGGAGGCAUUGUACAAAACAUCAAAAGCCCUUGAAUCCUUCUCGUUGCCACCAACCUCGAAUUCUUCCUUCACUAUGUAUGUUAUAGGUCCAUCAGAACUAAUAUGUUUUGUGCUAUAGUAAGAGUACAUAGCCUCCACCUCCAUCUGAAACUUCCUUAACAUUUCAUUUGUGUACAGUUUUGAGAGUUGAAAUUCAUAGUAACAUCUUGGUUUCCGGAUACAACUUGAAUUUCUUGAAUCCAUAUCUGCCAAGGCUACCAGUUGAUAAUUCGCCUGCAGUGCUUGAUCAUACUUGUCUAAGAAUUCUUUCAAAGGAGUAUUCUUAUCAAGAUAUCCUUCAAAGUAUGAAGUAGAAACCUCAUUCUGCAGGAACGAAAACACUCCUGAUAAAAAAGCUUCCUUCAAAUAAAUAGGAGCCCACCUUUUAUGAUCUUCAUAUAAAGUUUGAAUCCAUCCGUGAUCCUUUAUUCCAUGACAUUGAAUCAUGUCUUCCCAAGCUGCUUCAAAUUUCUCAGGCCUGAGAGAGUGAUAAAUUGCUCUAUGUAAUGCAGCUUUAAUAGCUUCAUAUUCAAACAAUCCUUGGAGUUUCUCUGGAAUUUUUUUGCAUGAUGCAUGACAAUGAAAAGAAAUGAUAAGCUCUUGGGAAAACAUCACCAACAGCAAUUUGCAAGAUUCUACAUUGGUCAGUGAUGAUUGUUUGUGGAGAGCGCCCUAACAUACAUGUAAGCCACGCCGUAAACAACCAUGUAUAUGAUUCUAUGGUCUCACUGGCAAGUAAACCACAACCCAACAACACUGAUUGUCCAUGAUGAUUCACCCCAAUGAAUGAAACCAGUGGUACAUCAUAUCUUUCAGUCAGGCACGUAGUAUCAAUUAAGACCACAUCACCAAAGUACCUAUAUGCAACUCUUGACCUGGUAUCAGUCCAGAAUAGGUUUUUCAAGCAUCCCUUUUCAUUUAGAUCCACUACAUUAAAAAAGUUUGGAUCUGUCAACUGCAAAUGACAAAAGAAACUCUGGACAGCUUGUGCAUCUCCUGGUUUAAGCUUCAAUUGAUUUGAGCUAUUAACAUUAUUUCCAAAUACUCCAUUAACAUCUACCAUUUCCCUUGGUAUCAAUGAUAAGAGUUCGAAACAGUUUAAUUUUUUGAACUUCUUCAGCACUAUCUAAAUGCAAUGUUCUUUUGGUUCCAAUACCUAUGUGCUUAUGUGACUUGUAAAACUUUCCGCUUCUUGGGCUUAACAAGUGGUUAUGCUCAAGCUCGACUUCAAUGAUUCUCCACCUUUUGGUUUCCAUCAACCUAAACUUUAUCAUUGCUGGACAGCCAGUUCUUGUUUCUGGUCUUGGGCGGUUUGCCUCGCUUUUCUUCUUGAAGCCUGCACUACUACAGCUCAGCUUUCCUCUAUACUUUUCUCUACUCUUUCGGUACCAUGGAUUGCUAACUCUAACACCAAAACCCUGUUCCUUGGCAUAGCAAUUGUAAAAGUAAUAUACAUCAUCAUACAUCUCAAACUCCAUUCCAACAGUAGGAGGCAAGGGAUUUUGGAUUAUCCCAGUUUGUCCAACAUAUUCAGUCAUCGCACAAUCUCCUACAACCUCAAAAUCAUCAGUGUCAUCAUCACCUACUGGUUCGGUGUUGAGAGAAACUUCAUCCAUCUACAAUGGAUGUUCAAUGAAGUGAGCUUUAAGGAGAAAAAGCAAAAUCUGUUCAAGGAAUGAUAAUAUAAUCAUACAGUUACUUUCACAAAGCUUCAUAUUUCAUCACUGCUUUACCAACAUGCAACUGCCAGAGAACAAACAGACAUGUCAUAGACGCUUGAAUUAAGUAUUGGUACAAAUGAGCACACAUCAUGUGGGACAAAAUUUCAGUCACUAAACCCAAUACCACUUUUUACAUCAUACCAAGGAACAGAUUAAACCCGACACCUUCUUUUAAACCAUACCAAGGAACAGAUUAAAUCAUCAAUGAAAAAUUAAUCACAUAAUAACUUAACCAGACAAAUGAAGAGCCUGAAACAGCACAAAACUUGAAUCUGAUUAUGAUAAUUGUUGAGUCCUUGUAUCUACAGCUUUCCUUCAAUGAUAAGACAAUGAACAUAAACGAGACACAAAAAAAUUAUUUUAAACUGACAGCCCAUGAUAUAAAUCAAACAAAAUCAACUCCUUUUUUUACACAUUACAUCUCAUAUUCAUUUACAUUGAAACACAAAAAGGAAGCAGGAGUGGGAAAAAAACAACAGCAGAGGAACUUAUUUCCAUAAGGUUUACGAAAUAAGGAAUCUAUUAAAACCCAAAACUUGAGGUCACCACUAAGAAUUUGGUUCUCAUUAUUUUUUUCUUCAUUUUUCACCAAUUGAUGAACUUAAAAUACAAUCAUAAAUGAUAAAACCCCAUCUCCAUCUUUUUGAACUAGAGCUAAAGCAAAGCAUUUUAAGAUGUUUCAUCAUUUUUUUUUUUAAAAAAAACUCAAUAGUACAAUGUUUUUCAAUGCUAAAUGCACAAUUCAAUCUUCUCCUAAUUUACUCUAAUAAUCUCUUAAUUAAGGAAGAUUAAGCUUCAGUUGUAAGCUAAAACAAAUUUCUUAAAUCAAGCCCCAAUGCUUUAUGCUAUUCAACAAGGGCUCAUAAAUGAUAAAACUACUUCUAUAAAGAUACCCAUUUUCUAAAUUAAUUUCACAAACUGAAAUCAAACUCCUGAAACGUAACGAGCAUUAAUAUAAUCAAGCCCGAACAAGAAUUGAAAAAUGAUACAUAAACUCGUUUACACAUUUCGACAGACACUUUGCAAUCAAUGAGCAAAAAAUUAAUGGAGAAGAUAAAAUUCAAACGAAACAUGCCUUACAUUGAUAAAUUAGAAGGGCAAAAGAAAUUUUAGUACGAUAUGCGAUCAGGGUCUUGCCACGGUGAUGUUAUUUGUGAAGUUCGAGCGACUCAGCAGCCUUCGAGGUUGAAAAUUUGAUUGACCAAAAGCUUCCCGUUCGUUGAUUCUCUAAUAGUAGAAACGAGACUGGCAGUAUACACAAGAAGUUCGCCGAUUUUAAAUUCCGUUGUUUGAGAUGGAAAAUUUUUUGAAAAAAUUAAUGUGUUCGAUGAAAAUCAAAAUCUCAAAAACCUCUUGUUUUUCAUUUUUUUGGAAAAAACCAUUGAGAUCCUUACUAUUUUUUCUUAUAUCAUCUUCCUUAAUAAUUUGCAAAGUCUAUCGCAUAGCACCCAUGUAUGAUGUAUGCUGCGUUGUAAUUUACAAAAUUGCACAUGAAUAAAUCCAGCUAAAAUUUGUUAAAAGAAAAUAAUAAUAACAUGUUAAAACUUUAAAAUUUGAUUAUUCGAAGAAAUUUUAAUUUAGUUAAGUAGGUGACAUGAUAAUAAAUAGAUACGUAUAAUGUCCGAGAUUUUUUAUAAGAUUAAUAAAUAUGAUAAAUUUGGAUUAGUUCAAUUUUGACAUAAUUCAUAAUAAACACAGCUUGCUAAUCUAAAUUGCCACCGUUACUCAUCAUCAGGUACCUGUUUGAAAAAUAAUUACAAACAAUUUUAUUUGUGUUGUUUCUCUAAAAGUUUGAGACACAAAUGUUAUUUCAAAUUGAUAAAAGUACGAAAAUUCCCCCUUGCUCUUCAACUAAAAAUGAAACAUGCAAAUAUACACACUAAUUUAGAUGUGUGAAUAACAAAUAUGGAACGACACAUGCAAAGUCAUCUGUAUAAUUGAAACGCCAUGCACUAGUAGUAGGUAAGAGAAACCAAGGUUGAAGUUGCUCCAAUGGUUACUGUUAAUUUAUUUUUAUUUAUGAUUUUUUUUGUAAAAUGUAAGAAAUAUGUAGAAAUGUUGCCAGCAAUGAUUUUGGAACUUUGCAUAAAAUUUUUAUCAUUAUUGUUUUUGGUAUUAAGAAAUCCGAGGCGGUGAUUAGACGUAUGUUGCAACAAUUAAGAAAUUUCUUAUUGGAGAUAAUUUGGUAGGUUUGCAGCAAUUAGAGAAUAAUUUUCCUGCCAGUUAAUCAAUCAAUAAUAAAUUUCAAAUUGCAGAAAAUAAAAUAAUACAGCCUCACUUAGAAUCAUCUUUUCUAUCUCUUUCAAUUGUGGCAAUCAUUUGCAACAAAUAAAUCAAUUUGAUGCACAUCAUUUCCCCAAUUCAAAGUUCAAGUCACUGCUCAAUUACAGAGUAGUUAGUGGACAUGCAUGCAUGUUUAAUUAAGUACUGCAUUGUAGUAUCGAAAAUCAUAACAUCUCACCAAUAUCAGAUUAUUAACCAUGGAAAUCAUAUCACAAUAUCAUAUAGAAUUCACAAAUCUGAAAAUCAUCACCAAACAAGUACCCAGAGAAAUAAUCUCGUCAUAUCCAGACCUCAACGGACGGGCAAUGACGUACUAUUUGGGUAACGUCACACCCUGGAGCUACACGGAUAAAUAGGAAAAUACCAUCUCAUAUCUCAUCAUAUUUGUGCAUGCAUAAUCUAGUCCCCAAGGGACAAAAGCGCCCAAGCACACGGCCCAAAGCCUCUAUGUGUACUCAGACGGGCCCCAAAGGCCUGUAUCUCAUAUGUAUCAUAUGUAUCAUUUGUAUCUCAAUAUCUGUUUGUAUCUCAUUUCCGUAUAUCUAUAAUCAUCAUACCGCAUGCAUAUGCCCCCAAAAGACAAAAGCGCCCAAACACAUGGCCCAAAGCCUUUAUAUGUGUUUAGACGGGUCCCAAAAGCCUCUUAUCUCAUCUUAUCUGUAUCACUGUAUCUGGAGAGAAGGGUACUGUCUAAUGAUUUAAAAAACAAUCAUUAUACUCAUAUUUACAUACCUCUUAAUCAUAUUUGAAAUCAUAUCACAUUUGAAUCCACUUUUCUAAUCUUUAAAAUAUUAUCAUGCUUUAUUCAAAGUCGAUACGCAAAAUCAAUAACCAAACAUUUUAAAUCAAAUUAUUAACCAUGGAAAUCAUAUCACAAUAUCAUAUAGAAUUCACAAAUCUGAAAAUCAUCACCAAAUAAGUACCCAAAGAAAUAAUCUCGUCAUAUCCGGACCUCAACGGACGGGCAAUGACGUACUAUCUGGGUAACGUCACACCUUGGAGCUACACGGAUAAAUAGAGAAAUACCAUCUCAUAUCUCAUCAUAUCUGUGCAUGCAUAAUCUAGUCCCCAAGGGACAAAAGCGCCCAAGCACACAGCCCAAAGCCUCUAUGUGUACUCAGACGGGCUCCAAAGGCCUGUAUCUCAUAUGUAUCAUAUGUAUCAUUUGUAUCUCAAUAUCUGUCUGUAUCUCAUAUCCGUAUAUCUAUAAUCAUCAUACCGCAUGCAUAUGCCCCCAAAAGACAAAAGCGCCCAAACACAUGGCCCAAAGCCUUUAUAUGUGUUCAGACGGACCCCAAAAGCCUCUCAUCUCAUCUUAUCUGUAUCACUGUAUCUGGAGGGAAGGGUACUGUCUAAUGAUUUAAAAAAUAAUCAUUAUACUCAUAUUUACAUACCUCUUAUCAUAUUUGAAAUCAUAUCACAUUUGAAUCCACUUUUCUAAUCUUUAAAAUAUUAUCAUGCUUUAUUCAAAGUCGAUACGCAAAAUCAAUAACCAAACAUUUUAAUAAAAUACCAAUGCAUAAAUAAAAUUCAUUUCGAGAAAUCAUUAAAUCAGAACAUUUAAAAUACUUAUUUCGCAAACAUGCUUUACUAUCAUCGCUAACUAUGAAAAUAAGUUUUGUAUAUUCCACUUUCAGUGAUGGUGUUCACGGUCGGUUAUCGUCCAUAUCUGCAGACCGAUUCUCGCUCGCGAAUCCUCCUAAAUCAAGGAAACGACAUAAUUAUUUUUUGUAAAUCGGAAUUAUGACUAAAUUUUAUGCAAUAAACUCAAAACGAACAUCUAUUCAUAAUUGACAACUCCUAUAUCCAUAAAAUUACUAAAAUAUCCUUGAGUCCGUAGAUCAUUAACAUGCUCCGAAAUCGUAAAUCACUGAAUUACCCUCGGAAUCGUAAUUACACCCGAUCCUCAAUUAUAGGAAUUACUAACAGAUCCACAGGCUUAGAAAUUACAAAAUUGCCCUCGUAGUGUGAAAUUACCAAAAGCCGGAAGUUGGUCAACAAUGGCUAGGAAGCUCAAAUCGUAAAGUUCCAAUCACGCUGAGUUCAAUGGUACCGGCGGUGAGCUCCAACGCGCGACAACGAUGCCAGAAUCUAGCUCGGCAGCCGUGAAUUCCACCAAUCGACCGGCGGCACAACAGUGACUCUCGGUGCCUAUGGAUGGUCGAAAAUGGAAGAGGGAGCCGUGGGGAACAAAAUCCAACCGGUGGUGUCACCAAAACCGGUGAAAAUCCCGGCGGAGCAAAGUGAAACAGUCGCGGGUUUCAUGCUUCGAUCGCCGGUGUUCCGAUUGGUUUUUGGCGAGGAGGAUGGCAAGGGAACGACAGCCGGCUUCUAAGCUUCAGAUUGGUACCAAGCUCGGCCGAAACGAUGGCCGGAAAUGGGAGAUAUGACCGGGUCAAGGUCGCGGGUUCCGGGUCGGGUUUUUUGGUCUGUAGUUGGGUCGGUUUGGUAGCUUCUCUCUCACUCUCUGUUACACGUGCAUAUGUUUCCUCUGUUUCCAGCUUAUUCUUUUGCUUUUACUAACUUCUUAACCGCCUCAUACUUAUUCAUUUUUAAUUCACAUAUGUUACAAUAAUUCCCGAGUAUUAAAUAACCAGUGGUCAUAAUUUUUGUACAAGAUUCUUUUUUUUUUUUGGAGAUCGUUAAAAGUGGUUGACGAUCCAUUUCGUAAUAUCAUAGAGGGAUCAUCAAUUCCUUUUCUUUUCUGUGGCUAGGCAACACUUUUUGGCCAAAGUAAGGAAAUCUAUUUUAGGUAAUGUAAAAACCAGUUGUAGGAUGUAAUAGUUUAUUAUGCACUGACAAUAACUUUUUGUAUAAUUGUCAGUUUAAUGAAUGCAAGAGGAACUCUGUUGGCAAAUUCAUCCAAGAUAGAUGCUAAAAUUAUUUAUGCAUGCCAGUUGCCUUAACUAAGUUUUCUCAGCACUGGUUUUGAACAGGAAAAUGAAUAUGCAAUUUGUAUAUUGUGCCAUAGUGGAGAAUUUGGAUAUUCUUAUUUAAGUAACAAGGAGAUUAUUUGCCUCAUCUUUAAACAAUGAAUCUUUGAGAGAUGAGGAGUGGGUGAUUGGAUGUGUCUUCAUGUAAUUGUUCAUUUAUUUGUAUUUUGAACUGUUAUGAAAAUCUUUAUAUGCCAAAUUAGUAAUACAAGUAUUCAGAUGAUUUUUCCUAUUGAUCAUGCAUUUGUAUCUGCCCACAACCAUUGUAUAUCACUUUAUUCUGAUGCGCAAGCAUCUGUAAUUUAGAAGAAAAGAAAUAAUAAUCAUAUUUUAUUGCUUGGUUCAUGAUUAUUAACGAUUAUGGCUUUAAAAAUCUACAAAUUUCUUGUGUUCAUGUAUGAAUGUGCCAAGUUUGCUGUAUCUUAGAUUACCUUCUUCCAAGGUAACAAGUUCAUAUAUAUAUAUUUUUUAAAUCAUUUUCCAUUACAGUUGAAUUUCAAGUGUUAGUUUUGUUAUUAGUACCUGGUUUCCUGUUAUAAGGAUCUAAUAAACAGUGUACGGAUAUGUGCUCUACUUUUGGAGGGCUUCCACGUGAAAGAAAAUUACAACAAUUGAAUUCUUCCGGAGGAUAUGGUAAUUAAUUUAUUUUCUCAACUUCUUGUAAGACUAAUAUAUUUCCUUCAGUAGGCACAGCAUGGUGGGAAGGGUUUUUAUUGAAAGAAUUCUGAUAUUUCUUAGACUUUGUUUUGGAAGGGGGUGGAGGAAUUUCUCAUCCAUAUAUGGUUACUUGAUUAGCUUUUGACUGUAUUGUCUCUGUCGUGCAAAGGAAAAUCUAAAUACUAACGAUGGGGAAUUGCUUAGGCACCCAAAAGGCAGAAAUGAAUUACAGAAGGAAGUUUUUGCUGCUUUAUUUAGUGCUGCUGAGAAAUCUGAUGAAUUUCCUGAAAUUACGGUGAAGACCGAGUGGAGGUCCAAAGCAUUAGGAAAGGUGGUGAGUGAACUGCCGGAGGAAUUUGUACCAAAAUACAAGGCUAAUGUGGUGCACUUGCAGCAAGAUAACCAGACCGGUAUGUGCUCUUAUAUUAACUAUAUUGACUGGAUUUGUGAGUGUGUGCAUUUUUUUGUGUAUACUCACUUUUGUAUUUAUGCAUAUUAACAUGUGUAGGAUUCUUGAUUUCUGCCACUUACUGGAGAACUAGUGGAAAGCUUUAUAUUGAUAUAUCUGCAAUAACUAAUGGAAACUAUGAUAUGAAUAUUUUCUCUCACCUGGGGAGCUGUGUAACAGAUAUACUUUGUGGCUCUGGAAUGCUGAAGAUUCUGCAAUAACUAAUGGAAAAUAUGAUAUGAAUAUUUUGUCUCACCUGGAGAACUUUGUUACAGAUACCCUUUGUGGCUCUGGAAUGUCUAAAGAAUGCUUUAGUUAGAUCAAAUAUCUUUUAGUUAGAAAAGAUAAAAUUCUCUGAGUCUGAAAGACUGAAACAUUUUGCAUAUUUUGUGAAAGGGAAAUAUCUGUUGAUACUAGCUCAUGCAUUGAGGUAAUAUCGAUGUUAAAGAAAAACAGCAAUGAUUUAUGAUAUAGAAUUGGGUUCACUUGCUUCAAAUGCUGGUCUGAUCAACCAUAUCAACCUGUAAUGAUUCUGCAGAAAUAUAUAUACAUGGAGAAAGUAGCUAAAUUUUUCUUUCAUUUAUGGGUUCGGUCUUUUUUCCCCUUAUUUUUCAGCUUUCCUUCUCCUGAAGUAUGUUAACAAUUGCAGAUAAUGAUGAAGACGACAGCUUCCGGGCUCUCCUUAGAGCCGUGAUGGAAUAUAGGGGCACAAUGAAGGAAUAUUGUAAAGCUGUAGGUACUUUUUCUCCUUUCAUUUAUGUUUUCUCACACAUUUUGUAUAUGCCCUGAACAUGCACCUUUGUAUGUAUCAAUUGACUUUUAAAUUUUAAAAGCCAUAAAGUAAGAAUACGGUUCCUUGUCAGGCUACUGAUGACAUUCGCUCAGGGGGAUCAUGUUCGAGCAGGAAAAUUUCUAGAACAGGUAAGGUUUCCAUCUACAGCCAUCCAUUGACAGCAGAUACAUUUUCAUUCAGCAGACUCUGUUAGCAUUCAAGAUGCUGGCAGAUUCACUUGAUUCUUAUUAGCUUGUUUAGUGGCAAAGCCUAUAACCUGUAUUUCAAAGCCAAGUUGUGCUAUUGAUUAUGUUAACUUUUUUGUUAACAUAAAAUGAUAUGGAGGAAAUAAUCAGUGUUGGAAAAUUAGGUGAAAAGAUGAUGUCAAAUCUUGAACCUCUUACGAAACUCUAAGUUCUUUACUUGAAGAGGCUACGAAAUUUGAACAGCGUCUACUCGAAGGCCUUGCCAUUCCCUGAUGCAUGCAGAAUUUUUGUAUUUAAAUGCCCAGAGCUUAAGAAGCUGCCACUGGAUCUUGAAGGGGCAGACCAAGGUAAAAAUCUUAUCAAGGGAAAGGAAGAUUGGUGGAAACAACUUAAUGGGAGGAUCAAGUAACUCAGAAUGCAUUGCUUCCAUUUUUUAAAUUGACUGACAAGUGAUUGAACGGGGCAUCAUCAACAUCAUCAACAGGGAUGGAGAGAUACCGGAGCAGAUCAGCAGGGUUUGAAUAUGACCUUUGGCGGUUGCUUUUUUUUUGUGAUUUUUUUUUCAUUUUUUCCUUCCUGUCAUUUUAUCAUUUCUUUCUCUGUUUCUAUUGCGGGUGUUACUGCAUGCUUACUGUUGCUUGACAAAGUUUGCUAGCUUUUUGUUUGCAGUGUUGCUAUACACUCCGAGUCAAGCCUCGAAAAUUUAUUAAACGAAGCCGUUUCGACAGUAACAAUUCUUUUCUUUUCCCUUUGCAUGUCUCUUUCAUCUGCUGUUUCUCUAUCACUUUUCAUUUUUGAUUUCCUUGCUUCUCAGCUGCCCCUAAAUUGUUAUUCUAGCAAUAUACUUUCUCAUCUUUGAAUUUUCAUCCUUGAGUACUCCCACAGCCGUAAUUUCAUCAUCAUAGACUUCACUUGGAAUGCUGUAUUUUUUCGAUUCUUGAGCUACUUCAAUUACAUCUUAGUAUAGGAUCCUCAUCUUCCUUUAUUUCUUCAUCUUAUGAGGUAAUAAAUGGAUUUCACAACUCAUCUACUUUUAAGCAAUUACAUAUUAUACCUUGAAUGAUUCAACUGUUCUGACAGUUAAAGAUUUUAUGCUCAACCUGCAGUGCUACGAACAUUGUCCAUGAAAGAUGAGUUUCAGCAUAUAAAAUGAAAUAUAGAUGUUUAAUCUAAAAUAACCCUUCACUGCCAGAAACCUAGGUCACAAAAUUCACAGAUAAUGAUAAAGAGCUAAAAAAUUUGAAAAACUCUACAGAUCACACAUCAAGCAAGAUAUCAUGUUUUUUUCCCUCAUUCAGUGGUGAUUGAUUCGCUUUUUGAUGAUGGAUAUGGUAUAAAAGUGUUGACCCAAUUUCAAGCAAACACAAAUAGAAACACAAACACAAUCGGGACUAGAGUUGUGGGCGAUUAUCUUAGGUGUACAAGUGAAACGGUGGUGGCUGUCGAUGGUGGUAGUGGGGUGGUUGGGUAUGCGUGAUGGCUAGAUUUUAGGACAAUAAUGAUUGGAGUUGACCUCAAUCAACGAAGGAAAGUGACAACAAUUUUGACAUCAAACGGUGCAUUUUUUAGCUUAGUAAAAUGGAGCCGUUUCGAUUUUGGGGUUUAAUCCGGGGUUUGACUCGGUGCAAGUAUCAUUUUCCUUUUGUUUAUUAAAUUUUUUUAUGGUCACAAAGUAUCACUCGUUCUAUUUGAGAGUCAUGUGAAUCAAUUUUUCAAAUUUUCAAUUUUAAAUUUUGUGGUCAAUGUGAAUUCAAUUUCAUUUGUCUCCUGCAAUUAUGAAAAAAUUAAAUAGUCAUAAUAUGGAAAAAUACACCGGUAAAAACUUUGUAAAAGCUUCGGAGUGAUACGGGGAAUUCACUUACUACUAAGGACAAUUGGUGGCAAGCUAUUCCAUUCAUUUUAUGUCCAUCCAUCUAUUUAGUUAUUGAAGAUAAGUGGUCCAUUUGUAAAUUUCAGAUUGUCUCUCUCUCCCUCUUGAAAUAACAAUAUUUAAUAUAUCUCAUAAAUUAUUAUAAAUUUUAAUUUACUCUCGAUUUAAAAUGGAGCAUGUCGAUAAAUUUUUUUUCUUCUUAAUAAAAUUGACGUAAGUUGUGUUUACAGUAGUUUGAAGUUUGAAAUAUUUUAAAGAUUAUUAUUCUAUAAGGGAGUAAUAUGAAAUGAUAUUUACUUUUCAUGUGUGAAAUGAAAAAGGACGAAGCAAGUGUCCCUGCUUUUAUUUUAUUUCAAGGAGGAGUCAUCUCACAUACUUUAGCUCUUAACAUUACAUUUUUUCUGGUUACAUUUUUUAUUUAUUUAUUUUUUUUUUUUUACACAUGCGUGUGGGUUGCUUUUCUGUAAGCUCCUUAAUAUAUAUUUAAGACAAAUCAUGGAAGAGAUGGGAUUAUAUCAAGAUGAUCAAAGAAUGUUAAAAAAGAAAAAAGAAAAAAAAAAGAAGUAAGACACUGAAAAUGGAGAAGAGAUGGAAGCAAAAGAUAUUCCAAAACAAAGCAAUCUAUCCCCUUUCGAGGGCAGACUUAUCAGGUUUAAAAAAGUACACGCUUUGGAUUGGUAGUUGCAAUCAAGGGAAAAUAAAUAGGAUCCAAUGAAAUUUAAAUCUCGGAGAAAAUAAAUAAUCAUGCAGAUUUUCAAGAUUUUAAUAAGGGAUACUAAUAUCUUAUUUUGAUUAAUAAUAUCCUUUCAUUGUGUUAACUCAAAAAAUAUAUAUUUUAAUGUUUUGCAAUAAACAGAAACGUACUAUUAAAAUGAAUAUAUAAAGAAUUUAGAAAAUUUUGAAUGUUAUAUAAAAUAAUUUUAAGAUAAUGCGUGAGAUAUAUUUUAUUAAUUUAAAAUGUUAUUUUACCUAAAAAAUAUGAUAAAUUAAUAAUUACAUAUUUGAAGUUAUUUUAAAUAUUAAAAAAAUUUAAUAUUAUUAAUCUUUUAGAUAGAUUAAAUUAUUUUUUAUAAGAGAUAGAUUAAAUUAUUUUAAAAUACGUUAAUUGUUUUUACUUUUAACGUUACCGGCCUUUCUUUUAUUUUAUUGCAAAUUAAUGCUAACAAGAAAAAGCUAGAUCAUAUUCCACAAAAGCAAAAGUGACAAACACAACCAGCUGGAAUCUUUUAAUUACUAUUCAAUAAUUCGAGACGAUUAGGGUCUUUUAUUAAACUACAAAUUGUAUAGUCUUUUUAAAAUUGUUAUAAAUUGGUGGCACCUACAAUCCUCAAUAAUUGUACCGAUAUUCACAAGUUGGUGGCCCCUACAAUUCUGUUCGGAUAAUUUAACUGUGCAAGUGCUCAUUCACAAUAAUUGUUUUGUUUUUUUUUUCUGCAUUCCCUUUCAUGCUCUUAAUAAUUGAAGAGCAUACUUUUCAUUUUCAAAUGUGGAGCCGCAGCUAAUGUCGCUAAUUUAAUUUGGGAUUAAAUUAGGGGACCAUUAUAUUGCAGUGUGCACUAAUUUUUGUGUUUAUCUAAACUCCUUAAAUUUAAGACAUAUUAUGGCAUAAAUAAGAAUAUAACAAUAGCAAAAGAGUUAAAAAGUGUAGAGAAGAUCUUGCAGAAAUAUAAAUAAUAUCUAUUUUAAAAUAAUAUCAAUAUUUAAAAUAAUUUUUAAUAUUUUAUGAUUCAUUAGAUAUAUUUUAUUAUAUUAAAGUAAAUUUUAUAAUAAAUAAAAACAUACUAUUAAAAUGAAUAUAUAGAAAAUUUAGAGUAUUUUAAGUAUUAUAUAAAAUAAUUUUAAUAAAAUAUGUGAGAUAUUCAUAUUUUAUUAAUUUAAAAUACCAUUUAACCUAAAGAUUUAUUUAUGAUAAAUUAAUAAUUAUAUUUUUGAAGUUACUUCAAAUAUUAAAAAUAUUAAUAUUACUAAUCUAUUAGAUAGAUUAAAUUAUAUAUAUUAUUUUCUAUUUAUUAAAAAAUUUAAAAUUAUUUUUAAUUACUAUUCAAAAAAUAUAAUGAUAAAAAAGAAUCUUAACAUCUUUAUUAAAAAUUUAAAAAUUUACAUGAUCAAUUCUCUAAAUAUUUAGGGUUAUAUGUGAACAACGGUGGAGAAGCUUUAUUUAAUAUUAUUGAUUUAAAUAAUAUGUCAAUUAAAAAUGUACAGAGAAGGAAAUUUCGGUGGGUAUUUUAGUCUUUUCAGCAAUUAUCAUGAUCAGAUCAGCCUUUAGCCUUGAAUCGUCGGUCAGAAAAGUUUUAAAAUUAACGCUAACAAGAAAAAGCUAGGUCAUAUUCCACAAAAGCAAAACUGACAAAACAACCAGCUGGUUUCUUUUACUAAACUACAAAUUAAAAGUGGAUUCUUUUGAAUGCAAGUGGGACAGACGAUUAGGCUCUUUUUAUUAAAGGCAAGUAAAAACUAGUCGAAUAGUCUUUUUCAAAUUGUUGUUUUAUUAUUUUUCCUUCAAAAGUUAGUGUGGCUCAUGUUUGCAGGUGCGAAUGUGGGUCCCGAAUCAUUACUAAAAUUUCUAUUCCACAGCCCACCGCAGCUUCAGUUAAUCAAACUCAAAUCAAUUUUCUUUCUUAACAAAAUAUUCCAAAGAUGUGUAGCAUUUUUCAGAUCACAUGCGAUGGUGCUCUUUUCAAUCGUUGCUUGGAUUGCUUUCUUGGAAAAGCAGCAUACAUACGUAACCUCCAAGAUAAUGUUGAUACCUUGGGCACUGAAUUGGGAAAUCUGAUCGCUAGAAAGAACGAUCUGAUGAGGAGGGUUGUCGAUGCUGAACGGCAACAAAUGAGAAGGCUGGACGGAGUGCAAGUGUGGGUUUCGAGGGUGGAUUCUGUUAAAACUGAAGCUGAUCAAUUUAUAAGAGACGGCUCUCGAGAAAUUGAAAAAUUAUGUGUUGGAGGCUACUGUUCCAAGAAUUGCAUGUCAAGCUACAAGUUCGGGAAAAAAGUGGCUAAAAAGCUACGGGAUGUGCGGACUUUAAUCAGUGAAGGAGUUUUUGAGGUGGUGGCUGACAGAGCUCCAGAGUCUGUAGCAGAUGAAAGACCUACUGAGCGAACAGUAGUAGGCUUGCAAUCACAACUUGAACAAGUCUGGAGAUGUCUUGUAGAAGAAUCAGCGGGAAUCAUUGGCCUAUAUGGUAUGGGCGGUGUUGGUAAAACUACACUACUGACCCAUAUCAACAAUAAAUUUCUCGAGAGUCCAACCAACUUUGAUUGUGCGAUUUGGGUUGUAGUUUCAAAAGACCUGCGACUCGAAAAAAUUCAAGAAGAUAUUGGGAAAAAGAUAGGUUUGGUUGGUGAUUCAUGGAAGAGUAAAAGUGUAGAGGAGAAAGCUGUCGACAUCUUCCGGAGUUUAAGAGAGAAGAGAUUUGUAUUGUUGUUAGAUGAUAUAUGGGAGCGGGUUGAUUUAACAAAGGUGGGCAUUCCACUUCCCGGACCAAAAAAUACUACCUCAAAAGUCGUAUUCACAACCCGUUUCAUCGAUGUUUGUGGUAGCAUGGAAGUUGACAGGAAGUUUCAAGUAGCAUGCUUAUCAGAAAAGGAUGCUUGGGAACUGUUUCGAGAAAAAGUUGGGGAGGAAACUCUUCAGAGUCAUCAUGAUAUCGAUGAGCUAGCCCAAAUUGUGGUCAAAGAGUGUGGUGGUUUGCCACUCGCACUUAUUACUAUUGGUCGAGCUAUGGCCUACAGAAAGAAAGCGGAGCAGUGGAGACGUGCAAUUGAAGAGUUAAGGAGAUCAGCUUCAGAGUUUGCAGGUUUGGGAAAAGAGGUUUAUCCUCUUUUAAAAUUCAGCUAUGAUAGUUUGCAGAAUGAUACGGUUAGAUCUUGUUUCUUGUACUGUUGUUUAUAUCCUGAAGAUUAUGGCAUUCUUAAAUGGGACUUGAUUGAUUGUUGGUUUGGCGAGGGAUUUUUUGGGGAAUCUGACAGGUCUGGUGCAGAAAACCAAGGAUAUGACAUUUUGGACACUCUUGUUCGUGCGUGUUUAUUAGAAGAGGUGGAAGAUGAUGAAGUAAAAAUGCAUGACGUUAUUCGUGAUAUGGCUAUAUGGAUAACUUGUGAAAUUGAGAAGGAGAAGAGAAACUUUUUGGUUCGUGCAGGUGCUGGAUUAAAAGAUGCACCGGGUGUUAAAGGAUGGGAAAAUGUGAGAAGAUUGUCAUUGAUGCAAAACCAAAUUGAAACUCUGGCAGAGGUUCCCACAUGCCCUCAUCUCCAUACUCUAUUUCUUGACUUUAAUAGGGGGUUGGAUAUGAUCGCGGAUGGCUUCUUUCAAUUUAUGCCUUCUCUCAAAGUUUUGAAGAUGUCAAACUGUUCGAAUUUGAAAUUACCUGUUGGGAUGUCAGAGUUGGGUUCAUCACUAGAACUUCUUGAUAUUUCAGAAAACAGCACAAGAGAGUUACCGGAAGAGUUAAAGAAGUUGGUAAAUCUGAAAUGUUUGAAUUUGAGGUGGACAGAGCAUUUAAAUAAAAUUCCACGGCAACUAAUAUCAAAUUCUUCAAGGUUACGUGUGUUGAGAAUGUUCGCUACUGGCCGGUUCAAUUUUCAUGAAGCACCAGAAGACAGCGUUUUAUUUGGUGGGGGUGAAGUUUUGAUACAGGAAUUGCUCGGUUUGAAAUAUUUAGAGGUAUUGGAGUUGACCUUGGGAAGUUAUCAUGCUCUCCAAAUUCUUUUGAGCUCAAAUAAGUUAAAAAGUUGUAUUCGAUCUCUUUACCUCGAGUUGACCGGAGAUACAACGUCAAUUAUUGAUGCUACGGCUUUCGCAGAUCUAAACCACCUCAAUGAAUUACGGAUUGAUAAUGGUAUUGAGUUGGAAGAGUUGAAGAUUGAUUAUACGGAGAUAGUACGAAAAAGGCGGGAACCUUUUGUUUUCCGCAGCCUUCAACGUGUUACCAUAGCGGAGUGCCAUAAAUUGAAAGAUGUGACAUUCCUCGUUUUUGCUCCAAACCUCAAGUCUCUUCGGCUAUUCUAUUGCGGUGCUAUGGAAGAAAUAAUCAGCGUCGGAAAAUUUGCUGAGACUCCUGAGAUGAUGGGACAUAUAAGCCCUUUUGAAAAUCUCCAAAUGCUUGAUUUACAAGGUUUGCCACAUUUGAAGAGCAUCUUCUGGAAGCCAUUGCCUUUCACUCAUCUGAAAGAAAUGGAGGUACUUAGGUGCGAUCGGCUUGAAAAGCUUCCACUCGAUUCCAACAGUGCAAAGGAGCGCAAAUUUGUUAUUCGUGGAGAAGAAGACUGGUGGAACCGACUUCAAUGGGAGGAUGAAGCCACUCAAAUUGCUUUUCGUUCCUGUUUUAAAAGUGAUGCUUUAUUUAUAUCUUAUUCGUGAAAAGUGAUUUAAUUUCCUGCCAAAAGACGAACGAGAAGAACAAUAGAGUCAAACUAAUGCUCACAUAAAUUUCCCGUAAGAAUAUAUAAUUAGAUUGGAAUGCACACCUCUAGAUUGAACAGAAUUAAAGCUGAGAAAAUAUUGAGUAUAGUAGCCCUCUUUACAGAAAAUGACGUGAAAGUUAAUUUAGAAAGAUAUAUUCUUGAUUAAUCCAUUUUCUGAAGUUUUUAUUUUGUAUGGUCAAUUAUACCUUCAUACUAAAAAUUUCUGAAGUUAUAAAUUAGUGCAACUUGACAAUUUUUACUGAUGAUAUCUUCUAUUUUUCCCUUUUUUUUUUUUUCACUUUCAUAGACUGGCAGCGGAUCCUGCGGCACCAAUUUGAGAGAAUAUACUGACACUACUUCGAACAGCAAGCAGAAGAAGUAAUAUGUCUACGGCAAAGGCAAUGGAGUCCUCAUUUUGGCUCGAGAUGCAGUAAUCAUCGAAGAGAGUUUCCUUGUGAAACUGGGCAACACAUUGAAUCCCUUCACCACUGAGAAGGUUGUGGAGGAAGUAAGCUUUCUCUCCAGUGAGGAAGAGGUGGCAUAUACCUUCCCCAUUUUGUUGAGGGCAGGUAGGAAUCUUUUUUCUAAGAGAUUUACUUCGUUCUCUGUAAGAAAUGCUUUGAACUUCAUCCCUCUGUCUCUAUCCUCACUUAUCAGGAAAUAAGUUGAAAGCACUAUGAAGAGAGAGAGAGAGAGAGAGAGAGAGAGAGAGAGAGAGAAUUAAGAUAUAUAGACAAGAAAAAUAUUUGACGUUGAUCUUACAAACUAAUACUUCAAGCAGUAUCCUAGAAAGCUAAAAACUGCAAGAUGGCUUGAAAUUUGAAAAGAGCACAUGCUUUUCCUCCUUAACUUGAGAAAAUGUUUAAUAUAGUGCACCUUACAGAAGCAUUUAAGCAAUUAGAACUUUGCACAAAAACAUCAAGAAGACUAAACAAGUCAGAUGCAGUGUAUUUGUCCAAGCACAAAUUGCAUUUUUUCCUCAACUUUAAUAUUUAUUGAUGAGAAUCAAUACAGGUCCCUCAUUUGUUAUAGAAAGCUUUCUUUCUUGUAGUCUCACCAGUUAAUUCAGAGGUCUAUAAUCAUCUUGCAAAGUUAAGGGCAUUUCUUUUGAUCUAAAGUCUUUGCAUCACCACCUCAUCACACGCCAAGCCAAUAUUCCAUUUACCUCUACAACAAAAAGUUUUAAUUAAACAAUCCUAAUGCACGCAGCCAAAUAAAAUGCAGUAAGAAUAUUCAACUUAAAAAUCUGAAAGCCAACUUGGUGAAUUGCCUCCUUAGGUGAAGUUCCAUGCUUUACUAUAGUUGACAGAACUCAGCAAAAGCUUCCAUACAACAGAUUUUGAAAAUGAUGAUGCCAACAGAUACUCAUUCAAUGCAUUGAAACUCCAAAGGUUCAUUGUUCAUAGAAGUUUACAGAGUUUUGGUCAUCAAAUAGCUCAGACCUAAUCCCAAACAAAAAAUGAGUGAAAAUUAGAUCACGAGCAGCUAAUUGUAAAUUCUAACUUAACUCUUCAUCUCCUUUGUAAACAAGAAACAAAAUGGAGACACGCAAAAUGAAUAUGGAGAAAAUUUGAACUCAAAUGAAAUGAGGGCAUGAAAGCAAACAAAUGGCAUGCACCAAAAAACCAAGCCUCAAUCAAAAACUAAUUAACCAUUAAGAAAAAAAUUGGUCAGAGAAUGAACUCCAAAUUCAGGAGUCAAGCAAGAAGCUUUCAUUAUUAUCAAAGUCAAUUAUCUUUGUUAGUAUGCGAGUGUGACGACUAUAGGUUGUUCUUUUUCUAAUGUCAUAUGAUUCCAAUUUUAGGUACAGGGCAUCUCUCUCUCUCUCUCUCAUCGCUAAGUGGAUAUUUUUCUCUUUUGUCAUAUACUUUAGUUAUUCUUCAAUUUACUAACUAAAAUGAAGGCCGCUUUAUUAAGAAGUUAUAUCCAGUUAUAUAAUUUGUUGUAUUUAAUAUAUGUUUGGGCUCAUAAUUUUUUUUAAAAAUAUAUAUUUCAUUCUCCAUAAUUUUUUCCCAUCAUAGCUACGAAACGUCUUAGUUUCGACUAAAAUCCUAAAAUUGGUCCUUAAUUGAAUAUGCAUUGCAAUUUGCAAAUGUAAUAUUGUGAAUGGGACACUGGAGAUACCAAAAUGGUCAAAUGCGAAAUAAGUUAGGAUUGUACGAUGUAGUUUGUAUUCAUAUUCAAUGCCUUUUUUUUCAAAAAACAAAUUGAAAUGCCAUUACUAAACGAUUCUUGAUGAUGGGAGCCACCGUGCCAGCUUUGUCGCUGAUUUGGUAUUAUUCUUAACUUGCAGAUAGUUGUGGAUAUGAUAUGCAAAAAGGUAAGGACUAUAUCUUCUUGAUGGAGGCCUCUGAUUUUUUCCCUUCUAUGUAAUUUAGUAAAUCGCAUUUUCCCUUGUGAUUGAUAUAUCAUACCAAAGUCAAGUCUUAAAUACUGCUGUCAUAUGUUAAGGUUCAACUUCCAUUUUGAUUAACGUCCAUUUGCUGCUGCUUCCAAAAGUGAGAAUGAGAUACUUUGGUUAAUUUCAGUAGUUGAACCCAAUAGAGUACUUUAUUUAGAUCUUCAUGGUUCAAAGGCCUGAAAAAACUUGCCGGUAUUUGCAAAAUGACAUUCUGUGCUUUUAUUUAGGCUUAUUAUUUAAGUGAUAAAAACUCCCGUAACCUGCUGUCAAGAAAAUUUCAGAUUGUUAAAAGACAACAUUUUGUUUCAGCCAAAAAUGUUUGUUUCGAUUAAAGACUUGAACCAUUUUCAUUUAACCUUGAUUGUGAUGCUUUACAUUAUGCAUGUUCCUCUCAAUCAAUAAAAGUUGAGGUCAUGAUUUUAUAUUUCUAUUUUGUAACUUGAAAUAAUUGGUCUGCCUGUUUCUGUAGCUUGAUAACAUGAAUUUUUCCUUCUGAAGUUAAUUUGAUCAAUAAAGUAAUUCUUCGGAGAUGAUAUGCCCAUUCUAUAGUCAUUUUCUUAGGUAACAUGUUUUUUCUUCACUCUUCAGAGCAUGUCUAAACUAAUUGAUCGCUCAGCGGAGACUUUGGGUGAGAAGACAAAAUUUCUUGGUAAAUCCUCUAAAAAGGUAUGCAUAAUUCCCGAGUAUUAAAUAAUCAUUGGUCAUAAUUUUUGUACACAACUCUUUUUUUGGAGAUCGUUAAAAGUGGUUGAUGAUCUAUUUUGUAAUAUCAUAGAGGGAUCAUGAAUUCCUGUUCUUUUCUGUGGCUAGGCAACACUUUCGGGCCAAGCUAAGGAAAUCUAUUUUAGGUAAUGUGAAAACCAGUUGUAGGAUGUAAUAGUUUAUUAUGCCCUGACAAUAACUUUUUGUAUAAUUGUCAGUUUAAUGAAUACAAGAGGAACUCUGUUGGCAAAUUCAUCCAUGAUAGAUGCUAAAAGUAUUUAUGCAUACCAGUUGCCUUAACUAAUUUUUCUCAACACUGGUAUUGAACAGGAAAAUGAAUAUGCAAUUUGUAUAUUGUGCCAUUGUGGAGAAUUUGGAUAUUCUUAUUUAAGUAACAAGGAGAGUAUUUGCCUCAUCUUUAAACAAUGAAUCUUUGAGAAAUGAGGAGUGGGUGAUUGGCAGUGUCUUCAUGUAAAUGUUCAUUUAUUUGUAUUUUGAACUAUUAUGAGAAUCUUUGUAUGCCAAAUUAGUAAUACAAAUGUUCAGAUGAUUUUUCCUGUUGAUCAUGCGUGUGUAUCUGCACACAACCAUUGUGUCCCACUUUAUUCUGAUGCACAAAUAUCUGUAGUUUAGAAGAAAAGAAAUAAUAAUCAUAUAUUAUUGCUUGGUUCAUGAUUAUUAAACGAUUAUGGCUUUAGAAAAUCCACAAAUCCUUUGUGUUCAUAUAUGAAUGUGCGAAGUUUGCUAUCUCUUAGAUUACCUUCUUCCAAGAUAACAAGUUCAUAUAUUUUUUUUAAUCCUUUUUCAUCACAGUUGAAUUUCAAGUGUAAGUUUUGUUAUUAAUAGCUGGUUUCCUGUUAUUAUGAUUUCAUAAACAGUGAGAGGAUAUGUGCUCUACUUUUGGAGGGCCUCCACAUGAAAGAAAAUUGCAACAAUUGAAUUCUUCCGGAGGGUAUGGUAUUUAAUUUAUUUUCUCAGCUUGUUGUAAGACUAAUAUAUUUCCUUCAGUACCCAAAAGGACAGAAAUGAAUUACGGAAGGAAGUUUUUGCUGCUUUAUUUAGUGCUGCUGAGAAAUCUGAUGGAUUUCCUGAAAUUACGGUGAAGACGGAGUGGAGGUCCAACGCAUUAGGAAAGGUGGUGAGUGAACCGCCGGAGGAAUUAGUACCAGAAUACAAGGCUAAUGUGGUGCACUUGCAGCAAGAUGACCAGACCUGUAUGUGCUCUUAUAUUAACUAUAUUGGUUGGAUUUGUGAGUGUGUACAUUUUUGUGUGUAUACUCACAUUUGUAUUUAUGCAUAUUAACGUGUGUAGGAUUCUUGAUUUCUGCCACUUACUGGAGAACUAGUGGAAAGCUUUAUACUGAUAUAUGUGCUAUAACUAAUGGAAACUACAAUAUGAAUAUUUUCUCUCACCUGGAGAACUGUGUAACAGAUAUAAUUUGUGGCUCUGGAAUACUGAAGAUUCUGCAAUAACUAAUGGAAAAUAUGAUAUGAAUAUUUUUUCUCACCUGGAGAACUUUGUAACAGAUACAUUUUGUGGCUCUGGAAUGUCUAAAGAAUGCUUCAGUUUAGAUCAAAUAUCUUUUAGUUAGAAAAGAUAAAAUUCUCUGAAUCUGAAAGACUGAAACAUUUUGCAUAUUUUGUGAAAGGGAAGUAUCUGUAGAUACUAGCUCAUGCAUUGAGGUAAUAUCAAUGUUAAAGAAAAACAGCAAUAAUUUAUUAUACAGAAUUAGGUUCACUUGCUUUAAAUGCUGGUCUGAUCAACCAUAACAACCUGUAAUGGUCCUGCAGAAAUAUAUAUACGGGGAGAAACUAGCUAAAUUUUCCUUUCACUUAUGGGUUUGGUCUUUUUUUCCCCUAUUUUUCAGCUUUCCUUCUCCUGAAGUAUGUUAACAAUUGCAGAUAAUGACGAAGAGGACCGCUUCCAGGCUCUUUGUAGAGCUGUGAUGGAAUAUAGGGGCACAAUGAAAGAAUAUUGUAAGGUUGUAUGUACUUUCUCUCUUGUCAUUUAUGUUUUCUCACACAUUUUGUUUAUGCCCUGAACAUGCAGCUUUGUAUGUGUCAAUUGCCUUUUACGUUUUAAAAGCCAUAAAGUAAGAAUACAGUUCCUUGUCAGGCUAUUGAUGCGUUCGCUCAGAAGGGUCAUGUUCAAGCAGGAAAACUUCUAGAACAGGUAAGGUUUCCAUCUACAGCCAUCCAUUGACAGCAGAUAUAUUUUCAUUAAGCAGACACUGUUAGCAUUCAAGAUGCUGGCAGAUUCACUUGAUUCUUAUUAGUUUGUUUAGUGGCAAGGCAUAUAACCUGUAUUUCAAAGCCAAGUUGUGCUAUUGAUUAUGUUAACUUUAUUGUUAACAUAAAGUGAUAUGGAGGACAUAAUCAAUGUAGGAAAAUUAGGUGAAGAGAUGAUGUCAAAUCUUGAACCUCUUACAAAGCUCCAAGUUCUUUACUUGAAGAAGCUGCCAAAUUUGAAGAGCGUCUACUGGAAGGCAUUUCCAUUCCCAGAUGUAUGCAGAAUUUUUGUAUUAAUGCCCAGUUCUUAAGAACCUGCCACUGGAUUUUCAAGGGGUGGGCCAAGGUAAAAUUCUUAUCAAGGGAAAGGAAGAUUGGUGGAAAGAACUUCAAUGGGAGGAUCAAGCAACUCAGAAUGCAUUGCUUCCAUUUUUCAAAUCAACUGACAAGUGAUUGAAGGGGGCAUCAUCAACAUCAUCAACAGAGAUGGAGAGAUUCUGGAGCAGAUCAGCAGGGUUUGUAUAUGAUCUUUGGUGGUUGCUUUCUUUUGUGAUUUUUUUUUUCUUCCUGUCAUUUUAUCAUUUCUUUGUCUCUUUUUUUAUUGCUGAUGUUAGUGUAUGCUUACUGUUGCUUGACAAAGUUCGCUUGCUUCUUGUUUAUUAAAUUUUUUAUCGUCACAAAAUAUUACUUGUUCUAUUUGAGAGUGAUGUGAAUCAAUUUUCAAUUAUAUAUUUUGUGGUCAAUGUGAAUUCAAUUUCAUUUGUCUCCUGCAAUUAUGAGAAAACUGCAGAGUCAUAAUAUGGAAAAGUACACCAGCAAAAACUUUGUAAAAGCUUCGGAGUGAAACAGGGAAUUCACUUACUACUAAGAACAAUUGAUGGCGAGUUAUUCCAUUCAUUUUAUGUCCAUCUAUCUAUUUAAUUAUUAAAGAUAAAUGGUCCAUUUAUAAAUUUCAGAUUGUCUCUCUCUGAAAAUAACAAUAUUUAAAAUAUCUCUUAAAUUAUUAUAAAUUUUAAUACACUCUCGAUUUAAAAUGGAACAUGCUGAUGAAAUUGUUUUCUUCUUAAUAAAAUUGAAAUAAAUUGUGUUUGCAGUAGUUUGAAAUAUUUUAAAGAUUAUUAUUUUAUAAGGGAGUAAUAUGAAAUGAAAUUUACUUUUCAUGCGUGAAAUGUUGAAAAAGGACAAAGCAAGUGUCCCUGCUUUUAUUUUUAUUUUAAAGUGGAGUCAUCUCACAUACUUUAGCUCUAUCAUUACAAUUUUUCAGGUUACAUUUUUAUUAUUUAUUUAUUUUCUUUUUUACACAUGCAUGUGGGUUACUUUUCCGUAAGCUCCUCAAUAUAUAUUGAACCCAGCGAAGAAUGUUAUGGAAGAGCAAAUUAAUGAUAUUUCUGAUAGAGUCUAUUUGAUUAUGUAGCCUGAAUGGAUGUCUUGUUGAAAGAUAUCUCAGUGCAUUAGUUCAUCCUUGUCUGUCAAUGUGUUUUUAAUGGUUUUUCCAAUUGUUUAUUAUUAUAGAUUGAUUGUAAAUUGAUAUGAAAAUUUGAUAUGAAUUUAAUGUUGAAAUGUUUUCUCUUUAGUGGAAUGAAUUUAAAAGUGCAAAAGAUUAUUGCACACAGAGAAAUAAACAUAUAUGCUUUAUAACUUUAGCAAUCGAUUCUUUUACAGCUGGAAACAGAGAUGAUGAUUAUCAUAAGGAUGAAGAAAAGUAGUGCGUUAGACGAUUAGACUCUCUUAUUAAAGGCAAGUAUAAAGUAGUGAAGAAUCCAAUAUCUCUAUUGUCUAGUCUUUUGUUUAAUUCUUCUUUUAUUAUUUUUCAGAAUAAUUUUUGGUGAUUACAAUCGGGUUAUUAUUCAGAGUUAUUGUUAUCUUCUGGGGCAGUUUCUGUUCAUCGAAUUCAUUAAUUAAAAUUUUAGAACUCUUAUCAGAAGAAUAUUUUUCGGUUAUCUUUUUUAUGUUCUAAUUCCAAUUGUAAGAAGUAGCCAUUUUAGAAUUUGGGUCUUGAAUCGAAUUUCAAUGCAUGAAUUAAUAUUAAAAAAAAAAAAUUCACUACUCGCAGUUUAGGUUACAAAUUACUUUUUGGAAAGUUGACUUUGGAAUGUUUGCAAAGAAAGAGACUAACAUAUUUCCAAUUACACUAAAUCUCUAUUAUGAUAAUGUUAAGACUAAAUUAAUUUAAAUAAUUUUUAUUUGAAAAUUAUAUCAAACGCAGUCUAAUUUUAUUAAUUUUAAGAAAUAAUAAUUAUAAAAAUUAUUGUUCUGACUUAAUUAAUACAAGUGAUAUAAAAGUUAAGUGUGCACUAAAUCUGUUUUAAUUUUUUCCAGUAUAACUAACAGAGGUCAUUACUAGAAUUAUAUUACUAGUCUAUUAGAUAGAAAAAAUUACUUAUAUUGUUUUAUAUUUAUUAAAAAAUUUAAAGCCAAUUUUUUUAAUUACUAUUUAAAGAAUAUUAUAAUUUGAAAAAUUUUAAUAUCUUUAUUAAAAAUUUAGAAAUUUACAGUCCUCUAAAUAUUUAAGGCGUAACUGUCAUUUUCUCAAGAAGCUUUAUUUAAUAUUAUUGAUUUAAAUAAUAUCUUAUUAAAAAUGUACUGAGGAGAAAUUUUGGUGGGUAUUUUAGUCUUUUCAGCAAUCAUCAUGAUUAACCUUUGGUUGGCCUUGAAACGUCGGUCAGAAAAGUUUUAAAAUGCUUAAUUGUUUUUCACUGUUAACGUUAGUGGCCUUGAAAUUGCUUAUAUUUUAUUAAAAAUUAAUGCUAACAAGAAAAAACUAGAUCGUAUUCCACCCCCAAAGCAAAAGUGAUAAAACAACCGGCUGUAUUCUUUUAUUAAACUACAAAUUAAAAUGGAUUUCUUUAAUUAAAGUGGAUAUCAUUUAAUUAAUGUUUGAACAUUAAAGUUCUGAUAUAUAACCACUAUGCCGACCACCUAAUUGCUGCUAUUUAAUUUCGUUCCAGUUCUCUCUCUCUCUCUUUUUCUUUUUUUUUUGGGCCAAGCAAUAAAUAGUAAAAAUUCAAUAAAAGCAAUAUUAAUGCUGCAAGUGAGUCAUGUUAUUUAUUGUCAAUUAGGAAAUGUGAACCUAAUUUGAUUGCAUCCCUUUAAUCAUUUAAUAAUUAUGUAAGCACCAUCCCUUUAAUUAUUUAAUAACUAGAAAAUAGAACACUGCGUUUCACGCGGCUUUGAAAAAAGAAUUUAGUAUUAUCUUUUUUUCUUACUUUACACUUGAUGAAACUGAUAAAAAAUAUGAAUUGAUUUUUUUUAAAGAUGAGGCAGCCUUAUAAAAAAUAAAAAAAGCUAUUAGCCAGCAAUACAAAUAAAGAAGGAAUGCAAGAUAAAGAAUAAAAUGAGAGAAUAUAUUAUAGAGUGAUCUUAUUCAUUCUAAUUGUGUGUGUACAAAACAAAAAGAUGAGCUCUCCUUUUAUAACUACAUAAUUACUUCAUGAAAUUAAUGAAAAAUUAUGAAUCAUAAUUUCUUGUGAGAUAGUGGGAGUUAUUGGGAAGCUAAAAGUUGCUAAUGGGAGAUAGUGGGGAGACUAAGAGAUAUAUAUUAUGAACAUCUACAUUUAUUUUAAUAAAUUCAUAACACUCCCCCUUAAAUGUUCAUUACAAAGAAUAUGCCUCAUUAAAAUCUUUACAUAAUUGUUAUUGUGUAAUAACAAUCAAAUUAAUUAUAAGAAGAUGAAAAGCCAAAUCUAACAGAAAAUUUCUCUAUUUAUUAGAUAAUAGAGAAUAUAGCAAGAUGAGAAAUGGUAAUGCCACAUCAUCUCCUCACGUCCCAACUUUAUAUAUAUAUAUAUAGAUAAUAUAUAUUAUUCCUGUCCUACAUUCACAUAUUUAAUUGUCCUUUUGAAAAUAUUCAUGAGUUAGGCCAAGUAAAGUCAAAGAAAUUGGGAAAAAGGAACAAAAGGACAAACCUAAAUUAAUUGAACCUAAUUCAUGAAAAUGCACACUUUUGUGUUGCGGACGGCGGACCCUAAAGCUUCGUUGUUUGCAGCUGCAAUUAAUUCUUUUCCUUCAAAAGUUAGAGGCUCGUGUUUACAGUGGGUCCCGAAUCGGACGUACCUAAUAAAUCUUUUAAAAAAAUUUGCCGUAUAAAGGACAGAGGUCAUUACUGAAAUUUCUCUUCCACGGGCAAUUACAGCAGCUUCAGUUAAUCAAACUCAAAUCAAUUUUCUUUCUUAACAAAAUAUUCCAAAGAUGUGUAGCAUUUUUCAGAUCACAUGCGAUGGUGCUUUUUUCAAUCGUUGCUUGGAUUGCUUUCUUGGAAAAGCAGCAUACAUACGUAACCUCCAAGAUAAUCUUGUAGCCUUGGACACUGAAUUGGGAAAUCUGAUCGCUAAAAAGAACGAUGUGAUGAGGAGGGUUGUCGAUGCUGAACGGCAACAAAUGAGAAGGCUGGACGGAGUGCAAGUGUGGGUUUCGAGGCUCGAUGCUGUUAAAACUGAAGCCGAUGAACUUAUCACAGACGGCUCUCGAGAAAUUGAAAAAUUAUGUGUUGGAGGCUACUGUUCCAAGAACUGCAGGUCAAGCUACAAAUUCGGAAAACAAGUGGCAAGAAAGCUACGAGAUGUGGAGACUUUAAUCGCCGAGGGAGUUUUUGAGUCGGUGGCUGAGAGAGCUCCGGAACCUGUGGCAGAUAAAAGACCCACUGAGCCAACAAUAGUAGGCUUGCAAUCACAGCUUGAACAAGUUUGGAGAUGUCUUCUUGUAGAAGAAUCAGCGGGAAUCAUUGGCCUAUAUGGUAUGGGCGGUGUUGGUAAAACCACACUGUUGACCCAUAUCAACAAUAAAUUUCUUGAGAGUCCCACCAACUUUGAUUGUGUGAUUUGGGUCGUAGUUUCAAAAGACCUGCGACUUGAAAAAAUUCAAGAAGAUAUUGGGAAGAAGAUAGGUCUGUUUGAUGGUUCGUGGAAGAAUAAAAGUGUUGAGGAGAAAGCCGUAGACAUCUUGCGGAGAUUAGGAGAGAAGAGGUUUGUAUUGUUGUUAGAUGAUUUAUGGGAGCGGGUUGAUUUAACAGAAGUGGGCGUUCCACUUCCCAGCCCACAAAAAUACUACAUCAAAGUCGUAUUCACGACCCGUUUCAUUGAUGUGUGUGGUAGCAUGGAAAGUCACAGGAAGUUUAAAGUGGCAUGCUUAUCAGAAGAGGAUGCUUGGGAGCUGUUUCGAGGAAAAGUAAGGCAAGAAACUCUUGAGAGUCAUCAUGAUAUCGUUGAGCUAGCCCAAACUGUGGCCAGAGAGUGUGGCGGUUUGCCACUCGCGCUUAAAACUAUAGGUCGAUCUAUGGCCUACAGAAAGACAGCUAAGGAGUGGAGACAUGCAAUUGAAAUGUUAAGGAGAUCAGCUUCAGAGUUUGCAGGUUUGGGAGAAAAGGUGUAUCGUCUUUUAAAGUUUAGCUAUGAUAGUUUGCAGAAUGAUACGAUUAGAUCUUGUUUCUUAUAUUGUUGUUUGUAUCCUGAAGAUUAUGGCAUUCUUAAAUGGGAUUUGAUUGAUUGUUGGAUUGGUGAGGGAUUCUUAGAGGAAUCUGACAGGUUUAGUGCAGAAAACCAAGGAUACUACAUUGUGGGCACUCUUGUUCAUGCAUGUUUAUUAGAAGAGGUGGAAGAUGAUAAAGUAAAAAUGCAUGACGUUGUUCGUGAUAUGGCUAUAUGGAUAACCGGUGAAAUUGAGAAGGAGAAGCGAAACUUUUUGGUUUGUGCAGGUGCUGGAUUAAAAGAGGCACCGGAUGUUGAAGUAUGGGAAAAUGUGAGAAGAUUGUCAUUGAUGCAAAACCAAAUUGAAACUCUGUCAGAGGUUCCCACAUGCCCUCAUCUUCUCACUUUAUUUCUUGACUUUAAUAGGGAGUUGAAGACUAUUGCGGAUGGCUUCUUCCGAUGUAUGCCUUCUCUCAAAGUUUUGAAGAUGUCAAACUCUGGAAAGCCUUGGAAAGGUUUGGAAUUAAAUUUGGGGAUGCCAAAGUUGGGUUCACUACAGCUUCUUGAUAUUUCACACACCUGCAUACAAGAUUUACCGCAAGAAUUAAAGUUGUUGGUAAAUCUGAAAUGUUUGAAUUUGAGGCGGACAAUUUGGUUAAAUAAAAUUUCAUGGCAACUAAUAUCAAAUUUUUCAAGGUUACGUGUGUUGAGAAUGUUCGCUACUGGCUGGUUCAAUUUUCAUGAAGCACCAGAAGACAGCGUUUUAUUUGGUGGGGGUGAAGUUUUGAUACAGGAAUUGCUCGGUUUGAAAUAUUUAGAGGUAUUGGAGUUGACCUUGGGAAGUUAUCAUGCUCUCCAAAUUCUUUUCAGCUCAAAUAAGCUAAAAAGUUGUAUUCGAUCUCUUUACCUCCAGUUGACCGGAGAUACAGCGUUAAUUAUUGAUGCUACGGCUUUCGCAGAUCUAAAACACCUCAAUGAAUUACGCAUUGAGUCGGCUACAAAGCUGAAAGAAUUGACGGCUGAUUAUACAGAGAUAGUUCGAAAAAGGCGGGAACCUUUUGUUUUCCGCAGCCUUCACCAUGUUACUAUACAAAGCUGCCAGAAGUUGAAAGAUUCGACAUUCCUCGUUUUUGCUCCAAACCUCAAGUCUCUUUCGAUAGUCAAAUGCAAUGCUAUGGAAGAAAUAAUCAGCGUCGGAAAAUUUGCUGAGACUCCUGAGAUGAUGGGACAUAUAAGUCCUUUUGAAAAUCUCCAAAUGAUUGAUUUACUAGGUUUGCCACAUUUGAAGAGCAUCUUCUGGAAGCCAUUGCCUUUCACUCAUCUGAAAGAAAUAUCUGUGCGUUAUUGCCCUAAUCUUAAAAAGCUUCCACUCGAUUCCAACAGUGCAAAGGAGCGUAAAUUUGUUAUUCGUGGAGAAGAAGACUGGUGGAACCCACUUCAAUGGGAGGAUGAAGCCACUCAAAUUGCUUUUCGUUCCUGUUUCCAACCCUUGUUCCUGAACAGUGGUCGCAAAAUUUGAUUUCUGGUGAGUGCGUUUGUCUUUUAAAAAGAAUAAUUUAAAAGAAAUUUAUUCUUGUCGGUUUCUUCACUGUUUUUAUUUCAGUUUCUCUCUCUCUCUCUCUCUCUCUCUCUUUUUGUCUUCUGCAAAUCACAAUUACAUUUUUAUUCUUGUCGUUUUCUUCACUGUUUUUAUUUCAGUUUCUCUCUCUCUCUCUCUCUCUCUUUUUGUCUUCUGCAAAUCACAAUCAAAUGUUGAAUUAAUGGAAUUAAUGCUUCAUAAAUUUGCCGGCACUGCCAUUACUUUUUUUUGGGGGAUCGAAUUGAUACUUUAUUUAUAUCUUCUUAGCGAUUUAAUUUCCUGUCAAAAGACGAACGAGAAGAACAUAUGACUUAAACCAAUGCUCGCAUAAACUUGCUGUAAAAAGAUAUAAUCUCACUGAAAUGCACACGCCUAGAAUGAAUAGAAUUAAAACAGGGAAAAUAUUAAGUAUAUUAGCCCUCUUUACUGAAAAUCAAAUGACAGUAAAUUUUUUGAAGUUUUGAUUUUCUAUGGUCAAUUCCACCUUUUGCAAUUUCUUCUGUUCUAACAAAAACCAAUUUCUUUGUUCAAGUAUUUUCGUUUGGAUAUUAAUAAUUCUCCACCGAAAGAGUGAACUCUUGCUCAAAGGGAUCUCUAAUAAUACAUAACAUGAUUAUUUUCGUUUGAAUAAUUGAUUUCUUGAUUGAAUUGUCGUGUAAUUGAUUUAUGGGGGAUGACACAUCAACAUACUUGAAAAUACACUAAUCUCAGCAUCAUCGGUUAAUAACUUUUAGAUUUAUGGGUAAUCAAUAGUUAAGAUUAGUUGUCAUUAAUACUAAAUAAUUUUUACUUUUUUUGUCUCUUCUAGAGGAUCUUCUAGAAAAAUGCAUCCACAAUUAAAUUUAAUACUUUACAUAAUAAACAAAGCCUAAAUGUUAAAUUUAAGAAACUGCAUUGUAUUUCAGUUGAAGUUGACUUUAAUAUUUAGGGUAGAAAAACAAUUAAUUUUAUUUUUUGAAAUGUCCAUAUUCAGAGCACAUUUCAAAAAGACUCAAUAAUUUCUCAUAAAUUUCAAUUAAAAAUAUUCAAUUUGUUGUUUCAGUUCUUUUAUUUUUUAUUUUUUCCGACAUGAAAGCGACUUAAUGUUACUAAAUUGGGUGGUCUUUGGAUUUUCAUGACCCAAUAAUUGGAACAAAACAAUUUUCUCAAGCGCUCUCCCGCAACAUUUUAUAAUUGAAGCCGCUGCCCCGCCCGUGGUUUCAAACUUUUUUCUUUCUCCUUGUUUAAAUUAAUGGGAGCAGCCUCCGUCCUUGACUAGUUGACUGCUUGUCUUCUUUUUUUUAUUAAUUAAUUAAUUCAGCCGCCCCCCUUUCUUGUCCCAAUAUCUUCUACUUUCGGUUUCCUUUUAUUAUCUCUUUAUUUUUAAAAAAUGCUUAUAAUAAUAAUAAAAUAUAAAAUAUAAAAAUAAAAAUAUAAUUUAUCAGAAAAUUAAGAUAAAGAAAUAUUAUAAGCACAUCAAUCAACAAGUGAAAAAAAAACAAUUUUAAUUUACAUUAAAUAUAAACUUUCAGUGUUAAUCAACUUUUCUAAAUAACUAAAUUAAAAAAUUAAUUGAUUUAAUUGUGGUGUAAUUGAUUUGUAGGGGAUGAAUCAGCAGCAUCAUCGGUUAACGCUUUCAGAUUUAUAGUUAAUCAAUAGUUGAGAGUUGUUAUCACUAACGCCGUGUAUUUUUUAAUGUUUUUUCUCUCUCCUACAGCAUCUUCUAGGAAAGUGCAUCCGUUGCUAAAAUUUAGUAUCGUAAAUAAUAAACCAAGAAUAAAUAUUAAAUCUAAGAAACUGUAUUGCAUUUAAUAUUUAAGGGAGAAAAAUAAUUAUAGUGUCUUUAUUAAUCAGUAAAAAAAAAAAUUAGAAUCAUAAUAAAUUGUAUUGUUAUUGAUGUAUUUAUUUUAUUUUAUACUCAAAAUAAAUUAUUUUAAAUUAUUAAAAUAAUUUAAAAUUAGUAUUUUAUUUUAUACUCAAAAUAAAUAAUUUAAAAUUUUCAUUUCUUGUUUAUUUCGCAAGUUGUUAUUGCCUAAUGCUAUGUCAACUCGAACAUUAGCAUUUUUUUUUUUGGUCCUCUUUUAACGCAAAAUUAGUGUAGGUUAAGUAACAUAAUCAAUAUUAGGACAAUUUGAAAUCCCUAUGGGUGCGUUUGGUACACUGUAUUGUAUUAUACUGUAUUGCAUUAUUUUAAUGCUGAUGUAUUGUAUUAUGUUGUAUUGCAUUAGCACUGUAUUAUAACAAUGCUAUACAAUAUUUGGUGUUACAUUGUACUGUAUUAGAUUUUAAUUAUAUUAUAUUUAGUGUUACAAUUGUUGUAACAUAAACACGACCAAAAUAAAUUGUACUAAAUAAUCUAAGUAAGAGUUCUGUAGUAUAUGUAAUAAUACUAUUUAUAUUAUUAUUAUUAAUAAUUCUAAAUUAAUAUUAUUUAAUUUUAUUCAUAUUUAAAUAUGUAUUAUUAGUUUAUUAAAUUAUUUAAAAUAAUUAAUUUAUAUAUAUUAAUUAUUGUAACUUAAUUAAAUAAUGUAAUGCUAUAUUAUAUUUUUAUAUACUAUUUAAGUAUUUAUUAUUAAUUAUAUUUAAUUAUAAAUUUAUUAAUAAAUUAUAAUAUAAAAAUAAAAAAUAAAAAUUAAUAUUGUAUAAUAUUAUAUUAAAUUAAAGUUUUAUUUUUAUUACUAUUAUUAUAAAGUAAAAAAAAAAAAAAGGGAAGCUACUGACUUUUGAAACACAAAAGUCAGUAAUACAACCUAAUCACGAGGGGGGGCGCGGGUUUUGAUAAUGCGGCAAAAGCUGCAUUGUAAUGCUGCUCAAUGCAAUCCAUUUGAUCACCAAACACAGGUAUAUUUUAACUAAUGCUGGGCCCACAAAAUAAUACAAUGCAAUUCCGCAUGCCAAACAUACCCUAUGGGUGCGUUUGGUACACUGUAUUGUAUUAUACUGUAUUGUAUUAUUUUAAUGCUGGUGUAUUGUAUUAUGCUGUAUUGCGUUAGCAUUGUAUUAUAAUAAUGUUGUACAAUGUUUGGUGUUACACUGUACUGUAUUAAUUUUUAAUUAAACUAUAUUUGGUGUUAUAUUGUAUUGUAUUAAUUUUUAUAAUUAAUUAAAUUAAAUAAUUAAAAAAUAAUAUUUAUUAAUACUUAGAAAAAUAAUAAAUAUAGAAAUCUUAAUUGUAGAAAUUUAACAAAUUUUUUAGUAAAUAUUAAAAAUUAAUGAUUAAAUUUCUAAAAUUUGUAUUAUAAUUAUGAUAAAAUAAAUUUAUAAAAUUUAAUAUUAUAUGUAAAUAAUAAAUUUAGAUUAUAAUUAAUAUUAUAAUUGUUAAUAUAAAUUAAUAAAUUAUUAUUCAAUAAUAUUCAAUUAUAUUUUAAUUUACAAUAUAUUAUUAUUUUUACAUUUUAAUAUAUUAAUAAAUUUAUAAUUUAACAUAAAUAAUUAUAAAUUUAAAUAAUAUUAAUUUUAAAAUUAAUAUUAAUGUAAAUAAUAUUAUAAUAUUAAUAUAUUAUUUUUAUAUGAAUCAUUAAUAAAUAAAAUAAUAUUAUCAUAUAAUUUAUUUUUAUAUUUUAUUCAUUAUAUUAAUAUUUAAUAAUAAAAUAAUUUAUUUUUAUAAUAUUUUAAUAAAAUAAAUUUGCCUCAAUUGAGGCAUUAACUGUUGCCUCAAUUGAGGCAAAAAGCUUCCGCAUCCCUCGGGUUUGCGUAAUGCGGCCCCAUGCCUCAUUAUGCUGCAUUAUAAUGCAGCAUAAUGAGGUGUCAAAUUUUGCCAAACAUGUUCUUGGUAAUAAACUAAUGUGAAUAGUAGUAUAAUACCACAUAAUCUCAUGCACCAAACACGCCCUAUGUGUAUUAUUCACGGUAUCUAUGAGGGCUUAUCCUUUUGCUAGAACAAACUCUAGCAAAUUGUCAAAUGUGCUUAUCCUUUCCCUUGACGACUCAUUUUAAAAUUGUCACUCAUUUUAAAAUUGUCUUUCAAUGCACAAACACAGACAUAACCGCCGACAUCGAGCACCAAGUUUGGAAUUUAAUUGAUAAGCAUACAUUUGAUAAAUUAAUGAAAAGUUUGGAGAGUAGUUUUGAUCACCCUUGAUUAGGACGGUAUUACAAAAAAGAUCAAAAAGAAAACAUCGUCUCUCUUCACAAAAAUAAAUAUUUUCCGUUAGAAUUUAAUACAAUAAUAUUUUUUUUGAUUAAAAUUUAAUUAAAUACACAAAUAAAUUAUAUAUUUUUUAAAAAAAUUUACACCCAGUCACAAGGCUGGCUAUUAAACUUAAAGGGUGGAAGCUUCGGAGACUAAAGUUGGUAACUUCUCCAAGUGGUCUUAAGUUGACCGGAACUACCCAGACUUUAUGUUUGGUAGCCUAGACCUGAUCGGACCUAGGCCCAAGUUUGGUCUUAAAGUCCACAAUUAAAUUAAAAAAAAAUUAUUUGAUUUGUAAUUGAUUUAUGGGGAAUGAAUCCGCAGCCCUAAAAUUACACCAAUCUUGACAUAAUGACAUCAUCGGUUAAAAACGUUCAGAUUUAUGGUUAAUCAAUGGUUUGAGAUUUGUUAUCAUUAAUGCUAGAUAUUUUUUAACAUUUUUUUCUAUCUCUCUUCUCCUGAAGGAUUUUCUAGGAAAAUGCAUCCACAACAAAAAUUUUAAAUUGUAAACAAUAAACAGAGUAUAAACGUUAAAUCUAAGGAACAUCGCUGCAUUUCAGCUGAAGCGAACUUUAAUAUUUUACGGAGAAAAAUAAUUAAGUCUUUAAUGUGAUUUAUUGAUUAAUAUAUAUGACUAAUUUUUUAAAAGAAGAUGAAGGAUGAAGCUUAAAAAUAUAAAUUAUAGAAUUAAUUUAUCUCUUCAAUAAAUCUAAAGUUUAUUUUUUUUAUUACAUGCUUCUAUUUUAUUUUUAUUCCAUGUUAAUGAAUGGAGAUUUAAAUCCAUUUUGGAUUUAUAAAGAUGUUUAGAUAUUUAAAUCCACGUGUGAUUCCAAACUUGAACCUUUUUUUUUUUUUUUUCUAAUUAAUGCAAACAGCCGCCUCUUUGACUGCUUUUCUUCUUUGUUUAUUAAUUAAUUAAUUCAGCUGCCCACCUUUCUUUUCCUAAUGUUUUCUACUCCCAAAUUUUUUUAAGGACAAGGCUACGUUGCAGACGCUGUACCUAACAGCUGCACCUUCGCCAGCUUAAAAAAGGGUGCAUUUGGUAAGCAACUUUUCUUUCGUGUGCAUAUGUGUCCUGCCACCAUUGGGUGUGUACGUAACAGAUAAUGUACCGUAACAAGCUCCUAUUUUUAAAUUUGUUUAUAAUGAUAAAAUAUAAAAAUUAAGAUUAAAAUGUAAUGUAAUGUAAAAUUAAAGGUGGAAGAGUAUUAAAAUAAGGCUAAACCUAUGUUACGUUUAACGUAACAUACAUUUAAAUAUAUAAAAUAUCAAUGGAAACCCUCAAAUUUUAUGGAAACUAUAUUAAUAAAAUUAAAAGAAAUAUUUUUAAAUCUGAAAGAAGAAAUAAAAGAUAUAAAGCAAGAGAUAGGAAAACUAAAAAUAGAAAUAUCUGUAAAAGAAAAAGGAAAAGAAAAAUUAGAAAUAAAAGAAACAACUCCAACUGAAUCGAAUUCAGACUAAUGGAAGAUGUAUUAGAAACUUUAACUGAAAAAUUCAGUGACAUAAAUCUUAGUGAUUUAGAAGACUUUGAAAAAGAAUAUUAGAUAAAAAUGAAUACUGCUGGAGGACCAGAAAUGAAACCUAAUGUAGCAUAACCAAGUCAUAGAUAUGGUAUAAAUAAAAUGAAAAAUAAACCUUUUUACGAGUAUAUACCUCCUAUUAAAAAUACUCCUUGGAAAAAAGAAUACAAACCAAAUCAAGAUACAUUAACCCCAAUAAAUAAUGCUGGAACAUUUUUAAAUCUAGAUUGUAAGAUAGACAUUCGAAAGGCGUUAGCAGAAUGGGUGUUACAAAUGAAAUUAUUUUUUAUAUUUAACGGGUCAAAGGAUGACUAGAAUGUAGAGACUGAAGAAGAAAAAAUAGAUAUAUUUGUUGAAAUCUUAAUAGCCAGUUUUUCAGGAAAUGUGUUUAAUUGGUGGAGAGGAUUAAGCGAUGAUACACAAAACUUAAUAAAAGAUUCAACCAAAUAGCAUUUAGAAAAAAUAAAGCCUUAGGAAUGGAAAGGAUAACUGAAUACAUAGCUAGUGAAUUUUUAGGAGAAGAUUGGCUAGAAAAAUCGGGCAUAUAUGAAAAUUUAAAAAUUUAUGAUAAAAAGAUCUUAGUGUUUUUAUUAAAAAAUUAAAAUUUACAUGACUAUUUCUUUAAAUAUUUAGGGCAUAUAUGAACCACGGAGGAGAAAAGCUUUAUUUAAUAUUUUAGAAUAGUUUUUGAUCAGUACAAUUGGGUCCUUAUUCAGAAUUAUUGUUCUCUUCCGCAACAGUUUUUGUUUAUCAAAGUCGUCAAUUAAAAUUUUAGAAUUCUUAUCAGAAGAAGUAGUCGUUUUAGAAGUUGGGUCUUGGAUCAAAUUUCUACGAGUGCAUGAAUUAACAAUAAAAAAAUUUCAUUACACACGGUUUAAGCUACAAACUACUAUUUGCACAGUUGACUAUAAAACUUACCUCCAAUUACACUAAACCUCUCUAUUUGGUAACGUUGAGACUAAAUUAAUUUUAUUAGCAUGAAAAGAUGAUAGAAAUAUAAUUAUAAAUAUUAUUGUUGUUAAUCAAUUAGUACAUGUGAUAUAAAGGUUAAAUGUGCACUAUAUUUAAUAAUUAAUUAGUGGAGCAUGUUAAACAAAAUGUUAAUGUAUAUUUAUAUAGUGUUAGGAAUAUGCAAAGUCAAGUCCUCAAUUUGCAUUAUCCUGUAUAGAAUAUUACUCUAAAAAUGUUUUACUAUAAUUGGCUUAGAACAUUUGUAAAGAAAAAUAAUAAUAAAAUAAUAAAUAACAUACACCGUCACAUAGCACCUAGACAAUGAUAGAAAAUUAUUAAAGAGAGUGCAAACAAUUAAUUAGAGAUUUUUAUGAUGACUUUUAAUAUUCAUGAUAAUAACAAAUAAAUACAUGUAUCACUUUUUUAAAAUAUUAAAUUUGACUGCUCCAUUAAUAAAUUAUUAUUGUAAUUCAGACUCUAUCUAUAUAUCCUUGCACUAAGAAUAAUUAAGGUAACGUUUGUUUUUUAACUUAAUGACUUAAAGUGACUUAACUUAAUUAAUUAAGUUAAUUAGAGGUGUUUGUUUUAUAACUUAAUGAGACUUUUUAGAUAAUUUUGACUUAAUAAAAUAAGCUAAUUUUUUUUGGCUUUUUACUUAAUGGAGAAAUCUGAAUUAAGUCAAUUACUUGCUAAUGUCAAAAAUAUCCUUGUUUUAUAAUUUAUUUUUCAUGUCUAUCCCAAAACUCGCCCGUAGAUAUUUACCCCACAUAAAAAUAUCCCUGUUUUUUUCUUUCUUAUAUUAUAUACGAUAAAAUUUGAAAUUUAUAGUAUUUUAUAUAUUAAAAUUCUAAAAUAAUUAUGUAUUCACUUGAAUAUAGUUUUACUUAUAAAUGUUAAAAUAUGAUGGUAUUUAAUAUAUUAUUUAUUUGACAUUCAAAUUUAAUAAGGAUACAAAUGUAAAAGUACAUAUUUUCAGCUUUUUAAAUUGAAAAAAAAUAACUUAAUAUUUAUUUUCUGAGAUUCAGACGAAAAAAUAAACAUAUUAUUCAGAUUCAUACAUUCAGAUCUAUUCAGAAUUCAAACUAAUUCAAGUCUAUUCAAAUUUUAGACAAAAAAAUAAACGCCACCUAAGUCAUAAUAAAAAUUUUCGUAACUACAUCUCGUUUCUUCCUCAUAAUAAUAAUUAGAUUGGUUCGAAUAUUAUAACUAUAUAGAUUUAGUGUAUAGCCACAUCCAAUUUAAAUAUUGACCCAAUUGGGAUGGUCCCCAAAAAAAAAGAUUCGUUAAAGGAUAAUUCUAAUUAUUUUUACUUCUCAAACGUUAGUGGGACGUUUCUAUUAGCGCACUCGUAAGCCAAGUUGUCAAAUAUUUAUACUAAACUACAAUUGCUAACAAGAAAAAUCAAGAUCGUGUUAAGCAAGUGGGUCCCGAAUAGGACGUGCAAAUCUCUCGUAAGUCAAGUUGUCAAAUGUUUAUAUAAAACUAACAAUUACUGACAAGAAAAAUCAAGAUCGUAUUAAAAAUGGGUCCCGAAUAGGAUUAUCUUUUUAAGAAUAUUAUUAUUUUAUUAUUAAAAUUUUAUUAAUAUAACAGUAUUAAAAUUUAUUAAAAAAUAUAUUUUAUUAUUAAAAUUUUAUACCGUUAUCAAUUUAUUAUUAUUUUAUUAAAAAAAUUAAUAUUUAACAAAAAUUGAGAUAAAAAUUAAUUUUUGUUCUCUGUCUUUAUUUAUUUAUUUAUUUUUUUGGGUCUUCUGCAAAUCACAAUCAAAUGUUGAAUUAUAAAUUUGCCGGCAUUGCUUUUUUUUUUUUUUUUGGGCCGGGGGGUGGUGUUGAAUUGAUGCUCUGGGUUUUUGACUUUUGUUGUCAAAUUUUACUCUGUUUUUCCCAAAUUGAUGCUANNNNNNNNNNNNNNNNNNNNNNNNNNNNNNNNNNNNNNNNNNNNNNNNNNNNNNNNNNNNNNNNNNNNNNNNNNNNNNNNNNNNNNNNNNNNNNNNNNNNNNNNNNNNNNNNNNNNNNNNNNNNNNNNNNNNNNNNNNNNNNNNNNNNNNNNNNNNNNNNNNNNNNNNNNNNNNNNNNNNNNNNNNNNNNNNNNNNNNNNNNNNNNNNNNNNNNNNNNNNNNNNNNNNNNNNNNNNNNNNNNNNNNNNNNNNNNNNNNNNNNNNNNNNNNNNNNNNNNNNNNNNNNNNNNNNNNNNNNNNNNNNNNNNNNNNNNNNNNNNNNNNNNNNNNNNNNNNNNNNNNNNNNNNNNNNNNNNNNNNNNNNNNNNNNNNNNNNNNNNNNNNNNNNNNNNNNNNNNNNNNNNNNNNNNNNNNNNNNNNNNNNNNNNNNNNNNNNNNNNNNNNNNNNNNNNNNNNNNNNNNNNNNNNNNNNNNNNNNNNNNNNNNNNNNNNNNNNNNNNNNNNNNNNNNNNNNNNNNNNNNNNNNNNNNNNNNNNNNNNNNNNNNNNNNNNNNNNNNNNNNNNNNNNNNNNNNNNNNNNNNNNNNNNNNNNNNNNNNNNNNNNNNNNNNNNNNNNNNNNNNNNNNNNNNNNNNNNNNNNNNNNNNNNNNNNNNNNNNNNNNNNNNNNNNNNNNNNNNNNNNNNNNNNNNNNNNNNNNNNNNNNNNNNNNNNNNNNNNNNNNNNNNNNNNNNNNNNNNNNNNNNNNNNNNNNNNNNNNNNNNNNNNNNNNNNNNNNNNNNNNNNNNNNNNNNNNNNNNNNNNNNNNNNNNNNNNNNNNNNNNNNNNNNNNNNNNNNNNNNNNNNNNNNNNNNNNNNNNNNNNNNNNNNNNNNNNNNNNNNNNNNNNNNNNNNNNNNNNNNNNNNNNNNNNNNNNNNNNNNNNNNNNNNNNNNNNNNNNNNNNNNNNNNNNNNNNNNNNNNNNNNNNNNNNNNNNNNNNNNNNNNNNNNNNNNNNNNNNNNNNNNNNNNNNNNNNNNNNNNNNNNNNNNNNNNNNNNNNNNNNNNNNNNNNNNNNNNNNNNNNNNNNNNNNNNNNNNNNNNNNNNNNNNNNNNNNNNNNNNNNNNNNNNNNNNNNNNNNNNNNNNNNNNNNNNNNNNNNNNNNNNNNNNNNNNNNNNNNNNNNNNNNNNNNNNNNNNNNNNNNNNNNNNNNNNNNNNNNNNNNNNNNNNNNNNNNNNNNNNNNNNNNNNNNNNNNNNNNNNNNNNNNNNNNNNNNNNNNNNNNNNNNNNNNNNNNNNNNNNNNNNNNNNNNGAAGGGUCUCUAAUCAAUAGCUGGAAGCAAUUGAGAAGGCGGUUGCUACAGUGAAUUCAAAUGUAAAAUGUUUGCUAUUCUUCGAUUUGGUUAAUGAUUUCGUAUGAAUAUUGUUGUUCCGUUGAGUUGCAUGCGAAUUCAAAUGCAAAAUAUUCUUCGAUUUUCAAUUUUGAAAUCAAAUUUUUUUUUCCUUCUCAAGCAUGUUAUGCAGAAACGAUUGUCAUGUUAUGCAGAAACGAUUUUUACUAAAUCAUUUUUAACAAACUAUUGAAAUUAAACCACUGGAAUAAGAAUUGUAAGGAUUUAUCGUAAGCUUACUAAUACGAUAAUUCUGAAACUAUCACCUUUUUUUUUUUAUUUGUUGCAGGGAAACCCAAAUUUUGUAUUUUGUCAAUUUCAUCUGAUAUGGAAUUUAUUUCCUCCCUAAAGAUUUAUCAAACUGCUUCUCUUCCCUGCUUCAAUAUCUUUAUGCAAUUACGAUCUCAUAGGAAAAGAGAGUUUGGGUUGUAUAUCUUAUAGUAUUUAUUUAUUUUUUGUUAAAAGAAAUUUAUUUUAAAAUAGUUUAUAGCAACAGUUUUUAUUUAACAAUAAUGAGGAAGGAUUAUUAUAGGUUCAAAUAGUUGUUAGAACAUUAUAAAAAAGUCCAUUUACUAUCAAAUGUUUUAAAUUGGUGCAACGUGAUAAUUGUCUCAUAUAAUUUUUUAAGGGUAAAAACUCGUUUCAUUCCCAUAUUUUAAGAUUAUUACUCAUUUAGUCUUUAUAUUUUUAAAAAUGUUUCAAAACAUUCAUACCCUUAAAUUAUUAACAUCUCUGCUGUUACUUUUUAUUUUUUUUUGACUUGUUUUUACAAUAUUGCCCUCUUACAAUAAUGUUUCUUUUUAUAAAAUUAAUAAAAAGAAAAAAAAUUAAAUUAUCAAUUUAACCCCAAAAAUAAAAUAAAAAUAAAAAGAAUAAAUAUUAAUUUUUGUGAAAGUUUACAUGUGUCCAAAAUAAAUUUUAUUGUAAAAAUAAUUAAAUUGCCUUUUUUUUGGACAUUAGUAAUAAAAAAAUUAAUAUAUUAAUUCCUCAGCAGUGUGUUACAAAAAAGUAAAAUAUAUUAAUUUUGUUUUUAUUUUAGACAAUGAGAUAGAGAAAAGUACAAGAUAAAGGAAAGGACUUCAAAACUCACUGUUCAUCAUAAUGCCCUUUGCCUUUAAAAAAAAAUCAUUCUAAUAUUUUAUAACACAUAAAAUAUAAUCCUAAGAUAAAUAUAAUAAUACAUAUUUUAAACUAAUCUCGAUAUUUAAAAUAUGUUUUAAUAUUUUAUAAUCUAUCAGACAUAUUUUAUUAUAUUAAUGUAAAAUUUAUAAUAAAUACAAACAUAUUAUUAAAAUAAAUAUAUAAAAAAUAUUUAUUUUUUAUAUGUUUACACUGAGGACUCUCUUUAAUUCAUUUAUUUUCUCUCUCUCCAAACAGGUACUGUCUUCAGUUAGCAAUGCUAUGAUAGUAAUCCAAUUCUCUUCUCCCCCACCUGAGCGAGAUUUGAAUUUGAAUCCCUUGUUUUUCACCCACUCUGUUUUUUUUCACGCAAGAUUUGACAAUUUGAGUUAAAAAAUAUGGUCCAAAACUUGAACACGUAUCUUUUAAUUGUAAUAAAAGUUCUUUAAGCUUUGGAGAUGGCAUAUAUAUGGCUGGAAGUGUCCUUUUCUUUGACCUAGAGGCAGCACCAAGCUAUCCAGCAUCAUCAUUUUUCAAGUGGGUCUUAAAUGCCUAGAAACGUUGGUGUUUCUUGAUUUAAAGAUGACACAUGCUAUAAGUGUGAAUGGUUUGGCUAAGCCUAAAUUUAAAGUCUACUCAAGUCGCAUUCAGGAUCAUGGAAAUUGGAAAGGGAGAGAUGAUAGCAAGAUUUAUAAUAAACAAUUAACUUGGGUCCUCAGUGUACAAAGCAAAUGCCACGCAAGCGAUAGCCGGCCCAGCCCAGAAAACCCAGUGGCGAUCCCAGAGAUGGCCUCCUCUAACGAGUGCUGGGCCCAAAAAUCUUUGCGGGUUGAGCCCAGCUCCGGCAUAGCCCUUUUGAGCAGUAACAGUUGUCGAGACAAAAACCAGAAGACCCAACACUGUUCCAAUGACAAUGCAUACGGUAAACUCUGCCAAGAGCCUUGGCUUGUCUGGAGUCAAAAGCCAUCCACACAGAAGCAAAAAGGAACACAAACGAGCAAAUUAUCUCAAGCCAAAGGGCCUGCCUAGUCCCCAAGCCGAUCUCAACAGGCCCAUCUGGCCCAGGUACGACAACAUUCAGGGUGCAGCCUCCAAGUUGUCAAAUAUUUAUAUUAAACUACAAUUGCUGACUAGAAAAAUCAAGAUCGUAUUACAAGUGGGUCCCGAAUUGGACGUGCCUAAAUCUUUUUAUAAUUUUCCCAGUGUAGCGGACAGAGGUCAUUACUAAAUUUCUCUUCCACACGCCACAGCAGCUUCGGUUAAUCAAACUCAAUCAAUUUUCUUGGCUUCUCCGCUUAUCAAUAUUACAAGGUAUGGGUAGCAUUUUUCAAAUCACAUGCGAUGGUACUAUUUUCAAUCGUUGCUUAGAUUGCUUUCUUGGAAAAGCAGCAUACAUAAGUAACCUCCAAGAUAAUCUUGUUGCCUUGGAGACUGAACUAAGGAAACUAAUCGCAGCAAAGAACGAUGUGAUGACGGCGGUUGUCAAUGCUGAACGGCAACAAAUGAGAAGGCUGGACCAAGUGCAAGUGUGGGUUUCGAGGGCGGAUGCUGUUAAAAAUGAAGCUGAUGAACUUAUCAGAGGCGGCUCUCAAGAAAUUGAAAAAUUAUGUCUUAGAGGGUUCUGUUCCAGGAACUGCACGUCAAGCUACAAGUUCGGAAAACAAGUGGCUAAAAAGCUACGAGCUGUGGAGACUUUAAUCGCCGAAGGAGUUUUUGAGGCGGUGGCUGCCGAGGUGGUGCCUGAGAGAGCUCCAGAGCCUGUAGCAGAUGAAAGACCUACCGAGCGAACAGUAGUAGGCUUGCAAUCACAACUUGAACAAGUCUGGAGAUGUCUUGCAGAAGAAUCAGCGGGAAUCAUUGGCCUAUAUGGUAUGGGCGGUGUUGGUAAAACUACACUAUUGACCUAUAUCAACAAUAAAUUUCUCGAGAGUCCAACCAACUUUGAUUGUGUGAUUUGGGUAGUAGUUUCAAAAGACCUGCGACUUGAAAAACUUCAAGAAAAUAUUGGGAAAAAGAUAGGUUUGGUUGAUGAUUCAUGGAAGAGUAAAAGUGUAGAGGAGAAAGCUCUCGACAUCUUCCGGAGUUUAAGAGAGAAGAGAAUUGUAUUGCUGUUAGAUGAUAUAUGGGAGCGGGUUGAUUUAACAAAAGUGGGCGUUCCACUUCCAGGACCACAAAAUACUACCUCAAAAGUCGUAUUCACAACCCGUUUGAUCGAUGUUUGUGGUAGCAUGGAAGCUGACAGGAAGUUCAAAGUAGCAUGCUUAUCAGAAAAGGAUGCUUGGGAACUGUUUCGAAAAAAAGUUGGGGAAGAAACUCUUGGAAGUCAUCAUGAUAUCGUUGAGCUAGCCCAAACUGUGGCCAAAGAGUGUGGUGGUUUGCCACUCGCACUUAUUACUAUCGGUCGAGCUAUGGCCUACAAAAAGACAGCCGAAGAGUGGAGACACGCAGUUGAAGUUCUAAGAAGAUCAGCUUCGGAAUUUGCAGGUUUGGGAAAAGAGGUGUAUCCUCUUUUAAAGUUUAGCUAUGAUAGUUUGCAGAAUAAGACGAUUAGAUCUUGUUUCUUAUAUUGUUGUUUAUAUCCUGAAGAUUAUGGCAUUCUUAAAUGGGACUUGAUUGACUGUUGGAUUGGUGAGGGAUUCUUAGAGGAAUCUGACAGGUUUGGUGCAGAAAACCAAGGAUACUACAUUGUGGGCACUCUUGUUCAUGCGUGUUUACUAGAAGAGAUAGAAGAUGAUAAAGUAAAAAUGCAUGACGUUGUUCGUGAUAUGGCUCUAUGGAUAGCUUGUGAAAUUGAGAAGGAGAAGAGAAACUUUUUGGUUUGUGCAGGUGCGGGACUAAAGGAGGCACCUGAUGUUAAAAGAUGGGAAAAUGUGAGAAGAUUGUCAUUGAUGCAAAACCAAAUUGAAACUUUGUCAGAGGUUCCUGCAUGCCCUCAUCUCCAUACUCUAUUUCUUGCCUCUAAUAAUAGUUUGCAGAGGAUCACCGAUGGCUUCUUCCAAUUUAUGCCUUCUCUCAAAGUUUUCAAGAUGUCAAACUGCGGGAAUUUAAUUUUGGAAUUACCUUUUGGGAUGUCAAAGUUGGGUUCAUUGGAACUUCUCGAUAUUUCACAUACCUACAUACAAGAGUUACCACAAGAGUUAAAGUUGUUGGUAAAUCUGAAAUGUUUGAAUUUGAGGUGGACAAGCGAGUUAAAUAAAAUUCCACGGCAGCUAAUAUCAAAUUCUUCAAGGUUACGUGUGUUGAGAAUGUUGGGUACUGGCUGGUUCAAUUUUCAUGAAGCAUCAGAAGACAGCGUUUUAUUUGGCGGGGGUGAAGUUUUAGUACGGGAAUUGCUCGGUUUGAAAUAUUUAGAGGUAUUGGAGUUGACCUUGCGAAGUUAUCAUGCUCUCCAAAUUGUUUUGAGCUCAAAUAAGUUAAAAAGUUGUAUUCGAUCUCUUUACCUCCAGUUGACCGGAGAUAGAAAGUCGAUUAUUGAUGCUACGGCUUUCGCAGAUCUAAACCACCUCAAUGAAUGAUUGAUUUUUAAAGGUUUUGAGUUGGAAGAAUUGAAGAUUGAUUAUACAGAGAUAGUACGAAAAAGGCGGGAACCUUUUGUUUUCCGCAGCCUUCACCGUGUUACCAUAGAUUCGUGCCUUAAAUUGAAAGAUUUGACAUUCCUCGUUUUUGCUCCAAACCUCAAGUCUCUUUCGCUAUUCAAUUGCCGUGCUAUGGAAGAAAUAAUCAGCGUUGGAAAAUUUGCUGAGGUUCCUGAGAUGAUGGGACAUAUAAGCCCUUUUGAAAAUCUCCGAAGUCUUCGUUUGUCACAUUUGCCAAAUUUGAAGAGCAUCUACUGGAAGCCAUUGCCUUUCACUCAUCUGAAAGAAAUGGUGGUACAUGGGUGUGAUCAGCUUAAAAAGCUUCCACUCGAUUCCAACAGUGCAAAAGAGCGUAAAUUUGUUAUUCGUGGACAAGCAGACUGGUGGGACCGACUUCAAUGGGAGGAUGAAGCCACUCAAAUUGCUUUUAGUUCCUGUUUCCAACCUUAACUUGAUUUCUGGUUAGUGCUGUUUCCUUAACUUUUACAUAUAUUCUCGUCGUUUGCUUCGUGCAAAAUACUAGGUCUUUUGUUCUCUGUUUUUAUUUCGCCCAUUUUUUUUUUUUUUUUUUGUCUUCUGCAAAUGACAGACAAAUGUUGAACUAAAAGGAAUUAAUGCUUUAUAACUUUGCCGGCAUUGCUUUUUUCUUUUUCUUUUUUGAUUUUUUGGGGCGAGGGGGGAUCGAAUAGAUGCUCUGGUUUUUGACUUUUUGUUGUCAAAUUUUACUCUGUUUUUUUCAAAUUGAUGCUUGAAUAUUUGAAUCAAAUUAAUGCUCACGUAAAUUUGUUCAGUUGCCGUAAAAGGAUAUAAUUACACUGAAAUACACAAACUCUAGAAUGAAUAGAAUUAAACAGAGAAAAUCUUGAGUAUAUUAGCCGUCUUCACAUAAAAUCAUAUGAAAAUUAAAUUUUGAAGUUUUUAUUUUCUAUUUUUAAUCAUACCCUUUAUAAUUUCUUCUGUUCUAACUACAAUAAAAUUUUUGGUUCAAGGAUUUUUAUGAGGGGUAUUAAUAAUAGUCCACCAAAAGAGUGAACAGUUGGAUGCUGCCCUAAGGGUCUCUAAUCAAUAGCUGGAAGCAAUUGAGAAGGCGGUCGUUACUGUGUACAAAGCCAUGCAGUAUUUGCUAUUCAUCUUAGUAAUUAUGAAGCUUUGGUAAAAUUUUCAAACAAAGUUGACAUGUUAUUUUGAGAUUUGGUUCAUGAUUUUGUAUGAAUAUCGUUGUUCCAUUGAGUUGUAUAUGAAUUCAAAUGUAAAAUAUUCUUUGGUUUUCAAUUUUGAAUUCAAUUUCUUUUCUUAAGCAUGUUGUGCAGAAAUGAUUUCUACUAAAUCAUUUUUGAUAAACUACUUAAAUUAAACAACUGCAAUAAGAACUGUUAAGGAUUUAUCGUAAGCAGACUAAUAUGAUAAUUCUGAAACUAUCAUUUUUUUUUUCAAUUUGUUGCAGGGAAAGCCAAAUUUUGUAUUUUUCAGUUUUAUCUGAUAUGGAAUUUAUUUCCUCUACACUAGCUACCUAAAGAUUUAUCAAAUUGCUUCUCUUCCCUGCUUCAAAUUAAUAUCUUUAUGCAACUACAAUCUCAUAGGAAAAGACAGUUUGGGUUGUAUUUAUUAUAGUUUUUUUUUUCGUUAAGAGCAAUUUAUUUUAAAAUCGUUUAGUAGUAACAGUUUUUAUUGAAUAAUAAUGGGGUAGGAUUAUUAUAGGUUCAACUAGUUGUUAGAACAUUAUAAAAAGUCCAUUUACUAUCAAAUGCUUUAAAUUGGUGCAACAUGAUAAUUGUCCCACAUAAUUUUUAAUAAUAUAUAUGGCCCAUAAAUUUAAUAUGAAUAAAUGAGUUUCGAUAGUUAAAUUUGAUACGAUUAUUAAAUAAGUUAUAUCCAUGUCAAUUCGACUUAAAAUCUGGUAAAUUUAGAUUUAGAGUUUAUAACAUGAUAACUUGUUUUAUGACAUGAUUUACUAAUCAAUUAAUAUUAAAUUAUAUUUUAGCCAAUCAGAUAUGUGGUACAUUUGUCAAAUUUUAAAAAUUAUUUAUUUAUAUAUGAAAUAAAUUUGACUAGACUGUGUGUAGGUAAUAGUGCAUAAUUUCUAAAAAAAUGUAAUAAUAACACGUUAAAAUGUUAUUUUUAUGAAGAAAAAUUGAAAUUUUAUUAAAUAGGCGACACAAUAAUAAAUGGGUUGAGAUUAUUUACAUUUUAAGAAUUACUCUGAACAUUAUUUUAUUUUAUAAAUUUUAUAUUACAAAAACACCCAUAGUUUAAUUUACCAUUAAGAACAAUUUUGUGCGAUUAAAUAAAAUACAUUACUCUUUACCCUUUCACUACAUCGACAUAAAUCCUAAUUGUUAUGUUUCUAAUUUCUUUGAUAUGCUUAUUGAAGUCCACAUUAUAAUCAAUUUUAAACUAUUAUACCACUUAAAUACAUUUUAGAAUGAGAAGUUUGGUUUUCUUCAUGGGCUGCCUUGCUGAUGCUGUUAUUGAAACUAUCGAACUUAAUAAUUUUAUGGCCAAAAUGAUAUAUGUUGAACCAGCUUUUACAUCGAAUUCUACCACCAUAAAAAAUCGUACUUGUAACAUCUCAAGGUUCCAAUUUAUCAAAAGUUAAUCAUUCAUAUUUGUUAGUUCCUAACAGUCACAAGAGCGUACAAGCCAAUUUUUGUAGCUCCUUUUUCUGCAGUAGAUUCAAGUAUAUUAUUAUCAAGCAUUUUUGUUACACCCUUAAUUCCUUAUCAUCAUCCCUUCAUUCAGAGCAACUAAACAGAGGUCAAUGUCAUUAUGUUAGAGUUACGAGGAAGAGUACUGCCAAAAAAGUUCUUUGUAUGGGAUUUAAUUUUCUGGGUUUGUAGUGAUGAACAAAUUGAGGGUUGUUUUGGUAUUUUCAAGAGUGUAUUGAGUGAAAAUUAUUUUUAAAAAAUUUAACAAAUGAGUGUAAUGAGUAAAAAAGUGUUUAAAGUAUUUUUUAGAGUACAAAUAGCUCCACCUUAAUAAAUGAGUUCUUGUAAAAAUUGAGAUUAUUGAUAUAAUUAUUAAAUAGGUUGGAUUGAAGUUAGUUUAAUUUUGACAAGAUAAUAAGACGACGCGACACAAAUACAACCAACCAGUCAACCCAAAUUGCAACCUUUUACUAAUAAAAGAUACCUGUUUGAAAAGUAAUUAUAAGCUAUCUUCUUUGUGUUAUUUCUCUAAAAAUUUGCGGCACAAAUAUUAUUUCCAUGGAGAAAAGUACGAAAUACCCGCUUUCACUUCAGCAGAAGCAAAGCAAAGCUAUGAGCCAUCUCUGUAUAAUUGAAACGCCAUUGCUAAACGGUUCUUGAUGAUGGGUGCCACCGUGCCAGCGUUGUCGCUGAUUUGCAUGAUUUAUUAGUUGUUCAGAUGGCGGAUUUUGUACUGUCACUUUCAUUUCAUUCUUGAGAGCCACGUACAAUACUAGGUGGCAUUGAAGUUGCCCCAGUGGUUAGUUUUCUGAUUUUUUUUAAUUCAAAUUUUUAUGUUUUAGAAAAAUGUAAGAAAUAUGUAGAAAUGUUGACAGCUACAAUUUUGAAACUUUGCCUAAAAUUAUUAUCGUUGCUUAUUGUUUCUUAGCUAAAGAGAAAUCCUAGAAACAUGAAAUUAUUAUUCUAUGCUUGUUUUAAUAUUAUACAUUAGCAGGUUAAUUAAAAAUUAGACGUGAAUACAACAAGAGAUAAGUGGAGAGAAUUUGGUAGUCGACCGCAUUUAGAAUUUAAUUUUUCUUUUAGCUGCCGAUCAUUAAAUUUUAUAUUUCAGAAAAUUAUACCUAGAAUAUUUCAAGGAUAUACUACGAAGAUUAUGAAGGUUUGAUUACAUGUCACUAUCAAUUGCCUCAAUCAUUUGUAGUAAAUUAAUUAAUCAUUUUGCUGCAAAUGAUUUCCUAUUAAAAAAUUCAAGUCAGAGCUGAAUUGCACAGUAGUUAGUCGUGCUUGCAAUUCAAAUCAAGUAUUGUAUUUUCUGCCUGAUUUGGUUGAUUCAACUAUGUGCAUUUGCAUAAUGGAGAUGCUUAUGAACGUUGUAGUAUAGAAAUCGAAACGUCUUGUCUUUUGCUAAGCCCAGAAGCAAAGUUCUUUGUAUUAUACUCAUCAGUUUUCUUCGUUCUCUUCGUUGAAAUUUUAUCCAAACAGCGGUUUCUUCGAAUUUUUGCCCUCUCUUACAUUUUUAAAUCUAUCAAAGAACGGUUACCUGAGAAGAUUGCCAUCAGGUAUUUCGAAAUUGAUUUCACUACAAUACCUUAAUCUAUCAGAUUUUAAUCUAUCAGAUGCUCCCGUCACUCAGUUGCCAAAAGUGACAAAAGCCUUAGUAAAUUUUUAGAGUAAAAACUCAUUUAUUCCUUAUAUUUUAAGAUUAGUAUCUAUUUAGUCCUUAUAUUUUGAAAAAUACCUUGAAACAUCACUGCCAUUAAAGUAUUGAUACCCUUACCGUUACUUUUUAUUUAUUUUGGCUUAUUUUUACAAUAUUACCCUUUAAUAAUAAUUUUUUUGUUUAGACAUUAAUAAAAAUAAAAUAAUUAAAUUACCAAUUUAAUCCUAAAAAAUAAAAAUAAAAAUUUAUAUUAAUUUUUAAUUGUAAAAAAUUGUAUGCAAACUACCAAAUGUGCAAACGGUGCUUGCAAAAAAAUUAAUAUAAAUUUUUUAUUUUUAGGGUUAAAUUAGUAAUUUAAUUAUUUUAUUUUUAUUAAUGUCCAAAAAAUUAGUAAUUUAAUUAUUUUCUUUUUAUUAAUGUCCAAAAAUUAUUAUAAAAGGGUAAUAUUAUAAAAGUAAGCUAAAAGAAAUGAAAAGUAACGGUAGGGGUAUCAAUACUUUAACGGUAGGGAUGUUUCGAGGUAUUUUUAAAAAUAUAAAGAGUAAAUGGACACUAAUAUUAAAAUACAGGGACUAAAUAAGUUUUUAUCCUAAAUCUUUAAGUGUUUGAAUUGGAGUACAUAAAUUAUCUCUCUACAAUUCAAAAACAACAGAUUUGUUACUUUUCAACGCUACAGGUUCCGCGAAUAUUCAGUUGUGGUUAUCUUGUUGAAACACCAGAAAAUAGCGUUCUAUUUGGUGGUAAUGAAUUCUUGGUUGGGGAGUUACUUAGUUUAAAACAUUUAAAUGUAUUAAGCAUCGCCUUAAAAGGUUUUUCUACCGUCCAAAAAUUUAUGAGCUCCCAAAAGUUUCAAAGUUGUACAAAAUGUUUGGAGCUUAUAGACAGUGAUGAUUCAAAGUCGUUUGCCAUGGCAGAGUUGAAGCAUCUUGAAAAACUAGGUAUUUCAAAUUGUGGAAAUUUGGAAGAGUUUAAGUUCUGCUGUGUCGAAGUUGGAAAAACUUGAGAAGAUUUUUGUUUGAACAGCCUUCACCAAGUUAAGAGAAAGGCUUGUCAUAAAUUGAGGGAAGUGACAUGGCUUGUGUUUGUACCAAAUCUUAAGGUUAUUCAGAUAGAAAAAUGUAUGGAGAUGGAGGUUGUUGGGAAAGAGACUACCACAAGCAGCUAAAAAUUAAGCGAAUACAAAAUUCUUUCUCUCUUUGUGUGAUUAAAAUAGGAUGUGCACCACAAACAAAUAAGCAGAAAAAUAAACCAAUAAAUGCAAAGCAAAAACCAACCACAAGAGACACCGAUUUUUAAGUAGAAAAUUUAAAUUGGGAAAAAUCACAGGAUAGUAGUCUGAUAUAAACUUCUACUAUAUUAAUGAGAUUACAACACAAAUUCUUCUCCAGAUAAUACUAGAUGCUAACAAUAUUAAAAUUCUCAACAAUCUUAGUUUAUAAUAAUAGAUCUAAAAUCUAUUUCUUCAAUAAGUGAGUAUCUCAAAUAAUAGCUACUGAGAGAAUAAAAUACAGAUCAACACCAGUAGAAAUAUAGAGGGCAAUGUCAGGAACUUACCCUCCAAAUUUAGGACUAAUCAGAGCUAAAAUAACCUUUUGAUUGUUGAAUCAAAGAUUGAAAACCAAAAAAAAAAAAAAUAUCUCUUUCUCUCGCAGUGUCUUCUCACUUUCGCAAAAUGUCUACAGCUCUCGCGAUUCUUUACUUAUUUCCUUAGUUAAUUUCAUCCAAGUCCAAAAUUUUACAAUAAUUACACAUCAAGCAAAUUAUUUUGGACUUUGAACUUUUUGGUCCACUGAAGUGAAAUGGACCUUACAAAUCUCCCCCUCCAUCUCAUCUAAGGGGCACCACCAAGCCCGCUCUCUACUUACAGCUUUCCAGCUUCUCCUUGGGUAAUGACUUUAUCAUCAUAUCUGAUGCAUUCUUCGUUGUGUGAAUUUCUCCAAGCUGCAACUGUUUCUACUCAAGCACGUCUUGUAUCCAAUGAUACUUCAUAUCAAUAUGCUUCGAUUUCAAAUGAUAUGUUGAAUUCUUUGCCAAGUGGAUGACACUUUAACUGUCACAGUACACAACAUAACUAUCUUGAUUAACACCUAGUUCUUGUAGAAAAUUCUUCAUCCACAAGGUUUCUUUGUAACUUUCAGUGAUUGUAAUAUACUCUACUUCUGUAGUAGACAAAGCAACACACUACUAAAGUCUAGACUGCCAUGAAACUGCUCCUCCUACAUAGGUGAGCAAAUAUCUUGAUAGAGACUUUCUAGAAUCAACAUCUCCUGCCAUAUAUGCAUCCGUAUCUACUUGUAAUAUAGGUUUGUCACCACCAAAACAUAAACAUGCCUUGGAAGUGCCUCUGAGAUAUAUGACAAUCUACUUUACUGCUGUCCAGUGUUUUUUACCCAGAUUAGAGGAAAACCAGUUGACUACCAACUGUUGAAGCGUACCUCAAACUACCAACUGUUGAAGCAUAAAAAACUCUUUUUAUCUCUUGCUUCUCUUUCUCACUUAUGGGACAAUGCUUGAAACUAAGCUUGAAAUGACCUGCAAGUGGAAAAUAAACAUAUUUUGCUUUGUCCAUAUUAUAUCUUUUAAGAACUUUUUCAACAUAUGCUUCCUGAGAUAACCAUAAAUUCCCAGUUUUUCUGUCACGAGAAAUCUUCAUGCCAAGAAUUUGUUUCGCCGAUCCCAAGUCCUUCAUUACAAAAGACUUGCUAAGCUCUCUCUUCAAAUUGUCAAUCUUACUAGUAUCCUUGCCAACAAUCAACAUGUCAUCCACAAAAAGUAAAAGAAUAAUAAAAUCAUUAUCACUAAACUUUUUCACAAACAUACAAUGAUCACACAUUGUCUUGCAAAAGCCAUGAUUCUCCAUAAAAGAAUCAAACUUCUUAUACCACUGUCUUGGUGCAUGUUUCAGCCCAUAUAAAGUUUUUUUCAAUUUGUACACAAGUUCUUCUUUACCUUUGACACUGAACUCUUCAGGUUGUUAUAUGUAUAUUUCCUCCUUUAAGUCAUCGUGUAAGAAAGCAGUCUUUACAUUGAAUUGUUCAAUUUCCAAAUCCAAGCUAGCUACUAAUCCCAGAGGUGCUUGCUCAAUUGGUUCUGCUGGACCAUUAUUAUUAUCCUCUCCAGCUCCCCUAUGAUCAUCAUGAACAACAUGUGGAGAAACCGAAGUUGGAAUAAUAAGAAUCUCUGGAGAUGGCUGAGACUUAUCAUUUUUUUUUCAUCACCAACUAUCUAAUUUUUAAGAAACACAACAUCUCUAAUUCUGAUUACUUUUCUUGUCACUGGAUCCCAUAAUCUGUACCCAAAUUCUUCAUGUCCAUAGCUUAAGAAAAUACAUUUCUUGGCUUUAUCAUCAAGUUUUGAUCUCUCAUCUUUAGGGAUAUGAACAUACACUCUGCACUUAAACACCCUCAAGUGUUUAUAAGAAACAUCUUUCCCAAUCCAAACUCUUUUAGGUACAUCGUCAUCUAAUGGAGCUUAAGGAGAAAGAUUAAUCAAAUCAACUACAGUACGCAUAGCCUCCGCUCAGAAGGAUUUAUAAAGCUUGGCAUCAGAAAACAUACAUCUGACUAUCUUUUCAAUUGUUCUGUUCAUUAUUUCUGCAACACCACUCUGCUGAGGGGAUUUUGGUACAGUUUUCUUAAGUUUGAUUCCAUGAGAUCUGCAAUACUGCUCAAAUGGUCCUCUGUACCCACCAUCAUUUUCUGCCCUGACACAUUUCAAUUUUUUUCUUGUCCCUCUCUCAACAUAAGCACGAAAGAAUUUAAACAUAGUAAGCACGAAAGAAUUUAAACAUAUCAAGCACUUAAUCUUUAGAUUUUAAAGCAAAAGUCCAUACUUUUCUAGAACAAUCAUUAAUAAAAGUCAUAAAAUAAAGUGCACCUCCUAUUGAUCUAUUUUGCAUCAUGCAAAUAUCAAUGUGAAUCAAAUCAAGGAUUUGUGACUUUCUAGAUGGAGAAAAGCUUUUAAAAGUUACUUUAUGUGCCUUUCCAGCUAAACACUAAACACAAGUCUUGAGGGACGUACCUACAAAGCUUGGUAGAAAUCCUUUUUUGGCAAGAGUUCCUAACCCUUUCUCACCAAUGUGACCAAGCCUUUUAUGCCAUGUCUCAAUGUCAGAAUUGUUUACAGCCAUAUUCAUAUAUUCUUUCUUGAUUUUGGCUUCUAUUACGUAGAGGGUGUUCAUUUUCUUUCCUUUAGCCAACACUAGAGAGCCUUUGGUGAGCUUUCAUUUUCCUUCACCAAAUUAGUUAGUAUAACUAUCAUCAUCAAUUUUUCUUGUGGAGAUCAAAUUAAGACGAAUAUCUAGUACAUGCAAGCUUUUUUGUGGAGAUCAAAUUAAGGCGAAUAUCUAGUACAUGUCUGACAUCUUUAAGGAGUAGCUUAUAGCCAACACUGGUUUGAAGCAAAUAUCUCCUAUGCCCACAAUCUUGGAUGCCCCCUCAUUUCCCAUCCGAACAUGGUCAUAAUUACCAUUAACAUAGGAUGUGAAGUAAUCAUGAUGUGCAGUUGUUGUGCAAAUUUUAAUGUACUCGCAAGCGCACGAAUCUAUUGUAGUAUAGAUCAAUGGUGACGAGUGUCGAUCCCACGAGGAGGUGGAUUUUAAUUGUGUAUAGAAUUAAUUUUGCAAAUGGUUGAUUGGAUUUGUGGUGGAAAUGAUUUGGAAUAUGCUAAAACUUAAAUUAAAAUGGCGAGAAUAAAUUCUAAAAUUGGAAUUGAAAUUGCGAGAAUAAAGUUGAAGAGAAUUCUAUUGAAAUGACGUACUUGGGUAUCUGGAUCCGUAUCAACAUGCAUCAUGGGCUAAAUAAUGCGUAUUAAUGCCAAUUAAAUCAUGAGGGGGGAAUCCACACCUCAUGAACCACGCUCUAAUCAAUAUGGUGCUAAGGGCUUAUCGUGCCAAAUAAUAAUAACCUUGUACUAGAGAGCCGGUGUAACCAAGGCGGUACUAGACAAGAUUAGUAUUAUUUGUCGACGAGAAGUCAAAACAUCCACAAAAACUAGAGGGGAAGAGAAAAUAAAUUUACCAAAUAAAGCCCAUGACACAUGUUGAGACUUCACCUUCAACCCAAGCUUAAAAGAAAAUUAGCUACUCAUAAUUGAACUAAGGGCAAAAUGGGAAUUUAUUAAAAUACGAAGAAAAUACAAGAUAGAGAGGGAAUUACAGAAAAUGGAUCCCAAAAAUGGAUUCAGAGAUAUCAAAUUAGGGGGGGAGGCCCCCUUUUUAUAGAUACAUGGAGUAAAUCAUGGCAAUCGGAUUAAAAACAGUUUGGACGCUCAGGAUUGCGCCACGUCAUCAGUCAACAGUCCACGGUUUGACCACGCGGAUGAACAGUAAUACGGUUUGACCCAUAUGAACAGUACGCGGUUUGACCCGGAUGAACAGUAACGCGGUUUGGUUGAAAAUAAUCCUGUGUGAUGCAUGCACCGUACGCGAGAUUUUUUGUCCACUGAUAUGCUGCCACGUCACCAUCAACAGUACAUAAGAAUUUUAGUCCAACAGGAUCGUGACACCUCAUCAGUCAAUGCCACAUCAUCGAUCCGUCUAUGUGAGCAGUGCCGUGAACAGUAACAUAUACAGUACCGUAUACGUGAAUAGUACCGUACAUGUGAAUAGUGCUAUUUUUCCUUUUAUGCUCCUCCUAAGGUUUUCGACCGUCCUGAGUUCAAAAGUGAUGUCCGUUUUACCGUCUGAUCUCUCCUUUAUUGUGAAAUCACUAUAAUACCACUAAAAUACAUAAAAUACUUAAUUAAAAUAAAACACAUGUAAUUAAAUCACAAGAAGGUUAAAUACAUAAAAGUAAGGGUUGUUAGUAAGACUUGAAAUGUAAAAUGAUGGUUUUCUCCUUUAUAAAUAUGCAUUUUCUAACACUCAACAGCAGUAACCACGAUGUGCAGUAACAUCAAACGAAGCACCCGAAUCAAUCACCCAAUUACUGGUAUGGCAAGUAAGAUUUAUAGAGCUAUCAUUAUAAGCAAUGCCCAUAUCACCAUUAAUUACGGCUGUAACAUUCUCUUUGUCAUUUUUCUGACCAUCGCCUUUUUCUUUCGCAUGUUCUCUUUUCCACAAUUUACACUACCUUUUUACAUGGCCCAUUUUCUGACAAUGAAAGCACUUAGCUUCUCCUAUGGGACUUAGAUCUUCCUCCAGGGUUAUCAUUAUUCUGAUGACGGAAAUUUCUGCUUCGACUUCUCCCCCGUCUUUUUUGGUUUUCUGAAACAAGUGUAGCUGACUCAGAGGGAACUACUUCAGCAUUCUUUCUUCGAGAUUCUUCAUUCCGCAGUCUAUCUGUAACCAUAUCCAAGUUUAAUUUACCAUUCGGUGCCGAAUUAUUCACUGACACCACUAAUGUCUCCCAACUAUCAGGUAAAGAACUAAGCAACAACAAUGCUUGUAACUCGUCAUCUAGAAUAAUCUUCAUAGUAGUCAACUGAUCAACCAAACCCUGAAACUCACUAGUGUGUUCAGUAAUACUGUGGCCUUUUUUAUAUUUCAAGUUAACAAGCCUUUUCAUUAGAUUGACUUUAUUUUGUGCUGUUGGCUGCUCAUAAAUUAUUUCUAAUUUUCUCCAAAGAACAUCAGCCUUGGAUUCCUUCGCGACAUGAUGGUACACACUCUGAUCAAUCCAUGACCUAAUAGUGCCCACGGCUUUCUGGUUCAAUUGAGCCCAUUUCUUAUCAUCUAUAUCAACAAGUUUAACUUCAUCACCUUCAAUAGGUUCAUGUAAGUCUUUCAUGUAGAGCAAAUCUUUCAUUCUAGACUUCCAAAUAUCAUAAUUCCACGACUCAAUUUAAUCAUGAACGCCAAAGACUCCUCUAUUUCAACCACAUAAGUAAUAAAAACACACAACCUGGCUCUGAUACCACUCUAUUGGGAAAACGACUACCACAAACAGCUACAAAUUAAGCGAAAAUAAAAUUCUUUUCCUCUUUGUGUGAUUAAAAUAGGAUGUGCACCAUAAACAAAUAAGCAGAAAAAUUAAUCAAUAAAUUCAAAGCAAAAAUCAACCACAAGAGACACCGAUUUUAACGUGGAAAAUUCAAAUCGGGAAAAACCAUGGGACAAUAGUCCGAUAUAAAUUUCCACUAUAUUAAUGGGAUUACAGUACAAAUUCUUCUCCAGAUAACACUAGAGGUUAACAACAUCAAGAUUUUCAACAAUCUUGGCUUACAAUAAUAGAUCUAAAAUCUAUUUCUUCAAUAAGUGAGUAUCUCCAAUAACAGCUAAUGAGAGAAUAAAAUAUAGAUCAACACGAGUAGAAAUGUAAAGGGCGAUGUCAGGAACUUAUCCUCCAAAUUUGGGAGAAAUCAAAGCUAAAAUUAUUUUUCGAUCGUUGAAUCAAAGAUUGAAAACCCAAAGAAAAAAAAUAUCUUUUUCUCUCGCAACGUCUUCUCACUUGCGCGAAAUGGCUACAUCUCUCGCGAUUAUUCACUUAUUUCCUUUAUAUUUUUUUUGGUUAAUUUCAUCCAAGUCUAAAAUUUUACAAUAAUUACACAUCAAGCAAAUUAUUUUGGACUUUGGGCUUUUGGUCCACUGAAGUGAGAUGGACCCUACAGAAGCAAUAAUCAGUGCAAGAAAAUUAAGUGAAGUUCCAGAGAUGAUGGCAGAUCUAAACCCUUUUGUAAAACUCCAAUAUCUUGGCCUCCGAAUUCUACCAAAAUUAAAAAAGCGUCUAUUGGAAUGUGUUGCCCUCUCCACAUGUCAGGGAAAUUUUUGUAUCUGAAUGCCCAAUUCUCAUUAGAGGAGAGGAACACUGGUGGAAUAAGUUGCAAUGGGAGGAUGAAGCAACCUAUAAUGCUUUUCUUCCUUGUUUUGGAUCCAUUUGAUGGGCAUCAACAUGGAUUAAUAUUUUGCAGCGAACCAAUUUGAAUAAAACUUACGGUAAGUGCUUUUCCAUUUAUUGCAUAUUUAUAUCUAAUUUUUGUUUUCCUUUAUGGUUAAAUUUUGCCCUGUAUAUGUUGUUGUACGGUGACAUUCUUGAAUCAAUUAUUAAUUUUUUUAAUUCUCGUCUCACAACCACCCUUUUGAUCAUGAGGAUAUGCCGAUAUCAAAGAGUCAUAAUUUGGGAUACAAAUGUAAGAAUUAGGCAGAUGACAUGUUGUUUCAAAGCUUUCGAAGAAGGACUAAAUAUGUCAUUGAAAGCCUCCAAUUUUGCGACUGAUUUUUUUUUAAUUUGUUAUUUUUAUAGGUGGCAAAAAUACCCGUCUGAUUUGGACUCGGCUGAUUUGGGCCGGGUACGGAGUAUGAAGCCGGGUUGGUCCUGGGCAUCACUUGAAACUCGGAACCUGGAUUUUAUUAAAAAAUAUUAUAAAUAUAUAUUAUUUUAAAUAUCUAUAUUUAUUAGACUCAUCUAUUACAUAUAUCUAAUUUCAUUGAAAUAAAUUUAAAAAUUAUAAAAUUACCAAUAUAUAUAUAUAUAUAUAAUAUUAAAAAAGUAUAAAAUCUGAGUCCUCAGAUUAAAACCCAGUUCAAGUGUCUAAAAAAUACAUGUGGACCGAGUUUGAACAUUGCGAUACCCAGACCCAAACUUGGGUUUUGCCAACCCUAGUCUUUUAAAUUGCUUGAUUGUAAUGUUUUAGUAUAGAAAAAUGAUAGCCAAGACAACAAUAAGAGGGCACAUUGUGCAUGCACAAUAGUGGAUAAUUUCGGCAUUCCAAAUCCAAUUAGGGUGGAUAACCUUUUAUUAGUAUUAACCUUCUCUCGUAUUCAAGUAAUGUAAAAUAUGCUUAGAAGCUGUGGAUCCCCCUUUAUAAGUGUUGGGCUUAUGCCAAACUCGAUUGAUGUGGGAUGCCUUUAUAGGCAUCAAGUUUUCUCCCAUACACUUUAUGUUAAAAAUAAUAAUGAUAAAAUAAAUCCAUUUUAAAAUAGACUUCUUUUUCUUUUCUAUAUAAACAAACUCAUUCUUCAAAUCAGUUGUGGGUGGAAGGAGUGAGUAGAGAAGAACUGGGCCCCUUUCGUUCCUCUAAAAACCUCACCAAACCUCUCUUGUAAGCUUCUCAGUGUCCCUCUCAAUAUUUCUUAUGAUCUCGUUUUUUAUUGAAUCACUUCUUUUGUGUGCUGCAUUUUUGUGUGUCGUAUUUGGGUUUAUCUUAUCUGGAAUCCUGUUAUGAUUGAUGGAACAAGUAAUCGAUUUUUGGUUUAUUUGGAAUGGAAUUAUGGUUUAUUUGGAAUGGAAUUAUCUGGGUGUAACGGAUUAAAUUAUGACAUUGGGGAGAAGGCACUAAGGGGUUUGCUUGACACAUUUGGUUCUGUGUUUACUCUGAAAGAAAUAGCUUUUGCUUAUCGUAAUGCAAGGCGAAAUCCCGAUUUGGGUGGUGAAUUUCUCUAUCCCAAUUGGGCUGGUGAAUUUCUCUGUGACAAAUAGGCAAACAGCUCAACCUCUUUUAUCUAUCUUCUACUAGUGAGGCAAGGGAUAAAAAGUCUUCAAAAUCAUCAAAUAGUAACAUCUUCGAGAAUUCAUUUUAUGCAAAUGGAAAAUCUAGACCUUCUAAGACAAAAUGGCGUCCAGUAUCAAGAGGUACCGUUUCAAGUUUUCUUGGUAAAAAUUAUGUAAACUUGCACAGCCAGCUAAUGGCACUUUUCUAGUUUUCUGGCAUCAAAGCCAUUGAAGUCGUAUCCAAAGGAGUUUCCCAUGUCUGCACUUUGUGGAGAAGGAACUAAACAAAAACAAUCAAAGGAUGACCAUUUGCAGAAGGAUGUGGAAGAUUUUCUGUUUAAAUUGCUAGGAGAAGUGUUCCAGCUGAAUAGGGAUGUGAUUCGGGAAGUUCCAGUAAUGUCUUAAAUAUGUUGAUGCCAAUUUAAUAUAUAUUGUCAUUUUCAAUGUUCUUUCUUUCUUUCUUUAUCUUCUUUUCUUCUACUUCUUCUUCUUUUUCUUUUCGUGUGCAUGUGAUCACUAAUUUGUUAUUAUACUUAACUUGCAGGUAGUUGUGGAUAUGAUAUGCAAAAGGUAAGGACUAUAUCUUCCUGAUAGAGGCCUCUGCUUUUUCCCUUUUAUGUAAUUUAGUAAAUCUCAUCUCCCUUUGUGAUUGUUAUAUCAUAUCAAAGUCAAGUCUUAAAUACUGCUGUCAUAUGUUAAGGUUCAACUUGCAUUUUGACUAACAUCCAUUUGUUGUCGCUUCCAAAAGUGAGAAUGAGAUACUUCGGUUAAUUUCAGUAGUUGAACCCAAUCGAGUACUUUAUCUAGAUCUUCAUGGUUCAAAGGCCUGAAACUUGCCCGUGAUUGUAAAAUGAUAUUAUGUGCUUUUAAUGCAAUAGGGGGAACAAGGUGUCAAAGGAAUUAGCAGAUUCUAUGGCAGAUUCUAUGCCUGUACAACUGUAACAAUUAUCCUUAUGAUUGUAAAUCUUAUAUGUUUUCCUUAUUUAGGAUAUACUAGCUGUAGGCUAUUUUAGAUAGUUAUGUAUAUGAUAGUUUAGCUAUGUUUAGGGCUAAACAUAAGCUUGUAUUCAUAGUAUAUAAAGGGAAUUCUCUUCUAAGAGAAAGCAUAACUUUUGCUCAAAAUUCUCUGAGUUUAUCAUGGUAUCAGAGCCUCAGUUCUGAAUUCUCUUCUUCCUAGUUCAUUCCCUUGUUCUUAGUUAUUCUUUUUUUUAUCAAGUUAUCUCAGCCUCAUGUCUUCAGACAAGUAUGAUGCUUUUUUGAUCCGUUUUAAUGGCACAAACUACUCAGCCUGGGCAUUUCAUUUCGAGAUAUUUGUCAAAGGCAAAGAUCUAUGGGGACAAGUUGAUGGCAGGAAACCUGCCCCUGAUAAAGAGAUAGACCAGGAUGGGUACGCCAAGUGGGAAGUCAAGGAUGCUCAAAUCAUGGCAUGGAUUCUAGGAUCUGUGGAAUCCAACUUCAUCUUGAAUCUUCGACCCUUCAAGACUGCAGCAGGAAUGUGGAAUCAUCUAAAGAAACUCUACAGUCACACCAACACUGCUCGUUGAUUUCAGCUUGAACAUGAGCUAGCCAAUCUCCAACAAGGCAGUCUCUCUAUUUCUGAUUUUUAUUCUAUCUUUAUGAUUAUUUGGGCUGAAUAUACUGAUAUAAUCUAUGCUACCUUACCUCCGAAGGUCUUAGUUUUGUUCAAUCUGUACAUGAAACUACUAAGAGAGAUCAAUUUAUGAUAAAACUGAUAUAUGAAUUUGAAAGCACUAGGUCCAAUCUUAUGAAUUGAGAAUCUGUCCCUUCCUUGGAUACAUGCCUCAAUGACUUAUUUCAUGAGGAGCAACGACUUCUUACUCAAAAUACCAUGAAACAAAAAAAAUCUACUUCUGUUCCUAUGGCUUAUGCAGCUCAAGGCAAGCCAAAAGGUAAGGACAUCAGUAUAGUUCAAUGUUUUUGUUGCAAAGGAUUUGGACAUUACGCUUCAAAUUGUUCAAAAAAAUUAUGCAACUAUUGCAAAAAAGAUGGACAUAUCAUUAAGGAAUGCCUUACUCGACCCCCCAAGAAAUCUGAAACAACAUAUGCUACCUCAGUUGGUUCUUCUAGUGAUGGUAGUUCUGUGGAUACAGCACAUUUGACCCAAAGUGCUCCUGUUCCUGUUCAAUCUGUGACCCCAUAAAUGAUUCAACAAAUGAUCAUUAUUGUAUUCUCCUCAUUAGGACUCUCAGGUAAAUCACCCACUAGAUCUCCUUGGUACUUUGAUUCUGGGGCUUCCCAUCACAUGACAAACAAUGCUAAAUUCUUCACCAAUGUAAGUAAAUACCUUAGAAAUCUAAAAAUUCAUACAGCUGAUGGCAACUCUUUACCUAUCACAGCCACUAGUGAUGUUUCUUUUUCUAUAACCAAUGUCUUUGUCUCUCCUGGUCUUCCUACUAAUCUUGUUUCAAUCGGUCAGUUAGUUGACAAUAAUUGUAAAGUAGAAUUCUCUAAAUCUAGUUGUGUUGUGCAGGAUCAGCAGUCAGGGAAGAUGAUUGCCAGGGGGCCUAAAAUAUGACGUCUUUUCCCUCUCCAAUUUGCUAAGUCUCCAUGUUUCUCUUUGCCUAUCAUCACUUGCAAUUUUACUAAGGUUAAUUAUCGAGCAUGGCAUAAACGUCUAGGACACCUAAACUCUAAUGUAUUUUAUGCUUUGCUAAAUUCUGGUUUACUUGGGAAUAAAAGAUCACCAUCCCUUAGUGUUGUUCAAUUUGAUUGCAAUUCUUGCAAGCUUGGAAAAAGUAAAAUUCUGCCAUUUCCCACUCACACACCGAAUGUUGUCCAGCCUUUUGAUUUGAUACAUAGUGAUGUGUGGGGUAUGGCGCCUGUUACAUCUCAUGCUAAUUACAAGUACUUUGUCACUUUUAUUGAUGACUAUAGUCGCUUCACAUGGAUUUAUUUUCUACAUUCUAAAGAUGAAGUGUUCUCUGUUUUCAAGCUUUUUCAUGCAUAUAUUCAGACCCAAUUUUCUACUAAUAUCAAAAUUCUUUGCUUUGAUAAUGGGGGUGAGUAUAUGUCUCAUUUAUUUUAAGAAUUUUUGCACACCAAUGGUAUAAUUUCUCAAAGAUCUUGUCCUUCAACCCCUCAACAAAAUGGGGUGGCUGAAAGAAAGAACUAUCACCUUCUCGAUGUUGUCUUCAUUUGUACCCUCUCGUUUUUGGUGUGAAGCUUUCUCCACUGUUGUCUAUCUCAUCAACAGAUUGUCCUCUCAUUCCUUGAACCAUGUCUCCCAUUUCUUUCAGUUAUUUGGCCAUACACUAAGUUACUCUCAUCUCCAUACCUUCAGUUGUGUGUGCUAUGUUCAUCUUCCUCCAUAUGAGCGUACAAAACUCACAGCCCAAGCUGUGAAAUGUGCUUUUCUAGGAUAUUUUAUGCACUAAAAAUGUUUUCUUUGUUAUGAUCCAAAUUUGCAUCAUAUAAGGGUUUCUCGAAAUGUGAUUUUCUUUGAAAAUCAGUAUUUCUUUUCCGCAUACCACGACGAUUCUUCGCCUUCAUUUUCUGUUUUGCCAAAGUUUACUAACCCUUCUGCAGAUUCUGCACCUUCUAAACCUAUCAUAGUCUAUCAGCGACGCAAGAAUUUAGUACCUCUCGGGCCCCCUCCAGCAACUUCCCUGAAUGUUGAUCCAGUUCCAGCAACUGCACCUGAACCUUUCAGACAUAGUACUCGGGUUCGUAGACCACCAGAUAGGUAUGGUUUCACCUCUCCAUUAUUUUUGACAGCCACUUUGUCUUCUAUUCUUAUUCCUUCAUCAUAUAAACAGGCAAUAGAGCAUGAAUUUUGGUGAAAAUCUAUUGAAUCAGAACUUCUUGCACUUGAAGAAAACCAAACUUGGGAUAUUGUUUCAUGUCCUCCAUCCGUGAAACCCCUUAGUAGUAAGCUAGUGUUUUCUAUCAAGCUGCGUUUUAAUGAAUCCAUAGAUCGUUACAAGGCUCGGUUGGUGGUUCUUGGCAACAAGCAAGAAUAUGGCCUAGACUACGAUGAGACCUUCGCGCCGGUAGCCAAAAUGACCACUGUUCGAACAAUAUUAGCCCUUGCUGCAUCACAAUCAUGUUCUUUACAUUAAAUGGAUGUAAAGAACGCUUUCCUACAUAGUGAUCUCAAGGAGGAAAUUUACAUGAAACUUCCCCACGGUAUGACUACUUCCUCUCCUAAUGAUGUUUGCAAACUAAAAUGUUCGUUGUAUGGGUUGAAGCAAGCACCGCGAGUAUGGUUUGAGAAGUUUCGAUCAACUCUUUUCAGUUUUUCAUUCACUCAAAGUCAGUAUGACUCCUCCUUUUUUUUUUCCAACAGACAUCUAAGGGCAUCAUUGUUCUCCUUAUUUAUGUGGAUGACAUCGUUAUCACUGGUUCUGAUAUGGAGGCAAUUUCUAAACUUCAGAAUUUGUUGCACUCUAUUUUUCACAUGAAAGACCUCGGUCAACUCACCUAUUUUUUGGGGUUAGAGGUGCAUUAUCUGCCUCAAGGUAUCUUCUUGAAUCAACACAAGUAUAUUCAGGAUUUAAUUUAAUUAGCUGGACUUAUGGACAAAAAUUCUGUUGACACCCCAGUGGAACUUAAUGUGAAAUAUCGACAAGACGAAAGGGAACUACUUCAAGAUCCUACUUAUCUAUCUAACUAUCACCCGCCCAGACAUCUCUUAUGCUGUCCACACCGUUAGCAAGUUCAUGCAAGCCCUUCGACAUCUCCACGUAUCCACAGUCCGCCGCAUCAUUAGAUAUAUUCUUGGCACUCUUAACUGCAGUUUAUUCUUCCCUACUGGUUCUUCACUCCAACUACAAGCCUACAAUGACGCAGAUUGGGCUAGCUGCCCGGACACGAGAAAAUCUACUUUGGGAUGGUGCAUGUUUCUUGGUGAUGCCCUUAGCUCUUGGAAAUGCAAAAAGCAAGACUCAGUCUCCAAAUAAUCCACUGAGGCAGAAUACCGCGCCAUGUCUGUAGCCUGCUCCAAGAUCAUUUGGUCGCGUGGUCUCUUAACAGAGCUUGGUUUCUCACAACAUCAACCUACUCCCCUACAUGCUGACAACACAAGUGCCAUCCAAAUUGUAGCCAACCCUGUCUACCAUGAGCGCAUGAAACACAUAGAGGUUGACUGCCACUCUAUUCGAGAGGCCUAUGACCACCAAGUUAUCACCCUCCUGCAUAUCUCCACUACUCUACUGAUUACGAAUAUCUUCACCAAAUCCAUGACAUGUCAGCGACAUAACGUUCUUGUUAGCAAAUUGAUGCUUGUAGAUUUACCAGCAUCAAUUUGAGGGGGGAUGUCAAAGGAAUUAGUAGAUCUUAUGGCAAAUUCUAUGCCUGUACAGCUGUAACAAUUAUCUUUAUGGUUGUAAAUCUUAUAUUUUUUCCUUAUUUAAGAUAUACUAGCUGUAGGCUAUUUUAGAUAGUUAUGUAUAUGGUAGUUUAGCCAUGUUUAUGGCUAAACAUAAGCUCGUAUUCAUAGUAUAUAAAGGGAAUUCUCCUCCAAGAGAAAGCAUAUGAAAGAAACUUAGUUCUAUAUUGUUUGGUAGGCUAGAAAAUGAAAGAAAAUAAAAGAAAAGCUUUGCAAAGAAAACUGUUAGAUCCUUUUAUUAUACCAAACUUACAGUUUAAUGACUAAAAAUUGAUAUUUAUAUUGAGCUACAAACUCUUCACACACACACACGAGAUUGUUGCAACACAUAACCAAUUGCUGUAUAACUAACUUGACACAUCAGCUCAACCAGCUAACUAACUUUGACAGGUCAGCUUAAUGAUUUGAUCUGAUACAACCAGCUACACAGCAACAUCAUGCUCUGCUCCAGCUUCAUCUAAUUCACUAACAACUUUUGCUCAAAAUUCUCUUAGUUUAUCACAGGGAAGUAUAGCUUUGGAAAAGGCCGGAUCAAUAACUAUGGAGAGAUUUAUAAGUGAUAAAAAUUCCCGUAACCCGCUGUCAAGAAAAUUUCACAUAGUUAAAGACGCCAUUUUGUUUCAGCCAAAAAUGUUUGUUUAAUCUGCCAAAAAUGUUUGUUUCGAUUAAAGACUUGAACCGUUUUCAUUUAACCUGAUUGUGAUGCUUUAUGUUAUGUAUGUUCCUCUCAAUCAAGAAAAGUUGAGGUUCAUGAUUUUAUAUUUCUAUCUUGUAACUUGCAAUAAUAACUGGUCUUCUUGUUUUUGUAGCUUGAUAACAUGAAUUUUCCUUCUCAAGUUAAUUUGAUCAAUAAAGUAAUUCUUCAAAGAAAAUAUGCCCAUUCUAUAAUCAUUUUCUUAGCUAAUAUGUUUUUUUUUUGUUUACUCUUCAGAGUGUGUCGAAACUAAUUGAUUGCUCGGCAGAGACUUUGGGUGACAAGUCAAAAUUUCAUGGUAAAUCCUCUGAAAAGGUAUGCAUAAUUCCUGAAUAUUAAAUAACCAAUGGUCAUAGUUUUUGUACACGACUCUUUUUGUGGAGAUCGUUAAAAGUGGUUGAUGAUCCAUUUGUAAUUUCAUAGAGGGAUCAUCAAUUCCUUUUCUUUUCUGUGGCUAGGCAUCACUUUCGUGCCAAAGUAAGGAAAUCUAUUUUAGGUAAUGUAAAAAACAAUGGUAGGAUGUAAUAGCUUAUUAUGCACUGACAAUAACUUUUUGUAUAAUUGUCAGUUUAAGGAAUACAAGAGGAACUCUGUUGACAAAUUCAUCCAAGAUAGAUGCUAAAAUUAUUUAUGCAUGCCAGUUGCCUUAACUAAUUUUUCUUAACACUUGUAUUGAACAGGAAAUGAGUAUGCAAUUUGUGUACGUGCCAUUGUGGAGAAUUUGGAUAUUCUUAUUUAAGUAAGAAGAAGAGUAUUUGCCUCAUCUUUAAACAAUGAAUCUUUGAGAAAUGAGGAGUGGGUGAUUGGAAGUGUCUUCAUGUAAAUGUUCAUUUACUUGUAUUUUGAACUAUUAUGAGAAUCUUUUAUAUGCCAAAUUAGUAAUACAAAUGUUCAGAUGAUUUUUCCUGUUGAUCACGCGUUUGUGUCUGCAGACAACCAUUGUAUAUCACUUUAUUCUGAUGUGCAAUUAUGUAUAGAUUAGAAGAAAAGAAAUAAUAGUCUUAUAUUAUUGUUUGGUUCAUGAUUAUUAAACGAUUAUGGCUUCAAAAAAUCUACAAAUUCCUUCUGUUCAUAUAUGAAUGUGCCAAGUUUGCUAUAUCUUAGAUUGCCUUCUUCCAAGAUAACAAGUUCAUAUGUUUUUUAAUCCUCUUCAAUCACAGUUGAAUUUUAAGUGUUAAGAUUUGUUAUUAAUACCUGGUUCCCUGUUAUUAUGAUUUUUAUUAUGAUUUCAUAAACAGUGUACGGACAUGUGCUCUACUUUUAAAGGGCCUCCACGUGAAAGAAAAUUGCAACAAUUGAAUUCUUCCGGAGGGUAUGGCAUUUAAUUUAUUUUCUCAACUUCUUGUAAGACUAAUAUAUUUCCUUCAGUAGGCAGGGCAUGUUGGGAAGGGCUUUUAUUGAAAGAAUUCUGAUAUUUCUUAGACUUUGUUUUGGAAGGGAGGUGGAGGGAUUUCUCAUCCAUAUAUGGUUACUUGAUUAGCUUUUGACUGUAUUGCCUCAGUCGUGCAAAGGAAGAUCCAAAUACUAAUGAAUGAGAAUUGGUUAGAGACCCAAAAGACAGAAAUGAACUACAGAAGGAAGUUUUUGCUGCUUUAUUUAGUGUUCCUGAGAACUCUGAUGAAGAUGGAGUGGAGGUCCAAAGCAUUAAGAAAGGUGGUGAGUGAACCGCCAGAGGAAUUGGUACCAGAAUACAAAGCUAAUGUGGUGCAUUUGCAGCAAGAUAACCAGACUAGUAUGUGCUCUUGUAUUAACUAUAUUGACUGGAUUUGUGAGCAUGUUCAUUUUUGUGUGUAUAAUCACUUUUGUAUUUAUGCAUAUUAAUGUUAGUAGGAUUCUUGAUUUCCUCCACUUACUGGAGAACUAGUGGAAAGCUUUAUAGUGAAAUAUCUGCAAUAACUAAUGGAAACCAUGAUUUGAAUAUUUUCUCUCACCUGGAGAGCUUUGUAACAGAUGUACUUUGUGGCUAUGGAAUACUAGAGAUUCUGCAAUAACUAAUGGAAACUCUGAUAUGAAUAUUUUCUCUCACCUGCAGAACUUUGUAACAGAUACACUUUGUGGCUCUGGAAUGUCUAAAGAUUUUGUCUGCUUCAGUUAGAUCAAAUAUCUUUUAGUUACCUACAUUAUGGAAAAGAUAGAGUUCUCUGAAUCUGAAAGACUGAAACAUUUUGCAUAUUUCGUGAAAGGAAAAUAUCUGUAGAUACUAGUUCAUGCAUUGAGGUAACAUCAAUGUUAAAGAAAAACAGCAAUAACUUAUUAUAUAGAAUUAGGUUCACUUGCUUUAAAUGCUGGUCUGGUCAACCAUAUGAACCUGUAAGUGUAUCUGCAGAAAUAUAUAUGGGGGGACAAACUAGCUAAAUUUUCCUCUCAUUUCUGGCUUUGGUCAUUUUUUCCCCUUAUUUUUCAGCUUUCCUUCUCCUGAAGUAUGUUAACAAUUGCAGAUAAUGACGAAGAGGACAGCUUGCAGGCUCUUCGUGGAGCUGUGAUGGAAUAUAGGGGCACAAUGAAAGAACAUUUUAAAGCUGUAGGUUCUUUUUCUCCUGUCAUUUAUAUUUGCUCACACAUUUUUCAUAUGCUCCAAGCAUGCAAGUUUGUAUGUGUCUUUGCCUUUUAAGUUUUAAAAACCAUAAGGUAAGAAUACAGUUCCUCGUCAGGUUAUUGAUGCAUUCACUCCGGAGGAUCAUGUUCGAGCAGGAAAACUUCUAGAACAGGCAAGGUUUUCCAUCUACAGCCAUCUAUUGACAACAGAUACAUUUUCAUUCAGCAGACACUGUUAGCAUUCAAGAUGCUGGCAGAUUCACUUGAUUCUUAUUAGUUUGUUUAGUGGUAAAGCAUAUAACCUGUUUUUCAAAGCCAAGUUGUGCUAUUGAUUAUGUUAACUUUAUUGUUCACAUAAAGUGAUAUGGAGGAAAUAAUCAUUGUAGGAAAAUUAGGUGAAGAGGUGAUGUCAAAUCUUGAACCUGUUACAAAACUCCAAGUUCUUUACUUGAAGAAGCUACCAAAUUUGAACAGGGUCCACUGGAAGGCCUUGCCAUUCCCUGAUGCCUGCAGAAUUUUUGUAUUUAAAUGCCCAGAGCUUAAGAAGCUGCCACCGGAUCUUGAAAGGGCAGGCCAAGGUAAAAUUCUUAUCAAGGGAAAGGAAGAUUGGUGGAAACAACUUCAAUCGGAGGAUCAAGUAACUCAGAAUGCAUUGCUUCUAUUUUUAAAAUCAACUGACAAGUGAUUGAAGGGGGCAUCAUCAACAUCAUCAACAUGGAUGGAGAGAUUCAGGAGCAGAUCCGCAGGGUUUAUUACGACCUGUGGUGGUUGCUUUUUUGUGACUUGUUCCCUUUCAUUUUUUCACUUCCUGUCAUAUUAUCAUUUCUUUGUCUCUGUUUCUAUUGCUGAUGUUGCUGCAUGCUUGCAGCCCUUGACAAAGUUAGCAAUGCAAUAUAGAUUUUGAAAUUAAAUUUUGUAUGUUCGGGACAGUCACAAAGUACUACUUGUUCUAUAUGGGGGUGAUGUGAAUCAACUUUUCAAUUAUAUAUUCUGUGGUAAUUGUGAAUUCAAUUUCAUUUGUCUCCUGCAAAUUAUGAAGAAAGUGCAGAGUUAGAAUAUCGAAAAGUUCACUGGCAAAUACUUUGUAAAAGCUUCGGAGUGAAACAGGGAAUGCACUUGCAACUAAGGACAAAUUGGUGGCCAGCUAAUGCAUUCAUUUUAUGUACAUUCAUCUUUUUAAUUAUUGAAGAUAAGUGGUUCGUUGCUUUUGUUGUAGAAAAAAUUCAGACGACCUCAAUUGUGAGAUGAAAAUAUUUAAAAUAUCUCUUAAAUUAUUAUAAACUUUAAUUUAUCUUAAUUUUAUUUAAAAGAUAAAAGAAAAAUGUGGUAUAUGGGUAAAAAUUUUUUUAUCUUGUUAAUAAAAUGAAAUAAAUUAAAAUUUACAAUAAUUUAAAGUAUUUUAAAAUUAUUAUUUCAUAAGAGAUUAAUAUGAAAUUAAUCCUUUUUACUUUUUGAAUGUGAAAGGACAAGAAAAGAGAAAGCUAGUGUCACUGCUUUUUAUUUUAUUUGAAAUCGGAGUUAUCCCAUAUACUUUACUACUUUAGCUCUAACAUUACAAUGUUUUUAGGCUACACUUUUAUUUUUCUUUUUCCCCCUUUUUUUAUACAUGCAUGUGGAUUACUUUUCUCUAAGCUCCUUAAUAUUUAAGACAAAUCAUAAAAGCAAUUGAAGCAUAACAAGAUGAUCAAAACAUUUAACCGAAAAAAAAAGAAAUAAAACAUUGAAAAUGGAGAUGUUGAUUAAUUUAGAAGAGAUGCAAGCAAAAAAUAUUCCCAAAAAAAAAAAAAAAAAAAGCAACGUUAGUUCAUCCAUGUCUGUCAAUGCGUUUUUUAUGGUUUUUUUUUUCCAGUUGUUUGUUGUAAUAGAUUAAUUGUAAAUUGAUAUAAACUUGAUGUUGUAAUAUGUUCGCUUUUGUGGAAAUAAAUUUCAAUAUUCAAGAUUAUUCAAGUCUUAUCUAGUAUGUGUUCGGUUGUGUUGUCGAUAAUUUUACAUUCUAAUAAGUUUUCACCUAAAAUAUUAGCAUGAGUAGUAGUCCUUAAACCUUUGGUCAAAAUUAUUGUUAUUGUUUCUUUUAGAGGAAAUUUUUUUAUUAAAGCCUCGUUAACACUAUUCCUUAUUAAGAUUAUAAGUUAGUGUCGGUGCAGGAUUUGCAGCGACAAAUCUUGUCUAGCCACGUGUCAAAAUACAAAUAAAUCAAGGGAAAGCACAUGACAUGGAUUAGGAUCCAAUAAAAUUUAAAUCCCAAGGAAAAGGACAACUGUAUCCUAAAGUUUCAAUAAGAGAUACUGGGAUAUCUUUUGACUAAUGUUAUUUUUUGGCUUUAUUAAUAAAAAGAUCCAAUAGUUUAUAACAAAUAAAAAUAUAGUAUUAAGCUAAAUGUGAUAAUUUACACAUUUUACAUAAUUUCAAUAAAAAUUUUUUUAAUGUUUUACAAUCUAUCAGACAUAUUUUAUUAAAUUAAUAAGAAUUUUCUUAUAAAUAGCAACAUAAUAUUAAAAUAAAUUUAUAAAAAUUUAAAUGUAAAAUAAUUUUAGUAUAAUUAAUACGCGGGAUAUAUUUUGUAAAUUAUAAAAUUACUUAACCCAAUGAUUUUUAAAAAUCUUUAAAAUAAAUAAAAAUAAAUUAUUCACAUUUUGAUGUAAAUAUUUAAAACAUUUUUAUACAUUAGUCCACAAUUAUUUAUGUUAUAUUUGUAUUUAUUAGAAAUUUUGAAAGUCAAAUGUUUUUUACCUCUAUGUUAUUAGAAUUAUUGCACACAGAGAAAGAGCCAUAUAUGCUUUAUAACUUUAAAAUCGAUUUGUUUUAUAGCUGGGAAUAGAGAUGAUCAUUAUUAUAAGGAUUUUUUAAAAAAAGAUAAAGAAUAUUAAUGAUUAGCGAAAUCUCUAUGGAAAUUGAAUUUAGUAAGAAAAAAUUGAGCUGAUUUUAGUGGUAUAGUAAUAUUUUAUAUAGAGAAAAGUAAAAGCUGCACCCAAGGUUAAGGGAAAUGGUCAAAAUUCUUUUUUAAUCAUAAUACCCUUUUUCCUAGAUAAUUUAAAAAUUUUACUCUAAUAGUUUAUAAUAAAUAAAAACAUAUAAUCCUAAAAUAAAUAAAAUGAUAUAUAUUUUAAAAUAAUCUCAAUAUUUAAAAUAUAUUUUAACAUUUUAUAAUCUAUUAGAUAUAUUUUAUUAUAUUAAAGUAAAUUUUAUAAUAAAUACAAAACAUACUAUUAAAAUAGAUAUAAAAAUUUUAAAGUAUUUUGAAUAUUAUAUAAAAUAACUUUAAUAUUGUUAAUGCAUGAGAUGCAUUUUAUUAAUUAAAAAUUCUAUGUAACCCAAAGAUUUAUUUAUAAUAAAUUAAUAAUCAUAUUUUUGAAAUUAUUUUAAAUAUUAAAAAAUAUUUUAAUAUUACUAACUAUUAGAUAGACUAAACUAUUUAUUUUAUUUUCUAUUUAUUAUAAAAUUUCAAAGUUAAUCUUUUUAACUACUAUUCAAAAGAUGUUAUGAUAAAAACAGAAUUUUUGUGUUUUUAUUGAAAAUUUGGAGUUUACAUCUAUUUUUUCAAAUAUUCAGGGUGUAACUGUUUUUUCCCUUUUAUAUAUACGAACGGUGGUGAGAAAGUUUGAUUUAACGUUAUUUAUUUAAAUAAAAUCUCAGUUAAAAAUGUACAGAGAAGAAAUUUCGGUUGGUAUUUUAGUCUUGGUAAUCUCUAUAUUAUAUGCAUAUAAGAUACAUCAUUCUCACAUGAAUAGUAUAUGUGUGAGAUCCAUAUAUUAUUCAUGUGAGGGAGAUGUAUCUUAAUAAGAUAGAGGGAUCCGUUAGUCUUUUACCAAUCAUCACGAUUAGGCCUUGGCCUUGAAACAUUAAUUGUUUCACUUUUAGCGCUAGUGGCGUUGAAAGUUGUCAAGAAAAAGCAAGACCAUAUUCCACAAAAGCAAAAGUAACGUAGGCUCUUUUAUUAAAGGCAAAGUAUAAAGUAGUCAAGAAUCGAAUAUCCUGUCGUCUACUCUUUUUUAAAUUCUUCUUUUAUUAUCGUUUAGAAUAGUUUUUGGUAAUUACAAUCAUUAUUCAGAGUUAUUGUUAUCUUCCGGGGCAGUCUCUGUUCAUCGAAGUCGUUACCUUUUUUUUAAUGGAUCAGUUCCAGUGGUAAGCAGUAAUUUUCUUAGAACUCGGAUCUUUAAUUCGAGUUUCUGUGUGAAUUAAUAAUAAAAAAUUUUCAUUACACGCAAUUUAAGCUACGAAUUACUUUUUGCAAAGUUGAAUAUGGAAUUGGAGAAAUUAAGUAAUUUAGAAUGUUGGUAAAAAUUGACGAACAUAUCUCCAAUUACAGUAAAACCUCUCUACAGUCAUAACAUUAUAACAAAAUUAAUUUUAUUACUAUGUUGAGGUAAUAUAGGUUUAGUUACAAAAUUAUUGUUUUAAUAUGGUUAGUGUCAAGUGAUAUAAAGGUUAAGUAUGCAGUACAUUAAUAAUUAAAUAAUGAAGUGUCAAAUCUAAUGUAUAUAUAUUAAUGAUAUAGAUAGACAUAGUUUUAAAAAACUAAUUAAUGUAUAUUUAUGUAGUGUUAUGAAUAUGGAAAGUCAAGCCUACACUUUACAUUAUCCUUAAUUUUUUCUCUCAGUUAAAUUCUACAAAUAUUGUACAAUGGUUGGGCAAGAACUCUAAAUUAAGAAUAAAUUAUUGUCACAAAUAAUUUUAGAAAAUAUUUUAUUUCGUCUUAAACCUUUAAUAUAAAUAAACAUAUAUAUAUAUAUAUAUAUAUAUAUAUAUAUAUAUAUGUGUGUGUGUGUGUGUGUGUGUGUGUGUGUGUGUGUGUGUGUGUGUGUGUGUGUGCAUAUUUUGCAACGUAUAGAUAAUUGUUAGUAUAUGGAGACAAGUCUUUUAAGGUAGGACCUAGGAAAAUUUAUAACUUACUACACUGUGGAGUUUUUAUUCCUUUUUAUAAUUGGCUCAUAUUGAUACAUUCUUACACAAAAUAUUACCAUUGACAUAUUUUACUACAAUUAGUUUAGAACAUUUGUUAGGAAAAAAAAGAAAAGAAAAGAAAACAUCCCUUGGAUGUAGCUCUCCUGACUAUUUAAAUCUUUUAAGGAAAAAAAGAAAAAAGAAAAACUGGCACAUUCAAAUCUUGAAGCAAUUACAUUAAAAUCUCUCCAUAAUGAUAGGAAUAAUCUCCAUUUAGUAAUAAAAAAUUUUGUUCGCAAUUUAGGCAGAGUUAUAAAUAAGAAUAAAAUCCUCAUUGUAAUAAGUUAUAUUUAUUAUGGAUCCCAUCCUAAGGAAUUCGUCUCUAUAUAGUAAUAAUUAUUUGCAUAUUAUAAAUAUAUAUGUUGCAUUAGAUUAAAUGAACUUGUCUCCACAUACUACUUAGACAACGAGAGAAAAUUAUUAAAGAGAACACAAAUAUUUAGAUAUUUUUAAGAUUACUUUGCAUAUUUAUAACAAUAAUACAUUGAUAUAUGUAUUAGUUUUUUGAUAUAUUAGAUUUAACAUGCUCUAUUAAUAAAUUAUUAAUACGAUGCAUAUUCAUCUCUAUAUCCUUGCAAUAAAAGUAACUAAGUUAUAACAAUAAUUAUUAAUAAAUUAUUAAUACGUUGCGUACUUCAUCUCUAUAUCCUUACAAUAAAAAUAACUAAGUUAUAAUGAUAAUUUUUGUAACUACAUACUUAUUAGGUUUUAACUACUUCAUAAUAAUAAAUUAGUUUCGUCCUAAUAUUAUAAUUAUGUAGAGUUGUAGUGUAUAGACACACCCAAUUUAAAUAGUAUAUCAAAUAAAAUUGUCCCCACGAAAAAGAAAAAAGGGGUAAAGGAUUCUCAUUUCUUCAAACAUUAGGAUCACGUUUGUACAAGUGCGAUGCCUUUCUUUUGAAGGCAACGUCAGUGGGUACCCAAUAGGACGUGUGUAAAUCUUUCCAAAAUUUCUCUGGUAUAACGGACAGAGAUCAUUACUUUUCUCUUCCAUAUACCACAGCAGCUUCAGUUAAUCAGACUCAAUCAAUUUUCUUGGUUUCUUCGCUUAUCAAAAUUCCAAAAUAUGGGUAGCAUAUUUCAAAUCACAUGCGAUGGUGCUUUUUUCAAUCGUUGCUUGGAUUGCUUUCUUGGAAAAGUAGCAAACACAAGUAAGCUCCAAGAUAACCUUGUUGCCUUGGAGACUGAAUUGGGAAAACUAAUCGCAGCAAAGAACGAUGUGAUGAUGAGGGUUGUCAAUGCUGAACGGCAACACCUGAGAACGCUGGACCAAGUGCAAGUGUGGCUUUCGAGGGUGGAAGCUGUUGAAACUGAAGCUGAUGAAUUGAAAAGACACGGCUCUCAAGAAAUUGACAAAUUAUGUGUUGGAGGCUACUGUUCCAAGAACUGCGCGUCAAGCUACAAGUUCGGGAAACAAGUGGCUAAAAAGCUACGGGAUGUGCAGACUUUAAUCGACGAAGGAGUUUUUGCGGCGGUGGCUACCGAGGUGGUGCCUGAGAGAGCUCCAGAACCUGUAGCAGAUGAAAGACCCACUGAGCCAACAAUAGUAGGCUUGCAAUCACAACUUGAACAAGUUUGGAGAUGUCUUGUAGAAGAAUCAGUGGGAAUCAUUGGCCUAUAUGGUAUGGGCGGUGUUGGUAAAACUACACUAUUGACCCAUAUCAACAAUAAAUUUCUUGAGAGUCCAACCAGUUUUGAUUGUGUGAUUUGGGCCGUAGUUUCAAAGGACUUGCGACUCGAAAAAAUUCAAGAAGAUAUUGGGAAAAAGAUCGGUUUGGUUGAUGAUUCAUGGAAGAGUAAAAGUGUAGAGGAGAAAGCUCUCGACAUCUUCCGGAGUUUAAGAGAGAAGAGAAUUGUAUUGCUGUUAGAUGAUAUAUGGGAGCGGGUUGAUUUAACAAAAGUGGGCAUUCCACUUUCCGGACCAAAAAAUACUACAUCAAAAGUCGUAUUCACAACCCGUUUCGUCGAUGUUUGUGGUAGCAUGGAAGCUGACAAGAAGUUCCAGGUGGCAUGCUUAUCAGAAGAGCAUGCUUGGGAACUGUUUCGAAAAAAAGUUGGGGAAGAAACUCUUGAGAGUGAUCAUGAUAUCGUUGAGCUAGCCCAAACUGUGGCCAAAGAGUGUGGUGGUUUGCCACUCGCACUUAUUACUAUUGGUCGAGCUAUGGCCUUCAAAAAGACAGCCGAGGAGUGGAGUCAUGCAAUUGAUGUGCUAAGAACAUCAGCUUCUGAGUUUGCAGGUUUGGGAGAAAAGGUUUAUCGUCUUUUAAAGUUUAGCUAUGAUAGUUUGCAGAAUGAGACGAUUAGAUCUUGUUUCUUAUAUUGUUGUUUAUAUCCCGAGGAUUAUAGCAUUCUUAAAUGGGACUUGAUUGAUUGUUGGAUUGGUGAGGGAUUCUUAGAGGAAUCUGACAGGUUCAGUGCAGAAAACCAAGGAUACUACAUUGUGGGCACUCUUGUUCAUGCAUGUUUAUUGGAAGAGUUAGAAGAUGAUAAAGUAAAAAUGCAUGACGUUGUUCGUGAUAUGGCUCGAUGGAUAGCUUGUGAAAUUGAGAAGGAGAAGAGAAAAUUUUUGGUUUGUGCAGGUGCUGGAGUAGGAGCGGUGUCAGAUGUUGAAGGAUGGGAAAAUGUGGGAAGAUUGUCAUUGAUGCAAAACCAAAUUGAAAUUCUGUCAGAGGUUCCCACAUGCCCUCAUCUCCUCACUUUAUUUCUUGACUUUAAUUAUAAAUUGGAGAUGAUCACCGAUGGCUUCUUCCAAUGUAUGCCUUCUCUCAAAGUUUUGAAGAUGUCAAACUGUGGGCAUGUCAAAGUUUUGAAAUUACCUUUUGGGAUGUCAAAGCUGGGUUCACUACAACUUCUUGAUAUUUCACAUACCGGCAUAAGAGAGUUACCAGAAGAGUUAAAGUUGUUGGUAAAUCUGAAAUGUUUGAAUUUGAGGUGGACACAUAUGUUAAAUAAAAUUCCACGGCAGCUAAUAUCAAAUUCUUCAUGGUUACGUGUGUUGAGAAUGUUCGCUAUUGGCUUUGAAAAUUCUAAAGAACCAUCAGAAGACAGCGUUUUAAUUGGUGGGGGUGAAGUUUUAGUACAUGAAUUGCUCGGUUUGAAAUAUUUAGAGGUAUUGGAGUUGACCUUGCGAAGUUAUGAUGCUCUCCAAUUUUUUUUGAGCUCAAAUAAGUUAAAAAGUUGUAUUCGAUCUCUUUUCCUCAAUAAGCUGGGAGAUACAAAGUCGAUUCAUGCUACGGCUUUCGCAGAUCUAAAGCAUCUCAAUGAACUAUGCAUUCGUUCGGCAGUGGAGUUGGAAGAAUUGAAGGUUGAUUAUACAGAGAUUGCGCCAAAAAGGUCGGAACCUUUUGUUUUCCGCAGCCUUCACCGUGUUACUAUGGAGCGGUGCCAUAAAUUGAAAGAUUUGACAUUCCUCGUUUUUGCUCCAAGCCUCAAGUCUCUUUCGCUAUACGGUUGCAAUGCUAUAGAAGAAAUAAUCAGCGUUGGAAAAUUUGCUGAGACUCCUGAGGUGAUGGGACAUAUAAGCCCUUUUGGAAAUCUCCAAACGCUUUAUUUAACUGAUUUGCCAGAGUUGAAAAGCAUCUACUGGAAGCCAUUGCCUUUCACUCAUCUCAAAGAAAUGACGGUACAUGGGUGUAAUCAGCUUAAAAAGCUUCCAUUCGAUUCCAACAGUGCAACAGAGCGUAAAUUUGUUAUUCGUGGAUACACACUCUGGUGGAACCGUCUUCAAUGGGAGGAUGAAGCCACUCAAAUUGCUUUUCGUUCCUGUUUCCAAUCUCAUGAAAUAUAAAUUCCUGAGCGGUGGUUGCAAAAUUUGAUUUCUAGUGAGUGCUUUUUUCUUAAACUCUUACAUAUAUUCUCGUCGUUUGCUUCGUGCAACGGACUAGGUUUUUAUUUCAGAUUCGUUUUUUGUCUCCUGCAAAUCACAAUUAAAUGUUGAAUUAUAUGGAGUCAAUGCUUUAUAAAAUUUUCAAGGCACUGCCAUUUCCUUUUUCUUUUUCUUUUUUUUUUUGGGUCGAAUUGAUGCUCUGGCUUUUUACUUUUUGUUGUCACAUUUUGCUCUGUUUUUUCAAGUUGAUGCUUGAAUAGUUGAAUUCAAUUGAUGCUCACAUAAAUUUGUUUAGUUGCCGCAAAAGGAUAUAAUUAGACUGAAGUACACACUUCUAGAAUGAAUACAAAAUGUUAAGUAUACUAGCCCUCUUUACAGAAAAUCAAAUGAAAAUCAAUUUUUUGGGGCUUUGAUUUUCUAUGGUCUAUUAUAUACUCUUUUUAAUAUCUUCUGUUCUAACUAUAACCAAAUCCUUUGUUCAAGGAUUUUUAUUUGGGGUAUUGAUAACUGUCCACCAAAAGAGUGAACACUUGGAUGCUGCUCAAGGAUCUCUAAUCAAUAGCUGGAAGCAACUGAGAAGGCGGUCGCUACUGUUUACAAAGCGAUGCAGUAUUUGCCAUUCAUCUUAAUAAUUAUGAAGCUUUGGUAAAAUUUUCAAACAAAGUUGAACACAUGUUGUUUUGAGAUUUGGUUCAUGAUUUUGGAUGAAUAUCGUUGUUCCGUUUGAGUUGGAUGUGAAUUCAAAAUCUAUAUAUUCUUUGGUUUUCAAUUCUGAACUCAAUUUCUUUUUCUCAAGCAUGUUAUGCAGAAAUGAUUUUUUACUAAAUCAUUUUUGAUGAAUUGUUUAAAUUAAACAAUUGGAAUAAGAAUUGAAAAGGUUUAUCAUAAGCAUGCUAAUAUGAUAAGUUGUUUUAUGAACGAUUAAUUAAUUAAUCAAUUAAUAUUAAAUUAUCUAUUAGUCAAUUAGAUAUGCGUUACAUGUCAUGUUUAAAAAUUAUUUAUUUAUAUUUCAAACAAAUUUGACUGGAUGUUGUGUAGGUAAUACUACAUAAUUUCAAAACAAAAAAAGUAAUAAAAACACGUUAAAUUUUGUUUUUAUGAAGAAAAAUUUAAAAUUUUAUUAAAUAGGUGAAAAUAAUAAAUGGAUUCGUGUAUGGUUUGAGAUUCUUGACAUAAUUAUGAAAUAAGCCGGAUUCGACUUAGUUCAAUUUUGACGCGAUAAGAAGACGACACCACACAAACACACGAUAAGAACCGUUACCUGAGAAGAUUGCCAUCAGGAAUUUUGAAAUUGAUUUCACUACAAUACCUUAAUCUUUCAGAUACUACCAUCACUGAGCUGCCAGAAGAGCUAAAAGCCUUGGUAAAUCUUAAGUGUUUGAACUGUACACAAAUUAUCUCUCUACAAUUCAAAAACAACUAAUUUGUUACUUUUUCAAUGCUACAUGUUCUGCGAAUAUUGAGUUGUGGUUAUCUUGUUGAAAUAUCAGACAAUAGAGUUCUAUUUGGUGGUAGUGAAUUGUUGGUUGGGGAGUUGCCUAGUUUAAAACGUUUAAAUGUAUUAAGCAUCACCUUACAAGGUUUUUCUGCUGUCCAAAAACUUAUGAGCUCUCAAAAGUUUCAAAGCUGUACAAAAUGUUUGGAGCUUAUAGACUGUGAUGAUUCAAAGUCUUUUGCCUUGGCAGAGUUGAAGCAUCUCGAAAAACUAGUUUUUUGAAUUGUGGAAGAGUUUAAGUUCUGCUUUGUUGAAGUUGGAAAAGCUCAAGAAUGUUUUCGUUUGAACAGUUUUCACCGAGUUAAUAUAAAGGCUUGUCAUAAAUUGAGGGACGUGACAUGGCUUGUAUUUGCUCCAAAUCUUACAGUUAUUCAAAUAGAAAAAUGUAUGCAGAUGGAAGUAAUAGUCAGUGCAAGGAAAUUGGGUGAAGUUCCAGAGAUGAUGGCAGAUCUAAACCCUUUUGCAAAUAUCUUUGCCAGCGAGUUCUACCAAAAUUAAAAAGCGUCUAUUGGAAUGAGUCACCCUUUCCACAUGUCAGGGAAAUUAUUGUAUCUGAAUGCCCAAUUCUCAAGAAGCUUUCACUCGGUUUUAACAAUGCAAAGGAAUCUAAAAUUGUCAUUAGGGGAGAGGAACACUGGUGGAGUGAGCUGCAAAGGGAGGAUGAAGCGACCGUUAAUGCUUUUCUUCCUUGUUUCGGUUCCAUUUGAUAGGCAUCAACAUGGAUUUAUAUUUUGCGGUGGACAACUUGUGGUAAGUGCUUUUCCAUUUAUUACAUGUUUAUAUCUAACUUUUGUUUUCCUUUAUGGUUAAAUUUUACUGUAUAUAUGUUGUUAUACGGUGACAUUCUCGCAUCAAUUAUUAGCUUUUUAAUUCUCUUCUGGCAUUAAUUGCCCUUCUGAUCAUGUAGGAUAUGCCGAUGUCAAAGAGUAGUAAAUUGGGAUACAAAUGUAAGAAUUAGCCAGAUGACAUGUUGUUUUGAAGCUCUCUCGAAGGACUAGUUAUGUCAUUCAAAGCAUCCAAUUUCGCUACUUUUUUUUUCAUUUGUUGCUUUUUAUAUUUCUAGAUAGCUUGAUAUUCGGCCAAGACAUCGAUAGGAGGGCACAUUGUGCAUGCACACUAGUGGAUGAUUUGGGCAUGCCGAAUCCAAUUAGCGUGGAUGACCCUUUAUAAGCAUCAGGCUUCUCUCAUACCAGAGCAAUGUAGAAUAUGUUUAUAAACUGUGGAUUACCCUUUAUAAGUUUAGACUUCUUCUAUACUCGAGCGAUGUGGAAUACCUGUAUAAGCAUUAAGCUUCUCUCAUACACUUUAUGUUAAAAAUAAUAAUAAUAAUAAUAAAAUAAAUCCAUUUUAAAAUAGGCUCUUUUUUUCUUUUUUUAUAUAAACAAAAUGCAUUCUUCAAAUCAAUAGUGGGUGGAAGAAGUGAGUAGAGAAGGACUAGGCCCCUUCAUUCCGCCUAAAACCUCACCGAAACCUCUCUUGUGAACUUCUCAGAUUCUCUCUCAAUAUUUCUUAUGAUCUCGUUUUUGAUAGAAUCACUUCUAUUGCAUGCUGCAUUUUGUGCGUCGUUUUUGGGUAAUAUCUUAUCUGGAAUGCUGUUAUGAUCAAUAGAACAAGUAAUCAAUUUUUGGUUUGACGGAAGUCGAUUUAUUUAUUUACUAUUGUUUUUUAUUUGAAAUUUUGACAGUUGUGUUUCAUUCAUUUCUUUCCUUCUUUUUUUAUUUUAUAUUUAUUAUGUAUAAUUGUGUUUCAUUUGAUAUUGAUCAUACUGUAGAUAACUAUGUGAUUGUAGCUGGGGAUUUUAAGUUUUGUGAAUUCAAGAAACUGUCAAAAUGCUAGUGAAAUUGGGACCUUUAUUCAUAAGCUUGUGGUUUUCAAAAGUAGCCGGGUUCAACUGAUGAAGUUCCUUUUUGGGAUUCUUUUUUUUCUAGGCUGCAAUUCGGAUAUGUACCUGAUAGACAAUCUUUUGUGAGUUUAGCAUAUCUUCUCCGAUUUUGUCUUUUAUUCCCCAACUUUACAGCUACACACCAUGAAUGCUGGGUGAUUGUACAGAAAAUUUGUGUUAGAACAAAAGCAUUGUGAAGGAGUUUCUGUGCUAUAAGUUAUUGGCUUCAGCUUUAUUGGCAUUAAUUGGGUAGAUUAUGUGUUACAGUGAUUCAAUUUGUGAUCCACACUUUAAUUUUCUCUUUUCCCCAAUUAUUUAUGUCAAAUUCAAAUCCAGAAGCAUGCGCUGAUUUUUUUUUUUUUUUGUGAUAAUCUGUGAAGUUUAUUUGGAAAGGACGUAUCUGGGUUUAAUGGAUUAAAUUAUGACAUUGAGGGAAAGGCACUAAAGGUUUUGCUUGACACAUUUGGUCUGUGUUUACUCUGCAAUAAAUAGCUUCGCUUAUCAGAAAUCCCUAUUUGGCUGGUGAAUUUCUCUGUGACAGACAGGCAAACACCUAAACCGCUUCUAUCCAUUUUUCUGCUGGUGAGGUAAGGGGUAAAAAGUCUUCAAAAUCAUCAAAUAGUAACAUCUCUGAGAAUUGGUUUUAGAAAAAUGGAAAAUCUAGACCUACUAGGACAAAAUGGCGUCCGGUAUCAGGAGGUACCGUUUCAAGUUUUCUUGGUAAAGAAUAUAUUAAACCUGCGCAACCAGCUAAUGGCACUUUUCUGGCAUCAAAGCCAUUGAAGUUGGAUCUAAAGGAGUUUUCCCAUGCCUGCAUUGUGCAGAGAAGAAACUAAACAAAAACAAUCAAAGAAUGACCAUUUGCAGAAGGAUACGGAAGAUUUUCUAUUUAAAUUGUUAGGAGAAGGGUCCCAGCUGAACAGGGAUGUGAUUCAGGAGGUUCUCGGUAAUGUCUUAAAUAUACUGAUGCCAAUUUAAUACAUAUUGUCCUUUUCAAUGUUCUUUCUUUCUUUCUUUUUUUUUUCCUUCUUCUUCUUUUUCUUUUCGUGUGCAUGUGAUCACUGAUUUGGUAUUAUGCUUAAGUUGCAGAUAGCUGUGGAUUUGAUAUGCAAAAGGUAAGGACUAUAUCUUCCUGAUGUAGGCCUCUGCUUUUUCCCCUUCUAUGUAAUUUAGUAAUUCACAUCUUCCUUUGUGAUUGUUAUAUCAUAUCGAAGUCAAGUCUUAAAUACUGCUGUCAUAUGUGAAGGUUCAACUUGCAUUUUGAUUAAGAUCCAUUUGCUGCUGCUUCCAAAAGUGAGAAUGAGAUACUUUGGUUAAUUUCAGUGGUUGAACCCAAUAGAGAACUUUAUUUAGAUCUUCAUGGUUCAAAGGCCUGAAAAAACUUGCCCGUAAUUGUAAAAUGACAUUCUGUGCUUUUUAUGCAAUAGGGAACAGGGAAGUAGAGCUUUGGAAAAGCCUGGAUUGAUAACUAUGGAGAGACUUAUUAUUUAAGUGAUGAAAAAUUCCCAUCGCCCGCAGUCAAGAAAAUUUCAGAUAGUUAAAGACUCCAUUUUGCUUCAGCCAAAAAUGUUUGUUUCAAUUAAAGACUUGAACCAUUUUCAUUGAACCUGAUUGUGAUCCUUUACGUUAUGCAUGUUCCUCUCAAUCAAGAAAAGUUGAGGUCAUGAUUCUAUAUUUCUAUAUUGUAACUUGAAAUAAUAAUUGGUCUACUUGUUUCUGUAUCUUGAUAAUAUGAAUUUUCCUUCUCAAGUUAAUUUGUUCAAUAAAGUAAUUCUUCAAAGAAAAUAUGCCCAUUCUAUAAUCAUUUUCUUAGCUCAGAUGUUUUUUCUUCACUCUUCAGAGCAUGUCAAAACUAAUUGAUCGCUUGGCAGAUACUUUGGGUAAGAAGACAAAAUUUCUUGGUAAAUCCUCGGAAAAGGUAUGCAUAAUUCCCGAGUAUUAAAUAACCAAUAGUCAUAAUUUUUGUACAUGACUCUUUUUUCUCUUUUUUGUGGAGAUCAUUAAAAUUGGUUGAUGAUCCAUUUUGUAACAUCAUAGAGGGAUCAUCAAUUCCUUCUCUUUUCUGUGGCUAGGCAACACUUUCAGGCCAAAGUAAGAAAAUCUAUUUUAGGUAAUGUGAAAACCAACGGUAGGAUGUAAUAGUUUAUUAUGCACUGACAAUAACUUUUUGUAUGGUUGGCAGUUUAAUGAAUACAAGAGGAACUUUGUUGACAAAUUCAUCCAAGAUAGAUGCUAAAAUUAUUUAUGCAUGCCAGUUGCCUUAACUAAUUUUUCUUAACACUUGUAUUGAACAGGAAAAUGAAUAAGCAAUCUGUAUAUUGUGCCAUUGUGGAGUAUUUGGAUAUUCUGAUUUAAAUAACAAGGAGAAUACUUGCCUCAUCUUUAAAUGAGGAGUGGGGGAUUGGAAGUGUCUUCAUGUAAAUGUUCAUUUAUUUGUAUUUUGAACUAUUAUGAGAAUCUUAUAUGCCAAAUCAGUAAUACAAAUCUUCAGAUGAUUUUUGCUGUUGAUCAUGGGUUUGUGUCUGCACACAACCAUUGUAUAUCACUUUAUUCUGAUGUGCAGGUAUGUGUAGCUUAGAAGAAAUGGAAUAAUAAUCAUCUAUUAUUGCUUGGUUCAUGAUUAUUAAACGAUUAUGGCUUUAAAAAGUCUACAAAUUCCUUCUGUUCAUAUAUGAAUGUGCCAAGUUUGCUAUAUCUUAGAUUAUCUUCUUCCAAGAUAACAAGUUCAUAUUCUUUUUAAUCUUUUUCCCUCACAGUUGACUUUUAGGUGUUAAGAUUUGUUAUUAGUCCCCUGUUAUUAUGAUUUCAUAAACAGUGUACGGAUAUGUGCUCUAACUUUGGAGGACCUCCACAUGAAAGAAAAUUGCAACAAUUGAAUUCUUCCGGAGGGUAUGGUCUUUAAUUUAUUUUCUCAACUUCUCGUAAGAUUAAUAUAUUUCAUUCAGUAGGCACAGCAUGGGGGGAAGGGUUUUUAUUGAAAGAAUUCUGAUAUUUCUUAGACUUUGUUUUGGAAGGGGGGUGGAGGGAUUUCUCAUCCAUGUAUGGUUACUUGAUUAGCUUUUGACUGUAUUUCCUCAGUCAUGUAAAGGAAGAUCCAAAUACCAACGAAGGAAUAUUGCCUAGACACCCGAAAGACAGAAAUGAGCUACAGAAGCAAGUUUUACUACUUUAUUUAGUGCUCCUGAGAAAUCUGAUGGAGACCGAAUGGAGGUCCAAAGCAUUGGAAAAGGUAGUGAGUGAACCGCCGGAGGAGUUGGCACCAGAAUGCAAGGCUAAUGUGGUGCACUUGCAGCAAGAUAACCAAACCGGUAUGUGCUCUUAUAUUAACUAGACUGACUGGAUUUGUGAGUGUGUGCAUUUUUUUGUGUAUACUCUUGUAUUUAUGCAUAUUAAUGUGUGUAGGAAUUUCUGCCACUUACUGGAGAACUAGUGGAAAGCUUUAUAUCGAUAUAUCUGCAAUAACUAAUUGGAAACUAUGAUAUUAAUAUUUUCUCUCACCUGAGGAACUGUGUAACAGAUAUACUUUGUGGCUCUGGAGUACUAGAAAUUCUGCAAUAACUAAUGGAAACUAUGAUAUGAAUAUUUUAUCUCAACUGGAGAACUUUGUAACUUGUAGCUCUGGAAUGUCUAAGGAAUUUUGUCUGCUUCAGUUAGAUCAAAUAUCUUUUAGUUGCAUACAUUAUAGAAAAAGAUAAAGUUCUCUGAAUCUGAAAGACUGAAACAUUUUGUAUAUUUUGUGAAAGGGAAAUAUCUGUAGAUACUAGUUCAUGCAUUGAGGUAACAUCAAUGUUAAAGAAAAACAGCAAUAAGUUAUUAUGUGGAACUAGGUUCACUUGCUUUAAAUGCUGGUCUGGUCAACCAUAUGAACCUGUAAGUUCUGCAGAAAUAUAUAUACGGGGAGAAACUAGCUAAAUUUUCCGUUCAUUGAUGGCUUUGGUCAUUUUUUUCCCCUUAUUUUUCAGCUGUCCUUCUCCUGAAGUAUGUUAACAACUGCAGAUAAUGAUGAAGAGGACAGCUUGCAGGCUCUUCUUAGAGCCAUGAUGGAAUAUAGGGGCACAAUGAAGGAACAUUGCAAAGCUGUAGGUUCUUUUUCUCCUGUCAUUUAUGUUUUCUCACACAUUUUUUAUAUGCUCCAAGCAUGCAAUUUUGUAUGUGUCAACUGCUUUCUAAGUUUUAAAAACCAUAAUGUAAGAAUACAGUUUCUUGUCAGGCUAUUGAUGCAUUUGCUCAGGGGGAUCAUGUUCGAGCAGGAAAACUUCUAGAACAGACAAGGUUUUCCAUCUACAGCCAUCUAUUGACAACAGAUAUAUUUUCAUUCAGCAAACACUGUUAGCAUUCAAGAUACUGGCAGAUUCACUUGAUUCUUAUUAGUAAUGUUUAGUAGCAAAGGAUAUAACCUGUAUUUCAAAGCCAAGUUGUGCUAUUGAUUAUGUUAGCUUUAUUGUUCACAUAAAGUGAUAUGGAGGAAAUAAUGUGAAGUGAUAUGGAGGAAAUAAUCAAUGUAGGAAAAUUAGGUGAAGAAAUGAUGUCAAAUCUUGAACCUCUUACAAAACUCCAAGCUCUUUACUUGAAUAAGCUACUAAAUUUGAACAGGGUCCACUGGAAGGCCUUGCCAUUCUCUGAUGCAUGCAGAAUUUUUGCAUUUAAAUGCCCAGAGCUUAAGAAGCUGCCACUGGAUCUUGAAAGGGCAGGCCAAGGUAAAAUUCUUAUCAAGGGAAAGGAAGAUUGGUGGAAACAACUUCAAUGGGAGGAUCAAGUAACUCAGAAUGCAUUGCUUCCAUUUUUAAAACAACCAGCAAGUGAUUGAAGGGGGCAUCAUCAACGUCAUCAACAUGGAUGGAGAGAUUCAGGAGCAGAUCAGCAGGAUUUAGUACGACCUGUGGUGGUUUCUUUUUUGUGACUUUUUUCCCUUUCAUUUUUUCACUUCCUGUCAUAUUAUCAUUUCUUUGUCUCUGUUUCUAUUGCUGGUGUUGCUGCAUGCUUGCUGUCCUUGACAAAGUUAGCUAGUUUUUUUUUUUUUAAUUAAAUUUUGUAUGUUCGGUCGGGACAGUCACAAAGUACUACUUGUUCUAUAUGGGGGUGAUGUGAAUCAACUUUUCAAUUAUAUAUUCUGUGGUAAUUGCGAAUUCAAUUUCAUUUGUCUCCAGCAAAUUAUGAAGAAAGUGCAGAGUUACAAUAUGGAGAAGUUCACUGGCAAAUACUUUGUAAAAGCUUCGGAGUGAAACAGGAAAUGCACUUGCAGCUAAGGACAAAUUGGUGGCCAGCUAAUGCCUUCAUUUUAUGUACAUUCAUCUUUUUAAUUAUUGAAGAUAAGUGGUUCGUUGCUUUUGUUAAGAUUAUAAGUUAGCGUCGGUGCAGGAUUUGCAGCAACAAAUCUUGACUAGCCACGUGUCAAAAGCACAAAUAAAUCAAGGGAAAGCACAUGACAUGGAUUAGGAUCUAAUAAAAUUUAAAUCCCAAGGAAAAUGACAACUGCAUUAUGAAGUUUCAAUAAGGGAUACUGACUAAUGAUAUUUUUUGGCUUUAUUAAUAAAAAAAGAAUAUUUUAUAACAAAUUAAAACAUAAUAUUAAGCUAAAUGUGAUAAUUAUAUACAUUUUAAAUAAUUUCAAUAAAAAAACAUUUUAAUGUUUUACGAUCUAUCAUACAUAUUUUAUUAAAUUAAUAUGAAUUUUUUUUUAUAAAUAGCAACAUAAUAUUACAACAAAUUUAUAAGGAUUUAAAUGUAAAAUAAUUUUAGUAUAAAUAAUACGUGGGAUAUAUUUUGUAAAUUAUAAAAUUAUUUAACACAAAGUUUUUUAAAAAAUAUUUAAAAUAAAUAAAAAUAAAUUAUUCACAUCUUGAUUUAAAUAUUUAAAAUAUUUUUAUAUAUUAGUCUACAAUUAUUUAUGUUAUAUUUUUAUUUAUUAGAAAUUUUGAAAGUCAAAUGUUUUCACCUCUAAGAGAAAGACACAUAUGCUUUAUAGCUUUAAAAUCGGUCUGUUUUAUAUCUGGAAACAAAUAUAUCAUUAUUGGUAAGGAUUAAAAAAAGGGAUAAAGAAUAUUAAUGAUUAAUGAAAUCUCUAUGGAAAUUGAAUUUAGUAGGAAAAAAUUGAGCUAAAUGAUUUAGACAUUUAGUGGUAUAGUAAUAUUUUAUAUAUAGAAAUGUAAAAGCUGCACCCGAGGUUAAGGGAAAUGUUCAAAACUCUUUUUUACUCAUAAUACCCUUUGUCCUAACUAACUUACAAAUUCGACUCUAAUAUUUUAUAAUAAAUAAAAAUGUAAUCCUAAAAUAAAUAAAAUAAGAUAUAUUUUAAAAUAAUCUCAAUAUUUAAAAUAUACUUUAAUAUUUUAUAGUCUAUCAGACAUAUUUAAUUAUAUUAAAGUAAAUUUUGUAAUAAAUACAAACAUACUAUUAAAAUAGAUAUAUAAAAAAUUUAAAGUAUUUUGGAUAUUAUAUAAAAGAACUUUAAUAUUGUUAAUACGUGAGAUAUAUUUUAUUAAUUAAAAAUUCUAUUUAACCCAAAGAUUUAUUUAAGAUAAAUUAACAAUCAUAUUUGUGAAAUUAUUUCAAAUAUUAAAAAAUAUUUUAAUAUUACUAACUAUUAGAUAGACUAAACUAUUUAUAUUAUUUUCUAUUUAUUAUAAAAUUUCAAAAUUAAUCUUUUUAACUACUAUUCAAAAGAUAUUAUGAUAAAAAUAAUUUUUUUGUGUUUUUAUUAAAAAUUUGGAAUUUGCAUAACUCUUUUUUUAAAUAUUGGGGUAUAGCUGUCUUUUCCCUUUUAUAUAUACAAACCACAGUGGUGAAAAAGCUUGAUUUAAUGUUAUUUAUUUAAACAACACCGAUAUUCACACCACAUUGAGCACCAUAGUUUUUUUUUUUUUUUUGAAAAGAAAGUACACCUUUCAUUGAAUUAAGAGAAAAGAAACAAAACAUCCUCUGGAAAUUCAUCCAGCCAAAUACAAGGGUCUGACUUUUUGAAAGCCAACUUUGCCAAAUCAUGCGCUAAAAAGUUACACAUCCUAAGGACGUGCUGAGCUUUAAAAUUCUGAAAGAUUUUCUUAGCUUCUAUAAUAUCAAAAAUCACCCAAAAGGUGUCUGUCAAAGUGCUUCUCUUGUUAUUGAUUAGCUCUAUCACCCCUUUAGAAUCAGACUCUAAGAUAACUGAAGUUGCCCCUGCCUUGGCAGCUGCCUGCAUUCCCCACAAAACAGCUUUUGCCUCACUCAACUCCACAUCUCCUGAGCUCUUAAAAGUGCUAACAGCUGCAGCAACUGUUUCUCCCUUAUGGUUUUUAACUACUGCUCCCAGCCCAGCAAGAUAAUUCACCCUAUCCAUAGCAUCAUCAACAUUUACCUUAAGCCAUCCUUCUUCGGGUGGACUCCAUUGGCUUUGCUGAACAUUGUUUUGUUCUGCUAAGAAAUCCUCUUCUGACAUUGAGCACCAUAGUUAAGUACAAAACGGUGCGUUUUGUUCACGCAUGUUAGUAAACACCCACGCAACUUACACACAUACGCGCGGCUCACAACACGCGCUCUCCUCGCCCUAAAUCUCACCUGAUUGAAGCCACAAAUUUGGCCACGUUCUCCCACAGCUCUCUCCGUUCUGACCGUUUACUCUUCCUCUAGCCCCAUCGAUUACAUCUCUCAUAGCACCUCAUUCAACCGACGUAAUUGCCAGAAAACAACCUACCUGGUAAUAAAAGUCGAUUCUCUUACAAUUUUGGCCCAAAAAAAAAAAUUGCACAACUGAAAAAUCAAAAUGCCACUCUUUAAAACCAAAAAUCAAUUUUGGGCCCCCUUCAUCACCGCCUUCACUCUAGAUUUUUUCAAUCCACUUUGUCGUCAAAACCGUGGUGUUCUUAAACCAUUAUUAUAUUCACCAUCCCCUUAAUCACAUCCAACCAUCCCCAUUAUUCGUUUGUCAAACACGCUGUUCUCUUCCCAAAUUAAUUAAUUAAUUAAUGACAGACAGGAACAAAAGUACUUUAAAUCUCUGCCAAAUCGUAUUGUUAUUACUUCUUCCGAGUCGAGGCCACGUCGUUCUCGAUGGAAACCAUUGCUUUUUAUUACCACUCUUGAGGAGUUCGAAGCAUUCUCGACGGAGACCCGCGCAAGCUGUGGAAAGAGAGAGAGUCAACGGUGAAAAGAGAGCAUGGUGAGAUGUGUGAGCGACGGGGGGAGAGAGAGAGAGAAAGAAAGCCGACGGAGAGAGCACAUAGAGCUGAGAUGCGUGAGUUGGGUGAAGAUUUGGUGAGCGUUGUGUCAGUUGCCCGUGUGUUGUGUGAGCUCUGUGCCAUGUGAUAUGCGUGCUACUUUGAGAAUUUAUAGAUAGCACAAAACUCAAUCUAUAUCCAAUUCAUACCUAGAUAGAUGCGGAUUUGACUCAAUUUAUAUCCAAUUCGUCAUUUGCGAACUAAAAAUUUUUAAUUCUCUCAAAUUCACAAACUAACUAAAUAAAUAAAAAUUUAAUAUAAAAAUAACUGUACUACCGAUCAAAUUUAAAAUUAAAUAAUAUUUAAAUAAAUUAAUUGUUUAAAUAAAGUUAGAAAAUACAUUCAAAAUUUUAAAAUAUAACACAGUAAAAAGAAAAAAUCUCAUUUGUUUAGACCUAUGUAUGAAAAUUAAUUGUUUAGGAAUCUAUAUUUAUUUAUUUUUAUAUUAUUAUCGGAUAAGAUAUAAUAUGGUGUUAAUGUAACUAUAUUUUAACUUAUUUAUUUAUAAGACCAAUGCUAUAUGUACAAGUUUAAUUUUUUAAUUAAAUAAAUAUUUUUUUUUGCGGAAUUGUGGAUUUUUGCGGAUUUACAAAAGUAAAUCUAUAUCCAAUCCACCGACUAUGGAUUUUCAAAUUUUCAAAAUUUCAAAUUUUCAAAUUUUCAAAAUUUCAAAUUUUCAAAUUUUCAAUCCAAUCCAAUCCACCAAUUCACAAAUUCGGAUUUUUACGGAUUAGAUUUCUACAGAUUAAACGAAUUGAGCAGACCAUAUUUGAUUUUGAACAUUGCUAAUUUGUAUGUUAAGUAUAACAUAAUCAAUUAUUUGGAUAAUCCCUUGUGUUUUAUCUCUAAUUAGAGCAUCAAUCUUCACAAUAUCUACAAAGCUACAAUGGCUACAAAACAAACCUGCUUGCAAAUUGUCAAGGAUACUUAUCCUUUCUCUUGACAAGUCAUUUGGAAAAAUACUGUCCCUUGGCGGCUCCAUGACUUCUCUGCUCCUCCUUUUGGUCUUAAUGUACGGUUGCAUAAUGAUAGUUUAGGCCCUUUAGGGACUACUUUCCCUGGGGUUGUUAAGUCUUAGCUUGUGCUAGGCUCGUUUUUCUUACCAAAAAAAAAGGGAAUACUUCUCCUAUAAGAAAUAAUCUCUAUAUAUAGGGUGGUUGGAUUCACUUGUUUACAUAACAGAUCAAUUAGUUCUCUGUAAAUAGAGAGUUUCUAGUAUAAGAGAAACGGUAGAUCUAUUGAGAGAUUAUGUGUUAUUAAAAUUUUAGUUGCGAAGAAAAGUACUAGAGUGAUUGUAUUAAUUUUUUACAUAGUAGAUUUUUCUAUCGUCAUCUUUAUGGCUGUGAUUUUUCUUCCAUAUAGAAGUUUCUCACGUAAAUUUUUAUGUUGUGUGAUUAGUUUUAUUCUCUAUCUAUUUUUUGUUUAAUAUUUUAUUUGUAAGAUGCUGGAUGGGAUUAAAAUUUCUUAACAAAUAACGGAUUAAAAAUCAUGAAGAAAAAGCUCAAGAGAUCUUCAAGAUUUGAAGUGUGCAAAAGUUCAUAUUACUGCUAGAUGAUAUAUGGGAGCGGGUUGAUUUAGUAAAAAUGGGUGUCCCUCUUCCUAGAUCAGAAAACAGCACAUCCAAAGUGAUAUUUACAAACCCGUUCUGAGGAAGUUUGCGGCUUAAUGGAAGUUCGUAGGAGUUUUAAAGUGGCGUGCUUAUCAAAUAAAAAUGCUUGGGAAUUGUUUCUAUACAAAGUUGGGGAAGUGAAAGAAAACAGAGAUGUACUGUUUGGUUGAAUAGAAAAUUACAGAGAAAAUUCUCAAUACUUGUAUUUGAUAAGAUUCAAUUCUUAAGAGCUUUUACAAAUCAGUACAAGUAUUUAUAUUAUUCCUUACACGUGAGAAUUGCUAGUAACUCACUAACUAACUAACUUUCUUUGAGCUGGAUCACUAACACUUGACUAAUCACACUGAGCUGUUAUUCUUCACUAACAACCUUCUGCUGACGUGGCUUCACCAAGCUACUUGAAUAAUGAGCAGCCUUGACAGCCCCCCUCAAACUCAAGGGACAAGACAUGACGUUGAGUUUGGCCCUAAGAUAGUUAAAAUGGAUGAAUGAGAGUGGCUUGGUCAUGAUGUCAGCUACCUGCUCCUCACUUGGUAUAUAUUGAAUGUUUAGUUCUCCAGCAAGAACUUUGUUUCUAACAUAAUGAAUAUCAAUCUCAAUAUGCUUUGUUCUUGAGUGGAAAACUGGAUUGUGAGCUAACUCUGUUGCACUGAGAUUGUCACACCAAAUAACAGGUUUCUCUAUGCAUUGUAAUUUCAACUCAGAAAACAGUGAUUGCAGCCAGCUUAUCUCGGCACUUGCUGAGGCUAGGGACCUAUACUCACUCUCUGCACUGGACCUAGCAAUAACAGGCUGCUUCUUAGACGACCAAGAUAUCAGAUUAUGACCAAGAUAGAUGCAAUAGGCUCCAAUCGAUUUUCUGUCAUCCAGAUCCCCUGCCCAGUCUGCAUCUGUGAAUCCUGUUAGUUUCAGAUCACCAUCCUUAAUAAUUUUGAGUCCAUAGUUCUGUGUAGCCUUUAGAUAUCUGAGCACUCUUUUGCAAGCCAUAAGGUGCUGCAGUGUUGGUGCAGAAACGUAUUGACUCAGCUUGUGAACACUAAAGGCAAUUUCUGGUCUUGUUAAUACCAAAUAUUGCAUCCCACCAACAAUGCUUCUGUAAUGUGUUACAUCUUCAACAUAACAACCAAGAUUACCUUGAGCUUCCUUCUGUAGCUUCAUUCCUGUACUCAUAGGAGUAUCAAUAUCUUUGCAAUUUAUCAUCUCAACUCUUGACAGCAGAUCCCUUAUGUAUUUCCUUUGAGAUAAGAAAAUACAAUCUUUAUCAUACAGUACUUCAAUGCCUAAGAAAUAAGAGAGAACUCCAAGAUCCUUCAAAGCAAACUUUGUACUGAAUUCUGUAAUGAAUUUUUCCAGCUCAAAGCUAUUUGGUCCUGUUAUUAAAAUGUCAUCAACAUAUAUAAGAACUAGAAUCAUAGAUGACUUAUUUAUUUUCAAGAAUAAGGAGGUAUCUGAGCUGGAAUUUGUGAAUCCCCACUGCAACAAACAGCCUUUCAACUUAUCAUACCAAGCUCUUGGAGCUUGUUUAAGUCCAUAAAGAGACUUGUGAAGCUUGCAUACAAAGUCUGGUUUCUCAAAGCUGAUAAAUCCCUCUGGUUGAUCCAUGAACACUUCCUCUGUUAAGUCUCCAUUAAGAAAGGCAUUAUUCACAUCAACUUGCCUUAUCUUCCACUGAUUCAUCACAGCUAAACUCAAGACUACUCUUACAGUUGCUGGUUUUAUGACAGGACUGAAAGUUUCAAAAUAAUUCACUCCUAUAAUUUGUUGAAAUCCCUUUGCAACUAACCUAGCUUUGUAUUUAGCUACACUUCCAUCAGUGUUGUAUUUAACCCUAUACACUCAUUUGUUUCCAACAACUCUUUGAUCAUUUGUUUUUGGCACUAAGGACCAUGUACCACUCUGCAUCAAAGCUGCAUAUUCUUCUUUCAUGGCUGUAAACCAUUUUGGGUUUUGCAUAGCCUCAUAUACAGAAUCAGGUUAUUUGUGAACAAGGGUUGCUGUAUAAAGCUUUGGUUUGAAGAUACCAGUUUUGCUUCUGGUAGUCAUUGGAUGUGUAUUAGGUUGGACUGGAAAAGAUAUAUCAGGUGUAGGUUGAGCUAAUAAGGAUAUGUCAGGUGCAGGUUGUGGUGAAUUUUGAGGCUCUGUAGAUGGUUCAAUAAAUGUGGUAUGUGUUUGUGAAUAGGAAUGUUGAUUGUCAGUAUGAAAUGGAUUAUCUGAAUGUUGUGAACUGCUGCUGGUAGAAAUUGCAGAUAGAGGAUUGCAUGAGCUAUUUCCAUCUGAUACUGGUGUUGUAGAUAAUAUGGUCAGAUGAAACACUGGUUGGGGUGUAAGGGAUUGACUCGAAUAAGAUGAUGAUUCAUUAGAAUGAAAAACUGAGUCUGUAGAAUAAGGAAAUGUUGACUCAUAAAAAACAACAUGUCUGGCUAUGUACAUCUUGCCUGAUGAAUGCAAGCAUUUGUAACCUUUGUGAACUGGACUGUAGCCAAGGAAAAUGCAUUUGCUUGAGUGAUAAUCAAAUUUGUGUUUGUUGUAAUCCCUUAGAUAAGGAUAACAUGUGCAACCGAAACACUUGAGCAUGCUGUAAUCAGGUUUAAGUUUAAAAAUUGUCUCAUAUGGGGUAAGAAGUUUCAGAGCUGUUGAGGGUAAUCUGUUUAUAUGGUAAACAGCUGUAAGAAAAGCAUCCCACCAAAAUUUAAAUGGUAGCUUAGCUUGUGCUAAUAGGGUUAGUCCUAGCUCAACAAUGUGUCUAUGUUUUCUUUCUACCACCCCAUUUUGGUGAUGUGUAUAAGGACAAGAAUGUCUGAAAAUGAUUCCACAUUGGUUUAAGAAUUGAGUAAAUGAUCUGUAUUCUCCCCCCCAAUCAGAUUGCAGGUUUUUAAUGGGGCUGUCAAAUUGGUUUUCAACCUGCAAUUUGAAUAGUUUGAAUACAUCUAAUGCCUCAGAUUUCAACUUAAGAGGAUAAAUCCAAGUGUAUCGGCUAAAAUCAUCAACAAAACUUAUGUAAUAGACAUAGCUAUCUCUAGAAGGUGUAGGUGAGGGUCCCCAUAGGUCUGUAUGUAUAAGCUCAAGGGGUUUUGUUGUUUUGGUUUCUGUGCUGGGAAAAUGCAGCCUAUGGGAUUUGCCCAUUUGACAUGCUUCACAGAUAUGCUCAAGUGUUUGUUUUAUGUUAUUUCUUGAGAGAUUAACUGAAGUAAUUCCUUUUAGCAAAUGCAUUAGAAUUUGAGAAUUAGGAUGGCCAAAACGUUUGUGAAGAAGAAGAAUUUUAUUAUUCAAUGCAUCACAAGAUGAAAUGUAGCUGGAAAAUUUAUUUAUUGAUGCAUUACAAACUGUGACACAACUGGAAUCAUUAUUCUGAGUGUUUUUAAGAACACUUGAAUCAAAAGAACAUGCAGAUAACAUUGACAAAGGUUGAGUGGAUGAAGGUUGACCCAUGUAAGAACAAGGAAGAGACUCAGAUGGUCUUAGAAGUAGCUUAUACAAUCCUUUCUCAGCAAUUCCUGUCAGAAGCACUUGCCUCUUCAGAGAAUCCUUCACAUAGCAAACAUUAUCAACAAAUUCAAUAGAGAUAUUGUUAUCAGCAGUUAAUUUUGAUAUGCUGAGCAGGUUCUUUGUGAUAUCAGGUACUAAUAACAUGUCAUUCAGUAAGAUAUGUGUUGGUUUAUAUGCAGCAUUUGAUCCUUUAUAAGUAAAACAUGGAUUACCAACAUGAGUUAUAGGCAAACCUUGGCCAUUGCCGAUGACAAGUUGAUUAGAUCCUCUGAAUUCCUCUCUGACAUUCAUGUUGGCCAUACUGUUAGUCAAGUGAUGUGUGGCACCAUUGUCAAGGUGCCAUCCUUCAUCAGCAGGCCCUUCAUAGUUGGUAAGAUAGGCUUCAGGAAUUACUGUGUCUGUUGAUGGAUAAGAGGAGAAGGAUAAAGGAUUGUAGCUUGAGUAGGGUGCAGCAUACUGUUCUUCAGUUGAAGGAGCAGCAUAGGUUAGAGAUGGAUCAAAGUUAGCUGUGUAUGCAGCCUUAGAUUCAAAAGAUCUGCCCCUUCCAAAAUGCCUAGGUAAUGGUUGAGGAUUGUCAUCAUAUCUAUGCCAGCAUUCAUCUGCUGCAUGUCCUGUUUUGUGGCAUAUCUGACAUAUGGUUGGUAAUUCAUCAGCAUGCAUGUUAGCUGAAGGAUGAAAGUUUGGCUUCAUAGGUGGCCUAAAAGGUUGCAUCAUCUGGCCCCUGCCAUAACCCCCAACAUUACCAACACCAGGUGAAAAACCUCUGGGAUGUGGAUUGUGAAACAUGCCUCUUCCAACAUUAAAUCCUCUAGUCAUAGGUCGACCAUAAUUUCCAUUUCCAACAACACCUCUUCUAAAAUUUCCUCUCAUAUAAGGAUGAUUCACAUUCAUUGUGCUAUAGUUUGCAUUAAACACAGUUUUGGCACUUUGAUUUUGUUCAAGUCUAGCUUCAUGAGUCAGUAAUAAUGCAUAAGCAUCAUCAUAGCUCAUCUUAUUAGCUGUGAUUAUGGAAGCUAGAUCUAGAUAACCUGAACCUAAGCCAUUCAAAACUCUCAUUAACAGAUCCUUUUCAGUGAUUACAUCACCAGCACAAGCAAGUUUGUUGGCGAGUAAUUUCAUUUUAGCACAAUAUUCCUCAACAUUCAUUGAAUCUUUUCUUAAGAUAUUCAUUUCAUAUCUGAGUUGCAUAAUCUUAGCCUCAGAUUGAACUCCAAACUGUUUUUCAAUAGAUCUCCACACAUCAAAUGAAGUGUCAUAGCUAAGAACAGAACUAAGAAUACCUUCACUUAUAGUUGAGAGCAGCCAGCCAAGGAGUAUUUGAUCUUGUGCUCUCCAGUUGCUGUAGGCUGGAUUUUCAAUGCUCUCACCAGAUCCUUCGAUCAUUGAAUCAACUAGAUACUGUUCUGGAAUAAUUUGCGGCUCUAGAAUGAAUCUUUCAAGGCGAUUUCCUCUGAUUGAAGUUACCACUUGUUUGCGCCAAAGCAAGAAAUUUGAUCGAUCAAGUUUCACAGUUGCAGCAAAAGUAAAUGAUGUUUGUGUAUGUUGAUUUGAGUUUAUGAUUGUUUGAUUUGAGAUUGUAUUGCUUGAGCUGGCCAUUUGUGGCUCUGAUACCAUGAAAGAAAACAGAGAUGUACUAUUUGGUUGAAUAGAAAAUUACAGAGAAAAUUCUCAAUACUUGUAUUUGAUAAGAUUCAAUUCUUAAGAGCUUUUACAAAUCAGUACAAGUAUUUAUAUUAUUCCUUACACGUGAGAAUUACUAGUAACUCACUAACUAACUAACUAACUUUCUUUGAGCUGGAUCACUAACACUUGACUAAUCACGCUGAGCUGUUAUUCUUCACUAACAACCUUCUGCUGACGUGGCUUCACCAAACUGCUUGAAUAAUGAGCAGCCUUGACAGGAAGAAACUUUGAACAAUCAUCCUGAUAUCCUUCAGAAAGCACAAUAGUUGUUAAGGAGUGUGGUGGUUUGCCACUUGCACAUUUUACCAUCGGUCGAUUUAUGGCAUGCAAGAAGACACAGCCGAAGAAUGGAGAUAUGCUAUUCAAGUGUUCAAUUCGUCCGCUUCCCGUUUCCAGGUCUGGAAGAAUGGAUAUAUACUCUUGUAAAAUUCAGUUAUGAUAGUUUACCCAAUGACACAAUUACACCUUGUCUGUUAUAUUGUAGUUUAUAUCCAGAAGAUUGUUGCAUUUCUAAAGAGAAUUUGGUAGAUUGUUAGAUCAGUGAAGGAUUUUUUAAUGAGAGUGAUUGGUUUGGAGAAAAAAUCAAGGAUACUUCAUUUUGGGCAUUCUUCUUCACGUUUUUUUUUGGAAAAGGGAGGAGAUUGUGAAAUGAAAAAUGCAUGCAUGACGUUAUUCGUGAUAUGGCUUUGUGGAUCGCAUGCGACUAUGAGAAGGAGAAGGAGAACUUUUUGGUUUACGCUGGUGUUGGUUUAACUAAGGUACCGGAUAUUAGAGAUUGGGAAAAGGUAAGGAGAUUGUCAUUGAUGAAAAAUAAAAUUGAGAAUCUAUCCGAGGCUCAUACAUGCCCUCAUCUCCUCACUUUCUUUCUUGACGAUAAUGAGUUUCGGAAGAUCCCCGGUGAUUUCUUCCAGUUUAUGCCUUCUCUCACUGUUUUAAACUUGUCAUGUAUUAAACUAAAGUCAGUUCCUUUAGGGACUUCAAGGUUGGUUCCACUACAACAACUCGAUCAUUCAUAUUCAAGCAUAAAAGAGUUGCAAGAAGAGUUAAAUGCCCUGAUUAAAGUUAAAUGCUUGAAUAUAGAUCAUGUAGAGGAGCUAAUUACAGUUCCACAACAACGGAUAUUUAAUUUUUAAGGUUAUAUGUGUUGAGAAUGUUCGAUACUAUUAGUUUAAAUUUUCAAGAAGCAUUAAAUAAAGACAGCAUUUUAUUUGGUGGGGAGGAAGUUUAAGCAGAGGAGUUGCUCGGUUUGGAAUAUUUGGAGGUAUUGAGCUUCACUUGAGAGGUGUUCGUGCUCUCCAAUUUAUUUUGAGCUCACAUAAGCUACGAAGUUGUACUCAAGCGCUGUUCCUCCAAUCCUUCAAUAAUUCGAUAUGGCUUGAUAUUUCACUUUUGGCAGAGUUAAAAGCACCACUGCAGAUUUAAGUAUUUUUGGCUGUAGAAAAUUGGAGGACUUGAAGAUGGAAUAUACAGGGGGAGCGAAAAACAAGCGGCAACCUUGUGUUUUCUAAGGCCUACAUACAGUUCACAUAGAGGUUUGUUCUAAAUUGAAGGACUUAACAUUCCUUGUUUCUGCUCCAAAUCUCAAGAACUUGGAAAUACAAAAUUGCCCUGCUGUGGAAGCAAUCAUCAGUGUGGGAGAAUUUGCGGAAGCUCUAGAGGUGGUGGAAAAUCUAAACCCAUUUGCAAAACUCCAGUAUCUUGGACUAGAAAAUCUGCCAAAUGUGGAGAGCAUCUAUUGCAAGCCUCUGCCCUUUCCAUGUUUGAAAAGAAAUGACUGUGGAUAGUUGCGGUUGUCUUAAAAAGCUUCCACUCUACUCCAACAGUGUAAAAGAGUGUACAAUUGUUAUUUCAUCAUUCGGAGAGUUAAUGGUGCAAUGAGAUUUGGCAGUUAACUCUCGUGGGAAGAGCUUGAAUGGGAAGACGAAGCCACUCGAAUUGCUUUUCAUUCAUGUUUCAAAUCUCUGAUUGGAUUGGAGAUUGCAUUUCGCCUCAGGUUCGUACUUUUCUUGAAUUUUUCUUGUUAACUUCAUUUGUUCAUUUAUCCAUUUUUUUUUAAAGGAAUCAGAAGGGUUAAUAAUUUUGGUUGUGUUAGGUCGACUUCUAAUCACGAGGCAGAAGGAGUUGAGAUGAAGUUUAAUUUUGGUGGAGAAAUUGUUUGAUUUAAAAAAUUUAAAUGAGUUGACCAUCAUUCUUUAGCAUAUUUGUAUGAACAGGAGUGUGUAAAUAUGCAAACUGUCCAGCUGUAUGUGUAUAGCGUAAUAAUUUUGAGGAGUUAAAACAUUGAAGAAUAUUGAUGUUUCCAUUGUCAAACCAAAUAUACUUAAUUACUUGAGGAUAAUGAUUACUGCUAAUACAUUUGCUAAUACAUUUGCAAAGAAAAAAACAUGCCUAUUGAAAAACUCAUCUUAUUAGCAACAGCAUUAUAAGUAGUAUCCAAUCAUAGUUUCAUGCAAGAUUUUGAGAUUUUUCAAAUGCUGAUUCCGGGAAUGGAGAUUAAUAGAUAAUGGAGACAGGUUGACUGCAAUGGCUAAUUGCAAGAGGGAAUUUUAGUCGUAAAAACAGACCAACUAGCAAAGCAAAUUCCAAAUCUUGGAAUGAAGUGGCAAAAAAACGAAACAAACAAAUGGCAAGAGGAAGUGACUAUACAAUAAUAACAUCGACUUGCAAUUCAACAUUUAUACAGUUUUACUCACCAAGAAAAGAGAAAAUUACAAUAGCAAUUUGGCUACUAGAAGAUGUUCAUUCAUGCUUAUGCCUGUCAUAUGGAUUUGAAACAAGGAGUAAAAGCAUUUAGAGUGGCUUCAUCCUUCCACUGCAGCUCAUUCCACCAGUGUUGCUCUCCCCUAAUAACAAGUUUGCGUUCCUUGGCGCUGUUGUAAUCGAGUGGAAGCUUCUUGAGGUUCGGGCAUCCAGAUACAAACAAUUCUAAGAGAUUUGGAAAGUGCACUUAAAUUCUUAUGAAUUGCUUAAGUAUGCAAGCAGCAGAGCAGAAAACAAACAACCUUUUCAUAUAUUAUAAUAACAUGAAUAAUCAGAUAUACACAUCCUUCACAUAUUUAUACUAAACGUGAAAAAUGGUAGCUUGCUCAAAGGGAAAACAGAAAUGAAUAAAACAAAAGAUUACAGCUGCACUAGCCAAUCAUUGGAAACAUUCUAGAAACUCCAGCUUGCAGUAUUCACGUGUAAAUAUUCUCCUGCAUAACAGUUUUGCCAGCUCAUUGAAUACACCUCAACUUCUUCAUCAGCUGGUUGCUGGAUAUGGCUGCUCAGGUGGCAUGCCAGCAUGGCCUUUGGGUCAAUUGUUGACUCAUCUUCAUAAUCUGAAUUCUCAACACCCUCUCUCAAACUUAAGGUCUUGUCGAAGACAUUAAGUUUGCUUCUAAAUUGACUGAACUUGUAAUAAGGCAAUGGCUUGGUUAAUAUGUCUGCAACUUGAUCUCUGCUGGCUACAAAACUGAUUUCCAGCUCUCCUUGAGUGACUUUGUCUCUAAUGAAAUGAAGGUCUAUCUCAAAAUGCUUUGUCUUUGAGUGAUACACUGGAUUUGUGGCUAUUGCUGCUGCACUUGUGCUAUCACUUAAGAUCAUUGGAACUCUUUGCAUCUUGAUUUCCAAUUCACCAAACAGAGAAUUUAUCCAAGUGAUUUCAGUAGUACACAAAGCUAUGGCCCUGUACUCGGACUCAGCUGUCGAUCUUGCUACCAUGCCUUGCUUUAUUGAGCUCCAAGCUACUAAAUUGUCUCCCAAAAACACACAAUAUCCACUUACUGAUCUUCUGUCAUCUGGAUCACUAGCCCAGUCAGCAUCAAUAUAGGCUAUCAAAUCUAGAUGUUCUGACUUCUGGAACUUUAAGCACAUGUUUGCAGUGCUCUUUAGGUACCUCAACACUCGUUUGCAAGCUGUCCAGUGAGAUUGUCUUGGGUCAGACAGGUAUUGGCUAAGCUUGUUCACAGAAUAUGCAAGCUCUGGUCUUGUUAGAACAGCAUAAUGUAGACUUCCUACAACACUCCUAUAAAAUGAAGGAUUGUCAAGUUUGGUGCCUUCACCCUUCUUUAGUUUCUCUGCUGUGCUGAAAGGUGACUCUAUUCCCUUGCAAUUCUCCAUCUCUGUUUUAGCUAAUAGGUCUUGAACAUAUUUAGCUUGAGAGAGCAAAAUGGAGUUCUGAUUUCUUAUAACAUGUAUCCCAAGGAAGUAGCUUAAAUUUCCAAGAUCUUUCCACUUAACUUUCCUAUCACUUCCUCAAUACCCUUGCUGUUAUUUCCAGUCACAAUUAUGUCAUCUACAUACACAAGCACAAUGAUUAUUUCAGCACUGCUUCUUUUGAAGAAUAGAGAAAUAUCACACUUGGAGUUGUUGAAUCCCCAAGAGCACAGAGCAUUCUUUAAUUUGUCAAACCAUGCUCUGGGUGCUUGUCUCAGUCCAUAAAGAGCUUUCUUGAGCUUGCAUAUGUGGUUUGGUCUUCUCCUAUCCUCAAAUCCCUCAGGUUGUGGCAUGUACACUGUCUCUGUCAAAUCUCCAUUCAGAAAUGCAUUAUUUAUGUCAACCUGCCUCAACAGCCAAUCAUUACUUACAGCCAAAGUUAAAAUGAUUCUGAUUGUUGCAGCUUUGACCACAGGGCUGAAAGUCUCAUUAAAGUCAAGUCCUGGUGUCUGCAGAAACCCCUUCAAGACAAGUCUAGCUUUGUAUCUAUUUAUGGUGCCAUCUGGAUUUUCCUUUACUUUGUACACCCAUUUGUUGCCAAUGAGUUUGUAGUUCUGGUCAUGUGGAAUUAAGGUCCAGGUUUGGUUUUUGACAAGAGCAUUAUAUUCAUCCUCCAUUGCUCUUCUCCAUUUAGGAUCUUUCAGUGCCACAGUGGAGUCAGGGGGUAAGGAAGUUUGAGAUUGAGUGGAUAUUUGAUAAACCUUUGGCUUGCAAAUCCCUGCUUUUGACCUUGUGAUCAUGGGAUGUAAGGAGGCUUGAGUGUUUGGUUAUGUUAUGAGAGGCAAGGUGCAAUUUUCUACUGAGGUGUUUGGUGAGAGUUCAACAGGUGAGUGGUUGUCUGAUAUAGAGUUGAAGCUCAAAUUCUAACAAGCUCCAUCUUAACUAAAACUUGGGAGCUGUUCUGAGUUUCCAGCAGUGGCCUGAGAUUAACUAUGAGCUGCAUUUUGCUGUGUUGACUCAGGGGGAACAGUAGUGGAGAAAGAUACAACUUGAAAUUUUUCUAGAACUGUGGGGGAAUCAUUUUGGUCAGUGAGCCUUUGCUUGCAGAAAUUUGAGUCAUUUUGAAAAGGGAAUGAAUGAUCAUUAAAUUGACACUGGCUGAAAUGUAGAUCCUCCCAGAAUGAUGCAUGCAAAUGUAACCUUUGUGACUGAUGCUAAUGCCUAGUAGUGUGCACUUGAAAGUGUGAAAAUCAAACUUAUGCUUGUUGUAGGGUCUUAAGUAUGGAUAGCAUUCACAACCGAAAACUUUAAUUUGGGAAUAAUCUGGUUUGGUGAGAUAUAACAGCUCAAAUGGAGUUUUAUUUUCAAGAAUAGGUGAGGUUAAUCUGUUUAUGAUGUAGGUGGCAUAGCUGAAAGCUUCUUGCCAAUAUCUCAAAGGCAUUUUUGCUUGGGCUAGUAAUGUUAGGCCAGUUUCCACAAUGUGUCUGUGCUUUCUCUCCACCUUUCCAUUUUGUUCAUGUAAAUAAGGGCAUGAGUGUCUUAAGGCUAUUCCUUCUUUCUUGAGAAAGGGUUCGAAAGUUUUAAACUCCCCACCCAUGUCUGUUUGUAAAGCCUUGAUUCUUAAAUUUAGCUGAUUUUCUACUUGGUUUUUAAACACAAUGAAUGUGUCAAGGGCCUGUGAUUUUGUUGUUAAGGGAAACAACCAUGUGUAUCUUGUCUUGUCAUCCACAAAUGAUAUGUAAUAUCUGUGUCCAUGGGUAGAUGGAAUAGGUGCUGGUCCCCAGAGAUCACUAUGUAUUUGUUCUAAGGCUGUGCUGGUCUUGGUUUCAAUGCUUUUAAAGUUUAGUUUUGAUUGCUUUCCAUACUGACAAGCAUUACAGAAUGAGGGAAAUAUAUUUUUAUUUAAGUUGAGCUGAUUACAAGAUAAUAGAGUAUUUUUCAGAACUGACUCAUUUGGAUGCCUCAGCCUAUGGUGCCAGAGAUCUAUUUCAUUUGUUCUAAGAUCCCUACUGCUUGUAUCAGCUCUACUGGACUCGACAACACUGGCACCAACACUGGCACCUAAAGACUCAUUACUACUGAAAUUGAAACAUGCCAUUGACAUUGGAUUGCUAAUGCAACUUAUUGACUUGGGUAUUGGAAAUGAAGAUAACUCAGCAGCAUAAGUAACCUUGUUGCCACUCAAAUGAGUUGGCAUGCAUAGCAGCUCAUAUAGUCCAUCUCUAGCCACUCCUUUCACCAGAAUUCUCCCUUGGCUCUUGUCCUUGAUGAAGCAAACAGAUUUUUGAAACUCAACAUCAAUAUCAUUAUCAUGAAGCAAUUUGGAAACACUAAUGAGAUUUUUGGUAAUAUCAGGUACAAACAAAAUAUGAUUUAAUUUGAUGUGUUUGUGUGGACUGUAAGUGGGCAAUAUAGAAUAACCAAUGUGAGAGAUAUGAAGUUUGUUACCAUUACCAACAGUGAGCUUGUCAUUACCUUGGUACUCUGAGUUCAGGUUCAUGUUUCCAAUAGCAUUGGUCACAUGAUUUGUGGCACCACUGUCAAGGUACCAGGCAUUGCUGUUUUGUCCUUCUGUUGUGGCCAUGUAGGCUCCUCUCCUCCUAUUUAGCUGUGGCACAUAAUUUUUCUUAAACCUAUGCCAGCAUUCAACAGCUGUGUGCCCCAUUUUGAAGCAGAUUUGGCAUGGACCCUUUGAUUCAGAACCUUCACCUUCUGCAGCAGCUUUGCCUUUGCCUUUGUCUUGAAUAUUUUGAUUUCCCUGACCAUGACCACCAUUGCCACCAUUUCCAGUGCCACCACCAGGAUUUCUGAAGACUAUCCCAGGUUGUUGCUGACUGCCAAAUCUUUCACCAUUGCCCCAGUUCCUCCUGCCAUUUCUCAUCUGUGUGAAGUUAGCCUCAAGAAUCCCUGGGCUGAGAUUUUGCUCAGUCCUGGUUUCUUGGCUGAGGAGCAUGCUGUAGACCUCUGACAAUGAAGGAGUUUCUGGCAUAGAGUUAAUGUUAGUGACAACAGAGUCAUAUUCAGAUCAUACUCCAGCUAAGACACACAUAAUAAAGUCCUCAUCACUCAUGUUAUUUCCAGCUGCUCUGAGUGUAUUUAGGAUAGUUUUCAUCAUGGAGUAAUAAUCAUGGAUUGUAAGAGAGCCCUUUUUAGUGGUUUGAAUCUGUGUCCUCAAAUAUAGGAUUCUAGCUCUUGUUCUUGCACCAUACUGAUUGGUAAGAGUUGUCCAAACUUCAUGUGAAGUAGAACAAUCCACCACAGUGCCGAGGACACCCUCACUGAGAGAUGAGAGCAACCAGCUCAAAAGAAUGUGGUCCUGUUUCUUCCAGAUUUGAUAUUCUGGAUUUUGGUGGGUAACGGUAGCUUGGUUAGGUCCAGGACUGGUGAAAUAUCUGGGGGGACAGGUAUAGCUUCCAUUUAUGAAGCCUUCAAGCUCAUUUGCUCGUAUGCUGGAGACCACUUGUGAUCUCCAGAGCAUGAAAUUGUUCUGUGUUAACUUGAUGGGAGUGGUGAACACAUAUGUGUUGCUGGUGAUAUGUUGGGUAGGAGAUGGGUUCAUUAUGGUCACAUUUCUUGUGUUAUUAUCUGGAUUCUGAUUGUCGAUAUUUUCAGGUUGGUUUUGAUUCAAAUCAUUUGGUUGAUCAUCUGGAUUUUCCAGAGUUUGAUUCAUGUUUGUUUGUGAAUUUCUGCUGCUUUCCAUAGCUCAAAAGUUGCUCUGAUACCAACUUAAAUUCUUAUGAAUUGCUUAAGUAUGCAAGCAGAAGAGCAGAAAAAAAAUAACCUUUUCAUAUAUUAUAAUAACAUGAAUAAUCAGAUAUACACAUCCUUCACAUAUUUAUACUAAACGUGAAAAAUGGUAGCUUGCUCAAAGGGAAAACAGAAAUGAAUAAAACAAAAGAUUACAGCUGCACUAGCCAAUCAUUGGAAACAUUCUAGAAACUCCAGCUUGCAGUAUUCACGUGUAAAUAUUCUCCUGCAUAACAGUUUUGCCAGCUCAUUGAAUACACCUCAACUUCUUCAUCAGCUGGCUGCUGGAUAUGGCUGCUCAGGUGGCAUGCCAACAUGGCCUUGGGGUCAAUUGUUGACUCAUCUUCAUAAUCUGAAUUCUCAACAAUGCAUUCAAACAGAUCUUCUUCAAAUUUCUUAGAACUUGCAACCGAAGAUAUUGGAGUUUCGCAAAAGGUUUUAGCCCUGUAACUUCUUCCACUUUCCAAACACUGAUUAUUUCUUCCAUCUCAUAACAACGUUCUACAUGGACCAUCUUCAGAUUUGGGGCAAAAACAAGCCAUGUCAUCUCCCUCAAUUUACUGCAAUAGUCUAUGGUAACACUUUGAAGGCUGUUGAAACCAUAAGUUCUCUUGUUGUUUGAACUUCUGCAUAGUCAACCUUUAGCUCUUCCAAACUUGUACAAUACACAAAAUCUAGUUUGUCAAGAUACUUGAGAUCUGCUAUGGACAAAAUAUUCCAUGACCUUGAAUCCUCACAGCGUCGAAGCUCUAAAGCAUAUUUACAACUCUUGUACUGUUGGCAGCUCAAAAGUCUUCGUAGAGCAUAAAAACUUCUUAACGUGACGCUUAAUACAUUUAAAUGUUCCAAAGUAAUCAACUCCUCUACCAAAAUUUCACUACCACCAAAUAGAACGCUAUCUUCUGGUACUGUAUUAGCAGAGCCACAAUCUAGCAUCCUCAACACCUUUAACCCAGAAAAAUUACAAAGCAGUUGCCGUGGAAUCGUAUGGAGAUAACGCAUGUACUCCAAGUUCAAACACUUUAGAUUUUUCAAGGCUUUUAAUUCAUGUGGUAACUCUUUGAUGAAAGUUUCUGAAAGAUUAAGAUAUUGUAGUGAAACCAAUUUUGAAAUUCCUGAAGGCAAUUGACUCAAGGAGCGAUUCUUUGAUAGGUUUAAAACUUUAAGAGAAGGCAUAAAAUCGAAGAAAUCACUAGGGAUAGUAUCUAACAUAUUAAUGCCGAGGAACAAAGUUAUAAGAUGAGGGCAUAUUGGAGUUAUUGGUAAAAUCACAAUUUUAUUUCUCAUCAACGAUAUCCUUCUCUUAUCUUCCCAUUGUUUAACCUCGGGUGGUUCAGUUAAUUCAAUACCGGCAGAAACCAAAAAGUUUUCAUUCUCCACUUCACAGGCUAUCCACAAGGUCAUAUCACGAAUCACAUCAUGCAAUUUUACAUAAUCUGAUCCUGCUUCUUCCAAUAGGCAUGCAUGAACAAGAACACCAAUAAUGUAGUAUCCUUGGUUAUGUACUCCAUUAAUUCCUUCAUAUUCCUUCAGAAAACCCUCACCAAUCCAACACCCUAUCAAUUCAAUUUUGCUAAUUUGAUAAUCCUCAGGAAAUAAACUACAGUAUAACAGACAAGAUCUAAGGACGUCACUAGACAAACUAUCAUAACUGAAUUUUAAAAGACGAAACACCUCUUUCUCCAUACCUGGAAAUUCAUAAGCUGAUCUCCUUAACAUCUGAAUUGCAUAGCUCCAUUCUUCGGGUGUCUUCUUGCUGCUCAUGGCACGACCGGUGGUAAUAAGUGCAAGUGGCAAACCACUACACUCCUUUGCCACAGUUUUGGCUAACUCCGGAAUAUCGGGAUGACUUUCAAGAGUCUCUUCUCCGACCUUCUUUAGGAACAAUUCCCAAGCAUCUUGAUCUGCCAAACACUCCACCUUGAACUUUUUUUGAGCUUCCAUGAGGCCACAGACGUCCACAAGACGAGUCGUAAAUGUUGAAAGUCAUGGCUGGCGCCGGCCAUCUAGAUGGCCGGUGCCAACCAUUCAACAUUCAACACGGCCCGCCAUUAUUGGUGGUGCCGUGUUGAAUGACUCCAUAAAAAAAAAAAAAAAAAAAAAGAGCCAAAAUUUUGGCUAUAUAAAGAGGGCUUCCCACCCUCAUUUAUAAUCCAAUCUUGAGAGAGCAAUUUAGGGAGUUGAGAGAGAGUUUAAGAGCUUGCAUUUAUAAGCUCUUAUUUUAGUGAUUUGAGAGUUUGGGUGUAUUGGGGUUUUGGGUAGUGAGCUAAAAUACUACAAUACUUGUAACUCCUUUUCACUAGUAAAAUAUUUCCUUCUGUCUUUGCCCAUGGACGUAGGCUAAAAGCCGAACCACGUAAUUUCUGGUGUCCUCUAUUGUGCUUGUUCUUUAUUUUAUUUCCAAUUUCAUUUUAGCUGCGGUCCUGCUUCACCCACCAAUUUCCUAACAGUGGUAUCAGAGCUAUUGGUUGUAUUUUUGGAGUCGGGAACUGUUCACGUAAGGGGUACUAUUCACGUAUACGACACUAUUCACGUAUACUGUACUGUUCACGUAUACGGGUUUGUUCACAUAUACGGUACUGUUCACGUAUACGAUACUAUUCACGUAUACGGUACUAUUCACGUGAAACGGGGAAGCGAUCCAAGAAUUUUCCGGUGCAAAGCAGGGAAUAGUAGUGUGAGAAAAGCAACUGUGGUUUUGUACAUGUCUAGGAAAGUUCUGUCACAAAGGCGAUAAGAGCUUAAGGAGUCUGGGUUUUAAGUGGGACCAUUGUGACCCCUCCAGUCUUUCCUGGGAACUUUCCUGGUGUGCAUUCUCACACAUACUCACAACUAUUCAAGGUGGUAUACUAGCUUGUGUGCAGUAUUUAUCAACAAAAUGGCGGCAAAGUAUGAAAUUGAGAAGUUGAACGGAAAUAAUUUUUCGUUGUGGAAAAUGAAGAUGAAAGCUGUAUUGAGGAAAAAUAAUUGUUUGGCAGCAAUUGGAGAAAGGCCCAUGGAGAUAACUGAUGACAAGUGGAACGAGGUAGACGGUAACGCCAUUUCUGAUCUACACUUGGCACUUGCGGAUGGUGUAUUAUCUAGUGUGGCAGAGAAAAAUACGGCGAAGGAAAUAUGGGAUACUCUCACAAAAUUGUACGAGGCCAAGUCACUACACAACAAAAUCUUCUUGAAGAGAAAACUAUAUACUCUUCGAAUGGCGGAAUCUACAAUGGUGACCGACCACAUCAACACUUUGAAGACUCUAUUUUCACAACUCACAACGUUGGGUCAUAAUAUAGAGGAGAAUGAACGUGCAGAGCUUCUACUUCAAAGUCUACCAGAUUCGUAUGAUCAACUCAUCAUCAACCUGAUGAACAACAAUCCAGUGGAAAGUCUAGUUUUCGACAAUGUUGCAGCCUCCGUAUUAAAUGAGGAGAGCAGACGGAAAAAUAAGGAAAACAGACAAGCAAGUUCGCAGCAAGCAGAGGCGCUAUCGGUGACGAGAGGGAGAUCAACGGAACGUGGCCCCAGUGGGAGUCAAAGUUAUGGUAGAUCAAAAUCCAGAAGUAAGAAAAAUGUUAAAUGCUACAACUGUGGCAAGAAAGGGCACGUCAAGAAAGAGUGUUGGAGUAACCAGAAGAGAAGAGAGGGUAAAGAACCUGAGUCAUCAAAUGCUCAGGGGUGUGUAGCAAGUACCUCGGAUGAUGGCGAAAUUCUCUACAGUGAGGCAACAACUGUUUCAGAAGGCAGAAAACGACUUUCUGAUGUCUGGCUUAUAGACUCAGGAGCUACCUGGCACAUGACCUCUAGGAGAGAAUGGUUCUACACAUAUGAACCUAUCUCAGGAGGAUCUGUAUAUAUGGGUAACGAUCAUGCCUUGGAGAUCGCUGGUAUUGGUACUAUCAAAAUAAAAAUGUUUGAUGGUACAAUUCGCACAAUUGGGGAGGUACGACAUGUCAACGGCCUAAAGAAAAAUCUAUUGUCUUUAGGACAAAUGGAUAGUCAUGGGUACAAAACUCAUGUGGAGAAUGGAAUUAUGAAGAUCGUUAAAGGCGCGCUUGUAUUAAUGAAGGCAGAAAAGAUCAGUGCUAAUCUAUUCAUGCUUAAAGGAGAAACACUACAGGAGGCUGAUGCGUGUGUCGCGUCAAAUGGAGAAGAAUCAACGAUGAUGUGGCAUCUCAAACUCGGCCACAUGUCAGAACAAGGCUUGAAGAUUCUCUCUGAGCGAAAAUUGCUUCCGGGGCUCAAAUCAGUAAGUUUACCAUUUUGCGAGCAUUGUGUUAUAAGUAAGCAGUAUAGAUUAAAAUUCAGUAGAUCUAUUGCUAGAAGUAAAUGCAUUCUAGACUUGAUUCAUUCUGAUGUUUGGGAAUCACCGGAUAUAUCCAUGGGAGGUGCAAAGUACAUGGUGACUUUCAUUGAUGAUUAUUCCAGAAGAUGUUGGGUGUAUCCAAUUAAGAAAAAGUCAGAUGUAUUUCCUGUGUUUAAAGAAUACAAAGCGCGGGUGGAACUUGAAUCUGGUAAAAAGAUCAAGUGCUUAAGGACAGAUAAUGGUGGAGAAUAUACAUACGACGAGUUUCUUGCUUUCUGUAAGCAAGAAGGUAUUCAGAGGCAAUUCACGGUGGCAUACACUCCUCAACAAAACGGAGUAGCAGAGCGGAUGAACAGAACUCUUACAGAAAGAAUAAGAGCUAUGUUGAGGACUGCUGGUUUACCCAAUUCAUUCUGGGCAGAAGCAGCCAAAACCGCCUGUUAUAUAGUAAAUCGGUCGCCAUCUACAGCUAUUGGGUUGAAGACAGCGAUGGAGAUGUGGACUGGAAAGCCAGCUGAUUAUUCCUACCUACAUGCAUUUGGAUGUCCUGUGUACGUGAUGUACAAUGCCCAAGAAAGAACAAAGCUGGAUGCAAAAUCUAGAAGAUGUAUCUUCUUGGGGUAUGCUGAUGGAGUAAAGGGGUAUCGUCUGUGGGACCCCACUGCCCAUAAGAUCGUCAUCAGCAGAGAUGUUAUCUUUGUAGAAGAUCAACUACAAAGAAAAGAUGGAGAUGAUGGCACUGUAAAAGAAAAGUCAGAGACUGUACCAGUAUAUGUCGAAAAUAAUCUAGAAGAUUCAGAUUCUUCUGAAGCAGCACCAGAGCACGAGGAACAAGAACCAGUCGAGUCUGAGGCUCCAGAAGUUCGUCGGUCAACUCGUGAGAGACGACCACCGGCGUGGCACUCGGAGUAUGUCACAGAGAUCAACGUUGCAUACUGUCUUCUAACAGAGGAUGGAGAGCCUUCAACUUUCCAUGAAGCUUUAAACAACUUAGAUGUUGCUUUGUGGAUGACAGCAAUGCAGGAAGAAAUUGAAGCUCUACACAAGAACAAGACAUGGGAACUUGUACCACUACCACACGGAAGAAAAGCCAUUGGAAACAAAUGGGUCUACAAGAUCAAACGUGAUGGCAAUGACCAAGUGGACCGGUAUCGUGCAAGAUUGGUGGUGAAAGGAUAUGCUCAGAAAGAAGGUAUUGACUUCAACGAGAUAUUUUCUCCGGUGGUUCGACUCACAACAGUCAGAAUAGUCUUGGAGAUGUGUGCUACAUUUGAUCUACAUCUUGAGCAGUUAGAUGUUAAAACUGCAUUUCUUCAUGGAGAACUUGAAGAAGAAAUAUAUAUGCUCCAACCAGAAGGUUUUGCAGAAACAGGAAAGGAGAACUUGGUUUGCAGGUUGAACAAAUCUCUAUACGGUCUCAAACAGGCGCCGAGGUGUUGGUAUAAGAGAUUUGAUUCCUUCAUCAUGAGCCUUGGAUACAACAGACUCAGUUCAGACCAUUGUGCAUAUUACAAGAGGUUUGAAGAUAAUGAUUUCAUCAUUUUACUGUUGUACGUGGAUGACAUGUUGGUAGCAGGCCCCAACAAAGAUCAAGUCCAAGAAUUGAAGGCACAAUUGGCUAAGGAGUUUGAAAUGAAGGACUUGGGACCAGCAAACAAGAUUCUAGGGAUGCAAAUUCACCGAGACAAAAAUAACAGGAAGAUUUGGCUUUCACAGAAGAAUUACUUGAAGAAAAUCUUGCGGCGCUUCAACAUGUAAGAUUGUAAGUCAAUUUCUACCCCACUUCCUGUUAAUUUCAAAUUAUCCUCAAGUAUGUGUCCUAGCAAUGAAGUGGAGAGGAAGGAGAUGUCUCGAGUACCGUAUGCAUCAGCAGUGGGAAGUUUAAUGUUCGCUAUGAUAUGUACUAGACCAGACAUUGCACAAGCAGUGGGAGCAGUCAGUCGAUACAUGGCGAAUCCUGGUGGAGAGCAUUGGAUAGCUGUAAAGAGGAUUCUGAGAUACAUCAGAGGAACCUCAGAUGUUGCAUUAUGUUACGGAGGAUCAGAGUUUACUAUCAGGGGCUAUGUGGAUUCAGAUUUUGCAGGAGAUCUUGAUAAAAGAAAAUCCACUACUGGUUAUGUGUUUACACUUGCAGGAGCAGCUGUAAGCUGGGUUUCGAAACUGCAGAUCGUUGUGGCUUUANNNNNNNNNNNNNNNNNNNNNNNNNNNNNNNNNNNNNNNNNNNNNNNNNNNNNNNNNNNNNNNNNNNNNNNNNNNNNNNNNNNNNNNNNNNNNNNNNNNNAUAUUCUUGAUUAAUCCAUUUUCUGAAAUUUUUUAUUUUGUAUGGUCAAUUAUACCUUCAUACUAAAAAUUUCUGAUGUUAUGGGGUUGUUGGAUGUGUUUUGGAUAUUUGCAGCUAAGUUUGAGUUUAUAUCUCAACUUAAAAUUUGUAGUUUUCACUUGAAAAAAUUCAGUUAAAAAUUGAUUGGUAGAAUUGUGAAGAAGUUUAAAUUUUUAGUUCAACCCGAUUGCAUAUUUAAGAACAUCUCAAAUGAAUUGCUUACUGCUAUCAUCAUCAUAAUUGUCAGAGAUGGUUAAUUGAUAGACUAUGUGCCUGGGUCGAGCACUGGAAGCCUGCAAUGCAGACUGAUUGAUUUAUCAGUUUAACGUGUGCCAGGAAUGAAGAACUGGAAUAUCACCGUCAAGCAAGCACCCUGUGGAGCAAUACCAAAGAAUGCACAAUCCGGCUUUGCAAGGUGACACUGGAGGCUUUUUGAAAAGUGCUUCACGCUCACUUGCACAGAUUGAGCAUCCCCUCUGGAUAUUGCCCUCUCUGAUCGAGUCUGAGCACUCAAAUUUUGGUCCUCAGAGGGAGCUACAGUUUUCUCUCCAAUAACCAACAAUUUUCUAAACUCAGCACCUAGUGUGAUCAGAGUUGUUGAUAUUUAUAAAUGGAGAUCCCCAUAUUUGCAAGUGGAGACAUUUAACAAUUCACCAACAUGCUUCAUCCGGUGUACAAAAUUCUGCAGCUGAUUCAAAUCCGGAACCUGAACCAGAGUCGGAGGUAUAUCUUGAGCCAUAUCUAAAGUAGUUUGAAGUUCAAGACCUUGAGCCCUUGACAAUGGUUUUGAAAUUGGAACAUCUUGGAUUACUGCAGACUUGUACCCCUUGGUUUCAAAGGUAAGGAAAGGCAUUGCUUGAGUACAAUUUGGAGGCAGCUUCUUCACCAAUUUUAUUUGGAGGCGAUUGGCAGCGGAUCCAGCAGCACCAAUUUCAGAGCAAAUACUGACACUACUUCGAACAGCACACUGAAGAAGUGAUAUGUCUACGGCAAAGGCAAUGCAGUCCUCAUUUUGGCUUGAGAUGCAGUAAUCAUCGAAGAGAGUUUCCUUGUGAAACUGGGCAACACAUUGAAUCCCUUCGCCACUGAGAAGGUUGUGGAGGAAGUAAGCUUUCUCUCUAGUGAGGCAGAGGUGGCAUACCUUCCCCAUUUUGUCGAGGGCAGGUAGGAAUCUUUUUUCUAAGAGAUUUACUUCAUUCUCUGUGAGAAAUGCUUUGAACUUCAUCCCUCUGUCUCUAUCCUCACUUAUCAGGAAAUAAGUUGAAAGCACUACGAAGAGAGAGAGAGAGAGAGAGAGAGAAUUAAGAUAUAUAGACAAGAAAAAUAUUAGACGUUGAUCUUACAAACUAAUACUUCAAGCAGUAUCCUGGAAAGCUAAAAACUGCAAGAUGGCUUGAAAUUUGAAAAGAGCACGUGCUUUUCCUCCUUAACUUGAGAAAAUGUUUAAUAUAGUGCACCUUAUGGAAGCAUUUAAGCAAUUAGAACUUUGCACAAAAACAUCAAGAAGACUAAACAAGUCAGAUGCAGUGUAUUUGUCCAAGCACAAAUUGCAUUUUGUCCUCAACUUUAAUAUUUAUUGAUGAGAAUCAAUACAGGUCCCUCAUUUGUUAUAGAAAGCUUUCUUUCUUGUAGUCUCACCAGUUAAUUCACAGGUCUAUAAUCAUCUUGCAAAGUUAAGGGCAUUUCUUUUGAUCUAAAGUCUUUGCAUCACCACCUCAUCACACGCCAAGCCAAUAUUCCAUUUACCUCUACAACAAAAAGUUUUAAUUAAACAAUCCUAAUGCACGCAGCCAAAUAAAAUGCAGUAAGAAUAUUCAACUUAAAAAUCUGAAAGCCAACUUGGUGAAUUGCCUCCUUAGGUGAAGUUCCAUGCUUUACUAUAGUUGACAGAACUCAGCAAAAGCUUCCAUACAACAGAUUUUGAAAAUGAUGAUGCCAACAGAUACUCAUUCAAUCCAUUGAAACUCCAAAGGUUCAUUGUUCAUAGAAGUUUACAAAGUUUUGGUCAUCAAAUAGCUCAGACCUAAUCCCAAACAAAAAAAGAGUGAAAAUUAGAUCACGAGCAGCUAAUUGUAAAUUCUAACUUAACUCUUCAUCUCCUUUGUAAACAAGAAACAAAAUGGAGACACGCAAAAUGAAUAUGGAGAAAAUUUGAACUCAAAUGAAAUGAGGGCACGAAAGCAAACAAAUGGCAUGCACAAAAAAACCAAGCCUCAAUCAAAAACUAAUUAACCAUUAAGAAAAAAAUUGGUCAGACAAUGAACUCCAAAUUCAGGAGUCAAGCAAGAAGCUUUCAUUAUUUCAGAAGCUCCUGUACAAAUUAAUAAGUUAUGCUCUUUGGAAGCAAAACCAAAUUCCAAGAGAAACAGAACCCAAAAAAUUUGCAAUUAUUCGCAAAGGAAGUGAAGCACAGGAUUCUAUCACACAUAGGAAUUUUAUAACAAGAGAUCGAUAUAUCGAAUUAGAAAACUCAAUUCGAAUUUGUGUGAAAAAUCAAAAUUAGAAGAUUUCACAUUUCGAGAGGAACAAGCAACAGAUGAGUUUAAUUUCAGCCAUAACAUGCUAAAAAUGCUACACUUAACGGUUCCUUGUCAGCUAUUGAUGCGUUCGCUCANNNNNNNNNNNNNNNNNNNNNNNNNNNNNNNNNNNNNNNNNNNNNNNNNNNNNNNNNNNNNNNNNNNNNNNNNNNNNNNNNNNNNNNNNNNNNNNNNNNNAAGGGUCAUGUUCAAGCAGGAAAACUUCUAGAACAGGUAAGGAUUCCAUCUACAGACAUCCAUUGACAGCAGAUAUAUUUCAUUAAGCAGACACUGUUAGCAUUCAAGAUGCUGGCAGAUUCACUUGAUUCUUAUUAGUUUGUUUAGUGGCAAGGCAUAUAACCUGUAUUUCAAAGCCAAGUUGUGCUAUUGAUUAUGUUAACUUUAUUGUUAACAUUAAGUGAUUUGGAGGACAUAAUCAAUGUAGGAAAAUUAGGUGAAGAGAUGAUGUCAAAUCUUGAACCUCUUACAAAGCUCCAAGUUCUUUACUUGAAGAAGCUGCCAAAUUUGAAGAGCGUCUACUGGAAGGCAUUUCCAUUCCCAGAUGUAUGCAGAAUUUUUGUAUUAAUGCCCAGUUCUUAAGAAGCUGCCACUGGAUUUUCAUGGGGCGGGCCAAGGUAAAAUUCUUAUCAAGGGAAAGGAAGAUUGGUGGAAAGAACUUCAAUGGGAGGAUCAAGCAACUCAGAAUGCAUUGCUUCCAUUUUUCAAAUCAACUGACAAGUGAUUGAAGGGGGCAUCAUCAACAGAGAUGGAGAGAUUCUGGAGCAGAUCAGCAGGGUUUGUAUAUGAUCUUUGGUGGUUGCUUUCUUUUGUGAUUUUUUUUUUCUCAUUUUUUUACCUUCCUGUCAUUUUAUCAUUUCUUUGUCUCUUUUUCUAUUGCUGAUGUUAGUGUAUGCUUACUGUUGCUUGACAAAGUUUGCUUGCUUCUUGUUUAUUAAAUUUUUUAUGGUCACAAAAUAUUACUUGUUCUAUUUGAGAGUGAUGUGAAUCAAUUUUCAAUUAUAUAUUUUUUGGUCAAUGUGAAUUCAAUUUCAUUUGUCUCCUGCAAUUAUUAAAAAAAUGCAGUCUCAUAAUAUGGAAAAGUCGACCGGCAAAAAUUUUGUGAAAGCUUCGGAGUGAAACAGGGAAUUCACUUACUACUAAGGACAAUUGGUGGCGAGCUAUUCCAUUCAUUUUAUGUCCCUACAUCUAUUUAAUUAUUAAAGAUAAGUGGUCCAUUUGUAAAUUUCAGAUUGUGUCUCUCUGAAAAUAACAAUAUUUAAAAUGUCUCUUAAAUUAUUAUAAAUUUUAAUUCACUCUCGAUUUAAAAUGGAACAUGCUGAUGAAAAUUUUUUUCUUCUCAAUAUUCAAUAAAAUUGAAAUAAAUUGUGUUUGCAGUAUUUUGAAAUAUUUUAAAGAUUAUUAUUUUAUAAGAGAGUAAUAUGAAAUGAAAUUUACUCUUCAUGCGUGAAAUGUUGAAAAGGACAAAGGAAAGUGUCACUGCUUUUAUUUUAUUUCAAAGUGGAGUCAUCUCACAUACUUUACCUCUAUCAUUACAAUUUUUCACGUUACAUUUUGAUUUAUUUAUUUCUUUUAACACAUGCAUGUGGGUUACUUUUCCGUAAGCUCCUUAAUAUAUGUUUAACACAAAUCAUGGAAGAGAUGGGAGUAUAUCAAGAUGAUCAAAGCAUGAGACAAAAAUAUUUAAGAAGUAAAACACUGAAAAUAGAGGAGAGAUGCAAGCAAAAGAUAUUCCAAAGAAAAGCAAUCUAUCCCCUUUCGAGGGCAAACUUAAUCAGGUUUAAGAAAAGUACAUGUUUUGGAUUGGUAGUUGCAGCCUUGCAGGAUAAUUGUUUUUGCCAUUAUAUUAGUUGGAGGAGUUGAACCCAGCGAAGAAUGUUAUGGAAGAGCAAAUUAAUGAUAUUUCUGAUAGAGUCUAUUUGAUUAUGUAGCCUGAAUGGAUGUCUUGUUGAAAGAUAUCUCAGUGCAUUAGUUCAUCCUUGUCUGUCAAUGUGUUUUUAAUGGUUUUUCCAAUUGUUUAUUAUUAUAGAUUGAUUGUAAAUUUAUAUGAAAAUUUGAUAUGAAUUUAAUGUUGAAAUGUUUUCUCUUUAGUGGAAUGAAUUUAAAUUGAUUGAUUGUAAAUUGAUAUGAAUUUAAUGUUGCAAUGUUUUCUCUUUAGUGAAAUGAACUUAAAAGUGUAAAAGAUUAUUGCACACAUAGAAAUAAACAUAUAUGCUUUAUAGUAUAACUUUAGCAAUCGAUUCUUUUACGGCUGGAAACAGAGAUGAUGAUUAUCAUAGGGGUGAAGAAAAGGACAAAAAAUAUUAAUAAAUGAUCUUAAUGUUCCACAAAAGCAAAUCGUAAUAUUCCACAAGAAAAAGCAAGAUCUUAAUGUUCCACAAAAGCGUUAUUUAUUUUUUUUGGUGAGCCACGUGGAGCUCAAUUAUCAUUGUCUUUACUUUAAAAACGUUAUUUUAUUUUAUUUUCUUACAAAUUAAUGCUAACAAGAAAAAGCAAGAUAUAAUAUUCCACAAAAGCAAAUCGUAAUAUUCCACAGAGGAAUAAGAUCCACAAAAGCAAACAACUAGCUGGAUUCUUUUAUUAAACUACAAAUUAAAGUGGAAUCGUUUACUAAACAACAAAUUAAAGUUCAAAUAUUUAAAUAGUAGUGCGUUAGACGAUUAGGCUCUUUUAUUAAAGUCAAGUAUAAAGUAGUCCAGAAUCGAACAUCUCUAUUGUCUAGUCUUUUUUUUUUUUAAUUCUUCUUUUAUUAUUUUUCAGAAUAUGUUUUGGUGAUUACUAUUGGGUUAUUAUUCAGAGUUAUUGUUAUCUUCCGGGGCAGUUUCUGUUCAUCGAAAUCGUUAAUUAAAAUUUUAAAACUCUUAUCGGAAGAAUGUUUUUCCGUUAUUUUUUUAUAUUCUAAUUUCAAUUGUAAGAAGUAGUCAUUUUAGAAUUUGGGUCUUGAAUCGAAUUUCAAUGCAUGAAUUAAUAUUUUAAAAAAAUUUACUACAUGCAGUUUAGGUUACAAACUAUUUUUUGCAAAGUUGACUAUGAAAUUGGAGAAAUUAAGUAAUUUAUAAUGUUUGCAAAGAAAGAGACCAACAUACUUCCAAUUACACUAUAUCUCAAUUAUCAUAAUGUUAAGAUUAAACUAACUUAAAAUAAAAUUUAUUUAAAAAGUUUAUCAAACGCAGUCUAAUUUUAUUAACUUGAAGAGAUAAUAGUUAUAGAAAUUAUUAUUCUAACUUAAUUAGUAAAAGUGGUAUAAAGGUUAAGUGUGCACUAAAUCUAUUUAAAUUUUUUUCCAGUAUAACUAACAGAGGUCAUUACUAGAAUUAUAUUACUAGUCUAUUAGAUAGAAAAAAUUAUUUAUAUUGUUUUAUAUUUAUUAAAAAAAUUUAAAGUCAAUCUUUUUAAUUACUAUUUAAAGGAUAUUAUAAUUAAAAAAAUUUUAAUGUCUUCAUUAAAAAUUUAAAAUUUUAUAUGACCGUUAUCUAAAUAUUUAAAGUGUAACUGUCAUUUUCUCAUAUAUAUAUAUAAUUUCAUCAACCCCUUAUACUUUAUGUUAUUUAUAUUUUAUUCAUGAAUAUUAUAAAUUUUUUGAAAUAUAAAAUUUCGUUUAACCCUUUAUACUCAAUUUUAUUUUAUUAAAACCCUAGAGUAUGAAUUCGUCCCUAUAAUAUUAAAUUCUCAAAAUAACUUCCAUUUAAUUAAAAAAUAUAAUUAUUAUUAAAUGAAUUAUAAUUAUUAUUAUUAUGUUAUUAUAAUCAUAAAAAGCGAGAUCAUAUUCCACAAAAGCAUAAGUGACAAAACAACCAACUGGAUUCUUUUAUUAAUCAACAAAUUGUAUAGUCUUUUUCAAAUUGUUAUAAAUUGGUGGCCCCUACAAUCCUCAAUAAUUGUACCGAAAUUCACAAGUUGGUGGGCCCUACAAUUCUGUUCCGAUAAUUUAACUGUGCAAGUGCUCAUUCACAAUCUUCCAGGUCAUGCUCUUAACAAUUGUUUUUUCUUUUCUGCACGCCCUUUCAUGCUCUUAAUAAUUGAAGAGCAUACUUUUCAAAUGUGAAGCCGCAUCUAAUGUCGCUAAUUUAAUUUGGGAUUAAAUUACGGGACUAUUAUAUUGCAGUGUGCACUAAUUUUUAUGUUUAUCUAAACUCUUCAAAUUUAAAACAUAUUAUGGCAUAAAUAAGAAUGUAACAAUAACAAAAGAGUAAGAAAGUGUAGAGAAAAUCUUGCAGAAAUAUAAAUAAUAUUUAUUUUUAAAAUAAUAUUAAUAUUUAAAAUAAUUUUUAAUAUUUUAUGGUCCAUUAGAUAUAUUUUAUUAUAUUAAAAUAAAUUUUAUAAUAAAUAAAAACAUACUAUUAAAAUGAAUAUAUAUAGAAAAUUUAGAGUAUUUUAAGUAUUAUAUAAAAUAAUUUUAAUAAAAUAUGUGAGAUAUUCAUAUUUUAUUAAUUUAAGAUACCAUUUAACCUAAAGAUUUAUUUAUGAUAAAUUAAUAAUUAUAUUUUUGAAAUUACUUCAAAUAUUAAAAAAAUUAAUAUUACUAAUAUAUUAGAUAGAUUAAAUUAUAUAUAUUAUUUUUACUUAUUAAAAAAAUUUUAAAAUUAUUUUUAAUUACUAUUCAAAAAACGUAUUCAAAAAACAUAAUGAUAAAAAAAUCUUAACAUCUUUAUUAAAAAAUUAAAAACUUAUAUGAUAAAUUCUCUAAAUAUUUACGGUAUAUGUGAACCACGGUGGAUAAGCUUUAUUUAAUAUUAUUGAUUUAAAUAAUAUGUCAAUUAAAAAUGUACAGAGAAGAAAUUUCGGUGGGUAUUUUAGUCUUUUAAGCAAUUAUCAUGAUCAGAUCAGCCUUUAGCCUUCAAACGUCGGUCAGAAAAGUUUUAAAAUUAAUGCUAAAUUGUUUUUCACUUUUAACGUUGGUGGCCUUGAAAUUGCUUGUAUUUUAUUAAAAAUUAAUGCUAACAAGAAAAAGCUAGGUCAUAUUCCACAAAAUCAAAAGUGACAAAACAACCAGCUGGUUUCUUUUACUAAACUACAAAUUAAAAUAAAUUUUUUCGAUAAAUUACAAAUUAAAGUGGAUUCUUUUGAAUACAAAUGGGACAGACGAUUAGGCUCUUUUUAUUAGAGGCAAGUAAAAACUAGUCAAGAAUCGAACAGUCUUUUUCCAAUUCUUGUUUUAUUAUUUUUCAAAACUAGUUUUUGGUAAUUACAACCGGGUCAUUAAUCAUUAUUCAGAGUUACUGUUAUCUUCGGGGGCAGUGGGUAAAAGAUAAUUACUAACUGUUUUUCCUUCAAAAGUUAGCGGCUCAUGUUUGCAAGUGUGAAUGUGCGAUGCUCUUUUCUUAAAGGCCAUUACAGUGGGGCCCGAAUCAGACGUGCCUAAAUCUUUUUAAAAUUUUUGCCGUAUAACGAACAGAGGUCAUUACUAAAAUUUCUCUUCCACAGCCUACAGCAGCUUCAGUUUAUCAAACUCCAUCAAUUUUCUUUCUUAACAAAAUUCCAAAGAUGUGUAGCAUUUUUCAGAUCACAUGCGAUGGUGCUCUUUUCAAUCGUUGCUUGGAUUGCUUUCUUGGAAAAGCAGCAUACAUACGUAACCUCCAAGAUAAUCUUGAUGCCUUGGACACUGAACUGGGAAGACUAAUCGCUAAAAAGAACGAUGUGAUGAGGAGGGUUGUCGACGCUGAACGACAACAAAUGAGAAGGCUGGACGGAGUGCAAGUGUGGGUUUCGAGGGUGGAUGCUGUUAAAACUGGAGCCGAUGAACUUAUCACAGACGGCUCUGAAGAAAUUGGCAAAUUAUGUGUUGGAGGCUACUGUUCCAAGAACUGCAGGUCAAGCUACAAGUUCGGAAAACAAGUGGCUAAAAAGCUACAAGAUGUGAAGACUUUAAUCGCCGAGGGAGUUUUUGAGGCGGUGGCUACUGAGGUGGUGCCCGAGAGAGCUCCGGAACCUGUAGCAGAUAAAAGACCCAUUGAGCCAACAAUAGUAGGCUUGCAAUCACAGCUUGAACAAGUUUGGAGAUGUCUUGUAGAAGAAUCAGUGGGAAUCAUUGGCCUAUAUGGUAUGGGCGGUGUUGGUAAAACCACACUAUUGACCCGUAUCAACAAUAAAUUUCUUGAGAGUCAAAACAACUUUGAUUGUGUGAUUUGGGUCGUAGUUUCAAAAGACCUGCGGCUUGAAAAAAUUCAAGACGAUAUUGGGAAGAAGAUAGGUCUGUCUGAUGAUUCAUGGAAGAAUAAAAGUUUUGAAGAGAAAGCUGUGGACAUCCUGCGGAGAUUAGGAGAGAAGAGAUUUGUAUUGUUGUUAGAUGAUUUAUGGGAGCGGGUUGAUUUAACAAAAGUGGGCGUUCCACUUCCCAGCGCACAAAAUACUACCUCAAAAGUCGUAUUCACAACCCGUUCCAUUGGUGUUUGUGGCAGCAUGAGAGCUAGGCCGGUUAAAGUGGCAUGCCUAUCAGAAAAGCAAGCUUGGGAACUGUUCCGCGAAAAUGUUGGGGAAGAAACUCUUGAGAGUGAUCAUGAGAUCGUUGAGCUAGCCCAAACUGUGGCCAAAGAGUGUGGUGGUUUGCCACUCGCACUUAUUACUAUUGGUCGAGCUAUGGCCUUCAAAAAGACAGCCGAGGAGUGGAGUCAUGCAAUUGAUGUGCUAAGAACAUCAGCUUCUGAGUUUGCAGGUUUGGGAGAGAAGGUGUAUCGUCUUUUAAAGUUUAGCUAUGAUAGUUUGCAGAAUGAGACCAUUAGAUCUUGUUUCUUAUAUUGUUGUUUAUAUCCCGAGGAUUAUGGCAUUCUUAAAUGGGACUUGAUUGAUUGUUGGAUUGGUGAGGGAUUCUUGGAGGAAUCUGACAGGUUUAGUGCAGAAAACCAAGGAUACUACAUUGUGGGCACUCUUGUUCAUGCGUGUUUGCUAGAAGAGAUGGAAGAUGAUAAAGUAAAAAUGCAUGACGUUGUUCGUGAUAUGGCUCUAUGGAUAGCUUGUGAAAUUGAGAAGGAGAAGAGAAACUUUUUGGUUUGUGCAGGUGCUGGAUUAAAAGAGGCACCGGAUGUUAAAGGAUGGGAAAAUGUGAGAAGAUUGUCAUUGAUGCAAAACCAAAUUAAAACUCUGUCAGAGGUUCCCACAUGCCCUCAUCUCCAUACUUUAUUUCUUGCCUCUAAUAUGGAGUUGGAGAUGAUCGCGGAUGGCUUCUUCCAAUUUAUGCCUUCUCUCAAAGUUUUGAAGAUGUCACGCUGCUGGAAUUUUCAAUUACCUGUUGGGAUGUCAGAUUUGGGUUCAUCACUAGAACUUCUUGAUAUUUCACAUACCACCAUAAGAGAGUUACCCGAAGAGUUAAAGUUGCUGGUAAAUCUGAAAUGUUUGAAUUUGAGGUGGACAGGUGCGUUAAUUAGAAUUCCACGGGGACUAAUAUCAAAAUUUUCAAGGUUACGUGUGUUGAGAAUGUUGGGUACUGGCGGGUUCAUUUUUUAUGAAGCACCAGAAGACAGCGUUUUAUUUGGUGGGGGUGAAGUUUUGAUACAGGAAUUGCUCGGUUUGAAAUAUUUAGAGGUAUUGGAGUUGACCUUGGGAAGUUAUCAUGCUCUCCAAAUUCUUUUGAGCUCAAAUAAGUUAAAAAGUUGUAUUCGAUCUCUUUACCUCUAUUUGACCGGAGAUAAAAAGUCGAUUAUUGAUGCUACGGCUUUCACAGACCUAAACCACCUCAAUGAAUUAUGGAUUGAUAAUGGAAUUGAGUUGGAAGAAUUGAAGAUUGAUUAUACGGAGAUAGUACGAAAAAGGCGGGAACCUUUUGUUUUCCACAGCCUUCACCUUGUUACGAUAUAUAGUUGCCAUAAAUUGAAAGAUUCGACAUUCCUCGCUUUUGCUCCAAACCUCAAGUCUCUUUCGCUAUUCAAAUGCCGUGCUAUGGAAGAAAUAAUCAGCGUCGGAAAAAUUGCUGAGAAUCCUGAGAUGAUGGGACAUANNNNNNNNNNNNNNNNNNNNNNNNNNNNNNNNNNNNNNNNNNNNNNNNNNNNNNNNNNNNNNNNNNNNNNNNNNNNNNNNNNNNNNNNNNNNNNNNNNNNNNNNNNNNNNNNNNNNNNNNNNNNNNNNNNNNNNNNNNNNNNNNNNNNNNNNNNNNNNNNNNNNNNNNNNNNNNNNNNNNNNNNNNNNNNNNNNNNNNNNNNNNNNNNNNNNNNNNNNNNNNNNNNNNNNNNNNNNNNNNNNNNNNNNNNNNNNNNNNNNNNNNNNNNNNNNNNNNNNNNNNNNNNNNNNNNNNNNNNNNNNNNNNNNNNNNNNNNNNNNNNNNNNNNNNNNNNNNNNNNNNNNNNNNNNNNCACUGUUUUUAUUUCAGUCUCUCUCUCUCUCUUUGUCUCUGCUAAUCACAAUUAAAUGUGAAUUAAUGGAAUUAAUGCUUCAUAAAUUUGCCGGCACUGCCAUUACUUUUUUUUUUUUAAUACAAAUUGAUACUUUAUUUAUAUCUUCUUAGCGAUUUAAUUUCCUGUCAAUUGACGAACGAGAAGAACAUAUGACUUGAACCAAUGCUCGCAUAAACUUGCUGUAAAAAGAUAUAAUCUCACUGAAAUGCACACGCCUAGAAUGAAUAGAAUUAAAACAGGGAAAAUAUUAAGUAUAUUAGCCCUCUUUACCGAAAAUCAAAUGACAAUAAAUUUUUUGAAGUUUUGAUUUUCUAUGGUCAAUUCCACCUUUUGCAAUUUCUUCUGUUCUAACAAAAACCAAUUUCUUUGUUCAAGUAUUUUCGUUUGGGUAUUAAUAAUUCUCCACCGAAAGAGUGAACUCUUGCUCAAGGGAUCUCUAAUCAAUAGCCGGAAGGGCGCCGAGACCUGAUCGGACCUAGGCCCAAGUUUGGUCUUAAAGCCUGGGCUUGAGCCUGGCAAUUAAAUUAAAACAGUAAUUGAUUUCUUGAAUGAAUUGUCGUGUAAUUGAUUUAUGGGGGAUGACACAUCAACAUACUUGAAAAUACACUAAUCUCAGCAUCAUCCGUUAAUAACUUUUAGAUUUAUGGGCAAUCAAUAGUUAAAUUAGUUGUCAUUAAUACUAAAUAAUUUUUACUUUUUUUGUCUCUUCUAGAGGAUCUUCUAGAAAAAUGCAUCCACAAUUAAAUUUAAUACUUUACAUAAUAAAGAAAGCAUAAAUGUUAAAUUUAAGAAACUGCAUUGUAUUUCAGCUGAAGUUGACUUUAAUAUUUAGGGUAGAAAAAAAUUAAAUCCUUAAUGUGUUUAAUUUAUAUCACUUGUGUCAUUAAAAUUUUCUAGUCACCCUAACCAAUUACAUCUCAACCCACUUUUUUUUGGAUGAUUUUAUUUUUAUACUAUUAUUUUCAACAUUUUUUUUUCCUUUUAACACCAACAUUAGUGUAUGUUACGUAACAUAAUCCAUAUUUGGAUAAUUUGAAAUUUGUUUGUGUUUUAUCUCAAAAUAGAGCUUCAAUCAAUUUGUACCUCAUAAAUUCACAAUAUCUGGCAGGGCUAAUAAGACCAAACUCUGGCAUAUUAUCAAAUGUGCUUAUCCUUUUGCUUGACAUGUCAUUUUAAAAUUGUCAUUCAAUGCCAAAAAAAUCACAUCAACUGAUGGCCGACUACUUUAAUUUGAAAGCAUGCAUGCGAUCGCCACCAAUAAUUAUAACUUAAUUGUUAUAUUGAAAUUUUUUUCUUUAUAAUUUUUAAGUUUAAUACUGCUACAUGUGCGGCACAUAAGUUGGAAAAUAUAACAUAAAAUUUGAAAAAUGUGUAGUUUUCGUUCCUUUUUUUUCUUAAAAAUGGGGAAAAAGAAUGUAAUUUUGUUUAAAUUACUGUUGUGAUAACAAUUAUUAUUUUAUUGAUUAAUUGGCAGAGAAUCGUUAUGGUUUCGCAUGGUUGUUAAAACAUUGGAAAAUCCACUACAUCAUCCGAUAAUAACUUUCAGAUUUAUGGUUAAUCAAUAGUUGAGAUUUGUUAUCAUUAAUGUUAAAUAUUUUUUUAAUAUUUUUUCUCUCUCCUAGAGGAUCAUCCACAGUUAAAAUUUAAUAUUAUAAAUAGUAAACAAAGUAUAAACGUUAAAUCGAAGAAACUGCAUUGCAUUUCAGCUGAAGCUAACUUUAAUAUUUAACAGAGAAAAGUAAUUAAGUCCUUAAUGUGCUUUAUUUACCCAUAUAUAUGGCUAAUUUUUUAAGAUAAAGGGGAAGGAUGAUGCUCAAAAAUAUAAAUUAUAGAAUUAAUUGAGCUCUCAAGUAAGUUUAAAGUUCAUUAUUUUUAAUUACAUGUUUAUAAUUUAUUUUUAUUUCGUAUUAAUCUAUAGAUCUAAAUCCACUUUGGAUUCAUAUACAUAUAUAGACAUAAUGUGUAUGUUAAUCUAUAGGUCUAAAUUCACUUUAGGUCUAUAUAGGUAUUUUGACAAAUGUACUCCAAUCAUAUUGGCAAGUUCUAACUACUAUAUUGGUAUGUCAAUAUUAUCUCUAAUUGCCCUAUACAUUCAGAAAUAAUCUAGAUAUACAAAUUAACAUAAAAUAAAAAUAAUUGGUAGAAAAUAUAAAUUAUAAACAUGUAAUUGAAAACGAUAAACUUUAAAUUUACUUAAGAGAGUAAUUAAUUUCAUAGUUAAAAUCUUUAAAUUUUACCCCUCAUCUUAACUUAAGAAAAUUAAUCACUUAUUUUAUUUAACAAAGAAGAGAUUUUUUUCCCCUAUAUUUCCCAAUUAUUUCUCUCCCUCUCGCUCCCGUAAGUUAUACAACUUGAAGUGAAAUAUGAGUGGUCUGAUUCUAGCUUAAAUAAUUUAUUGUGACAUGCUAUCUAAGGACAAUACAUUACCUAGCUCUACAUAUUUUAUUUAACCUCCGGCUCACCCUGUGCAAACUUGCCUUCCCCUACAAGACAAGAUUAAUCAAUCUAUCAAGUCUCAAAUUCAAUUUGGAAUAUGACCAUCGUACGUUCUUGUUCUUCCCUCUUUACGAGUGCAUUCCCCCCAACCUCAAGCUCCCUCUCUCGUCUUCAAUGUCACUGCCUAUAUCCUUGUGUUGUUCUAGUUUGAAAUAGUGGCUUCCACAAUUUCAGGGCCCCCAAAAAUCCAGAAACAUAGUAUUCAUCACGAUGACAAAUUUUUUGGCAGGCAGGUGCUUCCUGACUUUCACACGGUAAUUCUCAAAUUCUGAUUUCACCAUAUUUUAAUUACUGAUUAGCAUAUAUUCAAGUGCUCUCCAUUAUAAUAGAAGCCGCCGCCUCACUCGUGAUUCCAAACUUUAUCUUUUUUCCUUUUUUAAAUUAAUGCAAGUAGCCGCUGUCCUUUUUAUUAAUUAAUUAAUUAAUUCGGCCGCCCACAUUUCUUUUCCUAAUGUCUUCUACUGUCGAUUUUCUUUUAUUUUCUUUUUAUUCUUAAAAUAUGCUUAUAAUAAUAAAAUAUAAAAAUUAAAAUUAACAUAUCAAAAUAUAAUUUAACAGAAAAUUAAGAUAAAAAUAAAAAAAAUAAAUUAUGAGCAUAUCAAUCAAUAAAUGAAAAAUAAUAAUUUUUAUUUUUAUUAAAUAUAUAUUUUUCAGUAUUAAUCAAUUAUUUGAAUAAAUAAAAUCAUUUAAAAAUAAAUAAAUAAAUUAUUCUUAAAAAAAAAGAAACUUUUUAUAACACUCACUAUGCUGGUUGUAGGGUAGACGCUUUGGGAACUGAAGCCGGUAACUUCUACAAGUAGUCUGAAGUUGACUGGCAACAACUAUAUUGACAUUUAGACAUAAUGUACUCCAACCGUAUUGGUAUGUUUAAAUGUUCUUACUAUUGUAUUGGUGUGUCAAUAUUAUCUCUAACUGCCCUAUAGAUAAAAAAAUAAUCUAAAUUUAUAAUUUAACAUAAAAUAAAAUAAUUGGUAGAAAAAUAAUUAUGGUUCAUUUACUUAUCAGUAAUCAGAAUAGACUAAAAUCGAAAUGAGUUGUAUUACCGUUGAUGUGUUUAUGUUGUCCUGGAAUCGGAAUGAAUUAUUUUAAGUUACUAAAAUAUCCUUGGUUUGUUAUUCUAAUUAUUAUUUAAUAUUUAUUAUAAUAUUUGUCAUAUCAUUAAAAAGAAAUAAUAAUGAUGAUAAUAUUAUCAUUAUUGUUUGUUACAUUAUUAUUAUUCAAAAAAAUUAUUGUUAAUAAUAAUAAUUUUUUUAUUUCAAUAAUAAUAAUGAUAAAAUUAAUAAUAAAAAACAUGACAACAACAAUAAUUAUUUAUUAUGCCAAAAAAUAACAAUAAUAAUAAGAAUAAUAAUCAUCAUCAUUUUUUUGCCAAAGAAAUCAUCAAACCAGACAAGAAAUCAUCAAAAAUUGCUAUUUCAAUUUAGGAAGAAGUUCUUUCGGUGUGCUAGCGAUGGGAGAUGUUGUGGCUGCGAUUCGGGGAGCUAAUAGUUUAUUGCACUAAUAACGGCAGGUGCUGCUGCUUGAUGCGAGGUCCAUGGCCAGUUGUCAGCAGUUCGACUUUGGCAUGGGCGCUGCUGGUUCGAUUUUAGGUGUUGUCUAAUUUCAUUUUCAGGAUUUUAAUUUUAUUUUUUUCUUUUAUAUUUUCAUUAAUUAAUCAGGGCAAAGUUUGAUUUUAGAAUUUGGAAUGAAGGUAAUUUUGUUAAUCAUGGAAAUGAGAUUUUGAUUGUCGAGAAUGAACUUACACAAGCAACUGCAAAUUAAGUGAAAACAAAACGCUUUUUCUCUUUGUGUGAUUAAAACAUGAAAUAUACCAUAAAUAAAUAGGUAAAAAUUAAAUCAACACAAUCCAAAACAGUAAACCAAUUAUAAGAGGCACAAAUUUUUAUGUGAAAUACCGAAAACGGAAAAAACCACAACAUGUUAGUAUGAUAUAAUCUUCUACUAUAUUAAUGGGAUUAUAACACAAAUUCUUCCCUAUAUUACACUAGAGAUUAACAACAUCAAGAAUCUCAAUAAUCUUAACUUACAAUACAACCUAAUAUAUGUCUCUCUAAUAAAUAGAUAUCUAAAAUAACAAUCUCUAAUAAGUAAGUAUCUCAAAUAACAGUCUCUAAUAAGUAGGUAUCUCAAAUAAUAGUUAAUAAGAGGAUAAAACAAAAAUUAAGAUUAGUAGGAUGUGUAUAAGGCGAUGCUAUCAACUUAUCUUCUAAAUUUGAGAAAAAUAGUUAAAUUCACUUUUUUGAUUGUCCGACCAAAGAUGGAAACCUUGCCCCAAAACCAAAGGAGUCACCAUUGUGUUUCUCUCUCUCUCUCUCUCUCUCGUUCUUUUCUUCUACUUUUCUUAAUGUUAGCCGCCACUUGCUUUUAUUCUUUAUAGCAUUUAAAAAGUUACUUUUAAUGGUAAAUUUCAUCUAAGUCCAAAACUUAGUGAUAAUUGCACACUAAACAAUCCUUUUUGGACUAUAGACUUUUGGACCUCCAAAUGAGACGAAUACAACAAAUCUCCCCUUUUAGAUCAUGUAGGAGGCACCACAAGCCCACUCUCUGCAUAUAGCUUUUUAACUUCUCCUUGAAUAAUGACUUUGUCAUCAUACAUAACUCAUUCUCCGUUGUGUAAAUCUUCUCAAGCUAUAACCGUUCUUUCUCAAACACGUCUCGUAUCUAAUAAUACUUCACAUCAAUUUGCUUAGAUUUCGAAUGAUAUAUCAAAUUCUUUGAACGACACUCUGAUUUUCGCAGUACAUAAUAUAGUUGUCUCAUUUUAUACCUAGCUCUUGUAGGAAAUUCUUCGUCCACAGUAUUUUUUUGCAACCUUCAAUAAUUGUAAUAUCAUUUGCUUUAGUAGUAGAAAAGACAACUUAUUACUAAAGUUUAGAUUACGAUGAGACUGCUCCUCCUGCAAAAGUGAGCAAACAUUCUAGUAGGAAUUUUUCGGAAUCAACAUCUCCUACCAUAUCUAUACACUUGUAACACAGGUUUGUCACCACCAAAAUAUAAACAUGCUCUGGAAAUGCCUCUAAGAUAUCUGAGAAUUUUUCACUAUUGUCCAGUGCUCUUUACCGGGAUUGAAGAGAAACCACUAACUACACUAGUUGUAUAAGUAAUAUCUGGUCUUGUACAAAUUAUGGCGCACACCAAACUGCCAACUGCUGAAGCAUAAGGAACUCCUCUCAUGGAGAAAUGGGUUUUGCUCUUGAGAUUUUUGGGAACAUGAAGAAUAAAUAUGUAAUUUCUUGGACUGCCAUUGUUUCGAGGUAUAUAAACAGAGGACAAGUCUAUAUAGGUCGACAGUGGUUUGCUCAGAUGCCAGAACGAGAUUAUGUCUUAUGGACUGCCAUGAUUGAUGGGUACCUUCGAGUGAAUAGGUUCAAAGAGGCUUUGACGCUUUUUCAGGAGAUGCAAACUUCAAAUAUAAUGGGAGACGAGUUUACCAUUGUUAGCAUUCUUACAGCUCGUGCGAAUCUGGAAGCACUAGAUCUGGGAGAAUGGAUAAAGACUUAUGUUGAGUGUUAGAAAAUGCAUAUUUAUAAAGGAGAAAACCAUCAUUUUACAUUUCAAGUCUUACUAACAACCCUUACUUUUAUGUAUUUAACCUUCUUGUGAUUUAAUUACAUGUGUUUUAUUUUAAUUAAGUAUUUUAUGUAUUUUAGGGACAUUAUAGUCAUUUCACAAUAAAGGAGAGAUCAGACGGCAAAACAGACAUCACUUUUGAACUCAGGACGGUCAAAAACCUUAGGAGGAGCAUAAAAGGAAAAAUGGCACUAUUCACAUGUACGGUACUAUUCACGUGUACGGUACUGUCCACGUUACUGUUCACGAUACUGUUCACAUAGACAGAUCGAUGACGUGGCAUUGACUGAUGAGGUGUCACGAUCCUGUUGGGCUAAAAUUCUUAUGUACUGUUGAUGGUGACGUGGCAGCAUAUCAAUGGACGAAAAAUCUCGCAUACAGUACAUGCAUCACACAGGAUUAUUGUCAACCAAAUCGCGUUACUGUUCAUCCGGGUCAAACCGUGUUACUGUUCAUCCACGUAGUCAAACCGCGUACUGUUGACUGAUGACGUGGCGCAAUCCUGAGCGUCCAAACUGUUUUUAAUCCGAUGGCCAUGAUUUACUCCAUGUAUCUAUAAAAAGGGGGCCUCCCCCCCUAAUUUGACAACUCUGAAUCUAUUUUGGGAUCCAUUUUCUAUAAUUCCCUCUCCAUCUUGUAUUUUCUACGUAUUUUAAUAAAUUUCCAUUUUACCCUUAGUUCAAUUAUGAGUGGCUAAUUUCCUUUCAAGCUUGGGUUGAAGGUGAAGUCUCAACAUGUGUCAUGGGCUUUAUUUGGUAAAUUUAUUUUCUUUUCCCCUCUAGUUUUUGUGGAUGAUUUGACUUUUCGUCGACAAAUAAUAUUGAUCUUGUCUAGAUACCACCUUGGUUACACCGGCUCUCUAGUACAAGGUUAUUAUUAUUUGGCACGAUAAGCCCUUAGCACCAUAUUGAUUAGAGCGUGGUUCAUGAGGUGUGGAUUCCCCCCUCAUGAUUUAAUUGGCAUUAAUAAGGAUUAUAUAGCCCAUGAUGCAUGUUGAUACGGAUCUGGAUACCCAAGUGCUUCAUUUCAAUAGAUCUAUCUUCAAUUUCUUCUCGCCAUUUUAAUUUAAGUUUUAGAAUAUUCCAAAUCAUUUCCACCACAAAUCCAAUCCCCGAUUCACAAAAUUAAUUCUAUACACAAUUAAAAUCCACAUCCUCGUGGGAUCGACACUCGUCACCAUUAGUCUAUACUACAAUAGAUUCGUGCGCUUGCGAGUACAUUAAAAUUUACACAACAACUUAUAUUGACAAAAACAAAGUCAAGAAUGAUGUAUUUGCGGGGAAUGCUUUGAUAGACAUGUACUGUAAAUGCCGAGAUGUUGAGAAAGCUCAAAAGGUAUUCAGGAAGAUGCUUUGAAAGGACAAAUUCUCAUGGACGACCAUGAUUGUUGGCCUUGCCAUCAGUGGCAAUGGUGAUAAAGCUCUUGAUAUGUUUUCCCAAAUGCUUAGGGCUUCGAUCAAACCGGAUGAGGUAGCUUAUGUUGGUGUUCUGUCUGCCUGUACUAACAAUGGUAACGAAACUUUUGUGAUAAAUAGUUGCAACUUAAGGUGAGAAUUGGAGGAAAGGAAAUAGACUGAAGUUGUUCAAUCAUCGGUCGUCUCUAUUUGGUUUUCUCCGAUAUCUCAUCUUCAGUUUUGACUCAGAUUCUAUCUUACCACUUAGGGGUGGGCAAAAUCGGGUUCGGGUCAACCCGAUCGGGUUUCGGGUUGUUCGGGUUAGACAAGGAACAAUCCGAACAUAACCCGAAUUAAUGACCCGACCCGAACUUAGUUCGGGUCGGGUCAUUAAUUCGGGUUAUGUUCGGGUUGGAUUUAAAAUGGGUAGGAUUGAGUUCGGGUCAAUUUGGGUUAGUUCGGGUCAAUUCGGGUCAGUUCGGGUCAAUUCGGGUCAAUUCGGGUCGGUUGAAAUCGGGUCAGUUCGGGUCAAUUCAGGUCAGUUCGGGUCGGUUGAAAUCAGGUCAAUUCAAGUCAGUACGUUUUUUUUUUUUAAGAACCCGAUCGGGUAUUCGGGUCGGGUCGGGUUUGACCCGAACCGAUCACAACCCGAUCGGGUUUGUAAAUUUCAAACCGAUCGGGUUUCGAUCCCGACCCGAUCCGACCCGAACCCGAAAUUUAUCGGGUCGGGUCGGGUCGGGUAAAAUGCCCACCCCUAUUAAUACCACUAGUAAUUACAUAGACUUGCUGCCAAAGGUAAGAAUGAGAAUAAAUUAAAUAGAUUAUGUCGAAAACGAAAUAAAUUUACCAUUGUUCUGUUCAUUCUAUUUGUUUCCUACAGAAUAUUUCUCCAGCCUAAAAUUUUUUGAAUUAGUAAGUUUUUAUCUUAUGCAAGAAUUGUGCUGAGAGUAAUUCCAUUUCUCAGUCUCUUUAUGUUUCAAUGAAGACGUAAAACUUGUGUUCUAGUGCACCAAUGUUUAUGCUUCUUACAAUUUGACUUUAAUUUAGUUUGUAAAACUUUUGUCAAAAAGUACUAAAAAGUAGUGCACCAAACACAAACUUUAUUACAGAGAGGACUUCAGUUAAAUUUUAAGAAAACACUCAAAAGAACGAGUUAUAAAUUAUUAUCGAAAUAUUUCACAUAAAUAAAAGCCAUCCCAUGCUGCAAAGAUCUUGCUAUAAUCACCAAAAACUAUCGGGAGCUUUUAGGGUUUCCAUAAAAAUGUCAUUUCGUUCCAAAAGUCAAUGGUGGGUAGAAAGUGGUGCAAAUGAGACUCAUUGUUAAUGGUAUAAGUUUUUGCUUAAUUAUGUCUUCCCCAAAAUGAUGAUUUAAUUUCCAUUCUCAAUUAAUUUUCAAGUUUCAACACUUUUCUAUGUAGCAUGACAUUGGAAAGAUCUUGUACAGUUGUACUACUAAAAGCUAGCACCACACGUUAGUUAUUGUUAAGUUCUUUUUCAACGUGAAAUAAAGGAAGUAGUCCUUCGUUAAAACCAUUAUAGCCAAAUUUCACGUAAUUGGACAUUUACAGACUUUUAUUUCAAGUUGGAUUUUGGUCCAACAUUUCAAAGUUGGCCCAAUUAUUUUUGUCUGGUCAAGUCCUUCGCAGCUAAGCCCCUCAAUGAAUGAGGGUGAGAUUGCUAAAAAUUACGACAGGUGAUAUUUUAUUAUUAUUAUUUGUUUGAGGGAAAAAAUAGGAAAAGCAAUAGAGCGCCACGUGUCAACCAAUGGAAUGAUUCCUGCACAAUCUAAGGUACCCCACACAAUCCGAGGUACCCCAUAUAAUAUGAGGUACCCCACACAAAUAGGGGUACCCCGCGUAAUAGGAGGUACCCCAUGUAACUCGAGGUACUCGGCAAAGCGGAUGCAAGAGAAUCCUCCGAAAAUAUCCGCCAUGAGAAACGUCUCCGCCUCCUAAAAGAUAUUAUUCAAUUUUGUCAGAAUUAUGAAUAAAAAACGACGCCCUAAAAGGAGGGACAGUCGCCUGCGACCUCUGCCAAAAGUGAAGGACACUGUCCCAAGGACAGUGGUCCCCAACGCCUACCCGACAGCUACUGCAAAGGUACCCUGGACCACUCUCCAGCGCGCGCCACGUUUCCAAAAGAUGAGAUACGCCGCGAACGUGCAGAUAACUGCCCAAAAAUUAUAAAGAGGUAAAAGGACGUUAGUAAAAAAGGGUAUGCCAUGUGGCAGCUGAGGUACUCCAUAUAUAAAGGCGCCUAGGUUUCAUUCUCCAUCAUGUUCUCACUCACCAUUAACACUCGCACUCCAAAAAAUAGGUUUUCUUCAACCUUAAACCCUAAUUUACAGAGGGUUAGUCAGCUCUCUUUACCAUAAAAGCUUGAGUUUGCUAACUUGAGCGUCGAAGUGUGAACGCCGGGGUACCCCGGCUUCACCUCUAACCUCUAUUUCACUGUUUUGCAGGCGUGAAGCUCAUUUGGAAGGACACAUCUCUUAGUUCUAAACCUUUCACCAUUGUUACCACUCUCUCUCCCUUUCUCACCUCCCCUGGAUUUCAGAUACACCACACCGCACACAAUAAACUAGUGAGGUACCCCGUCUCCCAUAAAAAUACAAAUUCAUUGUUCUAGAUAGAUUUGGCUUUUUUUACCCCAAAAUCUGUUGAAAACACUAUUUUUAAUUUUGGGGGAUAAAUCCUCACCAAAGUGAGGAGAUUUUAUCAAAAUCAAAAUAAAAAUAUAACAAGAACUGAAAGUCGGGCAGCCUAAAAGCUAGAUGAACUAAAAGUCAGGCGCCUAAAAACAACCUUAUGCAAAAGAGAAGCAACAUGAGACCGAUCAAGUAAAAGAAUCCACCGCAACACCUAAAUUGGCCAAAUUAUCUGUUGGUAUUACAAGUUUCUUGUUAUAAAAGUGUAGAAUGAAGUAGGUGACAGUAGUUUUAAGUUACAGCUGCAUGCCUAAUCGCAAUAUCAAAUAAUGAUUAAAUAUCAAAUAAUGCUUAAAGUAGUUGCCUAGGCCCGCCACAAUUUAUAUUAACUCUUAAAUUUAUAAAUAAUUAAAUUUUUAAAAGUUUGGAUUUAUAUUAAAAAAUCUUCAUAUAAAUAAAUAAUAUAUGCACUUUUACAACACAGUCUUUAAAUUUAAAUUUUUCUAGAAAAAUCUUCUGUAUAUCUUUUCUAUUAAAAAAUUUCCAUAUAAAUAAAUAAUAUACCUAAUUUAAUUGGACCCAGCACAUCGCAUAUGCAUAGAACACAUUCCACAAAGCCAUGCUAUUCGGAAAUUGACGAAUGAAAAGUGAGGAGGCAGCAGUCAAUGCUAUUUGGGCUUGGCCCAAAAUUGAUUUAUCAGGUUGACGUUUGCCAGGAAUGAAGAACUGGAAUAUCACCGUCAAGCAAGCAACCUGUGGAGCAAUACCAUAGAAUGCACAAUCCAGCUUUGCAAGGUGACACUGGAGGCUUUUUGAAAAGUGCUUCACGCUCACUUGCACAGAUUGAGCAUCCCCUCUGGAUAUUGCCCUCUCUGAUCGAGUCUGAGCACUCAAAUUUCGGUCCUCAGAUGGAGCUACAGCUUUCUCUCCAAUAACCAACAAUUUUCUAAACUCAGCACCUAGUGUGAUCAGAGUUGUUGAUAUUUGUAAAUGGAGAUCCCUGUAUUUGCAAAUGGAGACAUUUACCAAAUCACCAACAUGCUUCAUCCAGUCUACGAAAUUCUGCAGCUGAUUCAAAUCCGGAACCUGAACCAGAGUCGGAGGUAAAUCUUGAGCCAUGUCUAAAGCAGUCUGAAGUUCAAGUACUUGAGCCCUUGACAAAGGUUUUGAAAUUGGAACAUCUUGGAUUACUGCAGACUUGUACCCCUUGGUUUCAAAGGUAAGGAAAGGCAUUGCUUGAGUACAAUUUGGAGGCAGCUUCUUCACCAAUUUUAUUUGGAGGCAAUUGGCAGCGGAUCCAGCUGCACCAAUUUCAGAGCAAAUACUGACACUACUUCAAACAGCACGCUGAAGAAGAGAUAUGUCUAUGGCAAAGGCAAUGCAGUCCUCAAUUUGACUUGAGAUGCGGUAAUCACCAAAGAGAGUUUCCUUAUGAAACUGGGCAACACAUUGAAUCCCUUCACCACUGAGAAGGUUGGGGAGGAAGUAAGCUUUCUCUCUCGUAAGGAAGAGGUGGCAUACCUUCCCCAUUUUGUCUAGGACAGGUAGGAAUCUUUUUUCUAAGAGAUUUACUCCAUUCUCUGUGAGAAAUGCUUUGAACUUCAUCCCUCUGUCUCUAGCCUCACUUAUCAGUAAAAUAGUUGAAAGCGCUACAAGGAGAGAAAAGAAGAGUAUUAAGAUAUAUAUAGACAAGAAAAACAUUAGAUGUCGAUCUUACAAGCUAAUACUUCAAACAGUAUCCUAGAAAGCUAAAAACUGCAAAAUGGCUUGAAAUUUGAAAAGAACACAUGCUUUUCCUCCUUAACUUGAGAAAAUGUUUAAUAUAGUGCACCUUACAGAAACAUUUAAACAAUUAGAACUUUGCACAAAAACAUUCAAGAAGACUAAACAAAUCAGAUGCAGUGUAUUUCUCCAAGCACAAAUGGCAUUGCAUUUUUUCCUCAACUGUAAUAUUUAUUGAUGAAAAUCAGUACAGGUCCCUCAUUUGUUAUGGAAAGCUUUCUUGUAGUCUGACCGGUUAAUUCACGGGUCUAUAAUCAUCUUGCAAAGUUACAGGCAUUUCUUUCGAUUUAAAGUCUUUGCAUCACCACCUCAUCACACACCAAGCCAAUAUUCCGUCUACCUCUACAACAAAAAGUUUUAAGUAAACGAUCCUAAUGCAUGCAGCCAAAUAAAAUGCAGUAAGAAUAUUCAACUUAAAACUCUGAAAGCCAUCUUGGUGAAUUGCCUCCUUAGGGGAAGUUCCAUGCUUUACUAUACUUGACAGGACUGAGCAAAAGCUUACAUACAACAGAUUUUGAAAAUGAUGAUGCCAAUAGAUACUCAUACAAUCCAUUGAAACUCCUAAGGUCCAUUGUUCACAGAGGUUUACAGAGUUUUGGUCAUCAAAUAGCUCAGACCUUAAUCCCAAACAAAAAACGAGUGAAAAUUAGAUCACCAGCAGCUAAUUGUAAAUUCUAACUUAACUCUUCAUCUCCUUUGUAAACAGGAGACAAAAUGGAGACACGCAAAAUGAAUAAGGAGAACAUUUGAACUCAAAUGAAAUGAGGGCACGAAAGCAAACAAAUGGCAUGCGCAAACAAACCAAGCCUCAAUCAAAAACUAAUUAACCAUUAAAAAAAAAAAAGUGGUCAGAGAAUGAACUCCAAAUUCGGGAGUGAAGCAAGAAGCUUUCAUUAUUUCAGAAGCUCCUGUACAAAUUAAUAAGUUAUGCUCUUUGGAAACAAACCUAAAUUCCAAGAGAAAGAGAACUCAAAAAAUUUGCAAUUAUACGCAAAGGAAGUGAAGCACAGCAUUCUAUCACACGUACAAAUUGUAUAACAAGAGAUCGACACAUCGAAUCAGAAGAACUCAAUUCAAAUUUGUCUCAAAAAUCAAAAUUAGAAGAUUUCACAUUUCGAGAGGAACAAGCGACAGGUCAGAUGCAAAAUUUUCAGCCACAACAUGCCACAAUUAACAGUUUAUUUCCAUGGAUUUAGAGAGCUGACUGACCUUUUGGCUUUUGGAAUUGAGAAGAUCGCGGGCCAAAAUGGAAGAGGGAAAGCGAAAGUGCGGGUUUUAAUAGGGUAUUGGAUUAGCAAAUUUAAUUAGUUUGCGAGGGUAAAAUAGGAAAGAGAUAUCACUAUUAACUUUUUUUUUUAUAAGAAAAAAGAAUAAUAAAGAAUAUUUUAUUGUCAUUUGCAGCCUGCAAAUGACAAUAAAUCAAAUACGUCAUACAGAAGCUUAAAGCUGAAUCUAAAAAAUCUAGAGCUCUCAACUACAAAAAUUACACUUGAUGAUCCUCUACAAGAUGAAGCUUGUUCAAUAUCUUAUCCAAAGUUUAUAAAGUAACCUUGUAACGAUCUUGAGAUUGCCUGCCUUCCUCGACGACCUGCACGAUGCGUUUGUACAAAUCAUCAUACCUGUGCACCGGAUUUUUAAUAUCAACGCCACUGCAGCUGUGAUCAAGAACAUAAGAGCGUUUAACAUCUUUUCUCCAUCGAGAAAGAAUGUAGUGAGAUGGGAUCUCCUGCAUGCCACUCUGGUUUAGAACACAAAGAAUGUGUCUGGAUAAAUAUCCUCUGAAAUUGAACAACCCACAAACACAAAGCACCUCCAAGUCGGAGGCAUUGUACAAAACAUCGAAAGCCCUUGAAUCUUUCUCGUUGCUACCAACCUCAAAUUCUUCCUUCACUAUGUAUGUUAUAGGUCCAUCAGCACUGACAUGUUUUGUGCUAUAGCAAGAGUACAUAGCCUCCACCUCCGUCUGAAACUUCCUUCACAUUUCAUUUGUGUACAGUUUUGAGAGUUGAAAUUCAUAGUCACAUCUUGGUUUCUGGAUACAACUUGAAUUUCUUGAAUCCAUAUCUGCCAAGGCUUCCGGUUGAUAAUUCGCCUGCAGUGCUUGAUCAUACUUGUGUAAGAAUUCUUUCAAAGGAGUACGCUUAUCAAGAUAUCCUUCAAAGUAUGAAGUAGAAACCUCAUUCUGCAGGAAUGAAAACACUCCUGAUAAAAAUGCUUCCUUCAAAUAAACAGGAGCCCACCUUUUACGAUCUUCAUAUAAAGUUUGAAUCCAUCCGUGAUCCUUUAUUCCAUGACGUUGAAUCAUGUCUUCCCAAGCUGCUUCAAAUUCCUCAGGCCUGAGAGAGUGAUAAAUUGCUCUAUGUAAUGCACCUCUAAUAGCUUCAUAUUCAAACAAUCCUUGGAGUUUCUCUGGAAUUUUUUGCAAGAUGCAUGACAAUGAAAAGCAAUGAUAAGCUCUUGGGAAAACAUCGCCAACAGCAAUUUGCAAGAUUCUACAUUGGUCAGUGAUGAUUGUUUGUGGAGAGCGUCCUAACAUACAUGUAAGCCACACCCUAAACAACCAUGUAUAUGAUUCUAUGGUCUCCCUGGCAAGUAAACCACAACCCAACAACACUGAUUGUCCAUGAUGAUUCACCCCAAUGAAUGAAACCAGUGGUACAUCAUAUCUUUCAGUCAAGCACGUAGUAUCAAUUAAGACUACAUCACCAAAGUACCUAUAUGCAACUCUUGACCUGGUAUCAGUCCAGAACAGGUUUCUCAAGCAUCCCUUUUCAUUUAGAUCCACUACAUUAAAAAAGUUUGGAUCUGUCAACUGCAAACGACAAAAGAAACUCUGGACAGCUUGUGCAUCUCCUGGUUUAAGCUUCAAUUGAUUUGAGCUAUUAACAUUAUUUCCAAAUACUCCAUUAACAUCUACAUUACCAUUUCCCUCGGUAUCGAUGAUAAGAGUUCGAAACAGUCUAAUUUUUUGAACGUCUUCAGCACUAUCUAAUUGCAAUGUUCUUUUGGUUCCAAUACCUAUGUGCUUAUGUGACUUGUAAAACUUUCCGCUUCUUGGGCUUAACAAGUGGUUAUGCUCAAGCUCGACUUCAAUGAUUCUCCACCUUUUGGUUUCCAUCAACCUAAACUUUAUCAUUGCUGGACAGCCAGUUCUUGUUUCUGGUCUUGGGCGGUUUGCCUCGCUUUUCUUCUUGAAGCCUGCACUACUACAGCUCAGCUUUCCUCUAUACUUUUCUCUACUCUUUCGGUACCAUGUAUUGCUAACUCUAACACCAAAACCCUGUUCCUUGGCAUAGCAAUUGUAAAAGUAAUAAACAUCAUCAUACGUCUCAAACUCCAUUCCAACAGCAGGAGCCAAUGGAUUUUGGAUUAUCCCAGUUUGUCCAACAUAUUCAGUCAUUGCACAAUCUCCUACGACCUCAAAAUCAUCAGCAUCAUCAUCACCUACUGGUUCAGUAUUCAGAGAAACUUCAUCCAUCUACAAUAGAUGUUUAAUGAAGUGAACUUUAAGGAGAAAAAGCAAAAUCAGUUCAAGGAAUGAUAAUAUAACCAUACAGUUACUUUCACAAAGCUGCGUAUUUCAUCAAUACCUUAACAACAUACAACUGCCUGAGAACGUAUAGACAUGUCAUAGACGCUUGAAUUAAGUAUUGGUACAAAUUCAUGUGGGACACAAUUUCAGUCACUAAACCCAAUGCCUUUUUUUUUCACAUCAUACCAAGGAACGGAUUAAACCCAAUACCUUCUUUUACGCCAUACCAAAGAACAGAUUAAAUCAUCAAUGAAAAAUUAAUCACAUAAUAAUUUAACUAGACAAAUAAAGAGCUCGAAACAGCACAAAACUUGAAUAUGAUUAUGAUAAUUGUUGAGUCAUUGUAUCUACAGCUUUCCUUCAACAAGAAGAUUAUGAACAUAAACUACACACAAAAAAUUUAUUUUAAACUGACAUAAAUUUAUUCAGUUACAUUGAAACCCAAAAAAGGAAGCAGGAGCUGGAGAAAAACAACAGCAGAGAAACUUAUUUCCAGAAGGUUUACGAAAUAAGGAAUUUAUUAAGACACAAAAUUUGAGGUCAACAAUAAGAAUUUGGUUCUCAUUCUCUUUUUCUUCAUUUUUCACUUAUUGAUGGAGUUACCAUACAAUCCUAAAUGAUAAAACCCCAUCUCCAUCUUUUUGAAAUAGAGUUAAAGCAAAGCUUUUUAAGAUGUUUUUCCCUAAAAGACUCAAUAGUACAAUGUUUUUCAAUAUUAAAUACACAACUCAAUCUUCCCCUAAUUUACUCUAAUAAUCUCUUAACUAAGGAAGAUUAAGCUCCACUUGUAAGCUAAAACAAGUUUCUUAAAUCAAGCCCCAAUGCUCUAUGCUAUUCAACAAGGCCUCAUAAAUGAUAAAACUACCUCUACAAAGAUACCCAUUUUAAUUUCGCAAACUAAAAUCGAACUCCUGAAACGUAACGAGCAUUAAAACAAACAAGUCCGAACAAGAACUGAAAAAUGAUACGUAAACCCGUUUCGACAAACAGUUUCCAAUCAAUGAGCAAAAAAGUUAAUGGAAAACAUGAAAUUCAAACGAAACAUACCUUAGGUUGAUAAAUUAGUAGCGCAAAAGAAAUUUUAGCGAGAUAUGGGAUCAGGGAUUUUGCCACGGUGAUGUUAAUUGCGACAUUCGGGUGACUCAGCAGCCUUCGAGGCUGAAACUUUGAUUGACCAAAAGCUUCCCGUUCGUUGAUUCUCUAAUUGCAGAAACGAAACUGGCAGUGUACAGAAGACGUACGCUGAUUUGAUAAUUCUGUGAAAAUCAUUGUUUUUUUUCAGAUUUUUAAUGUGUUCGAUAAAAUAUCAAAAUCUCAAAAACUUUUGUCUUUCAUUUUGGGGGGGAAAAACCCAUUGAGAUCCUUAUGUUUUUUCUUAUAUAAUCUGGCUUAAUAAUUUGCAAAGUCUAUUACUUAGCACCCAUGCAUGCUGCGUUCCAAUUUACAAAAUUGUACGUGAGUGCAUCCAGCUAAAAUUUGUAAAAAGAAAAUAGCAAUAACAUGUUAAAAAUGUGAUUAUUAUGAAGAAAUUUUAAUUUAGUUAAAUAGGUGACGAUGGAUAGGUAUAAAAUCUGAGAUCUUUUAUAAGGUUAAUAAAUAUGUUGAGUUUGGAUUAGUUCAAUUUUGAAAUAAUAAUAUUCAAAAUAUCUCUUAAAUCAUUAUAAACCUCAAAUCUAUUUUAAUUUUAUUUAAAAGAUAAAAGAAAAAUAGGUUAUGUUGGUGAUUUUUUAUUAUCUUUUUAAUAAAAAUGAAAUAAAUUGAUGUUUAUAAUUAUUUAAAGUAUUUUAAAGACUGCCAUUUUAUGAGAGAAAAAUAUUUCACUUUUUUUUAGUGUGAAAGGCCGAAAAAGGACAAAGCAAGUUUCCCUAGUUUUUAUUUAUUUGAAAUUGGUCAUCUCAUAUACUUCACCCUUCAACACUAUAAUUUUUUUGGUUAUAAUUUUAUUAUUUUUUCUCUUUUACACAUGCAUGUGAAUUACUUUUCUUUAAGCUCCUGAAUAUUUAAGAUAAAUCAUGGAAGAGAUGAGAGUAUAACAAGAUGACCAAAAUAUGUAACAAAAAAAUUUUAUAAGUGAAAAAUAUGUUAGAGACUUACAGUGGAAGUAAAACUCUGAGGUGAUGUUUGAUUUGAAGAAAAUGGAGGAAAUGAAAAGACUGGAAUGUAGAGGAAAAGAGAGAAAAGGAGAGGAGAGGAGAGUGAAAUUUUUUUCUAAUGUUUGGUUUGUCACAUAAUUAUACAAAGAAAGGAAAUCUCUAAUUUUUUAUUUAGACAAUUUUAACCUUAAUAAGUAUUAAGUUUUCAAUAUUUAUCAUGUGUAUAAUUAAAAAAAAAAGAAGUAAAUGGUAGAAAGCGGUUUCUGAUUCCGGCCACAUCGCCCGCAAUGGAAGGUACUUAUCAGAACAUCAAGAGCCAGCCAUCAUUCCCUAGCCAUCACUGCUGUCGGAACACUGCCGGAAAGCUGCCGAUUGAACCGCGAAAAGUCGUGGAAAUCGCUGCCUCAAAUCGGUGAGUUUCGCCCUUUUCUGGUCACGCCGUCGCCAUGGCUUUGUCCAUCAAGCCUGCCACUUCCAUUUUCAACCAUCCAUAGCCACUAUUAAUUGCCAAAUCACCGCCGAUCAGCGGGAUCUGUGGAAGUUAAAAAGUUUCUAAAUUUUUUUAACUGGAUUUGAACAACAUACGACCAUUUUUUUAUCUCGAUAACGACGUAGUAAUGUUGAUCGUUGGUCGGCAAGUCGUAUGGUAGUGGCAGUGAGUAACACGCGCCAAUCACAUCGGCGGCGGCGGCGGCACUAUCCGGCGACUGUUAAAAUAAUAUUUUAUAUUUUCAGAUUAAAUAAAUUUAUUUUAUUAAAAUUUUUAAAUCAUUAUUUAAAUUUAAUUAAUUUAAAAUUAUCUAUAAUGUUGAAUUGAUAAAAUAAAUUUAUAAAUAAUAAUUAUGUGAUUACAUUAAAUAAGUUAAAAAGUUGAAGGGUUAGUUUUGGAAGAUUUAGUUUCCAACACAAAGGGAAUUUGAAUUCUUCACUUCUUAGUGUGGAAUUCAAAUUCUAUAUUGUAAUAGAUAUUAAAUUUCAAUAAAAAUUAAAUUCUUAUAAGUUAUGUCAAACCAAACAACGAAAAUAAAAAAGAAAUUUAAAUUAUUUUUCUUUCCUCCACCCUCUCCUUCCAACUAAAUACAUCCUGAAAAUAGAGAUAUUGAUUAAUUUAGAAGAGAUUCAAGCAAAAAAUAUUCCAAAAAAAAAAGCAAUAUGUCCCUUUGGAGGGCAAACUUGUCAGUUUCAAAAAAGUACAUGCUUUGUAUUGAUAGUUGUAGGAUAUUUGUUUUGUCACUAUGUAUUAGUUGGAGAAGUCCAGCCUUGUGGAGAAUGUUAUGAAAGAGCAAAGGAUAUUCCUGAUAGCUGAUAGAGCUCUAUCUGAUUAUGUAUCCAGUGAAUGGAUGUGUUGUUGGAAGAUAUCUGAGUGCAUUAGUUCAUAUGUGUCUGUCAAUGUGCUUUUAAUGAUUUUUCCACCUGUUUGUUGUAAAAGAUUAUUGUAAAUUGAAAUGAACUUGAUGUUUUAAUAUUUUCUUCCGUAAAUUGAAAUGAACUUGAAUUAAAUCUCGUUGAAUUUAAUAUUAUCUCCUUAGUGGAAUUUCACCUAGUAUGUAUUCAGUUGUGUUGUCUAUAAUUUUGCAUUCGAGUAAGUUUCACCUAAAACAUUAGCAUGAGUAGUGGCCCUUGAACCUUUGGUCAAAAUUAUUGUUAUUAUUUCUGACUAGAUGUAAAUUUUGUAUUAAAUCUCGUUAACACAAUUCUUAAUUAAAAGUAUAGGUUAGUGUUGGUGCAAGAUUUGCCACACCAAAUUCUGCCUAGCUGUCAAAAGUGCAAAAUAAAUGAAGAGAAAGCACAAAUACACGACUUGAAUAAGGAUACAACGAAACUUAAAUUCAAGAGAAAAUGAUAGCUAUAUCCCAAGAUUUGAAAAAGUAGUCAUGUAGGUUUUUAAGAUUUCAAUAAGCGACUGAGAUUCAAAUAAUAUCCUUUAAUUCUAUUAAUAAAAAACAAAGACUCAAAUAUUUUAUGAUAAAUAAAAAUAUAAUAUUAAAAUAUAUGUGAUAAUAUACACAUUUUAAAUACUUUCAAUCCAAAAAAAUAGUUAUGUUUUACAAUCUAUUAGACAUAUUUUAUUAAAUUAAUAUAAAUUUUCUAUAAAAUAAGAAUAUAAUAUUAAAACAAAUUCACAGAAAUUUAAAGAAUUUUGAAUGUAAAAUAAUUUUAAUAUAUUAAUACGUGAGUUUUUUUAUUAAUAUAAAAAUUAUUUAACUUUAAGAUUUUUUAAAAUCUUUACAAUAAGUAUAACUAUAUUAUUUACAUUUAAAAAUAUUUAAAUAUUAUUAACCUACAAUUAUAUUUGCAUUUGUUAGAAAUUUUUAAAGUCAAAUAUUUUGCACUUCUAUAUUAUUAGAAUUAUUGCACACAAAGAAAGAAACAUAUACGUUUAGAAAUUGUUUUCUUUUAAAAUAGAGAUGAUGAUUAGUAUAAGGAUCAAAAAAAGGAUAAAGAAUAUUAAUGAUUAACGAAAACUCUAUACAAAUUGAUUUUAGUAGGAAAAGAGUGAGAUGAAUGAUUUCUUUUACAGUUAGAAAAAUAGAUGAUGAUUAUUAUAACGAAGAAGAAAAGAUAAAGAAUAUUAAUUAUUAAUGGAAUCUCUAUGCAAAUUGAUUUCAGUAGGAAAAAAAAUGAGUUAAAUGAUUUAGAGUGCGUUUGGAAUUGAGAUUGGACAGCCAUAGAUUUUAAGUUACAACACUGAAGUGUUUGGUAAAUACUAGCUGCUGCAGAUUGAAAGUUAUGUUGAUAUGAUUUUUCACAUGUAUCAUAGAAAAUAUAUUACAUCUUUAAUAAUUUUUUUAAAAUUUGUAUUUGCUAUAUAUUGUUUUUUUUAUAUAGUUAUAACUUUUUUUUUUUCCACAGCAGCUGUAGCUUAAAAGCUACAGCACCUCAAUCUCAAACAAGUCCUUAGACAUUCAUAGUGUGUUUAUUUUUUGGAUUGGUGAAUCAAAAUUAUUGACAACGCUAACUUCAUCUUCACCGUUCGCAAUCCAACAGCAGCAAUUGUCGCCAAUAAUGAUAUCGCCGAUGAUGAUGACAAUAAUAAUAAUAAUAAUAAUAAUAAUAAUAAUAAUAAUAAUAAUAAUAAUUAUUAUUAUUAUUAUUAAUAAUUAAUAUAUUAAUAUAUUAAUGUUAAUAUUAUUAUUAUUAAGAUUAACAAUAAUUAUUAGUAAUACAAUUUUUUGAAUAAAAAUAAUCACAAUAAUUAAAAUACAAAUUAACAAUUAUGACAAUAGUUAAUUAAUGUCUUUUUAGUAAUUUGUAAUAAUCUAACUCAUUUUAAUUCUGAUUAUUACAGUUUAAGUAAAUAAAUUAUUAUGAUUCCUAUUCUCCUUUUCUAUUUUAACUCACUUCGAUUCCAGUCUAUUCUGAUUUUUGUUUAAUAAACGCACCAUUAGUGCUAAAGUAAUAUUUCAUACAUAGAAAAGUAAAAACUACACCUAAGGUUAAGGGAAAGGACUUCAAAACUCUCUUUUGAUCAUAAUACAUUUUGUACUAAUUAACUUAAAGAUUUUGAAUCUAAUAUUUUAUAAUAAAUAAAAAUAUAUUCCUAAAAUAAAUAUAAUAUCAAUAUUUAAAAUAUGUUUUAAUAUUUUACACAUUUUAUUAUAUUAAAGUAGAUUUUAUAAUAAAUACAAACGUCCUAUUAAAAUGAAUAUAUAAAAAAUUUAGAAAAUUUAGAAUAUUAUAUAAAAUAAUUUUAAUAUAAUGCGUGAGAUAUAUUUUAUUAAUUUAAAAUGUUAUUUUACCUAAAAAAUAUGAUAAAUUAAUAAUUACAUAUUUGAAGUUAUUUCAAAUAUUAAAAAAAUUUAAUAUUAUUAGUCUUUUAGAUAGAUUAAAUUAUUUUUUUUAUAAGAGAUAGAUUAAAUUAUUUUAAAAUGCCUUAAUUAUUUUUACUUUUAACGUUACCGGCCUUUCUUUUAUUUUAUUGCAAAUUAAUGCUAACAAGAAAAAGCUAGAUCAUAUUCCACAAAAGCAAAAGUGACAAACACAACCAGCUGGAAUCUUUUAUAAAACUACAAAUUAAAAUGGAUUUUUUUUUUGAUAAAUUACACAUGAAAGUGGAUUCUUUUGAAUAUAAGUGGAGUAGGCUCUUUUAUUUUAUUUUUGAAUAUUGUAUAACGGGACUGUAGACUCUUUUAUUAAACUACAAAUUGUAUAGUCUUUUUAAAAUUGUUAUAAAUUAAUGGCCCCCACAAUCCUCAACAAUUGUACCGAUAUUCACAAGUUGGUGGCCCCUACAAUUCUGUUCCGAUAAUUUAACUGUGCAAGUGCUCAUUCACAAUCUUCCAGGUCAUGCUCUCAAUAAUUGUUUUUUUUUCCUGCAUUCCCUUUGGGAAAUUUACGAAAAUAAUCAUUAAUAUUUUAUUAUUUUUACAAUUAACCGUCUUAAUUUUUUUCUAUCAACAUUAGCCAAAUACAAGUCUUUCUUCCCAAAUUACCCUUCUUUACAGAACAAAACCAACAUUGUUUCUCCCAUAUCGCCAAACCAAAAGCAGCUUUUUAUUCUUAAAUCAUCAGCCAACGGCGACCGCAAAAGACAACGGUAAAAGUGAUAUCCGAUCAUAAUCUAUCCGGAUCCAACACAAAUCUACAUCACUCAGUGGUAUGAAUUAUUUUUUGAACUUACUGAACUCAGUCGGGUGAAUCUGAGUCUGGCGACAGGCUGCCUGUCGCAGUAAAACUUGGUGCGACAGGCAACCUGUCGUACCAAACCUUGGUGCGACGGGCACCCUUGGAGAUUUAUUAAAAAUGUAUUAUUUUAAUAGGACUCAAAUAAUUUUUUUUUAUAAUUUCAGGCUUAAUGGAUUCAGUUGUACUUGAAUUGUGUUACGAUGGUUGGUGGGAGACAUUAGAGAAUGGCUGUAUGGAGUACGUGAAUGGUAAAAAUCGAGCUUUUUUGGUUGGAAAAAAUUACUUGUUUGAUCAGUUAUUGGCAAGAGUAUACGAGGUAUUAAAAAUAAACCCUAAUGACUAUAGUAUCACAAUGAAGACAACUUUGAGGUCUAGUAACACAUUAUAUCGUAUAUGUGCAAUGCCCAUGGAUAUAUGUGAUGAUGAAAUGGUGAGGGUUGUGUUGCAUAUGGCAUCUGACGUAGCUAAUUUUGGAUGCAUUCCUAUAUUCGUGACCACAUCACCUCGACUUCCGAGCGAAGGUAUUGAGCCACAUGUCGAUAUAGAAACUUCGUUUAGAGCAAAUAUGUCUGGCCCCGAUAAUGAUGAAGAGGUGUUGCCAAGGACAAUAUCGCUGCAGCAAUAUUACUCUCCAAUCCACGACAAUUAUGAUAACAUUGAUGAUAAUAGCGUUACGUUACAGGAUGUUGGAGCAACGGUAUUUCCAAUAACAACGUCGUUGGAGCAACGAUAUUCUCCGUAUCACAACAAUGAUUUUCGGGACAAUGAUGAUUUUCAUAAUGAGACAGAGGAGGAUAAUGUUUGUGCAGAACCUUCUAAUAAUACGAGGCGGGGCACUCGUUUCAAUAAUGAUGGUGAUGAUGGAGGAGUCGGUCAUUCGAAUGUUCCGUCGUUUCAGCAUGAGGAUGAGUGUGAAGACAAUACUCCUGUGAAUAACAGAGGCAAUAGACCUAUUCCUUCUAUGGUUCGAUCGAGAAGGAGAAUUGACCCCCUUACAAGUCUUGCUCCAACUUUACCUUCGAACAUGGUUGCUCCAAGCUUUGUUAGCAGUUGUGACUCAGAUGAUAUCAGCGUGGGUAAGCUAUUUGUUGAGAAGAAUGAGCUUAUAUUACAACUACGCAAGGUGGCCUUUAGAGAUAAGUUUGAUUUCAAGAUUGCACGGUCUACUACGACACGUUUCGAGGCUCACUGUUGUUCAGAAUCAUGUAAAUGGCAUAUUCGAGCAACUAGAAGUUCGAACGAGCAAAAUGUUCCUUGGGUGGUGAAGAGAAUUGAUAAUGUACACACUUGUCAUAAUGAGGUAUUGAUUGAUGGACGUCAUCAAGUAAGGAGCCGGGUUGUCGGUCAUAUUAUCGCAGAAAAAUAUAUUCAAGAUAAGAGGAUUUAUACUCCCAAUGACAUAAGAGCAGAUAUGCAACAGGAAUACGGUGUUCAGUUAACAUACCAGCAGGCAUAUAGGGCGAGAGAAGUUGGUCUUGAAAUAGUUCACGGCAACCCUGCAGAGUCAUACAACUUGCUCCCUAAAUACUCUCACGUACUAACUACAACGAAUGAGGGUACAGUCACUCACCUCGAGCAGGAUGGAGAUGGUAAUUUCUUGUACUAUUUUGUAGCACUCGGAUAUUCCAUCAAGGGGUUUAUGCAGUACAUUCGGCCUGUCAUUGCUGUAGAUGGUACUCAUCUAAAGAGAUUAUAUCGUGGAAGCAUGUUCGUGGCAACAUGUCUUGAUGGUAACAAUCAAUUGUAUCCGUUAGCCAUUGGGAUCAUGGAUUCAGAAAAUAAUGAUGCUUGGGAAUGGUUUAUGAUGAAGUUACACGGAGUGAUUGGUGAUAGACCUGAGUUGGUAAUUAUCUCUGAUCGAUGCACUGCCAUAAGGAGAGCCGUUCUUAAAGUAUUUCACAAUGCAACUCAUGGCGUUUGUUUUUACCACGUCAAAGGUAACAUUAAGUCACAAUUUAGAAUGUCCAAAGCUCUUUGGGAUGAAUUUGAGCAUGCCUUUAUUAAUGCAGCAAAAGCAUAUGGCCACGAGGAAUUUAAGAGACAACUUGAAGGGUUGUGGAUGAUCCACUCGGGUGCGGCUGAUUACUUAGAAAAUAAUGUCGGCACGUGUAAUUGGGCAAGGUCUCAGUUUCAAGGUAGGAGGUACAACAUUCUUACCACCAACAUCGCGGAGAGUGUUAAUGCUUUCAUGAGGGAACCUCGAAAAUUUCCUGUUACUCAUCUUGUUGAUCACUUCAGGAAAACAUUGCAGCAAUUGUUUUAUGAUAGAAAAAUUGUGGCUGAAUCAAUGACUACUCGGCUAACAACAUGGGCGGAUGAAAUAGUCACUGAGAGGAGAACUAUAGCUGAAAGAAUGAUAGUUCGGCCGGUGUCUCCGCAUCGCUUUCAAGUUAUAGGCGGUGGGCUUAAGGAAGGGUUGGUUGACUUGCAAAAGAGAACUUGCUCCUGCAGAGUGUUUCAGCUUGAUCAGCAUGUGUGUGCUCAUGCAAUUGCGGCGUGUCUAACACACCGGGUGGAUUUUAUUAACCUUUGCUCGGACUUUUACACUACAGAAUCGUUGGCGAUGGCUUAUGCACAACCAGUGGAGCCAGUUGGUGAUGUGGCUGAUUGGGAAGUUCCAGAUGAAAUUCAGGAGAUGCAGGUAUACCCACCAGUUGAGGCACCACUACCUGGCCGUCGUAAAGAGCUCAGAAUACCCUCGACUGGCGAGGACGUUGACCGGCGGACUGUAAGAUGCGGCCGGUGUCAUGAACUAGGCCAUAAUCGUAAGCGAUGUAAGAAUCCUAUUGCGUCGACUCGAAGUUAGUUGUAUUUUGUGUGUUAUUCGUUGGUUAAAACUAUUAUUGUUUUUGUGUUACAUUGGUUAAAACUGUUAUUGUUUUUUGUAUUUCGUUGGUUAAAACUGUUAUUGUUUUUUGUGUAUUGUACACUUAUAUUCAUAAAACUUUAUUUUAUUUUAAAGUUCAAAAUGUGAGGCAUUAAAAUUAUAUAAACUUAAGUGCGGAAAUUAAAAAAAAUGCAAAUUUCAACAUUGAAAUUACUACAUAGGUCUACAAUAUAAUAUCGUCAUUAAAUAUAUCAACCGCAAUCUUCUUUCUAAAGUACUCGACAUGACUAGCGUUAAACUCCAAUCUAAGCCCGAACAUUAAAUACAUCGUAACCAUCAAUACAAAAACACUGCAAUCGCUAGUUCCGGGCUCUUGUUGUGGUGCGCUCUUAACUGCGAUAACUUUCCACGGGUCUUCACUCCGCAACUCAGGUCGGAUAUUGUAGAAGCCAACAUAUUCCAACCAUCGAGGGAAUAUAACUUCAAGUGGCUUGAAUUUCAACUUGUACUUUUUGUCGUCGCGAAAUGUGAGUAAUGAGUCAUAAAUCCAGACUUUAUUUUUCCGAAAGUCAACUCGUGCUAGUACCCAAUGCGCGCCGUCCAAGUUAACAGGGAUGAGUAACUGCAUAUAAAAAUUAAAAAAACAUGUUCGUUAUAUAUGAAAUUGAAAUACAACAAAGAAAAAGCAACAACUCGAAUAUUUUCAUUAUAGAGCAUGUGAAAUGUAAUAAAAUACACACCAUAUCGACAUCCGUCAUUAAUUUUGACAUUGUGUGCUGUCGCCCACAAAGAUAACUAUUCAAGCGGUCGUCGAAUACCAUUGAAUCAACUGCACAAUUCCUGUUAUUCCAUAACUGAUUCAAGAACACCUAGUACAUAGAUAACCAAGAAAUGCAUAAAUUAAUAAAACUUAAAGGCAAUAAUUAAACAAAUUAAAUAGUAUUUAUAAGUUUUGUCGGCACGUUACCCAAAAAAAUGUGUCAGUAUGUGUGACACGUUGGAGUAAGGCAUUUGGAUACUGCCGUUGUUUCUCGCUAAUCAAGCGGAGAUACUCGUGAAUAUGCUGUAGAGAAACAAAAAUAUUACGAUUUAAAAAAAAAUUAUACACAAAUCCACAACAGUAUACACCACGAGGAAAAUAUAAAUACCUCAUCGCCUAGCCAUCCCAUCGAAGCUGUCCCCAAAAUUAUUUGAAAGAAUGACCGCAGGUGCUGGACUCUCCGGCGGACUCUGCUAUCACCAGUGAACCAUCGAUCAAACUCAGCAAACAAACUAGAGUCCUCCAAUCCUCUCAGUGGAUUUACAUCCACACUCGUACUCAUGUCAAUCGCAUGCUCCAUCAUUUGGGGUCGAGGUAACCUCCGGACGUUCUGUCCACGCCUGACCGGAGGAAUCAUGUAAGGACUGUUAUAAACAUACGACGGUAUGUACGCGCGGCCGAACUUACUAACGCCCGGAGGCACCUCUGUGAACACCUGCAUGCUCUCCCCACUAACAUCCCCGUAUAAACUAUAAAAUGACGUGGGCGUAGACAAAUUUUCAUUGCCCACGUCAGUAUACACUCCAUAGUCAUCCGGGGCCUGUACAUUCGCCAAAAAGAACAUAUUAAAUAAUUAUCAAAUUAAAAGUUAAACGAACAUAAUUAUUUAAUUUAAAUUAGCUUACCGCAUACGAGCGUGCAGUGGGAGAAUCCUUAUUUGGAUGUUUAGAAAAUGUGUCGAUGAAGCCAACAACGGUUUCUUUAAAAUCUUUUAAUUCUGACUUUAUUUCAUACACAUUACGAUCAAUCUUAUCCAGCCGUCGUCGUACGUAAUCAUUAAACUGCUUUGUCCUCGACUAUUACAAAAGAAAAAAAUAAAACUUUAGAAUAACAAUAAAAAAAUAAUAAUUUAUAAAGGAAAAAUAUCGUAUAUUAUUUAUAACCUCAGAAUCCCGUGCGUCAUCAGAGUUGUCUGUUUGCUGCUGGUGGUCAUCAACAGCCACCUCAUCCUCAAAAGUGUCAAGACGCUGCUCUGGUAUUGGGUUUAGUAUGUCGUCAUGAUCAUCAUGCUCGUCCGAUUGUCUUGUAACCGACGGCAUCGCGUUGAUUGAGGGUUGGUGCUGUAUAAAGUAUCAUUUAAAAUUACUAAAUGAAAAGUCAAAAAUUUCGAUAAAAAAAUUUUUAGUACUUACAGUAUACCGACCUUAUGAAUCCAAUCUGGAAUGCUUGGCAAGUAAUCCUUCACAGAGAGUCAAUAUUUUCUGCUACUCUCUUUUGAAUUUGGCUCAAGAGUUUGUAAAAUGUCCGUCUGCCAUAAAUUCAAUUGAAAAAUUUAAGUAAGUAUACCCAACUUAAAUUUAGUAAAGUUAAAAAAUAAGUAAUACAUAUUACUUACAAGACGAGAUUCGUCGUUGAAGAACGAAUAAACCUCCGCAAAGUUGAUUCUCGAAGACGUCAUGGGCUUCCAUUGCAGAAUGCGGGGAAUCUUACUCUUCGUUUUGACGACCCAUGUUGAUGGCAACCCUCCGAUUGCUUCGUAAAUCCAAGCCUACAACAAACCAAAGUGAAAAAUCAAAUAAAACAACUAUCAAAUAUUUAAUACUAUAAAACUUAUUAAUAAACAAAAAAAAGCACCUGCACCCCAGACGUAAAGCCGUAAAGAUUAUAUUUUUCAAUAUUAUGAUCUGAAUUUUUCAACCGAGUCUUCUUAAAUUUCUCGUCUUUCUCGAACAGUGCAUUGUCAAGACUCUCGUAAAUCAUUUCCCACGACAAUAGACCCCAUGGCGCUUUCGGAAGUACUGUAUAUCAUCAACUUGGUCAAGCCAAUCGAAAUUAAUUUGACAGUGAUUUUUUCUUGCAUUUAGUACUCUGUCCGCAAAAUAAAACAGCGCAAUCUUUAAUGCGUCCAUAUCGUCCAUUUCCUCGAAAUUCAACUCCUUAAAUACUGCAUCAAAUUGCUUCACAUUAAUCUUACGAUGCACACCACCAAAAUACGUAUUCCGUAGCCUCUGCUCCAUUUCAUCAUUUUUUUCAUUGGUAUCAACACCAAAUGAAAGUCCAGUAACCAAGCACCAUUCGAUAAUUGACAAGCGAAUCAAAUGCUUACCAAUUUGAAACCAUAACUGAUCCUCACAGCUAUCUUCUUCAUGGGCCACUUGCCGCAGUAAACGAUUGUGCAAAAUUACCCCACUAAAUGGAAAACUUCGGCACUCCAAGAAAUGCCCAAAUAUAUCCUUUUUGAACAUACUCAACUGCCGCUUUGUUAAUUUUUCCUCGAUGGCUUUUACGACCGAAGAUAACAUACACAUGCUCGAAAUUCGACCAGGAAAGUGAUCAGCAUAACGAAAAUACAUCUUGCCUACUUCAAUAUCCGGUGAUUCUGAUUUCGCCAUGUAUCUGUAAUAUUUAUAAAAUUAUUACAUUACAUUUACAAAAUUAUUACCAAACUCUAAUUUUUUGGUGCGACAGGCGCCUGUCGCUCCAAAAAACUGCCUGUCGCACCACAGCUGGUGCUCCAAAAUCGAAAACAAUACUCCCAAACACUACCAACUACCACAAACAUCAUCACCACCACUAUUAAUCUCAAGCUAUAACUAUUAUUAUUCUAAAAUCUCAUUUUAAAUUAAUGAAAAUAAGAAAAAUGACUAACCUAGGUUUUGUUGAAGGUUGUAGAUCGUAGAUCGGAUGCCGGUGAGAGAUGGAGCCGCCGCCGACGAGGGUUGAUGUCGCCGCCGAUGAUGGGAGUUGGAUCGGUUUGGGAGAGAUGAGUGAAAAAGGGAGUGUUGGGGAAGAGAUGAGGGAUGGGUAUUUUGGUCUCAAAUGUUGUUUUAUGGCUAAUGUUGAUAGAAAUAUUUUUGGGGGGUUAAGAUGAAAAAAAACAAAUUUGUUUUGGUUAUUACUGUAAAUUUCCCAUUCCCUUUCAUGCUCUUAAUAAUUGAAGAGCAUACUUUUCAUUUUCAAAUGUGGAGCCGCAUCUAAUGUCGCUAAUUUAAUUUGGGAUUAAAUUAGGGGACCAUUAUAUUGCAGUGUGUACUAAUUUUUGUGUUUAUCUAAACUCCUUAAGUUUAAGACAUAUUAUGGCAUAAAUAAGAAUAUAACAAUAACAAAAGAGAUGCCGGAGCAGAUCAGCAGGGUUUGAAUAUGACCUUUGGCGGUUGCUUUUUUUUUGUGAUUUUUUUCAUUUUUUCCUUCCUGUCAUUUUAUCAUUUAUUUGGCUCUGUUUCUAUUGCGGGUGUUACUGCAUGCUUACUGUUGCUUGACAAAGUUUGCUAGCUUUUUGUUUGCAGUGCUGCUAUUCACCCCGAGUCAAGCUCCGAAAAUUUAUUAAACAACGCCGUUUCGAUAGUAACAAUUUUUUUCUUUUCCCUUUGUCUGUCUCUUUCAUCUGCUGUUUCUCUAUCACUUUUCAUUUUUUAUUUCCUUACUUCCCAGCUGCCCCUAAAUUGUUAUUCUAGCAAUAUACUUUCUCAUCUUUGAAUUUUCAUCCUUGAGUACUCCCACAGCCGUAAUUUCAUCAUUAUAGACUUCACUUGGAAUGCUGUAUUUUUUCGAUUCUUAAGCUACUUCAAUUACAUCUCCCAGUAUAGGAUCCUCAUCUUCCUUUAUUUCUUCAUCUUAUGAGGUAACAAAUGGAUUUCACAACUCAUCUACUUUUAAGCAAUUACAUAUUAUACCUUGAAUGAUUCAACUGUUCCGACAGUUAAAGAUUUUAUGCUCAACCUGCAGUGCUACGAACAUUGUCCAUGAAAGAUGAGUUUCAGCAUAUAAAAUGAAAUAUAGAUGUUUAAUCUAAAAUAACCCUUCACUGCCAAGAAACCUAGGUCACAAAAUUCACAGAUAAUGAUAAAGAGCUAAAAAAUUUGAAAAACUCUACAGAUCACACAUCAAGCAAGAUAUCAUGUUUUUUUCCCUCAUUCGGUGGUGAUUGAUUCGCUUUUUGAUGAUGGAUAUGGUAUAAAAGUUUUGACCCAAUUUCAAGCAAACACAAAUAGAAACACAAAUAGAAACACAAACACAAUCAGGACUAGAGUUGUGGGCGAUUAUCUUAGGUGUACAAGUGAAACGGUGGUGGCUGUCGAUGGUGGUAGUGGGGUGGUUGGGUAUGCGUGAUGGCUAGAUUUUAGGACAAUAAUGGUUGGAGUUGACCUCGAUCAACGAAGGAAAGUGACAACAAUUUUGACAUCAAACGGUGCAUUUUUUAGCUUAGUAAAAUGGAGCCGUUUCGAAUUUGGGGUUUAAUCCGGGGUUUGACUCGGCGCAAGUAUCAUUUUCCUUUUGUUUAUUAAAUUUUUUAUGGUCACAAAGUAUUACUCGUUCUAUUUGAGAGUGAUGUGAAUCAAUUUUUCAAUUUUAUAUUUUGUGGUCAAUGUGAAUUUAAUUUCAUUUGUCUCCUGCAAUUAUGAAAAAAUUGCAGUCAUAAUAUGGAAAAGUACACCGGCAAAAACUUUGUAAAAGCUUCGGAGUGAUACGGGGAAUUUACUUACUACUGAGGACAAUUGGUGGCAAAGCUAUUCCAUUCAUUUUAUGUCCAUCCAUCUAUUUAGCUAUUGAAGAUUAGUGGUCCAUUUGUAAAUUUCAGAUUGUCUCUCUCUCUCUCUCCCACUUGAAAUAACAAUAUUUAAUAUAUCUCUUAAAUUAUUAUAAAUUUUAAUUUACUCUCGAUUUAAAAUGGAGCAUGUCGAUAAAAAAUUUUUCUUCUUAAUAAAAUUGACGUAAGUUGUGUGUUACAGUAGUUUGAAGUUUGAAAUAUUUUAAAGAUUAUUAUUCUAUAAGGGAGUAAUAUGAAAUGAUAUUUACUUUUCAUGUGUGAAAUGAAAAAGGACGAAGCAAGUGUCCCUGCUUUUAUUUUAUUUCAAGGAGGAGUCAUCUCACAUACUUUAGCUCUUAACAUUACAUUUUUUCUGGUUACAUUUUUUAUUUAUUUAUUUUUUUUUUUUUACACAUGCGUGUGGGUUGCUUUUCUGUAAGCUCCUUAAUAUAUAUUUAAGACAAAUCAUGGAAGAGAUGGGAUUAUAUCAAGAUGAUCAAAGCAUGUAAAAAAAGAAAAAAGAAAAAAAAAAAUUAAGAAGUAAGACACUGAAAAUGGAGAAGAGAUGGAAGCAAAAGAUAUUCCAAAACAAAGCAAUCUAUCCCCUUUCGAGGGCAGACUUAUCAGGUUUAAAAAAGUACAUGCUUUGGAUUGGUAGUUGCAAUCAAGGGAAAAUAAAUAGGAUCCAAUGAAAUUUAAAUCUCGGAGAAAAUAAAUAAUCAUGCAGAUUUUCAAGAUUUUAAUAAGGGAUACUAAUAUCUUAUUUUGAUUAAUAACAUUCUUUUAUUGUGUUAACUCAAAAAAAAUAUUAUAAUGCUUUACAAUAAAUACAAAUGUCCUAUUAAAUGAAUAUAUAAAAAAUUUAGAAAAUUUAGAAUAUUAUAUAAAAUAAUUUUAAUAUAAUGCGUGAGAUAUAUUUUAUUAAUUUAAAAUGUCAUUUUACCUAAAAAAUAUGAUAAAUUAAUAAUUACAUAUUUGAAGUUAUUUCAAAUAUUACUUAAUUGUUUUUACUUUAAACAUUACCGGCCUUUCUUUUAUUUUAUUGCAAAUUAAUGCUAACAAGAAAAAGCUAGAUCAUAUUCCACAAAAGCAAAAGUGACAAACACAACCAGCUGGAAUCUUUUAUAAAACUACAAAUUAAAAUGGAGUUUUUUUAAAAAAAUUGUUAUAAAUUGGUGGCCCCUACAAUCCUCAAUAAUUGCACCGAUAUUCACAAGUUGGUGGCCCCUACAAUUCUGUUCCGAUAAUAAUUGUUUUUAUUUUUCUGCAUUCCCUUUCAUGCUCUUAAUAAUUGAAGAGCAUACUUUUCAAAUGUGGAGCCACAGCUAAUGUCGCUAAUUUAAUUUGGGAUUAAAUUAGGGGACCAUUAUAUUACAGUGUGCACUAAUUUUUGUGUUUAUCUAAACUCCUUAAAUUUAAGAUAUAUUAUGGCAUAAAUAAGAAUAUAACAAUAACAAAAGAGUAAAAAAGUGUAGAGAAGAUCUUGCAGAAAUAUAAAUAAUAUCUAUUUUAAAAUAAUUUUUAAUAUUUUAUGAUCCAUUAGAUAUAUUUAUUAUAUUAAAGUAAAUUUUAUAAUAAAUAAAAACAUACUAUUAAAAUGAAUAUAUAGAAAAUUUAGAGUAUUUUAAAUAUUAUAUAAAAAAUUUUUAAUAAAAUAUGUGAGAUAUUCAUAUUUUAUUAAUUUAAAAUACCAUUUAACCUAAAGAUUUAUUUAUGAUAAAUUAAUAAUUAUAUUUUUGAAAUUACUUCAAAUAUUAAAAAAUUAAUAUUACUAAUCUGUUAGAUAGAUUAAAUUAUAUAUAUUAUUUUCUAUUUAUUAAAAAAUUAAAAUUAUUUUUAAUUACUAUUCAAAAAAUAUAAUGAAAAAACAUAAUGAUAAAAAAAUCUUAACAUCUUUAUUAAAAAAUUAAAAACUUAUAUGAUAAAUUCUCUAAAUAUUUACGGUAUAUGUGAACCACGGUGGAUAAGCUUUAUUUAAUAUUAUUGAUUUAAAUAAUAUGUCAAUUAAAAAUGUACAGAGAAGAAAUUUCGGUGGGUAUUUUAGUCUUUUAAGCAAUUAUCAUGAUCAGAUCAGCCUUUAGCCUUCAAACGUCGGUCAGAAAAGUUUUAAAAUUAAUGCUAAAUUGUUUUUCACUUUUAACGUUGGUGGCCUUGAAAUUGCUUGUAUUUUAUUAAAAAUUAAUGCUAACAAGAAAAAGCUAGGUCAUAUUCCACAAAAUCAAAAGUGACAAAACAACCAGCUGGUUUCUUUUACUAAACUACAAAUUAAAAUAAAUUUUUUCGAUAAAUUACAAAUUAAAGUGGAUUCUUUUGAAUACAAAUGGGACAGACGAUUAGGCUCUUUUUAUUAGAGGCAAGUAAAAACUAGUCAAGAAUCGAACAGUCUUUUUCCAAUUCUUGUUUUAUUAUUUUUCAAAACUAGUUUUUGGUAAUUACAACCGGGUCAUUAAUCAUUAUUCAGAGUUACUGUUAUCUUCGGGGGCAGUGGGUAAAAGAUAAUUACUAACUGUUUUUCCUUCAAAAGUUAGCGGCUCAUGUUUGCAAGUGUGAAUGUGCGAUGCUCUUUUCUUAAAGGCCAUUACAGUGGGGCCCGAAUCAGACGUGCCUAAAUCUUUUUAAAAUUUUUGCCGUAUAACGAACAGAGGUCAUUACUAAAAUUUCUCUUCCACAGCCUACAGCAGCUUCAGUUUAUCAAACUCCAUCAAUUUUCUUUCUUAACAAAAUUCCAAAGAUGUGUAGCAUUUUUCAGAUCACAUGCGAUGGUGCUCUUUUCAAUCGUUGCUUGGAUUGCUUUCUUGGAAAAGCAGCAUACAUACGUAACCUCCAAGAUAAUCUUGUAGCCUUGGAGACUGAACUGGGAAGACUAAUCGCAGCAAAGAACGAUGUGAUGAUGAGGGUUGUCAAUGCUGAACGGCAACAAAUGAGAAGGCUGGACGGAGUGCAAGUGUGGGUUUCGAGGGUGGAUUCUGUUAAAACUGGAGCCGACGAACUUAUCACAGACGGCUCUGAAGAAAUUGGCAAAUUAUGUGUUGGAGGCUACUGUUCCAAGAACUGCAGGUCAAGCUACAAAUCGAAAACAAGUGGCUAGAAAGCUACGACAUGUGAAGACUUUAAUCGCCGAGGGAGUUUUUGAGGCGGUGGCCACUGAGGUGGUGCCCGAGAGAGCUCCGGAACCUGUAGCAGAUAAAAGACCCACUGAGCCAACAAUAGUAGGCUUGCAAUCACAGCUUGAACAAGUUUGGAGAUGUCUUGUAGAAGAAUCAGUGGGAAUCAUUGGCCUAUAUGGUAUGGGCGGUGUUGGUAAAACCACACUAUUGACCCAUAUCAACAAUAAAUUUCUUGAGAGUCCCACAAACUUUGAUUGUGUGAUUUGGGUCGUAGUUUCAAAAGACCUGCGACUUGAAAAAAUUCAAGAAGAUAUUGGGAAGAAGAUAGGUCUGUCUGAUGAUUCAUGGAAGAAUAAAAGUUUUGAAGAGAAAGCUGUGGACAUCCUGCCGAGAUUAGGAGAGAAGAGAUUUGUAUUGUUGUUAGAUGAUUUAUGGGAGCGGGUUGAUUUAACAGAAGUGGGCGUUCCACUUCCCAGCGCACAAAAUACUACCUCAAAAGUCGUAUUCACAACCCGUUCCAUUGGUGUUUGUGGCAGCAUGAGAGCUAGGCCGGUUAAAGUGGCAUGCCUAUCAGAAAAGCAAGCUUGGGAACUGUUCCGCGAAAAUGUUGGGGAAGAAACUCUUGAGAGUGAUCAUGAGAUCGUUGAGCUAGCCCAAACUGUGGCCAAAGAGUGUGAUGGUUUGCCACUCGCACUUAUUACUAUUGGUCGAGCUAUGGCCUACAGAAAGACAGCCGAGGAGUGGAGUCAUGCAAUUGAUGUGCUAAGAACAUCAGCUUCUGAGUUUGCAGGUUUGGGAGAGAAGGUGUAUCGUCUUUUAAAGUUUAGCUAUGAUAGUUUGCAGAAUGAUACGGUUAGAUCUUGUUUCUUGUACUGUUGUUUAUAUCCUGAAGAUUAUGGCAUUCUUAAAUGGGACUUGAUUGAUUGUUGGUUUGGCGAGGGAUUUUUUGGGGAAUCUGACAGGUCUGGUGCAGAAAACCAAGGAUAUGACAUUUUGGACACUCUUGUUCGUGCAUGUUUAUUAGAAGCGGUGGAAGAUGGUGAAGUAAAAAUGCAUGACGUUAUUCGUGAUAUGGCUAUAUGGAUAACUUGUGAAAUUGAGAAGGAGAAGAGAAACUUUUUGGUUCGUGCAGGUGCUGGAUUAAAAGAGGCACCGGAUGUUAAAGGAUGGGAAAAUGUGAGAAGAUUGUCAUUGAUGCAAAACCAAAUUGAAACUGUGUCAGAGGUUCCCACAUGCCCUCAUCUCCUCACUUUAUUUCUUGACUUUAAUCAGGAGUUGGAGAUGAUCGCGGAUGGCUUCUUCCAACUUAUGCCUUCUCUCAAAGUUUUGAAGAUGUCAAACUGUGGACAGAGGAGGUUGAAAUUACCUGUUGGGAUGUCAGUGUUGGGUUCAUCACUAGAACUUCUCGAUAUUUCAUGUACUGGCAUAACAGAGUUACCAGAGGAGUUAAAGAAGUUGGUAAAUCUGAAAUGUUUGAAUUUGAGGUGGACAGGUGCGUUAAUUAGAAUUCCACGGCAACUAAUAUCAAAAUUUUCAAGGUUACGUGUGUUGAGAAUGUUCGCUAUUGGCUAUGAUCGUUUUCAUGAAGCACCAGAAGACAGCGUUUUAUUUGGUGGGGGUGAAGUUUUGAUACAGGAAUUGCUCGGUUUGAAAUAUUUAGAGGUAUUGGAGUUGAGCUUGGGAAGUUAUCAUGCUCUCCAAAUUCUUUUGAGCUCAAAUAAGUUAAAAAGUUGUAUUCGAUCUCUUUGCCUCGAGUUCGCCGGAGAUACAGCGUCAAUUAUUGAUGCUACGGCUUUCGCAGAUCUAAACUACCUCAAUGAAUUAAAUAUUUAUAGUGGUUUUGAGUUGGAAGAGUUGAAGAUUGAUUAUACAGAGAUAGUACGAAAAAGGCGGGAACCUUUUGUUUUCCGCAACCUUCACCGUGUUACUAUACAUAGCUGCCAGAAGUUGAAAGAUUUGACAUUCCUCGUUUUUGCUCCAAACCUCAAGUCUGUUCAGCUACUCGAUUGCUAUGCUAUGGAAGAAAUAAUCAGCGUCGGAAAAUUUGCUGAGACUCCUGAGAUGAUGGGACAUAUAAGCCCUUUUGAAAAUCUCCAAAUGCUUGAUUUAGAAGAUUUGCCACAUUUGAAGAGCAUCUUCUGGAAGCCAUUGCCUUUCACUCAUCUGAAAGAAAUGGCGGUAAGUGGGUGUGAUCAGCUUGAAAAGCUUCCACUCGAUUCCAACAGUGCAAAGGAGCGUAAAUUUGUAAUUCGUGGAGAAGAAGACUGGUGGAACCGACUUCAAUGGGAGGAUGAAGCCACUCAAAUUGCUUUUCGUUCCUGUUUCCAACCUUAUUCCUGAGCGGUGGUCGCAAAUUUUGAUUCUCUGUUUUUAUUUCUGGUUAGUUUCUCUCUCUCUCUUUCUCUCUCGCUCUCUCUCUUUUUGUCUUCUGCAAAUCACAAUUAAAUGUUGAAUUAAUGGAAUUAAUGCUUCAUAAAUUUGCCGGCACAGCCACUACUUUUUUUUGGGGGGGGGGGGGGGGGGGGUCGAAUUGGUGCUCUGGUUUUUGACUUUUUGUUAGCGAUUUAAUUUCCUGUCAAAAGACGAGCGAGAAGAACAUAUAUAUGACGUAAACCAAUUGAUACUUUAUUUAUGUGCAUUGUAUGUAAUAAAUAUUAAGUAUACUUUAUUUUUGCCCUGUUCUCUGUUUUUAUUUCAGUCUCUCUCUCUCUCUCUCUGCUGUCUCCUGUCUCCUGCAAAUCACAAUUAAAUGUUGAAUUAUAUGGAAUUAAUCCUUCAUAAAUCUGCCUGCGCUGGCUUUUUUUUUUUUUUUGUGGGGGUCGAAUUGAUGCUCUGGUUUUCGACUACUUUUUGUUGUCAAAAUUUUCUCUGUUUUUUCAAAUUGAUGCUUUAUUGAUAUCUUCUUCGUGAAAAGUGAUUUAAUUUCCUGCCAAAAGACGAACGAGAAGAACAUUAGAGUCAAACUAAUGCUCACAUAAAUUUCCCGUAAGAAUAUAUAAUUAUUAAGAUAGAUCUGCUCUUUCAUUAAAUAUAUAUUCCUUUUUCACAUAUUAAUUGACCUUUAUUUAAUUUGUUUAAAAAGUUUAAUUAAUUGUUGUUUGCAGAGAAUCAUCUACGCCGCUCGCCGAUAAAAGUUGAGGUGUUCGAGCAGGUGCUUGCCUUUUUUUUUUUCUUUUUCUUUUUUCCCUGUUUUAAUAUUUCUUUAAAUUUUGAAAUUGUUUAAUUAUUCUUCUGGUUUGGAAUGUUGAUAAUAGUGUUGUGAAAUUAAUUUUUACAGGAUAAAAGGUUGUGGGACAUUUAUUAUCCAUGUCCUAUGUAUCUCAAGCUUAAAGGUCUCAGUGGUCCUCUAUUGGAAAAAGCAAGUUUAAUAUAUAUUAAUUGGAUAUCGUCGCCUGUAUAUAUAUGUAUAUACAUACAUACACAGCCACUCAUCGAUUAUAGACUUAAUUAUUUAAUUGAUUAUGUAAUCUCUCGUAGUUUCUUUGUGCAUUUUUAGUUAAUUUAAUGAAUAAACUCAAAUACAUUGUAAAUAAAACCAAAUUAAAUGUUCCCUAAAAUAUACGUAUAUGCCUCUCGAUGGCACACAAGGUUAAAUGUCAGCCCAUCGCGGGUAAUAUUAUUUCUAGCCGCCUUCAUUACGAGUUAAGAGUCAAUUAUUACUAAACUAAACUAGUCAAAACUCGUAAGUGCUAGAAAGUAGAAACGUUUGAUUCUAUAUAAAUGACUUCAAUUCAAUAUGUACCAAAGAGUAUCGAUAAUUGAACCCCAAAAAACUUUAAAAAAGAUUGACAAAAUUAAUUAUAUUAUUGUGUGUUUUUAGAAGAAAAAAUAAAAUAAUUAAUUAAUGUUAUAACACUAUGUUAGGUGAAAAGUCAGCUGUCUGGAAGAGAACAAACUUACUAAGAUAAGAGCCUUCUUCAGUAAUCAACCGAACGAAAAAGUCAUCUCUUUUCUUAUUUAUUUAGUAAAAAUAAGUAAAGGCCGAAAAUUUCCUAAAAUAUCUAAAUCCCUCUCUUUAAAAGAACACCAUAUGCUGCAUAACAUGCAAAUUAAUUUCCCAUAUGUGAUGCAAUUUUCUCCUCAACAUAUGCGCAAUUCUUUCCAUUCCGGCAUUUACACUCAAAUUUUCCUUCCUUUCUCUUUGUGGUUGAAUCUUACACCACAACUCAUGUGAUGCAAUCUCCUCUCGCUGCCUAAAUUGCACUCUCAGCAAAGCAGCAUAUGUAAGCAAGCUUGAAGAUAAUCUUGCUGCUCUGCGGAAGAACGGCAAAAGUUAAUCGAAGCAAGGACUGAUGUAUCAGAAAAAUUUUGGUGGAGAAUUCAGCACAAACAUAUUUCGGAUGAUCAGAAUCAAUAAAACAUGGUGGUUGCGCCAUAUAAACAUCUUCGGAAAGCUGGCCUUGAAGAAAGGCGUUUAUUGAUAUCCAAUUGACGAAGAGGCCAGCCAUGACUAACAUCAAUACUAAGAACAAGCCGUACUGUGGUGGGCUUAACAACUGGACUGAAAGUGUCAUAAUAGUCCACACCAGGCCGUUGAUUGAACCCUUUGGCAAUAAGACGAGCUUUGAACCUGUCAACAGAACCGUUGGAAUGUCUUUUAAUACAAAAAUCCAUUUGCAGCCAACAAUAUUGGAAAGGAUGGGAGGUGGAACAAGCUUCCAUGUCCCGUUAAGAACAAGAGCAUCAUACUCUUCUGACAUAGAUUGACGCCAGUGAGGAUUUUUGAUAGCUUGCGUCACAGUUGUAGGUUCACAAUCAGAAGGAGGGCUAAAAUGAGCACAGAGGUUAAGUUUUUGUAACGGCUUGUGAAUGUUAUUUUUAGCUCCGGUAGUCAUAUCAUGAUGAUUUGUGGGGCAACGAUCUAGUGGAGUUUGGGAAGAUGAUUGAACAGGAAGUGAAGAAGUGCUUUGUGUAGAGGUAGAAAUAGGUUGGGAGGAUUGCUGCGGAGAUGUUACCGGUAGAGAAGAAGGAGCAGUACACGGUGGCAACUCCAAAGGGCCCACAAUAGAUGGAGUAGGUGCCGACGAUGGAGUACUAGGAAAUGAAACAGUAAGAAUUGGUGGAACACUUGCGUAAUUAGGAGUUGUAGAUGAGCUUGUAAUGAUUUGUAUGGAAAAACAAACUCUACAAAUUUAACGUGACGUGAAAUAAAAAUUUGAAAGGUGGAUGGGUCAAAACAUAAAUAAGCACUUUGAGAUAAAGGAAUAUCCUAGAAAAACACAAGGCUUAGAGGGUGGUUCGAGUUUAUGUGAUGAAACACAAACAUUCAAAAUUUUUUAAGUUUAUAUUAAUUAGGAGUGGUACCAAAAAUUAAUUGGCUAUCGGGUUGUUGGAUGUGUUUUGGAUAUUUACAGCUAAGUUUGAGUAUCUCAACUUAAAAUUUGUAGCUUUCACUUGAAAAAAUUCAGUUAAAAUUUGCAAUGCAGACUGAUUGAUUUAUCAGUUUAACGUGUGCCAGGAAUGAAGAACUGGAAUAUCACCGUCAAGCAAGCACCCUGUGGAGCAAUACCAAACAAUGUACAAUCCGGCUUUGCUAGGUGACACUGGAGGCUUUUUGAAAAGUGCUUCACGCUCACUUGCACAGAUUGAGCAUCCCCUCUGGAUAUUGCCCUCUCUGAUCGAGUCUGAGCACUCAAAUUUUGGUCCUCAGAGGGAGCUACAGUUUUCUCUCCACUAACCAACAAUUUUCUAAACUCAGCACCUAGUGUGAUCUUGAGCCAUAUCUAAAGCAGUUUGAAGUUCAAGUACUUGAGCCCUUGACAAUGGUUUUAAAAUUGGAACAUCUUGGAUUACUGCAGACUUGUACCCCUUGGUUUCAAAGUAAGGAAAGGUAUUGCUUGAGUACAAUUUGGAGGCAGCUUCUUCACCAAUUUUAUUUGGAGGCGAUUGGCAGCGGAUCCAGCUGCACGAAGACUAAACAAGUCAGAUGCAGUUUAUUUGUCCAAGCACAAAUUGCAUUUUGUCCUCAACUUUAAUAUUUAUUGAUGAGAAUCAAUACAGGUCCCUCAUUUGUUAUAGAAAGCUUUAUUGUAGUCUCACCAGUUAAUUCACAGGUCUAUAAUCAUCUUGCAAAGUUAAGGGCAUUUCUUUCGAUCUAAAGUCUUUGCAUCACCACCUCAUCACACGCCAAGCCAAUAUUCCAUUUACCUCUGCAACAAAAAGUUUUAAGUAAACAAUCCUAAUGCACGCAGCCAAAUAAAAUGCAGUAAGAAUAUUCAACUUAAAAAUCUGAAAGCCAACUUGGUGAAUUGCCUCCUUAGGUGAAGUUCCAUGCUUUACUAUAGUUGACAGAACUCAGCAAAAGCUUCCAUACAACAGAUUUUGAAAAUGAUGAUGCCAAUAGAUACUCAUUCAAUCCAUUGAAAAUCCAAAGGUUCAUUGUUAAUAGAAGUUUACAGAGUUUUGGUCAUCAAAUAGCUCAGACCUAAUCCCAAACAAAAAACGAGUGAAAAUUAGAUCACGAGCAGCUAAUUGUAAAUUCUAACUUAACUCUUCAUCUCCUUUGUAAACAAGAAACAAAAUGGAGACACGCAAAAUGAAUAUGGAGAAAAUUUGAACUCAAAUGAAAUGAGGGCACGAAAGCAAACAAAUGGCAUGCACAAAAAAACCAAGCCUCAAUCAAAAACUAAUUAACCAUUAAGAAAAAAAUUGGUCAGAGAAUGAACUCCAAAUUCAGGAGUCAAGCAAGAAGCUUUCAUCAUUUCAGAAGCUCCUGUACAAAAAAACCAAGCCUCAAUCAAAAGCUUUCAUUAAUAAGUUAUGCUCUUUGGAAGCAAACCUAAAUUCCAAGAGAAACAGAAGCCAAAAAAUUUGCAAUUAUACGCAAAGGAAGUGAAGCACAGGAUUCUAUCACACAUAGGAAUUGUAUAACAAGAGAUCGAUAUAUCGAAUUAGAAAACUCAAUUCGAAUUUGUGUGAAAAAUCAAAAUUAGAAGAUUUCACAUUUCGAGAGGAACAAGCAACAGAUGACGUUCAAAAUUUCAGCCAUAACAUGCUAAAAAUGCUACACUUAACGGUUCAUUUUCAUGGAUUUUCUCGGGAAACAAACAGAAAAUUACGGUUCAGAGAGUUGACUGACCUUUUGGCUUUUGAAAUUGAGAAGAUCGCGCGCCAAAUUGGAAGAGGGAAAGUGAAAGUGCGAGUUUUAAUAUGGGUAGAUAAGGAAAUUUUAUUAGGUUGCGAGGGUAAAAAAGGAAAGAGAUAUCAUUAUUUUAUCAUCGAUAAUUAUUAAAUUUUUUUCCAAAAAAAAGAACAAGCAAGGAUAUUUUAUUGUCAUUACUAAGUUAAAAAAAAUUGUUUCAAAAUUACUUGAGUCAUAUCCAAUGGACCAACAAAGUAAUCGUUUUUAUUUUUAUUGAUUUUUGCAGGAAAUUAAUAACUUAAAAAUACUGAAAGCUAUUGUAAAAAUUUUUAUUAUCAACCUCAUAGUUUUUUUUUUUUGGGGGAAGAGAAUUCAAACAUUUUUUUUUUAAAUUUCCAAGAAUUCUUGACACCCGUCUUAAUUAAAAGCUAUAUUUUUAUUCAAGAGUCAUGCUAUUCAUUCACUCACAGACCAAAGGCUUUCCGCAGCAAUAUUAUUAUUUAAAUUACAACAAAGGGGAAAUCAAAUACGUCAUACAGAAGCUUAAAGCUGAAUCAACAAAAUCUAGAGCUCUCAACUACAAAAAUUACACUUGAUGAUCCUCUACAAGAUGAAGCUUGUUCAAUAUCUUAUCCAAAGCUUGUAAAGUAACCUUGUAACGAUCUUGAGAUUGCCUGCCUUCCUCGACGACCUGCACGAUGCGUUUGUACAAAUCAUCAUACCUGUGCACCGGAUUUUUAAUAUCAACGCCACUGCAGCUGUGAUUAAGAAAAUAAGAGCGUUUAACAUCUUUUCUCCAUCGAGAAAGAAUGUACUGAGAUGGGAUCUCCUGCACGCCACUCUGGUUUAGAACACAAAGAAUGUGUCUGCAUAAAUAUCCUCUGAAAUUGAACAACCCACAAACGCAAAGCACCUCCAAGUUGGAGGCAUUGUACAAAACAUCGAAAGCCCUUGAGUCUUUCUCAUUGCUACCAACCUCGAAUUCUUCCUUCACUAUGUAUGUUAUAGGUCCAUCAGCACUAACAUGUUUUGUGCUAUAGCAAGAGUACAUAGCCUCCACCUCCGUCUGAAACUUCCUUAACAUUUCAUUUGUGUACAGUUUUGAGAGUUGAAAUUCAUAGUAACAUCUUGGUUUCUGGAUACAACUUGAAUUUCUUGAAUCCAUAUCUGCCAAGGCUUCCAGUUGAUAAUUCGCCCGCAGUGCUUGAUCAUACUUGUCUAAGAAUUCUUUCAAAGGAGUAUUCUUAUCAAGAUAUCCUUCAAAGUAUGAAGUAGAAACCUCAUUCUGCGGGAACGAAAACACUCCUGAUAAAAAAGCUUCCUUCAAAUAAAUAGGAGCCCACCUUUUACGAUCUUCAUAUAAAGUUUGAAUCCAUCCGUGAUCCUUUAUUCCAUGACGUUGAAUCAUGUCUUUCCAAGCUGCUUCAAAUUUCUCAGGCCUGAGAGAGUGAUAAAUUGCUCUAUGUAAUGCAGCUUUAAUAGCUUCAUAUUCAAACAAUCCUUGGAGUUUCACUGGAAUUUUUUGCAUGAUGCAUGACAAUGAAAAGCAACGAUAAGCUCUUGGGAAAACAUCGCCAACAGCAAUUUGCAAGAUUCUACAUUGGUCAGUGAUGAUUGUUUGUGGAGAGCGCCCUAACAUACAUGUAAGCCACGCCCUAAACAACCAUGUAUAUGAUUCUAUGGUCUCACUGGCAAGUAAACCACAACCCAACAACACUGAUUGUCCAUAAUGAUUCACCCCAAUGAAUGAAACCAGUGGUACAUCAUAUCUUUCAAUCAAGCACGUAGUAUCAAUUAAGACUACAUCACCAAAGUACCUAUAUGCAACUCUUGACCUGGUAUCAGUCCAGAACAGGUUUCUCAAGCAUCCCUUUUCAUUUAGAUCCACUACAUUAAAAAAGUUUGGAUCUGUCAACUGCAAACGACAAAAGAAACUCUGGACAGCUUGUGCAUCACCUGGUUUAAGCUUCAAUUGAUUUGAGCUAUUAACAUUAUUUCCAAAUACUCCAUUAACAUCUACAUUACCAUUUCCCUAGGCAUCAAUGAUAAGAGUUCGAAACAGUUUAAUUUUUUGAACUUCUUCAGCACUAUCUAAAUGCAAUGUUCUUUUGGUUCCAAUACCUAUGUGCUUAUGUGACUUGCAAAACUUUCCACUUCUUGGGCUUAACAAGUGGUUAUGCUCAAGCUCGACUUCAAUGAUUCUCCACCUUUUGGUUUCCAUCAACCUAAACUUUAUCAUUGCUGGACAGCCAGCUCUUGUUUCUGGUCUUGGACGGUUUGCCUCACUUUUCUUCUUGAAGCUUGCACUACUACAGCUCAGCUUUCCUCUAUACUUUUCUCUACUCUUUCAGUACCAGGUAUUGCUAACUCUAACACCAAAACCCUGUUCCUUGGCAUAGCAAUUGUAAAAGUAAUAUACAUCAUCGUACAUCUCAAACUCCAUUCCAACAGCAGGAGGCAAGGGAUUUUGGAUUAUCCCAGUUUGUCCAACAUAUUCAGUCAUCGCACAAUCUCCUACGACCUCAAAAUCAUCAGUGUCAUCAUCACCUAUUGGUUCGGUGUUGAGAGAAACUUCAUCCAUCUACAAUGGAUGUUCAAUGAAGUGAGCUUUAAGGAGAAAAAGCAAAAUCAGUUCAAGGAAUCAUAGUAUAAUCAUACAGUUACUUUCACAAAGCUUCAUAUUUCAUCACUGCUUUACCAACAUGCAACUGCCAGAGAACAAACAGACAUGUCAUAGACGCUUGAAUUAAGUAUUGGUACAAAUGAGCACACAUCAUGUGGGACAAAAUUUCAGUCACUAAACCCAAUACCACUUUUUACAUCAUACCAAGGAACAGAUUAAACCCGACACCUUCUUUUAAACCAUACCAAGGAACAGAUUAAAUCAUCAAUGAAAAAUUAAUCACAUAAUAACUUAACCAGACAAAUGAAGAGCCUGAAACAGCACAAAACUUGAAUCUGAUUAUGAUAAUUGUUGAGUCCUUGUAUCUACAGCUUUCCUUCAAUGAUAAGACAAUGAACAUAAACGAGACACAAAAAAUUUAUUUUAAACUGACAGCCCAUGAUAUAAAUCAAACAAAAUCAACUCCUUUUUUUACACAUCACAUCUCAUAUUCAUUUACAUUGAAACACAAAAAGGAAGCGGGAGUGGGAAAAAAACAACAGCAGAGGAACUUAUUUCCAUAAGGUUUACGAAAUAAGGAAUCUAUUAAAACCCAAAACUUGAGGUCACCACAAAGAAUUUGGUUCUCAUUAUUUUUUUCUUCAUUUUUCACCAAUUGAUGAACUUAAAAUACAAUCAUAAAUGAUAAAACCCCAUCUCAAUCUUUUUGAACUAGAGCUAAAGCAAAGCAUUUUAAGAUGUUUCAUCAUUUUUUUUUUAAAAAAAACCUCAAUAGUACAAUGUUUUUACUCUAAUAAUCUCUUAAUUAAGGAAGAUUAAGCUUCAGUUGUAAGCUAAAACAAAUUUCUUAAAUCAAGCCCCAAUGCUUUAUGCUAUUCAACAAGGGCUCAUAAAUGAUAAAACUACUUCUACAAAGAUACCCAUUUUCUAAAUUAAUUUCAAAAACUGAAAUCAAACUCCUGAAACGUAACGAGCAUUAAUAUAAUCAAACCCGAACAAGAAUUGAAAAAUGACACAUAAACUCGUUUACACAUUUCGACAGACACUUUGCAAUCAAUGAGCAAAAAAUUAAUGGAGAAGAUAAAAUUCAAACGAAACAUGCCUUACAUUGAUCAAUUAGAAGGGCAAAAGAAAUUUUAGUACGAUAUGGGAUCAGGGUCUUGCCACGGUGAUGUUAUUUGUGAUGUUCGAGCGACUCAGCGGCCUUCGAGGUUGAAAAUUUGAUUGACCAAAAGCUUCCCGUUUGUUGAUUCUCUAAUAGCAGAAACGAGACUGGCAGUAAACACAACAACUUCGCUGAUUUUAAAUUCCGUUGUUUGAGAUGGAAAACUUUUUGAAAAAAUUAAUGUGUUCGAUGAAUAUCAAAAUCUAAAAAACUUUUUGUUUUUCAUUUUUUUGGAAAAAACCAUUGAGAUCCUUACUAUUUUUUCUUAUAUCAUCUUGCUUAAUAAUUUGCAAAGUCUAUCGCAUAGCACCCAUGCAUGAUGUAUGCUGCGUAACUGCGUUGUAAUUUACAAAAUUGUAAAUUUGUUAAAAGAAAAUAAUAAUAACAAGUUAAAACUUUAAAAUUUUUAUCAUUCGAAGAAAUUUUAAUUUAGUUAAGUAGGUGACAUGAUAAUAAAUAGAUACGUAUAAUGUCCGAGAUUUUUUAUAAGAUUAAUAAAUAUGAUAAAUUUGGAUUAGUUCAAUUUUGACGUAAUUCAGAAUAAACACAUCUUCCUAAUCUAAAAAUAAUUACAAACAAUUUAAUUUGUGUUGUUUCUCUAAAAGUUUGAGACACAAAUGUUAUUGCAAAUUGAAACGCCAUGCACUAGUAGAAGGUAAGAGAAACCAAGGUUGAAGUUACUGUUCAUUUAUUUUUAUUUAUGAUUUUUUGUAAAAUGUAAGAAAUAUGUAGAAAUGUUGCCAGCAAUGAUUUUGGAACUUUGCAUAAAAUUUUUAUCAUUAUUGUUUUUGGUAUUAAGAAAUCCGAGGCGGUGAUUAGUCGUAUGUUGCAACAAUUAAGAAAUUUCUUAUUGGAGAUAAUUUGGUAGGUUGCAACAAUUAGAGAAUAAUUUUCCUGUCAGUUAAUCAAUCAAUAAUAAAUUUCAAAUUGCAGAAAAUAAAAUAAUACUGUCGCACUUAGAAUCAUCUUUUCUAUUUCUUUCAAUUGUGACAAUCAUUUGUAACAAAUAAAUCAAUUUGAUGCACAUCAUUUCCCCAAUUCAAAGUUCAAGUCACUGCUCAAUUGCAGGGUAGUUAGUAGACAUGCAUGCAUGUUUAAUUAAGUACUGCAUUGUAAUAUAGAAAAUCAUAACAUCUCACCAAGCCCGGAAGCAUAGCUCUUUAUCUUGUAAAUGUUGAAAUCUUAUGCAAACUAUGGGAAACAUGAUCUCACUCUCAGUGCCACUUGAUUCCAUUUUCUUUGUUGGGAAUGCUACGAAGUCUAAGCUUGAAGAUAAUCUCGAUGCCUUGCGGACUGCAAUGGAAAAAUAAGCGGAAACGAGAAAUGAUGUGAUAAAUUGUGAGCCAACAAUAGUGGGCAUGGUGUCGACUUUUGAGAAAGCCUGGAGAUGCCUUGAAGAAGAAUCAGUUGGAAUUAUUGGCCUGUAUGUUAAUGGGGGAGUUGGAAAAUAUUUACUCAAAUCAACAACAAGUUCCUUGAUGGUCCAAAUAAUUUUGAUGUUGCGAUCUGGGUAGUGGUCUGCCAAGAUUUACAACCCCAGAAGUUUCGGGAAAAGAUUGGGAAAAAGAAAGGCUUGUUCGAUGAGUCAUGGAAGAACUGAAGUUUUGAAGAGAAAGCACUCGACAUAUUCAAGAAUUUAAGCAAGACGAAGUUUGUAUUACUGCUGGAUGAUAUAUGGGAGCAGGUUGAUUUAAUUAAAAUUGGUGUCCCUCUUCCAAGCACAAAAAUUACAUUCAAGAUAGUCUUCACAACUCGUUUUAUUGACAUUUGUGGCCUCAUGGAAGCUCACAACAAGAUUAAAGUGGAGUGUUUAAAUGACGAAGAAGCAUGGGAAUUAUUCUGCAAGAAGGUUGGAGAAGAUGUGGCGACUCUGUCCAAGUGCUAAGGAGAUCAGCCUCAGAAUUUCUAGGUAUGUAAAAAUGAGUAUAUAUAUCCACUUUUGAAAUUCAGUUAUGAUAAUUUACCUAGCGAUAAAAUUAGAUCGAGUCUGUUAUACUGUAGUUUGUUUCUGGAAGACUUUCCAAUUAGCAAAACGGAAUUGAUACAUUGUUGGAUAAGCGAGGGCCUUUUGGAUGAAACUAAUAGUUCUGAGAUAUGAAAUCAAGGAUACUACAUUAUUGGUGUUCUUGUUCCUUUAUGUUUAUUGGAAGAAGAGGCUCCACUAUAUGUAAAAGUGCAUGAUGUGAUACGCGAUAUGCUUCUGUGGAUCGCAUGUGAAGUUUUUUUUUUCUUUUUGAUAGGGAUAGCAUGUGAAGUUGAGAAGGAGAAAGAGAAUUUUUUGGUUCGUGCAGGUGCAAGGAUUAACUGAAGUGCCAGACAUUUGGAAAUGGGAAGGGUUGAGAAGGGUGUCUUUCAUGAGCAACAAAACUGAGAAGUUAUCAGAAAUUCCUUCAGAUCCCCAUCUACCGACUUUGUUGCUUCAACGUAAUUAUUUAGAGAUGAUCAAUAAUGACUUCUUCCAAUCUAUGAAUUCCCUUAGAGUUUUGAACUUAUCAUGUAAUCAUUCUCUAAUUGAUAAUUUCAAAGUUAGUUUCCCUACAACAUCUUAAUUUAUCAAUGACUAACAUACGAGAGUUGCCGAAUGAGUUAAAGUUUGUAGUGAAUCUAAAGUUUUUGAAUGUGGAGUAUGCACGGUUUCUUCAUUCAAUUCCAGGGCAAGUGAUAUCCAGUUUUACGAUGUUACACGGUUUGAAGAUGUUUGGUUGUGGGAGGUCAUCUUCUGAUCAUGAGCCACACUAGAAGAUAGAGUUUUAUUUGAAGGCUGUAAACUUUUGAUUGUGGAGUUGUUUGGUUUGAGAGACAUCUAGAUGUGUUGACCAUCAUCCUAACAAGUUCCCUUGCUCUGAAAAGAUUUUUGAGCUACAACAAACUUCAAAGUCGUACUCAAUCUCUCUAUCUUAAAUGCUUUGAUUCAAAUCUUCUUGUUUUUUCCAUAAAACAUUGCCAUGAUAUGGAGGAAAUACUCAGUGUCGGAAAAUUAGGUGAAGAGAUGAUGUCAAAUCUGGAACCUCUUACAAAACUCCAAGUUCGUUGCUUGAAGAAGCUACCAAAUUUGAAGAGCGUCUACUGGAAGGCCUUGCCCUUGCCCAAUGUAUGCAUAAUUUUUGUAUCUAAAUGCCCAGAACUUAAGAAGCUGCCGCUGGAUUUUGAAAGGGCGGGCGAAGGUAAAAUUCUUAUCAAGUGAAAGGAAAAUCGAUGGAAACGACUUCAAUGGGAGGAUCAAGCAACUCAGAAUGCAUUGCUUCUGUUUUUCAAAUCUAGUGAUUGAAGGGGGCAACAUCAACAUCAUCAGCCUGGAUGGGGAGAUUCUGGAGCAGAUCAGUAGGGUUUGAAUCUACAUCAUUAACAUCAUCAGGGUCUGUAUUUCUAUUGCUGGUCUUAAUGCUUGCUUACUGUUGCUUGACAAAGUGAGCCAGUUUUUUGUUUAUUAAAUUUUGUCUUGUAGAGACAGUCACAAAGUAUGGGUUGUUCUAUGUGAGAGUGAUGUGAAUCAAUUUUUCAAUUAUAUAUUCUGUGGUCAUUGUGAAUUUUGUUUAGAGAUGCAAACUUAGAAUAUGGAAAAGUUCAUCGGCAAACAUUUUGUAAAAGCUUCCAACUGAAGUUUUCAUAAUUAAAUAAUAAAAAAAUAGGAAGUGACGAAAAAAUUAUCCUAGGUGUUACGAAAAAACAUGAGCUCCGAAAAUAUUGGAAGUGACGAAAACUUAGGGCUAGGGUUUGAGAACUCUAACCCGCCACCACUGCAAGAGGACAGGACGACUAAGAAGGCCCGGUUUCGGGCUGAGGGAAUUGAUGCUGAUAAUCCUCAUAAACCCUCUUGGAGAGAUAAGGCUAUGGAGGCAGUCACGGUGAUGGCAGGUCAGACAGGAAGGAUUGGAGAGUUGGGUUACGGCAGUGUAUGCUAGCCCUAUUCCAACAGUCCUGCGUGAAUUAUGGUAUCACCUUGCAAGUAUUGCUUCUCAAAUGUUGGAUCCGUGGUUGGUGGGCGGAGAUUUCAAUGCUAUCUUAUACGCACAUGAGAAGAAAGGGGGCUCGAACCGAAUAAGUGGCACUUGCAAUUUAUUUAAUCAUUGGUUUCAUUCUUGCAGGAUGCUUGAUCUAAAGUUCUCCGGCCCUCGCUUCACUUGGUCUAGGGGAAACCUUUCUAAACGAUUGGAUAGAGCGGUUUGCAAUAAUGGAUGGCUAAUAAAACAUGCAAAUAGUAGUGUCAUGCAUCUUCCAAAAAUUGAUUCCGAUCAUCGGCCUAUUCUAGUCAAGUUCCAGAACAUGGAUUCCAAGCAUGGGGGCCCGAGGCCAUUUCGAUUUUUGGCUGCAUGGCUCACAGAUGAGAGAUUUGGGAGUUUUAUGAAUGAUAGCUGGAAUAAGGGAGAGAAUUUUCUUGAGGCAGUGGCUGAUUUUACUCAACAAACUAGGUGGUGGAAUAAGGAAAUUUUUGAAAAUAUUAUUUAUCGGAAGCGGAAAUUGUUGGCUAGAAUAGGUGGGAUCCAAUGAAUUUUGGAAGCCAAGCCUAACCAUAGCCUUACUAGACUUGAAGUUAAGCUUCAGAAGGAGCUCGAAGAGGUUCUCACUCAGGAAGAAUUAUUGUGGCUUCAGAAAUCCAGGAGAGAUUGGACUUUGUAUGGUGACCGCAACACUGCUUAUUUCCAUAAAAAAAUGCUAACCAGGCAUCGCCAGAAUCGGAUUACUGCAAUUCAAAAUGAUACUGGGCAGUGGAUACACGACGUCGAGAUCAUUAAGCAACGUGCAGUCAAUUUCUUUUUGGAAUUAUACACGCCUGAACAAGGGGUGCAUAGAACAUAUAAUGUCAGGGGGUGUUUCCCUGAGACGUCAGAUGAUAUUUGUUUAAGUUUGAUGUCUGCGGUAACAGAUGAGGAAAUCAGACAUACUAUUUUCAGUAUGAGUCCUUUUAAAGCUCCUGGAGUUGAUGGCUUUCAUGCUAGUUUUUACCAAGCGCAAUGGAAUACAGUUGGUAUGUCUUUGAGCUCUUUAAUCAAAAAUAUUUUUAAUUCUAAUCAUAUCCCUGCAGAGAUCAACAGAACCUUGCUGGUGCUCAUUCCUAAAGUGUAUCAUCCAACAAGCCUCAAGAUGUUUCGGCCGAUCAGCCUUUGCACAAUUCCGUAUAAAACGGUGACGAAAAUUAUUGCAAAUAGGUUACAGGUUUUUCUUCCAGAUCUCAUUGGACCCCAACAAACCAGUUUUGUACCGGGUCGGCAUAUUACAGAGAAUAUUGUUAUUGCUCAAGAGGUAAUCCAUACAAUGAAGAAAAAUGUGGGGGGUAAAAGAAUGAUGGCGGUUAAAGUGGACUUGGAAAAGGCUUAUAACCGGUUGAGUUGGCGAUUUGUUCAGGAAACUUUACAGGAAGUUGGGCUACCGGAGCGAUUUAUUCACCUCAUAAUGGAGUGUUUGUCCACAGCCCAAAUGAAUGUUUUGUGGAAUGGAGAAAUGACUGAAGAUUUUCGGCCAGGGAGAGAAAUUCGACAAGGAGACCCUCUUUCGCCUUAUAUUUUUGUGCUUUGUAUUGAAAGAUUAAGUCAUGGGAUUAUCCAGGCGGUUAAUCAAGGUAGAUGGAAACACAUUUGACUGACUCGAACUGGCACUCCUCUAAGUCAUUUAUUUUUUGCGGAUGAUCUGCUUCUCUUUUUGGAAGCAAGUUACGGCCAAGUUGAUGUAUUGAAUGAUGUGGUGGAGAAUUUCUGUAGGAGCUCGGGCGCUAGAGUUAGUAAUCAAAAGACCCAAGUCUUCUUCUCCAAAAAUGUCCCGGUCACUUUAGCCAAUGGAAUUGGCAAGGCUUUAGGCUUCUCGGUUACAAAUAAUUUGGGAAGAUAUCUUGGCAUGCCUCUUCUUCACGAUCGGGUUUCUAAGAAAACGUAUCAGAGUAUCAUUGACAAAAUUGAUCAGCGGCUAUCAGGAUGGGCAGCAAAGCAAUUGUCUCUGGCAGGGAGAGUUACUCUCACUCAAUCGGUGCUUCAGGCAAUCCCGAUUUACGCUAUGCAAACCACGUACCUCCCAUCUAGUGUCAGAGUUAAAAUUGAUCAAUUAUGUAGAAGAUUCAUUUGGAGUGGGGCUGGUUCUCAACGCAAGUUAAGUUUGGUUAGCUGGGACAACAUUUGUAGGCCUAAGAGCAAUGGAGGGCUCGGUUUCAAGGACAUGGAACUUAUGAACAAAGCCUUACUAAUGAAAGUGGCUUGGGAUUUAUUCAUAAAUCCUAGCAAGCUGUGCUCCCAGGUUUUAAUUUCUAAUUAUGUUGCGCCUUGUGAUAUGAUUACUACUGAUGCUUCAUUUAAAAAUGGUUCCUAUUUAUGGCGCUCUAUGGGUAAGAUUUGGAAAGACUUCCAGAAGGGUUUGCGUUGGAGUAUUGGAAAUGGCCAACGGGUGAAGUUUUGGGAUGAUAUUUGGGCUACAAAUGGUGAUCCCUUAAUCAACUAUACGGUGGCUUCAAUUCCGGAUAGCAUGCGAAAUAUGUUGGUGGCGGAUUGUGUGGAUCAAAAUGGGAAUUGGUUGUGGAACAUAUUCAACUCUUUUUUGAAUAACCAUGCUGUUUUAAGGAUUGCUUCCAUGGCUCCUCCGUCGUCAAUGAGAGGCGAGGAUAGGAUGUAUUGAGGUGCAUCAAAUACUGGCAAUUUUACAGUCCAAUCAGCUUACCAAGUGCUUACGAAUUUUUGCCCCGCUGAAGACUGUCAAGACUGGCAACAUUUGUGGAAAUGGAAGAGGCCUCAAAGCGUAAGAAUUUUUCUAUGGUUAUUAUGCCAUGAUCAAUUGAAGACGGGAUGUGAGCUUGCUAGAAGGCAUCUGGACGUCGAGGCUUUAUGUGGGAGGUGCCAUGCAGACGUUUAGAAUUCUUUGCAUGCAAUUCGAGAUUGUGAUUAUUCGAGAGGUGUUUGGCGGAAGCUUGUUCCCGCGCUUAGACAACAUGACUUUUUUAGUUAUCCUCUUUGGCAAUGGAUCAUGACAAAUCUUAGGAGAAGAGUCUGUGAUAUGGGGAGCUUAUUUUGGCCGAUUAUGUUUGGUAUUGCGGCUUGGAGAAUUUGGUAUUGGAGGAACCAGGUGAUGUUCAACAACAAGAGCUGGAAUGGUGAUUUGAUCGUUCGAGAUAUUAAGGCAAGGACUGAGAGUAUUUGUUCUACUCUUUCAAGCAUAGGCUAUCGAAGAAAUGAAAGGAUUCAGAAAUGGAUUCGUUGGGCUCCUCCACCAUGGCCUUUCUUGUGCUUAAAUACGGAUGGUGCAAGGAAAGGAAAUGGAGAGGCGAGUGCAGGUGGGCUGCUGCGGGACUGUCAUGGUAAUUUUAUUCAUGGUUUCAGCGCACAUCUCGGAGUUUGUUCAGUUCUAAAGGCUGAACUUUGGGGUGUCUUGCAUGGGUUAAGAAUGGCAUGGGAUCUUGGCUAUAGACGUAUCCAAGUUGGAGUAGACAACUGUAGUGUGGUGCAAAUUAUAAGGGAAAAUAAUGCUCAUGUCAACGAAAUUUCGAAUAUAAUCGAGAUGAUUAGAGAACUCAUGAGGAGGGAUUGGAGGAUUCAAAUUGAUCACAUCUACCGCGAAGCAAACUCGGCAGCUGAUUUCCUUUCUACGCAUGCUUUGAGUUUACUUGUUGGAGUACAUUUUCUUCAUUCUGCACCUUUAGGUUUGAGAUCUAUUUUAUAUUUGGAUAUGUAUGGGGUGGCACACUCCCGGUUUGUGCCCCUUUAGCUCUUCUCUUUUAGAGCCUUUUGUUUAUCAAAAAAAAAAAAAAAGCUUCCAACUGAAAUAGGGAAUGCACUUACUACUAAGGACAGUUGGUGGCCACCUAAUGCAUUCAUUUUAUAUCAAUUCAUCAUUUUAAUUAUUGAAAACAAGUGGCUCAUCGCUUUUACUUUAGGUAAAAUUCGGAUAAUCUCUAUUAUGAAAUGAUAAUAUUCUCUUAAAUUAUUAUAAACCUCAGCCAAUCUUAAUUUUAUUUAAAAGAUAAAAGAAAAAUAGGUUAUGUUGGUGACUUUUUUCUUAUCUUUUUAAUAAAAAUAAAAUAAAUUGAUGUUUAUAAUUGUUUAAAAUACUUUAAAGAUUGUUAUUUUAUGAGAGAGUAAUAUUUUACUUUUUUAUUGUGAAAUGCUAAAAAGGACAAAGCAAGUGUCCCUGGUUUUUAUUUUAUUUGAAAUUGGUCAUCUCAUAUACUUUACGUUUCAACACUACAAUUUUUUUGGUUAUAUUUUUAUUAUUUUUUUCUUUCUUACACAUGCACGUAAAUUUUCUUUCUUUAAGCUCCUGAAUAUUUAAGACAAAUCAUGGAAGAGAUGAAAGUAUAACAAGAUGAUCAAAAUACGUAACAAAAAAUUUACAAGUGAAACAUACGUUAGAGUCGAAGUAAAACUCUGAAAAUAGAGAUAUUGAUUAAUUUAGAAGAGAUGCAAGCAAAAGAUUUUCUUAAAAAAAAGAAAAGCAAUUUGUCCCUUUCCAGGGCAAACUUGUUAGUCUCAAAAAGGUACAUUCUUUGAAUUGAUAGUUGCAGGAUUUUUGUCUUGUUUUUGUUGUUGUGCAUUAGUUGGAGAAGUCAAGCCUAGUGAAAAAUGUUAUGAAAGAGCAAAGGAUAUUUCUGACAGCUUUAUUUAAUUAUGUAUUCAUUUAAUGGAUGUAUUGUUAGAAGAUAUUUAAGUGCAUUAGUUCAUCCGUGUCUGUUGAUGUGCUUUUAGUGAUUUUUCCAGCUGUUUGUUGUAAAAGAUGAUUGUAAAUUGAAAUGAACUUGAUGUUGUAAUAUUUUCUCUUUUGUGGAAUCUCAGUUGUGUUGUCUAUAAUUUUAGUCAAAAUUAUUGUUAUUAUUUCUUACUAGAGGUAAAUUUUUUAUUAAACCUCAUUAACACAAUUCUUAAUUAAAAGUAUAGGUUAGUGUCGGUGCAGGAUUUGCAGCACCAGAUCCUGCCUAGCUACGUGUCAAAAAUACAAAAUAAAUGAAGAGAAAGCACAAAUACAUGACUUGGAUUAGGAUAGAAGGAAACUUAAAUCUUAAAGAAAAUGAUAGCUAUAUCCCACUAUUUGAAAAAAUGGUCAUGUAGAUUUUUAAGAUUUAAAUAAGGGACGGAGAUCUUCUUUUGACAAAUAAUAUCUUUUAGCUCUCUCAAGUAAAAAAAAAAUUAAAUAUUUUAUAAUAAAUAAAAAUAUAAUAUUAAAAUAUACGUGAUAAUAUAUACAUUUUAAAUAAUUUCAAUCCAAAAAAAUAGUUAUGUUUUAUCGAAUCUACCUAUGUUACAAUAGUAGUAUGGUACCACAAUAUUUGUUCUUAUCCAAUGUAAUCAUUGGAUGAUUUAGAGCUUAAUCUAACGGCUUAAAUUAUUUUUCUGAAUAUUUGAAGCAACAACUUGCAACCGUUGGAGCCGGUUGCAUAUUAAUUUAAUAUCAUUUGGGGAAGCGUACGGUCAGGAAGUUUCUUAGUAUGCCACCAAUGGAAUUUGAUUUCAUCUCAAAUCGAUCUGCAGGCAGCAAUUGGGAAAUUACACUCACGGUCUUCCUCUUCUUCACUUCCUCUCUACUCUUCACUUUUCUCACUCUCGCGAUGUUUACAGCAUGAUAAGUACAAUUACAAACCAGGAAAUGCCAUUAACAAUUUUCAUUUGUCUUAGUCGUUUUUUUUUUUUUUAGUAGAAAGCCAAAAAAGAAAACGGGUGGGAGGUUGGGGCGUCGUGAUGAAAUGGUUUUGAGUUUUUGACGGAAUGUUUGUUUUUGUGAUUCAUUUAGGGUUUGAAUUCAGGCUUGUACGAACUCGGAUCUAUUCGAGAUCCGUAUUGGCGCUGAAAUCAGAUCCUUUGAAGCCUUGGUUUGAAUUCAACCUUGAGAACUCCAAGCUUGUUAGAAUCUUCAUUGAUCUCUCCAGAAAUUACACGGAUCUUAUUACUAAACCCUACAUAUAGGGCUGCAAUGGAGUCCGAUUCUCUCACAAUUGAUGAAUCAAUAUUGAGACAGUUCGAAAAGGAAGUAAAAAAGAGAAUCAACUUGACUGGCUAAAUAAUUGCGGAGGCCAAAGAGUCUUUUGAUAAUCAAUUGAAGAUUUAGAAGUUAAAAGACACUAUUUUUACUAUGAACGAACAAUUGACUAAGGCGAAAAAGCAAGGAGCUUUUUUGAGUUUGAUUGCUGCGAAAUCGAUGCCUUAGAGUUUGCAUUGUUUGGCCAUGAGGUUGAUGAAAGAGCGAGUUGUUCAUCCGGAGAACUAUAAUGAAGAAGGGAAGCCCACACAUGCAGAAUUCGAGGAUCCCAAACUUUAUCAUAAUGCUAUUUUUUCUGGGUAAUAUGCUUGCAGCUUCGGUGGUGGUGAUUGGUGAAUUUAGCUGUUAAGAACUCGAAGGAGCCUUGGAAACAUGUGUUUCAUGUUGUGAUGGAUCAAAUGUUUAAAUUGAAGGAUUAUAAUGGAGCACAUUUAGGCACGAAGGCUGUUGAGGAUUAUAAGUUUUUGAAUUCUCACAUGUCCCUGUGUUAAGGCAGCCGGGGUUUGCUAAUUUGCAAAGGUUUUACUUCGGGAAGUAGCUUGAGAAUGCUACGAAAGAUGCUACUAACAUGAAGUUUAGGAAUCCCAAUUACUUGUUGAUACUGUAUCAUUUGAGGUUCUGGAUAAGAUUUCAAUGAUGGCCGCUUAAAACAAAUAAUAAAAAAAAAGAACUUGUACUGUAUUUGGAUCUUUACUUAUUUGAUAUAGUUUUCUGCAAUCUCUCCAUGCAACCGGUUACUUUAAUUAUCCACUAACUCAUCUCAACCGUUUGAUGGACUCACUUUAUAUCCAACGGCAGUUUUAAAUGAAGACAAAAAGUGUGGUAUGUUGCAAUUGUUGCAACAUAUGUGAGUCUUGUUUUACAAUCUAUUUAACAUAUUUUAUUAAAUUAAUAUAUUUCUAUGAUAUAGGAACAUAAUAUUAAAAUAAAUUUACAAAAAUUUAAAGAAUUUUGAAUGUAAAACAAUUUCAAUAUAUUAAUAAUGAGAUUUUUUUAUUAUUAUAAAAAUUAUUUAACCCAUAGAUUUUUUUAAAUCUUUACAAUAAGUAUAAAUAUAUUAUCUUCACUUAAAAAUAUUUAAAUAUUAUUAACCUAUAAUUAGGUUUGCAUUUAUUAGAAAAUUUUAAAGUCAAAUAUAUUGCACUUUUGCAUUAUUAGAAUCAUCACAGAGAAAGGAGCAUAUAUACUUUAUAACUUUAAAAAUUGGUUUCUUCUGGAAACAGAGAUGAUGAUUAUUAUAAGGAUGAAAAAAAAAAGAUAAAGAAUAUUAAUGAUUAACGAAAUCUCUAUGCAAAUUGAUUUUAGUAGGGAAAGAGUGAGAUGAAUAACUUCUUUUACAGCUAAAAACAGAGAUGAUGAUUAUUAUAAGGUUGAAAAAAAAAGAUAAAGAAUAUUAAUUAUUAAUGGAAUCUCUAUGCAAAUUGAUUUUAUAGGAAAAAAGCGAGCUAAAUGAUUUAGACAUUCAUAGUGUAUUUAUUUUUGAAUUGGUGAAUAAGAAUUAUUGACAACGCUAACUUCAUCUUCACCGUUGGCUAUCCAAUAGCGGCAAUUGUCGCCGAUUAUGAUAUCUCCAAUGAUGAUGACGGUUUUUUUAUUAUUAUUAUUGGUGACCCCUUGGAAAGUUAACUGCAACUGCCAAUCAGAGAAAAGUCGUCAUGCACAAUCCUCAAUCGAACCAAUCAUCUACGUUACAGAAUCUGAAACGUACACACUGUUAACAUAUAUGUUUCCAUAAUGUUGAUUUUGAUGAUAACAAACAAGAUUAAGAAUGAUUAAUCUUUUAAGCUCAAAUUAUUUUUAUGCAUUUUAAAUAAAUCAUUAUUUUUACAUUAUAAAGGUUCUAUAUUUAAUGGAAAAAUGAUUUUAUGAAAUUGAUUGUUUUUUAUUCUUUUUAAAUAAAUCAUUAUUUUCACAUUAUAAAUGUUUCAUAUUCAAUGGAAAAAUGAUUUUAUGAAAUUGGUUGUUUUUCAAAGUUUAUGGUUUAAUUGAAAGAAUUUUGAAAACUUUGAAAUAAACAAGUAUUGCUUGAAAUUUCAGAUUUGGACUUAUUUGAAACUAUUUAAAUGUUUUUAGGCUAUUCUAUAAUUUCACAAAGUUUGGGCGAAAUUAUAAUUUCAGAACGUUGUGGGAUUGACAAAGUAUUAUUCUAAAAUUCUGAAAUUGGACUUAUUUGUAAAUUUUCAUAACGUUUUGGGUUAUAGUAUAGUUUUAUAAAGUUUUGGGGUCAAAUUAUAAUUUCAGAAAAUAGUGCACUGUGCAGGUUACUGUGGCAUCCGGCUUACCGGAUAUAAAAAUCGGAAAACCGGAUACGGGGCAGAAUGUAUCCAGAAUGUAAACGGCUUACCGGAUUUCGUAACCAGCAAGCCGGAUAGGCAAAAUUCAAAUUUUUGCCUUAACGGUAACAUAAAUCCAGCUUAUCGGAUUCCAUAAAUGGCAAACCGGAUACGCCCAGAAUGUGAGUAACGGCUAGUUUUUGAGUUCAAACUAUAUAAACUCAAAACCAAUUCAUUUUUGGUAAUCCAAGCAAGAAAGAACAAGUGCACAUAACAUAUAUUGAGCUUCAAUUUCGUAACUCAUCAUUUAUUAAAUCAUCUUUGUUUUUCAAUUUGUAUAUCCACUCUUAAAGAGAGAUUCAUUGUUGUAUUUUUCAUUUCUCAUCAAAUUGUGAGUGUACAAGUGUGAGAAACACUUGGGGUGAAGAGAUUGGAGAGAUAAUCUCUUGUUGUAAAGGUUCAUUAACACAUUGAAGUCAAUUGUAAACGUUUGAAGCCUUGGAAAUGCUUGGAUAGUGAAAUCCUCAAGCCCGGUGUGCUUGGAAGCGUGGACGUAGGCGGAGAUUACCGAACCACGUAAAAAUCCUUGAGUUUGCUUUCUCUUCCCUUACUCUUUAAUUAUUGUGCUUUGAUUGAACUUAUUGCUUUCAAUUUUUAUUAAGACAUUAGAUUAAAUUGUUGUGUGGUUUGCCUAGGAUAAUUUUUAAAAUCUCAAUUCACCCCCCUCUUGAGUUGCCUAGUUAGUAUUUCACACACCCAAUGGGAAGCAGCACACGUGUUCUGAGGAGAGAGAGAAAAAACCGUGCAAAUGCAAGCAAUAGGUAUUGGCUACAGUUGGAUCUGUAAGUUACAGAAUCUGUAACUUAGCCAACUCCCUCAAUGAUCAAUAUUGUUUCCGAUAUUUAUAAAUUGGUGGCCCCUUGGAAAUUUAACUGGAAGUUUGCAAGUGUCAAUCAGAAAAAAAUCGUCAUCCAUUGUUUUUUUUUUUCUGCAUUCCCUUUCAUGUUCUUAAUAAUUGAGGACAGGUUGUUCAUAACAUUUAUACUUUUCAAAUGUGGAGCUGCAUUUAAUGUCGCUAUUUUAAUUUGGGAUUAAAUUAGGGGAACACUAACUUUUAUAUUUAUCUAAACUCCUUAAAUUUAAGACAGAUUAUGGCGUAAAUAAGAAUAUAAUAAUAACAAAGGAAUUAAAAAGUAUAAUGACGAUCUUGCAGAAAUAUAAAUAUUAGCGUUGAAUUAAAUAACAUAGAACACAUGAAUUGAAUAGUGAUUAUCAAGACGGUGUUACUUGCACUCCUAUUUAUAAAAAAUCUUGGUUCUGUUCCAUUAGAUUUUUUAUCUUCAAAAUCUUGCAAAGUUUUGACAACCCAAAGGCUCAGUUUGGUUGUUCUAUAUUUGUAUGAUAUGAAUUCAAAUUUUUGUGUUCUGUUUUUCUUAAUUCUGAACACGGAUUCUUCUCUUCUCGUGCAAACCAGAAAGAAAUGUUGUCUUACAAAAAAAAAAGGGGAAUAACUUCAUGAGAACAAAAAUUCAGAAAAAUAAUAUAAAGUUUAUAUUUAGACUUUUGUGGUAUAUUUUAAUUUUCAACAAUGAGUUAAAGAAAAUAAUAAAUAAAGUAAAUAAAAGUUUAGAGAUUCAAAUUUUUAGUAUUGGAUUCUUUAAUUCAAAUACCUCUCAUUAAUUAACACUUAAAAGAGAGUUCACUAUUAUAAUUUUAAGUUUUUUGAUUUAUUAUUGAUAUAUAAAUUAGGAGUUUAAGCUUACUUUUUUAUUUUUCCAUUUUUUUUCAAAUUUGAAAUUAUUAUUUAAAUUUAUAAUUUUUUUUAAAAAAAUAGAGGGCUUGAGCCUGGCUUGGGUAUUGUUUCCUAAACCCUUAUCCGGCCCUGGCUUUUUUGCCAGCCCCAAUGAUGAUGAUGAUGAUUAUUUUAUUAUUAUUAUUAAUGAUGAAAAGUAUUAUAAUUAAUUAAUAUAUUAUUGUAUUGUUAUUAAGAUUAACAAUAAUUAUUAAUGAUAACAAUUUUUUGAAUAAAAAUAAUCACAAUAAUUAAAAUAUAAAUUAAUAAUUAUAACAAUAGUUAAUUAAUGUAUUUUUAACAAUUUGUAAUAAUUUAACUCAUUCUAAUUUCGAUUAUUAUAGUUAAGUAAACAACUUAUUAUAAUUUUCAUUCUCCAUUUUAAUUUCAGCUCAUUUCGAUUUCAGUCUAUUCCAAUUUUCAUUUAAUAAACGUUCCAUUAAUGCUAUAGUAAUAUUUCAUAUAGAAAAAAAUAAAAGCUACAACUAAGGUUAAGGGAAAGGACUUCAAAACUCUCUUUUUGUCAUAAUACAUUUUUUCCUAAUUAACUUAAAGAGUUUGAAUCUAAUAUUUUAUAAUAAAUAAAAAUAUAUUCCAAAAGUAAAUAUAAUAUAUCUAUUUUAAACUAAUCUCAAUAUUUAAAAUAUAUUUAAUAUUUUACAAUCUAUUAGACAUAUUUUAUUAUAUUAAAAUAAAUUUUAUAAUAAAUAUGAACAUACUGUUAAAAUGAAUAUAUAAAAAACUUAGAGUAUUUUGAAUAUUAUAUAAAAUAAUUUUAGUAGAAUACGUGAGAUAUAUUUUAUUAAUGUAAAAUGCUAUUUAAUCUAAAGAUUCAUUUAUGAUAAAUUAAUAAUUAUAUUUUUAAAAUUAUUUUAAAAAUUAAAUUUUUUUAAUAUUAUUAAUCUAUUAGACAGAUAAAAUUAUUUAUAUUAUUUUGUAUUUAUUAAAAAAAUUUAAAGUCAAUUUUUUUAAUUACUAUUCAAAGGAUAUAAUAAUUAAAAAAAUCUUAGCGUUUUCAUUAAAAAUUUAAAAAUUUACAUGACUAUUUCUGUAAAUAUUUAAGGUAUAUAUGAACUACGGUAGAGAAGCUUCAUUUAAUAUUAUUGAUUUAAAUAAUAUCUCAAUUAAAAAUGUACAGAGAAUAUAUUUCGGUGGGUAUUUUAAUCUUUUUAGCAAUUAUCAUGGUUAGCCCUUGGCCUUGAAACGUCUGUCAGAAAGGUUUUCAAAUGCUUUAAUUGUUCUUAUUAAAAAAAAAAUCUUUAAUUGUUUUUUCACUUUUAACGUCAGCGGCCUUGAAAGUGCUUUUACUUUAUAACAAAUUAAUUAAUGCUGACGAGAAAAUAUCUCUUCCACAGCCCACAGCAGCUUCUGUUAAUCAAACUCAACCAAUUUUCUCUCUUAACAAAAUUCCAAAGAUGGGUAGCAUUUUUCAGAUCACAUGCGACGGCGCUUUUUUCAAUCGUUGCUUUGGAUUGCUUUCUUGGAAAAGCAGCAUACAUAAGCAACAUCCAAGAUAAUCUUGUAGCCUUGGAGACUGAACUGGGAAGACUAAUCGCAGCAAAGAACGAUGUGAUGAUGAGGGUUGUCAAUGCUGAACGACAACAAAUGAAAAGGCUGGGCCAAGUGGAAUGGUGCGUUUCGAGGGUGGAUGCUGUUAAAAUUGAAGCUGAUGAACUUAUCAGAGACGGCUCUCAAGAAAUUGACAAAUUAUGUGUUGGAGGCUACUGUUCUAAGAACUGCACGUCAAGCUACAAGUUCGGGAAACAAGUGGCUAAAAAGCUACGAGAUGUGGAGACUUUAAUCGCCGAAGGAGUUUUUGAGGCGGUGGCUACCGAGGUGGUGCCUGAGAGAGCUCCAGAGCCUGUAGCAGAUGAAAGACCUACCGAGCGAACAGUAGUAGGCUUGCAAUCACAACUUGAACAAGUCUGGAGAUGUCUUGCAGAAGAAUCAGUGGGAAUCAUUGGCCUAUAUGGUAUGGGCGGUGUUGGUAAAACUACAUUACUGACCCAUAUCAACAAUAAAUUUCUCGAGAGUCCAACCAACUUUGAUUGUGUGAUUUGGGUAGUAGUUUCAAAAGACCUGCGACUUGAAAAAAUUCAAGAAGAUAUUGGAAAAAAGAUAGGUUUGGUUGGUGAUUCGUGGAAGAGUAAAAGUGUAGAGGAGAAAGCUGUCGACAUCUUCCGGAGUUUAAGAGAGAAGAGAUUUGUAUUGUUGUUAGAUGAUAUAUGGGAGCGGGUUGAUUUAACAAAGGUGGGCGUUCCACUUCCCGGACCAAAAAAUACUACCUCAAAAGUUGUAUUCACAACCCGUUUCAUCGAUGUUUGUGGUAGCAUGGAAGCUGACAGGAAGUUCCAAGUGGCGUGCUUAUCAGAAAAGGAUGCUUGGGAACUGUUUCGAGAAAAAGUUGGGGAAGAAACUCUUCAGAGUCAUCAUGAUAUCGUUGAGCUAGCCCAAAUUGUGGCCAAAGAGUGUGGUGGUUUGCCACUCGCACUUAUUACUAUUGGUCGAGCUAUGGCCUGCAAAAGGACAGCCGAGGAGUGGAGACAAGCAGUUGAAGUGCUAAGAAGAUCAGCUUCUGAGUUUGCAGGUUUGGGAAAAGAGGUGUAUCCUCUUUUAAAGUUUAGCUAUGAUAGUUUGCAGAAUGAGACGAUUAGAUCUUGUUUCUUAUAUUGUUGUUUAUAUCCCGAAGAUUAUGGAAUUCUUAAAUGGGACUUGAUUGAUUGUUGGAUUGGUGAGGGAUUCUUAGAGGAAUCUGACAGGUUUAGUGCAGAAAACCAAGGAUACUACAUUGUGGGCACUCUUGUUCAAGCAUGUUUAUUAGAAGAGUUAGAAGAUGAUAAAGUAAAAAUGCAUGACGUUAUUCGUGAUAUGGCUCUAUGGAUAACCAUUGAAAUUGAGAAGCAGAAGAGAAACUUUUUGGUUCGUGCAGGUGCUGGAUUAAAAGAGGCACCGGCUGUUAAAGAAUGGGAAAAUGUGAGAAGAUUGUCAUUGAUGCAAAACCAAAUUAAAACUCUGUCAGAGGUUCCUUCAUGCCCUCAUCUCCAUACUCUAUUUCUUGCCUCUAAUGAUAAUUUGAGGAUGAUCACGGAUGGCUUCUUUCAAUUUAUGCCUUCUCUCAAAGUUUUGAAGAUGUCAAACUGUGUGGAUUGGCCAGUUUCGAAAUUACCUUUGGCGAUGUCAAAGUUGGGUUCACUACAACUUCUUGAUAUUUCACAUACCGGCAUAGAANNNNNNNNNNNNNNNNNNNNNNNNNNNNNNNNNNNNNNNNNNNNNNNNNNNNNNNNNNNNNNNNNNNNNNNNNNNNNNNNNNNNNNNNNNNNNNNNNNNNGAAGAGUUGAAGUUGUUGGUAAAUCUGAAAUGUUUGAAUUUGAGGUGGACAUUUGAGUUAAAUAAAAUUCCAUGGCAACUAAUAUCAAAAUUUUCAAGGUUACGUGUGUUGAGAAUGUUCGCUACUGGCUUUGCACGUUUUGAUGAAGCAUCAGAAGACAGCGUUUUAUUUGGUGGGGGUGAAGUUUUAGUACAGGAAUUGGUCGGUCUGAAAUAUUUAGAGGUAUUGGAGUUGACCUUGGGAUGUCAUCAUGCUCUCCAAAUUUUUUUGAGCUCAAAUAAGUUAAAAAGUUGUAUUCGAUCUCUUCUCCUCCAGUUGGCCGGAGAUACAACGUCGAUUAUUGAUGCUACGGCUUUCGCAGAUCUAAACCACCUCAAUGAAUUAUGCAUUGAUAGGGCUAAGGAGUUGGAAGAAUUGAAGAUUGAUUGUAAAGAAAUAGUACAAAAAAGGCGGGAACCUUUUGUUUUCCGCAGCCCUCACCGUGUUACUAUACAUAGCUGCCAGAAGUUGAAAGAUUUGACAUUCCUCGUUUUUGCUCCAAACCUCAAGUCUCUCGAUCUAGACCGUUGCGAUGCUAUGGAAGAAAUAAUCAGCGUCGGAAAAUUUGCUGAGACUCCUGAGAUGAUGGGACAUAUAAGCCCUUUUGAAAAUCUCCAAAUGCUUGAUUUAGAAGAUUUGCCUCAUUUGAAGAGCAUCUUCUGGAAGCCAUUGCCUUUCACUCAUCUGAAAGAAAUAUCUGUGGGUUAUUGCCGUAAUCUUAAAAUGCUUCCACUCGAUUCCAACAGUGCAAAGGAGCGUAAAUUUAUUAUUCGUGGAGAAGAAGACUGGUGGAACCGACUUCAAUGGGAGGAUGAAGCCACUCAAAUUGCUUUUCGUUCCUGUUUCCAAUCUCUUUUUGAUUAACUCUUAUACAUUUUCUCGUCGUUUGCUUCAUGCAAAAGACUACGUCUUUUGUUCUCUGUUUUUAUUUCAGUUUCGUUUUGUCUCCUGCAAAUCACAAUUAAAUGUUGAAUUAUAUGGAAGUAAUGCUUUAUAAAUUUGCCGGCACUGCCAUUUAUUUUUCCUCUUUUUUUUUUUGGGUCGAAUUGAUGCUCUGGCUUUUUUAUUUUUUGUCAUCGAAUUUUGCUCUGUUUUUCAAAUUGAUGCUUGAAUAUGUGAAUUCAAUUAAUGCUCACAUAAUUUUGUUUAGUUGCCGUAAAAGAAUAUAAUUAGACUGAAAUUCGCACUCCCAGAAUGAAUAGAAUCACAACAGAGAAAAUAUUAAGUAUGCUAGCCCUCUUUACAGAAAAUCAAAUGAAAAUAAAAUUUUUUGGAUAUUUGAUUUUCUAUGGUCUACUAUAUACACUUUAUAAAUUCUUCUGUUCUAAGGAUAACCAAGUAGGGGAUUGAUGAAGGCUCCUUUUUGGGAUUCUUCUUUUUCUAGGCUGCAAUUAGGAUAUGUACAUGAUAGACAAUCUUUUGUUGGUUUAGCAUAUCUUCGCUGAUUUUGUCUUUUAUUCCCCAAUUUUAUAAUUACACACCAUGAAUGUUGGGUGAUUGUAUAGAAAAUUUGUGUUAUAACAAAAACAUUGUGAAGGAGUUUCCGUGCUAAUAGUUAGUGGCUUCUGUUUUAUUGGUAUUGAUUGGGUAGAUUUCGUGUUACAGUGAUUCAAUUUGUGUUCCAAACUUUGCUUUAAUUUUCUGUUUUCCCCAACUAUUUAUGUCAAAUUUAAAUCCAGAAGCAUGUACUGAUUUUUUCUUUUUGUAUUAAUCUGUGAAGUUUACUUGGAAUGGAAGUAACUGGGUCGGGUCUAAUGGAUUAAAUUAUGACAUUGAGGGGAAGGCACUAAAAGGGUUUGCUUGACACAUUUGGUUCUGUAUUUACUCUGCAAGAAAUAGCUUUUGCUUAUUGCAAUGCAGGGGGAAAUCCCGAUUUGGCUGGUGAAUUUCUCUGCAACAAACAGGCAAACGCCUCAACCUCUUCUGUCCAUACUUCUGCUGGGGAGGCAAGGGGUAAAGAGUCUUCAAAAUCAUCAAAUAGUAACAUCUCUGAGAAUUCAUUUUAUGGAAAUGGAAAAUCUAGAGCUUCUAAUACAAAAUGGCAUCUGGUAUCAGGACGUACCGUUUCAAGUUUUCUUGGUAAAGAUUAUGUUAAACCUGCACAGCCAGCUAAUGGCACUGUUCUGGCAUCAAAGCCAUUGAAGUUGGAUCCAAGGGAGUUUCGCAUUUCUGCACUUUCAGAGUAGAAACUAAACCAAAACAAUCAAAGGAUGACCAUUUGCAGAAGGAUAUGGAAGAUUUUCUGUUUAAAUUGCUAGGAGAAGGGUUCCAGCUGUACAGGGAUGUGAUUCAGGAGGUUCAUGGAAACGUCUUAAAUAUAUUGAUGCCAAUUUAAUACAUAUUGUCCUUUUCAAUGUUCUUUCUUUCUUUCUCCUCUUUUUAUUCUUCUUCUUCUUCUUUUUUCUUUUCGUGUGCAUGUGAUCACUAAUUUGGUAUUAUUCUUAACUUGCAGAUAGUUGUGGAUAUGAUAUGCAAAAUAUCUUCUUGAUGCUGGCAGAUUCACUUGAUUCUUAUUAGUUUGUUUAGUGGCAAGGCAUAUAACCUGUAUUUCAAAGCCAAGUUGUGCUAUUGAUUAUGUUAACUUUAUUGUUAACAUAAAGUGAUAUGGAGGACAUAAUCAAUGUAGGAAAAUUAGGUGAAGAGAUGAUGUCAAAUCUUGAACCUCUUACAAAGCUCCAAGUUCUUUACUUGAAGAAGCUGCCAAAUUUGAAGAGCGUCUACUGGAAGGCAUUUCCAUUCCCAGAUGUAUGCAGAAUUUUUGUAUUAAUGCCCAGUUCUUAAGAAGCUGCCACUGGAUUUUCAAAGGGCGGGCCAAGGUGAAAUUCUUAUCAAGGGAAAGGAAGAUUGGUGGAAAGAACUUCAAUGGGAGGAUCAAGCAACUCAGAAUGCAUUGCUUCCAUUUUUCAAAUCAACUGACAAGUGAUUGAAGGGGGCAUCAUCAACAGAGAUGGAGAGAUUCUGGAGCAGAUCAACAGGGUUUGUAUAUGAUCUUUGGUGGUUGCUUUCUUUUGUGAUUUUUUUUUCUCAUUUUUUUUCCUUCCUGUCAUUUUAUCAUUUCUUUGUCUCUUUUUCUAUUGCUGAUGUUAGUGUAUGCUUACUGUUGCUUGACAAAGUUUGCUUGCUUCUUGUUUAUUAAAUUUUUUAUGGUCACAAAAUAUUACUUGUUCUAUUUGAGAGUGAUGUGAAUCAAUUUUCAAUUAUAUAUUUUGUGGUCAAUGUGAAUUCAAUUUCAUUUGUCUCCUGCAAUUAUGAAAAAAAUGCAGAGUCAUAAUAUGGAAAAGUCGACCGGCAAAAACUUUGUGAAAGCUUCGGAGUGAAACAGGGAAUUCACUUACUACUAAGGACAAUUGGUGGCGAGCUAUUCCAUUCAUUUUAUGUCCAUACAUCUAUUUAAUUAUUGAAGAUAAGUGGUCCAUUUGUAAAUUUCAGAUUGUCCCUCUCUCUUGAAAUAACGAUAUUUAAAAUAUUUCUUAAAUUAUUAUAAAUUUUAAUUUACUCUGGAUUUAAAAUGGAACAUGAUGAAAAUUUUUUUUUCUUCUUAAUAAAAUUGAAAUAAAUUGUGUUUGCAGUAGUUUGAAAUAUUUUAAAGAUUAUUAUUUUAUAAGGGAGUAAUAUGAAAUGAAAUUUACUUUUCAUGCGUGAAAUGUUGAAAAAGGACAAAGCAAGUGUCCCUGUUUUUAUUUUAUUUCAAAGUGGAGUCAUCUCACGUACUUUAGCUCUUAACAUUAUAAUUUUUCUGGUUACAUUUUUAUUAUUAUUUUUUUUUUUUACACAUGCAUGUGGGUUACUUUUCCGUAAGCUCCUUAAUAUAUAUUUAACACAAAUCAUGGAAGAGAUGGGAGUAUAUCAAGAUGAUCAAAGCAUGAAACAAAAAUAUUUAAGAAGUAAAACACUGAAAAUGGAGAAGAGAUGCAAGCAAAAGAUAUUCCAAAGAAAAGCAAUCUAUCCCCCUUUCGAGGGCAAACUUAUCAGGUUUAAGAAAAGUACAUGCUUUGGAUUGGUAGUUGCAGCCUUGCAGGAUAAUUGUUUUUGCCACUAUAUUAGUUGGAGGAGUUGAACCCAGCGAAGAAUGUUAUGGAAGAGCAAAGGAUUAUGUAGCCUGAAUGGAUGUCUUGUUGAAAGAUAUCUCAGUGCAUUAGUUCAUCCUUGUCUGUCAAUGUGUUUUUAAUGGUUUUUCCAAUUGUUUAUUAUUAUAGAUUGAUUGUAAAUUGAUAUGAAUUUAAUGUUGAAAUAUUUUCUCUUUAGUGGAAUGAAUUUAAAAGUGCAAAAGCUUAUUGCACACAGAGAAAUAAACAUAUAUGCUUUAUAGUAUAACUUUAGCAAUCGAUUCUUUUACAGCUGGAAACAGAGAUGGUGAUUAUCAUAGGGGUGAAGAAAAGGACAAAAAAUGUUAAUGAUUAACGAAAUUUCUAUGCAAAUUGAUUUUAGCAGGAAAAAAAGUGAGCUAAAUGAUCUUAAUGUUCCACAAAAGCAAAUCGUAAUAUUCCACAAGAAAAAGCAAGAUCUUAAUGUUCCACAAAAGCGUUAUUUUUUUUUUGGUGAGCCACGUGGAGCUCAAUUAUCAUUGUCUUUACUUUAAAAACGUUAUUUUAUUUUAUUUUAUUACAAAUUAAUGCUAAACAAGAAAAAGCAAGAUAUAAUAUUCCACAAAAGCAAAUCGUAAUAUUCCACAGAGGAAUAAGAUCCACAAAAGCAAACAACUAGCUGGAUUCUUUUACUGAAUUACAAAUUAAAGUGGAAUCUUUUAUUAAACAAUAAAUUAAAGUUCGAAUAUUUAAGUAGUAGUGCGUUAGAUGAUUAGGCUCUCUUAUUAAAGGCAAGUAUAAGGUAGUCCAGAAUCGAACAUCUCUAUUGUCUAGUCAUUUUUUUCAAUUCUUCUUUUAUUAUUUUUCAGAAUAGGUUUUGGUGAUUACUAUUGGGUUAUUAGUCAGAGUUAUUCUUAUCUUCCGGGGCAGUUUCUGUUCAUCGGAAUUGUUAAUUAAAAGAGUAAUGAUAUAGUCACAAACUCUUGUAUAAACUUAUUUUGUACAAACUGAUGUGGCAUGAUAAGAUUAGUUGAAUUAAAUAUCACUUAGGCCACAUGAUUUAUUUUUAUUAUUUUAUAUUUUCAUUCAACCAAUGAAUUAAUGCCACGUCAGUUUGUACAAGAGUUUGUGGCUGUAUCAUUACUCUAAUUAAAAUUUUAGAACUCUUGUGGGAAGAAUGUUUUUCUGUUAUCUUUUUUACAUUCUAAUUUCAACAAUAAGAAGGAGUCAUUUUAGAAUUCGGGUCUUGAAUCGAAUUUCAAUGCAUGAAUUAAUAUUUUAAAAAAAAAUUACUACACGCAGUUUAGGUUACAAACUAUUUUUUGCAAAGUUGACUAUGAAAUUGGAGAAAUUAAGUAAUUUAUAAUGUUUGCAAAGGAAGAGACUAACAUACUUCCAAUUACACUAUAUCUCUAUUAUCAUAAUGUUAAGACUAAACUAACUUAAAAUAAAUUUUAUUUGAAAAGUUAUAUCAAACACAGUCUAAUUUUAUUAACUUGAAGAGAUAAUAGUUAUAGAAAUGAUUGUUCUAACUUAAUUAGUACAAGUGGUAUAAAGGUUAAGUGUGCACUAAAUUUGUUUAAAUUUUUUCCAGAAUAACUAACAGAGGUCAUUAUUAGAAUUAUAAUUACUAGUCUAUUAGAUAGAAAAAAUUAUAUAUAUUGUUUUAUAUUUAUUAAAAAAAUUUAAAGUCAAUCUUUUUAAUUAUUAUUUAAAGGAUAUUAUAAUUUAAAAAAAUUUAAUGUCUUUAUUAAAAAUUUAAAAAUUUACAUGACCGUUCUAUAAAUAUUUAAAGUGUAACUGUCAUUUUCUCAUGUAUAUAUAUAUAAACCACGGUGGUGAAGCUUUAUUUAAUAUUAUUGAUUUAAAUAACAAUAUCGCAAUUAAAAAUGUAGAGAGAAGAAAUUUUGGUGGGUAUAUUAGUCUUUUACAAUUAUCAUGAUUAGCCCUUCCUCUUGUAACGUUGGUCAGAAAAGUUUUAAAAUGCCUUGAUUUCUUUUACUUUUAACGUUAGCGGCCUUCCUUAUAUUUUAUUACAAAUUAGUCCUAACAAGAAAAAGCGAGAUCAUAUUCCAAAAAAGCAAAAGUGACAAAAAAACCAGCUGUAUUCUUUUAUUAAACUACAAUUUAAAAUGAUUUUAAAGUGGAUUCUUUUGAAUACAGGUGGGGUAGUCGAAUAGUCUUUUUCAAAUUCUUGUUUUAUUAUUUUUCAAAACUAGUUUUUGGUAAUUACAAUCGGGUCAUUCAUUAGUCAUUAUUCAGAGUUAUUGUUAUCUUCGGGGGCAGUGGGUAAAAGGCUAAAUGAUAAUUACUAAGUGUUUUUCCUUCAAAAGUUAGUGGCUCGUGUUUUGCAAGUGUGUACGUGCGAUGCUCUUUGUCUAAAGGCAAUUACAGUGGGUCCCGAAUCGGACGUGCCUAAUAAAUCUUUUAAAAUUUUUUCUAAUAAAUAUUCCUAAAAUUUCUCUUCCACAGGCAAUUACAGCAGCUUCAGUUAAUCAAACUCAAUCAAUUUUCUUUCUUAACAAAAUUCCAAAGAUGUUUGGCUGUUUUCAGAUCACAUGCGAUGGUGCUCUUUUCAAUCGUUGCUUGGAUUGCUUUCUGGGAAAAACAGUAUACAUACGUAACCUCCCAGAUAAUCUUGUUGCCUUGGAGACUGAAUUGGGAAAUCUAAUCGCAGCAAAGAACGAUGUGACGAGGAGGGUUGACAAUGCUGAACGGCAACAAAUGAGAAGGCUGGACCGAGUGCAACGAUGGAUUUCGAGAGUGGAAGUUGUUGAAACUGAAGCCGAUGAAUUGAUAAGACAUGGCUCUCGAGAAAUUGAAAAAUUAUGUGUUGGAGGCUACUGUUCCAAGAACUGCAUGUCAAGCUACAAGUUCGGAAAACAAGUGGCUAAAAAGCUACGGGAUGUGCGGACUUUAAUCAGUGAAGGAGUUUUUGAGGUGGUGGCUGACAGAGCUCCAGAGCCUGUAGCAGAUGAAAGACCUACUGAGCCAACAAUAGUAGGCUUGCAAUCACAACUUGAACAAGUUUGGAGAUGUCUUGUAGUAGAAGAAUCAGUGGGAAUCAUUGGCCUAUAUGGUAUGGGCGGUGUUGGUAAAACCACACUAUUGACCCAUAUCAACAAUAAAUUUCUUGAGAAUCCAAUCAACUUUGAUUGUGUGAUUUGGGUUGUAGUUUCAAAAGACCUGCGACUUGAAAAAAUUCAAGAAGAUAUUGGGAAAAAGAUAGGUCUGUUUGAUGAUUCAUGGAAGAGUAAAAGUGUAGAGGAGAAAGCUGUCGACAUCUUCCGGAGUUUAAGAGAGAAGAGAUUUGUAUUGUUGUUAGAUGAUAUAUGGGAGCGGGUUGAUUUAACAAAGGUGGGCGUUCCACUUCCCGGACCACAAAAUACUACCUCAAAAGUCGUAUUCACAACCCGUUCCAUCGAUGUUUGUGGCAGCAUGGAAAGUCACAGGAAGUUCCCAGUAGCAUGCUUAUCAGAAGAGGAUGCUUGGGAGCUGUUUCGAGAAAAAGUAGGGCAAGAAACUCUUGAGAGUCAUCAUGAUAUCGUUGAGCUAGCCCAAACUGUGGCCAGAGAGUGUGAUGGUUUGCCACUCGCACUUCUUACUAUUGGUCGAGCUAUGGCCUGCAAAAGGACAGCAGAGGAGUGGAGACACGCAGUUGAAGUGCUAAGAAGAUCAGCUUCUGAGUUUGCAGGUUUGGGAGAAAAGGUGUACUCUCUUUUAAAAUUCAGCUAUGAUAGUUUGCAGAAUGAGACGAUUAAAUCUUGUUUCUUAUAUUGUUGUUUAUAUCCCGAAGAUUAUGGAAUUCUUAAAUGGGACUUGAUUGAUUGUUGGAUUGGUGAGGGAUUCUUAGAGCAAUCUGACAGGCUUAGUGCAGAAUACCAAGGAUACUACAUUGUGGGCACUCUUGUUCAAGCAUGUUUAUUAGAAGAGUUAGAAGAUGAUAAAGUAAAAAUGCAUGACGUUAUUCGUGAUAUGGCUCUAUGGAUAACCAGUGAAAUUGAGAAGGAGAAGAGAAACUUUUUGGUUCGUGCAGGUGCUGGAUUAAAAGAGGCACCGGCUGUUAAAGGAUGGGAAAAUGUGAGAAGAUUGUCACUGAUGCAAAACCAAAUUGAAACUCUGUCAGAGGUUCCUACAUGCCCUCAUCUCCUCACUUUAUUUCUUGACUUUAAUCAGGAGUUGGAGAUGAUCGCGGAUGGUUUCUUCCAAUUUAUGCCUUCUCUCAAAGUUUUGAAGAUAUCAAACUGUGGAAACAUUUUUCAAUUACCUGUUGGGAUGUCAAAGUUGGGUUCACUAGAACUUCUUGAUAUUUCACAUACCUUCAUAAAAGAGUUACCAGAAGAGUUAAAGAAGUUGGUAAAUCUGAAAUGUUUGAAUUUGAGGUGGACAAGGGAGUUAAAUAAAAUUCCACGGCAACUAAUAUCAAAUUCUUCAAGGUUACGUGUGUUGAGAAUGUUCGCUACUGGCUACAUACGAUUCGAUGAUGCACCAGAAGACGGCGUUUUAUUUGGUGGGGGUGAAGUUUUGAUACAGGAAUUGCUCGGUUUGAAAUAUUUAGAGGUAUUGGAGUUGACCUUGGGAAGUUAUCAUGCUCUCCAAAUUCUUUUGAGCUCAAAUAAGUUAAAAAGUUGUAUUCGAUCUCUUUACCUCGAGUUGACCGGAGAUACAACGUCAAUUAUUGAUGCUACGGCUUUCGCAGAUCUAAACCACCUCAAUGAAUUAUAUAUUAAUAAUGGUAUUGAGUUGGAAGAAUUGAAGAUUGAUUAUACGCAGAUAGUACGAAAAAGGCGGGAACCUUUUGUUUUCCGCAGCCUUCACCGUGUUACUGUUAUGGAUUGCCAUAAAUUGAAAGAUGUGACAUUCCUCGUUUUUGCUCCAAACCUCAAGUCUCUUACGCUAUUCGAUUGCGGUGCUAUGGAAGAAAUAAUCAGCGUCGGAAAAUUUGCUGAGACUCCUGAGAUGAUGGGACAUAUAAGCCCUUUUGAAAAUCUCCAAUUGCUUGAUUUAGAUAAUUUGCCACAUUUGAAGAGCAUCUUCUGGAAGCCAUUGCCUUUCACUCAUCUCAAAAAAAUGGUGGUGGUACAGAGGUGCGAUCAGCUUGAAAAGCUUCCACUCGAUUCCAACAGUGCAAAAGAGCGUAAAUUUGUUAUUCGUGGAUACACAGGGUGGUGGAACCGACUUCAAUGGGAGGAUGAAGCCACUCAAAUUGCUUUUCGUUCCUGUUUCCAACCAAUGGGAGUACUGAGCGGUGGUCGCAAAAUUUGAUUUCUGGUGAGUGCGUUUGUCUUUUAAAAGAAGAAUUUAAAAGAAAUUUAUUCUUGUCGUUUGUUUUCUUCUCUGUUUUUAUUUCAGUUUCUCUCUCUCUUUGUCUUCUGCAAAUCACAAUUAAAUGUUGAAUUAAUGGAAUUAAUGCUUCAUAAAUUUGCCGGCACUGCCAUUACUUUUUUUUUUUUUAAAUACAAAUUGAUACUUUAUUUAUAUCUUCUUAGCGAUUUAAUUUCCUGUCAAAAGAGGAACGAGAAGAACAUAUGACUUAAACCAAUGCUCGCAUAAACUUGCUGUAAAAAGAUAUAAUCUCACUGAAAUGCACACGUCUAGAAUGAAUAGAAUUAAAACAGAGAAAAUAUUAAGUAUAUUAGCCCUCUUUACCGAAAAUGAAAUGACAAUAAAUUUUUUGAAGUUUUGAUUUUCUAUGGUCAAUUCCACCUUUUGCAAUUUCUUCUGUUCUAACAAAAACCAAUUUCUUUGUUCAAGUAUUUUCGUUUGGGUAUCAAGGAUCUCUAAUCAAUAGCUGGAAGCAAUUCAGAGGGCGCCGAGACCCGAUCGGACCUAGGCCCAAGUUUGGUCUUAAAGCCUGGGCUUGAGCCUGACAAUUAAAUUAAAACAUUAAUUGAUUUAUUGAUUGAAUUGUCGUGCAAUUGAUUUAUGGAGGAUGAAAAAUCAACAUACUUGAAAAUACACUAAUCUUAGCAUCAUCGGUUAAUAACUUUUAGAUUUAUGGGUAAUCAAUAGUUAAGAUCAGUUGUCAUUUAUUUUUUGAAAUGUCCAUAUUCAGUGUACAUUUGAAAAAGACCCAAUAAUUUCUCAUAAAUUUCAAUUAAAAAUAUUCAAUUUGUUAUUUCAGUUCUUUUAUUUUUUAUUUUUUCCAACAUGAAAGCGACUUAAUGUUACUAAAUUGCUUUUAUGGUCUUUGGAUUUUCAUGACCCAAUAAUUGGAACAUAACAAUUUUCUCAAGCGCUCUCCCGCAACAUUUUAUAAUUGAAGCCGCUGGCCCGCCUGUGGUUCCAAACUUUUAUCUUCCUCCUCCUUUAGAUUAAUGCGAGCAGCCUCCGUCCUUGACUAGUUGACUUCUUUUCUUCUUUUUUAAUUAAUUAAUUAAUUAAUUCAGCCGCCCACCUUUCUUUUCCCAAUGUCUUCUACUUUCGAUUUCCUUUAAUUUUUUCUUUAUUUUUAAAAUAUGAUUAUAGUAAUAAUAAAAAAUAAAAAUAAAAAUAAAAAUGAGCAUAUUGUUAGAGUGCAAUUUAUGCACUAGUUUUGUAUUGUUUACUUCCCUUAAUAUCGAUGUUUUGCACUUAAUAAUAAUGUUUUACUUGUGUUUUACUUUUGUAGGUGCAAUUCUAUUGAUUGAUGAUAAAAUUGAGCUAAAAGAUGAUGUUUAAGGAGGAUUGUUCUCUUGGAAAAAUUUCUGAGCGUCAGAAGAACUUUGUUGAUAAGGCGUGGGCGCGUGCUGUCAACUGCGGACCUGCAGUUUUUAGUUUAACGUGUUUUGUAUUUUUGGUUAUUUUUGUAAUUACGAAUUUAAUAUUUCAGAUAUUAGUAUUUUAUUUUAAAUAGAAUUCUAAAAGAGAAGAGAGAGAGAGUAUUUAAGAGAGGAAUCUAUUGUGAAAAAGGGGGGAUUUUGGAUUGAAGAAAAAGAAACCCUAGAUCUAAUUUUUCUCUUCUCUCUAUGAAGAGCUAAACCUAUUUUUCUGGUUGAAGGAUAACGAAGCUUUGAUUCAUCACUACUGUGAGAUCUUUCUUAUGCUUUAAUUGUUUUAUUACUUUUUGGGUAUUUGUUUAUUCUCUGAAUUAGUUUUAUGAUUAUGUUUGUUAAUUAGGUAAUUGGCCACUAUUUAAUUAUCAACUUAAUCUAUUAUCAAUUAAAGGAUUCAUCGUAUGAAGAAUUUAAUGUUUGUGACAAAUAACAUAGCAGAGAGUUGUGUUGUGAGAAUAAACAAUCUAAUUUAAAUGAAUCAUCAUAUGUGUUGAUUAGGAUUUGGGUCUCUCUGGUUUUUCAGGCUGUCAAUUGAUUAAAUUCUAUGAUCGUAUCUAGGGUUGUCUAUUGAUUAGGGAAAUAACCAACGGUCGUACCUUGGUUAUCAACUAAUUAAGGAGAGAUUGGCUAUUAGAGGGUCUCAGUAGCUAUAACCGGUCUAUUCAUAAGUAAUAAUAAUAUAUAUUUGAAUCAAUGAUCAGUAGUCGAAUCAAGCUGAGUUAAUUCCUUCAACCAGAGCUUUCUCCAAUUUGAAUUACAACUUUAAUUUGCAUUCUUGUUAUUUUAAUUUGAUUUUUAUUAUUGUCAACAAUUCCCCCAUUUUACGUUUUACGUUUCAAAAGGAUUUAAAUAAUUACCGAUCUCUGUGGACACGACCCUGCUCAAUCACUAUACACAAUUUAUUUAGAGUAGGAAUUUAUUUUUGUUGGCUUCGACACCCAUCAAAUUUUGGCGCCGUUGCCGGGGAUUGGUGUCAUUUAUUUAAUCCUUUUUACGUUUUACUUGGUGUAUGGUUCGUUCUUCUCGUACAGGUACACUUUCGUUUGAUCCUGAAAUUGAGAAGACAGCUCGCCAGCUGAGACAGCAGACUAAGCGAGCUAAGCAACGAUCCUUGUCGCCUUUGCUUUCUGAAAUAGAUACAGUACCUGAUUUAGUUGAAUCAUCUAGCGAUUCAGAAGAACAAGUGAUGGAUAGAUCUGCACCUGUAGAAAGAACUCUUAGAGAGUUAGCUGAACCAGACUUGAAUCAACAACCACUCUGCAUUCAAUAUGCAGAUUUGGAGGUAAAUUUUGAAUUAAAGUCUGGUCUUAUUCAUUUAUUACCCAAGUUUCAUGGUUUUGCAGGUGAAGAUCCUCAUAAACAUCUUAAGGAGUUUCAUGUUGUGUGCUCAAGUAUGAGGCCACAAGGCGUGACUGAAGAGCAGAUUAAGCUGCGUGCUUUUCCGUUCUCUGUAGAUGGGCUAGCUAAAGAUUGGUUAUACUACUUGCCUCCUGGAUCGAUUACAACGUGGAAUGGUUUGAAGAAGCAGUUCCUUGAGAAGUACUUUCCUGCUUCAAGAGCUGCCAACAUCAGAAAAGAUAUUUGUGGGAUCAGACAACUUCCUGAGGAGACUUUGUAUGAGUAUUGGGAGCGAUUCAAACAAUUGUGUGCCAGCUGUCCUCAGCAUCAGAUUUCUGAUCAACUUCUUAUUCAAUAUUUUUACGAAGGACUGUCAUUGAUGGAUAGGAGUAUGAUAGAUGCUGCUAGUGGAGGCGUGUUGGUGAACAAGACCCCUACUCAAGCAAGGGAGUUGAUCUCAAAUAUGGCUGCCAACGCACAACAAUUUGGCAGCAGACAAGAUGCCACUUCAAGAACGGUGAAUGAGGUAAAUAUUUCUUCUGUUGAACAACGUUUAGAUAAACUUACUUCUCUUGUGGAAAAGUUUGUUGUAGGUAAUGUGCAACAGGUGAAGACUUGUGGCAUUUGUUACAAUAUGGGUCAUUCAACUGAUAUGUGUCCUACAUUUCAAGAAGAACCCGCUGAACAAGCCAAUGCAGUUGGAGGAUUUCCAGGCAUGCCUCAGAGGAGGUAUGAUCCUUAUGCACAAACAUACAAUCCGGGAUGGAAGGAUCAUCCCAACUUCAGCUAUGAAGUUAGGCCGUCAGGAUUCCCACAACAGUAUCCACCAAGACAACCAACACCUCCACAGUCAAAUUCUAAGUCAGGUAUAUCUCUUGAAGAAAUUGUUAAAUCACUUGCAACUAACACUCAACAAUUUCAGCAGGCAACUACAGUAAGCAUUCAGAACUUGGAGAACCAAAUGAGUCAAUUGGCGACUACAGUGAGCCGUCUGGAGUCUCAAGUAUUAGGGAGAUUGCCUUCACAAUCUGAGGUGAAUCCAAAGCAAAACGUUAGUGCUGUCAUCGUUAGAAGUGGGACGGAGUUGCAAGAGCCUAGUAAGAAAGUGACAAAGCAUGUAGAGGAUGAGCUUGAGAAGAAUGAAUUGAUGCCUAAAUCUCAAGAUGCACAACCCACCAGAGCGAAACCCCUACCUAUUGUGAUACCUCCUCCUUUUCCAAGCCGGUUUACAAAAUCCAAGAAGGAGGAACAAGAGAAAGACAUCCUUGAGACAUUUCGCAAGGUUGAGGUAAAUAUUCCUUUAUUAGAUGCUAUAAAACAAAUACCUCGAUAUGCUAAAGUCCUUAAAGAACUGUGCACCUCCAAAAGAAAAUUAAGAGGAGAUGAAAAAGUUCACAUGGGGGAGAAUGUUUCAGCAGUUCUCCAAAAGAAACUACCUCCUAAGUGCAAGGAUCCAGGUAUGUUUACUAUCCCUUGUAAAAUUGGUAGUGUUAGAGUUGAAAAGGCUAUGUUAGAUCUAGGAGCUUCUAUUAAUGUCAUGCCUCGUUCCAUUUAUUCAUCUUUGAAUGUUGGUCCAUUAAAAGAAACUGGCGUGAUAAUUCAACUAGCUGAUAGGUCUAAUGCAUAUCCUGAUGGGGUAUUAGAAGAUGUCUUAGUACAAGUUAAUGAGUUGGUUUUUCCUGCUGAUUUUUAUGUACUUGAUAUGGAAGAUGAUAACUCCUCUAAUUCUGUCCCAAUUUUGCUAGGAAGGCCUUUUCUUAAGACUGCUAGGACUAAAAUGGAUGUACAUAAAGGGACUCUCACUAUGGAAUUUGAUGAAGAGGUUAUAGAAUUCAAUAUGAAUGAUGCCAUGAAAUAUCCUAGUGAGGAACAUUCAGUAUUUUCUGUGGAUGUUAUUAACCCUAUAGUGCAGGAAGUUUGUUACAAGGAAAAAACGAAGACAUUUCAUGAUAGAAUGAUUUUGAGAAAAGAGUUCUCUGUUGGUCAAAAAGUUCUUCUUUUUCAUUCUAAGCUUAAACUUUUUCCGGGUAAAUUACGAUCUUGCUGGGUUGGACCUUUUAUUGUUACUAAUGUUUUUCCUCAUGGUGCAGUUGAGAUUCGGAGUCCGACCUCUGAAAAAGUUUUUAAGGUUAACGGUCAUCGCUUAAAACCUUUUUAUGAAGGUUUUUCGGUAAAUAUUGUGGAGGAUGUGGCUCUUGAGAGUCCCAAUUAUGGAGAUUGAUGCAUAAAUGUGUCUAGCCAAAGACAUAAAACAAAGGCGCUUUUUGGGAGGCAACCCAAAUGAUUUGUUUAUUUUGGUUUUUGUUAUAUCUUCUUUUAAUUUUGAUUCAAAAAAAAAAAGAAAAAUUUUGCUUAUUUUGGUCAGAAGAAAAUUUUUGAUAAGGCGUGCCCACGUCUUAGCUAAUAAGUACUUCUGUAAUUUUUAAAGUAACAUAGUUUUAAGGCGUGCCCACGUACUUAAUAGAAAAGUACUUUUGAAAUUUAAUGUGUUUGCUUAUUUUGGUCAGAAGAAAAUUUUUUAUAAGGCGUGCCCACGUACUUAUUAGAAAAGUACUUCUGAAAUUUUUAGUGUCUCAAAGUGAUUCAUCACUAAAAAAAAAAAAAAAAAAAAAAUUUUUUUCUUUUUUCUUUUUUCGUUCCUUUCUUUCUUUUUAUUUUUUUAUUUAUUUAAAAAAAAAAACCAAAAAUCGAAAAUCACUGUUCACUAUUCACUGUUCACAAAAUCCCUAAUUUUCCAGAACUUGUUUUCUUCUCCAGCCGCUUGCAGCACACCAGCAGCAAACCAGCCGGCCGGAAAACGCACCAUCCCGUGAGCGCAGCACCAGCAUCCCGUGUCUCGCAGCCCAGCAGCGCGCAACGAAGUCCCACCAGCGAAAGCAGCCGCGCGCAACGCAGCAAGCCCCAGCCAUCACCAUCGUGCGAAAUCAGCAGCAACCGUGCAUGCAACACAUCCCGCGAAGCAGUAGCAGUAACGCCCCGCAACGCAGAUCCUCAGCUCCAGCCCGCGCGCACAGCGCAAAUCAAUCCAGCAAUCACCCUCGUGAAGCAGCAGCAGCAACGCCUCGCAACACAGCCACGCACCAGCAUCCCGCACGCAACCAGCGAUGUGCAACUAGCAACCAACAUCCACAGCCCACGCAUCAGCAGCAGCCGCGCGCAACGCAACGCAGCACCAGCAUCCCGCGCGCAGCAAGCUCCAGCCAUCACCAUCGCGCAGCGCAGCAGUCCCAACGCGCGCGCGCAACACAAUCAGUGCCAUCCCGCGUCCAUCAAGCAAGCUCCAGCCGAGCAGCAAUCGCAACGCAACCAGCCUACGACCUGCAUUCCAGGCGCGUGAAUCGAAAUCCGUGACAAGAUGGAGCAGAAUUUGGCCGCAUACUUCAAGAGUGUGGGAUUUAUCCCACCAUUCCCGCCAAACCCAUAGACGUUAUGAGGAUCAAAGCUCACAAUUCAGGGAAGUUUCUUUUUGCCCUUAAUCUUUUAUCCUUACGCUUUAAUUUUUAUGUGAGCUUUGAUUAUCUUACAUUGGGGACAAUGUAAGUUCUUGGUGUGGGGGAGGGAUUUUUGCAUUAUUGAUGUCUGGAAUUAUUGUUUUCACUCUACUCAUCUAUUUUCACUCUACUCAUCCUUAAAUGAUUUUGGAGUUAGUAUGCUUCAUAUAUUAUUAUUCUUCUUUUCUUUUCUUUCUCACUACUUUUUUCCCAUCUAUCUCAAACUAUUCAUAUCUAUUUUUAUUUUACCAUACUCUUUCAUCACUCACAUUUUAUCUUUCACUUUUCAUAUUACUACAUACAUCUUUCUCACUUCUUAUCAUUUUUACCUUUUCUUUUAUAUAUCACUCAUACUUUCUUCUCAUUCUACACCACUAUUGAUGGUUGAUUCAUUUGAAGAGUGUACAUGAUUUGAUGGCAAAUUUACCAACUUUGUGAGGAUUUGAGCCUAUGAGCAACCACUUUGCUAUAAUAUUUUUGUUAUGUGAAUAUCAAUCUUAGUUUGUUUAUUCGAGAACUUGCUUUGUUAUGCAUGUUGAAGCCGCAUUACGAGAUUUUAUGCAUUAAAAUGAUAAGGGCAAACCCUUUUCCAUUUUUCUAUUCUCGCAUUUUUUUUUCUCUACCCGAAGACCUUUAUUUGCUAUCUUUGUUUGAGCCUUAACCAUUACCCAUCUAAUUUUCUCCGUCUACUUAACCAUUUUUCUUCUUUUUGAGCCUCAAUUUAAGGAGAUUUUUGGACUCAUUGUGUGGAUAUAUUUUGUUGCUUUUUCUACCUUGUAAUAAAGUUUCUCAAUUAGAUCAACAAGCAUUAUGCUUGAAUUAAAUUGUGCAAGGUUCAUUUCCUUGUUUUGAUUCAAAAAAAAAAACAAAACAAAAAAAAAGAAAAAGAAAAAAAAGAGGAAAAAGAAAAAAAAAGAAAAAAAAAGAAAAAUCGAAAAAAAAGAAAAAAAAUGUUUACAUUCUUGGUGACUUGAGUAGAAAUAAGCAUUUUGAUAUCAUAAGUUCAUUCAAUGAGUUCAUUCUUCUCAUUUUGAUCUCUUUUUCUUUCGUAAACCUUUCUUUUUCAUUCAACCUAUUUAACCCCAUUACAACCCUUUUAAGACCCUUAGAUUUUUGCAAUUUUAUUCAUGUUUUGUGGAUUGAGAUGUGAUAUAUGAGCAAGCUUAUGGUAAUAGCAUUCUUUGAUUUGAUUUGAGUGAAUAAAUGACACCCUAAACACUUUGAGUGCAUAGAGUGAAGUUAUUGAGAGGGCUAUUACAUCUUGUUGCACUUGAAUUUUGAAUGGAUCUUCUUGGUGGUUGAAUGUUCUUAUUCUAUCUUAUGAGAUUCUAUGCUUUAAAAUCCUUGUCUCUCGAAUGUUGAUCGACUUAAUUUCUUGAGGUAUGCUUGCUUAAAAUUAUUUUUGGAUGAGUUGAGAUGAGAAUUGAGUGGAGAUUUGGGAUUAAUCUUGAGUUAUAUGCUUGAGGACAAGCAUCAUCUUGGUGUGGGGGAAUUUGUUAGAGUGCAAUUUAUGCACUAGUUUUGCAUUGUUUACUUCCCUUAAUAUCGAUGUUUUGCACUUAAUAAUAAUGUUUUACUUGUGUUUUACUUUUGUAGGUGCAAUUCUAUUGAUUGAUGAUAAAAUUGAGCUAAAAGAUGAUGUUUAAGGAGGAUUGUUCUCUUGGAGAAAUUUCUGAGCGUCAGAAGAACUUUGUUGAUAAGGCGUGGGCGCGUGCUGUCAACUGCGGACCUGCAGUUUUUAGUUUAACGUGUUUUGUAUUUUUGGUUAUUUUUGUAAUUACGAAUUUAAUAUUUCAGAUAUUAGUAUUUUAUUUUAAAUAGAAUUCUAAAAGAGAAGAGAGAGAGAGUAUUUAAGAGAGGAAUCUAUUGUGAAAAAGGGGGGAUUUUGGAUUGAAGAAAAAGAAACCCUAGAUCUAAUUUUUCUCUUCUCUCUAUGAAGAGCUAAACCUAUUUUUCUGGUUGAAGGAUAACGAAGCUUUGAUUCAUCACUACUGUGAGAUCUUUCUUAUGCUUUAAUUGUUUUAUUACUUUUUGGGUAUUUGUUUAUUCUCUGAAUUAGUUUUAUGAUUAUGUUUGUUAAUUAGGUAAUUGGCCACUAUUUAAUUAUCAACUUAAUCUAUUGUCAAUUAAAGGAUUCAUCGUAUGAAGAAUUUAAUGUUUGUGACAAAUAACAUAGCAGAGAGUUGUGUUGUGAGAAUAAACAAUCUAAUUUAAAUGAAUCAUCAUAUGUGUUGAUUAGGAUUUGGGUCUCUCUGAUUUUUCAGGCUGUCAAUUGAUUAAAUCCUAUGAUCGUAUCUAGGGUUGUCUAUUGAUUAGGGAAAUAUCCAACGGUCGUACUUUGGUUAUCAACUAAUUAAGGAGAGAUUGGCUAUUAGAGGGUCUCAGUAGGUAUAACCGGUCUAUUCAUAAGUAAUAAUAAUAUAUAUUUGAAUCAAUGAUCAGUAGUCGAAUCAAGCUGAGUUAAUUCCUUCAACCAGAGCUUUCUCCAAUUUGAAUUACAACUUUAAUUUGCAUUCUUGUUAUUUUAAUUUGAUUUUUAUUAUUGUCAACAAUUCCCCCAUUUUACGUUUUACGUUUCAAAAGGAUUUAAAUAAUUACCGAUCUCUGUGGACACGACCCUGCUCAAUCACUAUACACAAUUUAUUUAGAGUAGGAAUUUAUUUUUGUUGGCUUCGACACCCAUCACAUAUUAAAAUAUAAUUUAUCAGAAAACCAAGAUAAAGAAAUAUUAUAAGCACAUCAAUCAAAAAGUGAAAAAAAAAACAAUUUUAAUUUACAUUAAAUAUAAACUUUUAGUGUUAAUCAAUUUUCUAAAUAACUGAAAUUAUUUAAAAAUAAAAAUAAAUUAUUCUUCCCAAAAAAAAAAAAAAAUUACACCCACUCACUGGGCUGUCUGUUAAGAGUCGCUUUAAGGACUGAAGUUGGUAACUUUUUGCAAGUAGUCUUAAGUUGAAUGGCAGCCGCCCACGCUUUAUGUUUGCUAGCCUAGACCUGAUCGGGUCUAGGCCCAAGUUUAGUCUUAAAGUCCAGGCUUGAGCCCGAAAACUAAAUUAAAAAAUUAAUUGAUUUAAUCGUUGUGUAAUUGAUUUAUAGGGGAUGAAUCAGCAGCAUCAUCGGUUAAUCGCUUUCAGAUUUAUGGUUAAUCAAUAGUUGAGAGUUGUUAUCGCCCUGUAUUUUCUUAAUGUUUUUUUUCUCUCUUCCACAGCAUCUUCUAGGAAAGUGCAUCCAUUACUAAAAUUUAGUAUUGUAAAUAAUAAACCAAGUAUAAACAUUAAAUCUAAGAAAUUGUAUUGCAUUUAAUAUUCAAGGGAGAAAAAGAACUAUGGUGCAUUUAUUAACCAGUAAUGAGAAAAGACUAGAAUCAGAAUAUAUUAGAAUUAUAAUGAACCGUAUUAUGUGUUUAUUUUAUUUUAGACUCGAAAUUAAUUAUUUUAAGUUAUUGAAAUACCCUUGAUUUGUUAUCCUAAUUAUUAUUAUUUAAUAUUUAUUGUAAUAUUUUUCAUAUUACUAAAAAGUAGUAAUAAUAAUGAUAAUAUUGGAAUUGUUGUUUUUUAUAUUAUUAUUAUUCAAAACACUUCUUGUUAGCCCAUUCAUACGUGCAGACCAAAACCAAAUCUCUUCUUCUCCUUCUUUUCUUAUAGUGCAGGAUGUGUGUGCUCGGACUUCUCUCUCAUUCUUUUUUCUUUUUAGAUUUUGAAAACCUAAAAAAAAAAGAGUGUAGGAGUUUUUAUUUUCUUAAAACAAGACUUUUUGAAUUAUCCAAUUAAGUUAAAUUCGGUGGCAUCUGGUAUUUACAUUUCUUGUUUUUUUCGCAAGUUAUUAUUGCCUAAUGCUAUGUCAACUCUAACAUUAGCAUUUUUUUUUUUUGGUCCUCUUUUAACACCAAACAUUAGUAUAGGUUAAGUAACAUAAUCAGUACUGGGACAAUUUGAAAUCCCUUUGUGUUUUAUUCACAGUAUCUAUGAGGGCUUAUCCUUUUGCUAGAACAAACUCUAGCAAAUUGUCAAAUGUGCUUAUCUUUUCCCUUGACGACUCAUUUUAAAAUUGUCUUUCAAUGUACAAACACAUACAUAACCGCCGACAUCGAGCACCAAGUUUGGAAUUUAAUUGAUAAGCAUACAUUUGAUAAAUUAAUGAAAAGUUUGGGAGAGUAGUUUUGAUCACCCUCGAUUAGGGUGGUAUCACGGAAAAGAUGAAAAAAAAACAUCGUCUCUUCUUCAACAAAAAUAAAUAUUUUCCGUUGGAAUCUAAAUACAAAAUAAUUGUUUUUUAUUUUUUGAAUUAAAAUUUAAUUAAAUACACAAAUAAUUUAUAUAUUUUUUAAAAAAAAUUUACACCCAGUCACAAGGCUGGCUAUUAAACUUAAAGGGUGGAAGCUUCGGAGACUAAAGUUGGUAACUUCUCCAAGUGGUCUUAUGUUGACUGGAACUACCCAGAAUUUAUGUUUGGUAACCUAGACCUGAUCGGACCUAGGCCCAAGUUUGGUCUUAAAGUCCACAAUUAAAUUUUAAAAAAAUUAAUUGAUUUGUAAUUGGUUUAUGGGAAAUGAAUCAGCAUACCUAAAAUAACACUAAUCUUGACAUAAUGACAUCAUCGGUUAAAAACGUUCAGAUUUAUGGUUAACCAAUGGUUUGAGAUUUGUUAUCAUUAAUGCUAAAUAUUUUUUAACAUUUUUUCUAUCUCUCUCUCCUUAAGGAUUUUCUAGGAAAAUGCAUCCACAACAAAAAUUUUAAAUUGUGAACAAUAAACAAAGUAUAAACGUUAAAUCUAAGGAACUGCGUUGCAUUUCAGUUGAAGCUAACUUUAAUAUUUUACGGAGAAAAAUAAUUAAGUUUUUAAUGUGAUUUAUUUAUUAAUAUAUAUGACUAAUUUUUUAAAAUAAGAUGAAGGGUGAAGCUUAAAAAUAUAAAUUAUAGAAUUAAUUUCUCUCUUCAAUAAAUCUAAAGUUUAUUUUUUUAUUACAUGCUUCUAUUUUAUUUUUAUUCCAUGUUAAUGAAUGGAGAUUUAAAUCCAUUUUGGAUUUAUAAAGAUGUUUAGAUAUUUAAAUCCACGUGUGAUUCCAAACUUCAACCUUUUUUUUUUUCUAAUUAAUGCAAACAGCCGCCUCUUUGACUGCUUUUCUUCUUUGUUUAUUAAUUAAUUAAUUCAGCUGCCCACCUUUCUUUUCCUAAUGUUUUCUAAACUCAAAUUUUUUUUAAGGACAAGGCUACGUUGCAGACGCUUAGCCAGCUUCACAAAGGGUGCAUUUGGUAGGCAAUUUUUCUUUCCUGUGCAUAUGUGUCCUUCCACCAUUAGGUGUGUACGUAACAGAUAAUGUACCGUAACAAGCUCCUAUUUUUAAAUAUGUUUAUAAUGAUAAAAUAUAAAAAUUAAGAUUAAAAUGUAAUGUAAUAUAAAAUUAAAGGUGGAAGAGUAUUAAAAUAAUGUAUAAGAUAUGAAUAAACAAGUCAAUAAGAAAACCAACAAACGGCAAGAGAAAAGGAAUGGUCAUGCAGAUUUCAAAGGUGGCAGUGACAAUGAGAUCUCAUUUUAACCGAUCAAGUCUUUUGACUCUGUCAACUCAAAAAAAUAGAUUCAAAUGUUUUGUAAUAAAUAAAAAUAUAAUAUUAAAAUAAAUGUGAUAACAUAUAUUUUAAAUAAUUUCAAUACAAAAAACAUUUGAAUGUUUUAUAAUUUAUUAGACAUAUUUUAUUAUAUUAAUAUAAAUUUUCUAAGAAAUAUGGACAUAAUAUUAAAAUAAAUUUAUGAAAAUUUAAAUCAUUUUGAAUGUAAAAUAAUUUUAAUGUUUUAUAAUUUAUUAGACAUAUUUUGUUAUAUUAAUAUAAAUUUUCUAAGAAAUAUGGACAUAAUAUUAAAAUAAAUUUAUGAAAAUUUAAAUUAUUUUGAAUGUAAAAUAAUUUUAAUAUUAUUAAUCCAUUAGGUAUUAAUUAUAAAAAUUAUUUAACCCAAAGAUUUUUUAUGUCCUUACAAUAAAUAUAAAUAUAUUAUUUGCAUUUAAAAAUUUAAAAAUAUUUAAAUAAUAUUAAUCUACAAUUAUAUUUUCAUUUAUUAUAAAUAUUUAAAGUCAAAUCUUUUGCACUUCUAUUUUAUUACAAUUAUGGCGCACACAGAAAGAGCCAUAUAUGCUUUAUAGCGUUAGAAAUUGGUUUAUUUUAAAGCUGGAAACAGAGAGGAUGAUUAUUAUAAGGAGAAAAGAAAAAGGGGUAAAGAAUAUUAAUGAUUAACAAAAUCUCUUUGCAAAUUGAUUGCAGUAGAAAAAAAGUGAGCUGAGCAAUCUAAUUUAGUGGUAGAGUGAUAUUUCAUUAGUAGCAAAGUAAGGUUAAGGGAAAGACUUAAGAUCUCGCUUUUGAUUAUAAUAUUUUUUUUAAAAAAAAUUAAUUUUAAUAUUUUAUAAUAAAUAAAAAUAUAAUCUUAAAAUAAAUAUAAUAGUACAUAUUUUAAAAUAAUCUCAUUAUUUAAAAUUGUUUUAAUAUUUUGUAAUUUGCCAGACAAAUUUUAUUAUUUUCAAGUAAAUUUUAUAAUAAAUACAAACACACUAUUAAGAUAAAUAUAUGAAAAAAUUAAAGUAUUUUGAAUAUUAUACAAAAUAAUUUUAAUAUUGUUAAUAGUGAGAUAAUUCUAUUAAUUUAAAAUGCUACUUAACCUUAAGAUUUAUUUAUGAUAAAUUAAUAAUUAUAUUUUUAAAUUAUUUCAAAUAUUAAAAAUAUUUUAAUAUUACUAAUCUAUUAGAUAGACUAAAUUAUUUUGUAUAAAUUAAUUACUAUUUAAAGGAUAUUAUGAUAAAAAGAUCUUAGUGUUUUUAUUAAAAAUUUAAAAUUUACAUGACUAUUUCUUUAAAUAUUUAGGGCAUAUAUGAACCACGGAGGAGAAAAGCUUUAUUUAAUAUUUUAGAAUAGUUUUUGAUCAGUACAAUUGGGUCCUUAUUCAGAAUUAUUGUUCUCUUCCGCAACAGUUUUUGUUUAUCAAAGUCGUCAAUUAAAAUUUUAGAAUUCUUAUCAUCAGAAGUAGUCGUUUUAGAAGUUGGGUCUUGGAUCAAAUUUCUACGAGUGCAUGAAUUAACAAUAAAAAAAAUUUCAUUACACACGGUUUAAGCUACAAAACUACUAUUUGCACAGUUGACUAUAAAACUUACCUCCAAUUACACUAAACCUCUCUAUUUGGUAACGUUGAGACUAAAUUAAUUUUAUUAGCAUGAAAAGAUAAUAGAAAUAUUAUCAUAAAUAUUAUUGUUGUUAAUCAAUUAGUACAUGUGAUAUAAAGGUUAAAUGUGCACUAUAUUUAAUAAUUAAUUAAUUGAACAUGUUAAACAAAAUGUUAAUGUAUAUUUAUAUAGUGUUAGGAAUAUGCAAAGUCAAGUCCUCAAUUUGCAUUAUCCUGUAUAGAAUAUUACUCUAAAAAUGUUUUACUAUAAUUGGCUUAGAACAUUUGUAAAGAAAAUAAUAAUAGUAAUAAUAAAUAACAUACACCGUCACAUAGCAUCUAGACAGUGAUAGAAAAUUGUUAAAGAGAGUGCAAACAAUUAAUUAGAGAUUUUUAUGAUAACUUUUAAUAUUCAUGAUAAUAACAAAUAAAUACAUGUACCACUUUUUUAAAAUAUUAAAUUUGACGUGCUCCAUUAAUAAAUUAUUAUUGUAAUUCAGACUCUAUCUAUAUAUCCUUGCACUAAGAAUAAUUCAGUCAUAAUAAAAAUUUUCGUAACUACAUCUUGUUUCUUCCUCAUAAUAAUAAUAAUUAGAUUGGUUCGAAUAUUAUAACUAUAUAGAUUUAGGUGGCGUUUGUUUUUUUGUCUGAAAUCUGAAUAGACCUGAAUUAGUCUGAAUUCUGAAUAGAUCUGAAUGUUUGAAUCUGAAUAAUAUGUUUGUUUUUUCGUCUGAAUCUCAAAAAAUAAGUAUUAAGUUGUUUGUUUUUUUCAACUUAAAAAGUUAAAAAUAUGUACUUUUACAUUUGUAUCCUUUUAAAUUUGAAUGUCAAAUAAAUAAUAUAUUAAAUACCACAAUAUUUUAACAUUUAUAAGUAAAACUAUAUUCAAGUGAAUACAUAAUUAUUUUGGAAUUUUAAUAUAUAAAAUACCAUAAAAUUUAAAUUUUAUCAUAUAUAAUAUAAGAAAGAAAAAACAAUGAUAUUUUUAUGUGGGGUAAAUGUCUAUGGGUGAGUUUGAGAUAGACCUGAAAAAUAAAUUUAUAAAGCCAGGAUAUUUUUUACAUUACUAAGAAAUUGACUUUAAUUCCGAUUUUUCCCUUAAAUACAAAGCCCAAAAAUUGACUUAUUUUAUUAAGUCNNNNNNNNNNNNNNNNNNNNNNNNNNNNNNNNNNNNNNNNNNNNNNNNNNNNNNNNNNNNNNNNNNNNNNNNNNNNNNNNNNNNNNNNNNNNNNNNNNNNNNNNNNNNNNNNNNNNNNNNNNNNNNNNNNNNNNNNNNNNNNNNNNNNNNNNNNNNNNNNNNNNNNNNNNNNNNNNNNNNNNNNNNNNNNNNNNNNNNNNNNNNNNNNNNNNNNNNNNNNNNNNNNNNNNNNNNNNNNNNNNNNNNNNNNNNNNNNNNNNNNNNNNNNNNNNNNNNNNNNNNNNNNNNNNNNNNNNNNNNNNNNNNNNNNNNNNNNNNNNNNNNNNNNNNNNNNNNNNNNNNNNNNNNNNNNNNNNNNNNNNNNNNNNNNNNNNNNNNNNNNNNNNNNNNNNNNNNNNNNNNNNNNNNNNNNNNNNNNNNNNNNNNNNNNNNNNNNNNNNNNNNNNNNNNNNNNNNNNNNNNNNNNNNNNNNNNNNNNNNNNNNNNNNNNNNNNNNNNNNNNNNNNNNNNNNNNNNNNNNNNNNNNNNNNNNNNNNNNNNNNNNNNNNNNNNNNNNNNNNNNNNNNNNNNNNNNNNNNNNNNNNNNNNNNNNNNNNNNNNNNNNNNNNNNNNNNNNNNNNNNNNNNNNNNNNNNNNNNNNNNNNNNNNNNNNNNNNNNNNNNNNNNNNNNNNNNNNNNNNNNNNNNNNNNNNNNNNNNNNNNNNNNNNNNNNNNNNNNNNNNNNNNNNNNNNNNNNNNNNNNNNNNNNNNNNNNNNNNNNNNNNNNNNNNNNNNNNNNNNNNNNNNNNNNNNNNNNNNNNNNNNNNNNNNNNNNNNNNNNNNNNNNNNNNNNNNNNNNNNNNNNNNNNNNNNNNNNNNNNNNNNNNNNNNNNNNNNNNNNNNNNNNNNNNNNNNNNNNNNNNNNNNNNNNNNNNNNNNNNNNNNNNNNNNNNNNNNNNNNNNNNNNNNNNNNNNNNNNNNNNNNNNNNNNNNNNNNNNNNNNNNNNNNNNNNNNNNNNNNNNNNNNNNNNNNNNNNNNNNNNNNNNNNNNNNNNNNNNNNNNNNNNNNNNNNNNNNNNNNNNNNNNNNNNNNNNNNNNNNNNNNNNNNNNNNNNNNNNNNNNNNNNNNNNNNNNNNNNNNNNNNNNNNNNNNNNNNNNNNNNNNNNNNNNNNNNNNNNNNNNNNNNNNNNNNNNNNNNNNNNNNNNNNNNNNNNNNNNNNNNNNNNNNNNNNNNNNNNNNNNNNNNNNNNNNNNNNNNNNNNNNNNNNNNNNNNNNNNNNNNNNNNNNNNNNNNNNNNNNNNNNNNNNNNNNNNNNNNNNNNNNNNNNNNNNNNNNNNNNNNNNNNNNNNNNNNNNNNNNNNNNNNNNNNNNNNNNNNNNNNNNNNNNNNNNNNNNNNNNNNNNNNNNNNNNNNNNNNNNNNNNNNNNNNNNNNNNNNNNNNNNNNNNNNNNNNNNNNNNNNNNNNNNNNNNNNNNNNNNNNNNNNNNNNNNNNNNNNNNNNNNNNNNNNNNNNNNNNNNNNNNNNNNNNNNNNNNNNNNNNNNNNNNNNNNNNNNNNNNNNNNNNNNNNNNNNNNNNNNNNNNNNNNNNNNNNNNNNNNNNNNNNNNNNNNNNNNNNNNNNNNNNNNNNNNNNNNNNNNNNNNNNNNNNNNNNNNNNNNNNNNNNNNNNNNNNNNNNNNNNNNNNNNNNNNNNNNNNNNNNNNNNNNNNNNNNNNNNNNNNNNNNNNNNNNNNNNNNNNNNNNNNNNNNNNNNNNNNNNNNNNNNNNNNNNNNNNNNNNNNNNNNNNNNNNNNNNNNNNNNNNNNNNNNNNNNNNNNNNNNNNNNNNNNNNNNNNNNNNNNNNNNNNNNNNNNNNNNNNNNNNNNNNNNNNNNNNNNNNNNNNNNNNNNNNNNNNNNNNNNNNNNNNNNNNNNNNNNNNNNNNNNNNNNNNNNNNNNNNNNNNNNNNNNNNNNNNNNNNNNNNNNNNNNNNNNNNNNNNNNNNNNNNNNNNNNNNNNNNNNNNNNNNNNNNNNNNNNNNNNNNNNNNNNNNNNNNNNNNNNNNNNNNNNNNNNNNNNNNNNNNNNNNNNNNNNNNNNNNNNNNNNNNNNNNNNNNNNNNNNNNNNNNNNNNNNNNNNNNNNNNNNNNNNNNNNNNNNNNNNNNNNNNNNNNNNNNNNNNNNNNNNNNNNNNNNNNNNNNNNNNNNNNNNNNNNNNNNNNNNNNNNNNNNNNNNNNNNNNNNNNNNNNNNNNNNNNNNNNNNNNNNNNNNNNNNNNNNNNNNNNNNNNNNNNNNNNNNNNNNNNNNNNNNNNNNNNNNNNNNNNNNNNNNNNNNNNNNNNNNNNNNNNNNNNNNNNNNNNNNNNNNNNNNNNNNNNNNNNNNNNNNNNNNNNNNNNNNNNNNNNNNNNNNNNNNNNNNNNNNNNNNNNNNNNNNNNNNNNNNNNNNNNNNNNNNNNNNNNNNNNNNNNNNNNNNNNNNNNNNNNNNNNNNNNNNNNNNNNNNNNNNNNNNNNNNNNNNNNNNNNNNNNNNNNNNNNNNNNNNNNNNNNNNNNNNNNNNNNNNNNNNNNNNNNNNNNNNNNNNNNNNNNNNNNNNNNNNNNNNNNNNNNNNNNNNNNNNNNNNNNNNNNNNNNNNNNNNNNNNNNNNNNNNNNNNNNNNNNNNNNNNNNNNNNNNNNNNNNNNNNNNNNNNNNNNNNNNNNNNNNNNNNNNNNNNNNNNNNNNNNNNNNNNNNNNNNNNNNNNNNNNNNNNNNNNNNNNNNNNNNNNNNNNNNNNNNNNNNNNNNNNNNNNNNNNNNNNNNNNNNNNNNNNNNNNNNNNNNNNNNNNNNNNNNNNNNNNNNNNNNNNNNNNNNNNNNNNNNNNNNNNNNNNNNNNNNNNNNNNNNNNNNNNNNNNNNNNNNNNNNNNNNNNNNNNNNNNNNNNNNNNNNNNNNNNNNNNNNNNNNNNNNNNNNNNNNNNNNNNNNNNNNNNNNNNNNNNNNNNNNNNNNNNNNNNNNNNNNNNNNNNNNNNNNNNNNNNNNNNNNNNNNNNNNNNNNNNNNNNNNNNNNNNNNNNNNNNNNNNNNNNNNNNNNNNNNNNNNNNNNNNNNNNNNNNNNNNNNNNNNNNNNNNNNNNNNNNNNNNNNNNNNNNNNNNNNNNNNNNNNNNNNNNNNNNNNNNNNNNNNNNNNNNNNNNNNNNNNNNNNNNNNNNNNNNNNNNNNNNNNNNNNNNNNNNNNNNNNNNNNNNNNNNNNNNNNNNNNNNNNNNNNNNNNNNNNNNNNNNNNNNNNNNNNNNNNNNNNNNNNNNNNNNNNNNNNNNNNNNNNNNNNNNNNNNNNNNNNNNNNNNNNNNNNNNNNNNNNNNNNNNNNNNNNNNNNNNNNNNNNNNNNNNNNNNNNNNNNNNNNNNNNNNNNNNNNNNNNNNNNNNNNNNNNNNNNNNNNNNNNNNNNNNNNNNNNNNNNNNNNNNNNNNNNNNNNNNNNNNNNNNNNNNNNNNNNNNNNNNNNNNNNNNNNNNNNNNNNNNNNNNNNNNNNNNNNNNNNNNNNNNNNNNNNNNNNNNNNNNNNNNNNNNNNNNNNNNNNNNNNNNNNNNNNNNNNNNNNNNNNNNNNNNNNNNNNNNNNNNNNNNNNNNNNNNNNNNNNNNNNNNNNNNNNNNNNNNNNNNNNNNNNNNNNNNNNNNNNNNNNNNNNNNNNNNNNNNNNNNNNNNNNNNNNNNNNNNNNNNNNNNNNNNNNNNNNNNNNNNNNNNNNNNNNNNNNNNNNNNNNNNNNNNNNNNNNNNNNNNNNNNNNNNNNNNNNNNNNNNNNNNNNNNNNNNNNNNNNNNNNNNNNNNNNNNNNNNNNNNNNNNNNNNNNNNNNNNNNNNNNNNNNNNNNNNNNNNNNNNNNNNNNNNNNNNNNNNNNNNNNNNNNNNNNNNNNNNNNNNNNNNNNNNNNNNNNNNNNNNNNNNNNNNNNNNNNNNNNNNNNNNNNNNNNNNNNNNNNNNNNNNNNNNNNNNNNNNNNNNNNNNNNNNNNNNNNNNNNNNNNNNNNNNNNNNNNNNNNNNNNNNNNNNNNNNNNNNNNNNNNNNNNNNNNNNNNNNNNNNNNNNNNNNNNNNNNNNNNNNNNNNNNNNNNNNNNNNNNNNNNNNNNNNNNNNNNNNNNNNNNNNNNNNNNNNNNNNNNNNNNNNNNNNNNNNNNNNNNNNNNNNNNNNNNNNNNNNNNNNNNNNNNNNNNNNNNNNNNNNNNNNNNNNNNNNNNNNNNNNNNNNNNNNNNNNNNNNNNNNNNNNNNNNNNNNNNNNNNNNNNNNNNNNNNNNNNNNNNNNNNNNNNNNNNNNNNNNNNNNNNNNNNNNNNNNNNNNNNNNNNNNNNNNNNNNNNNNNNNNNNNNNNNNNNNNNNNNNNNNNNNNNNNNNNNNNNNNNNNNNNNNNNNNNNNNNNNNNNNNNNNNNNNNNNNNNNNNNNNNNNNNNNNNNNNNNNNNNNNNNNNNNNNNNNNNNNNNNNNNNNNNNNNNNNNNNNNNNNNNNNNNNNNNNNNNNNNNNNNNNNNNNNNNNNNNNNNNNNNNNNNNNNNNNNNNNNNNNNNNNNNNNNNNNNNNNNNNNNNNNNNNNNNNNNNNNNNNNNNNNNNNNNNNNNNNNNNNNNNNNNNNNNNNNNNNNNNNNNNNNNNNNNNNNNNNNNNNNNNNNNNNNNNNNNNNNNNNNNNNNNNNNNNNNNNNNNNNNNNNNNNNNNNNNNNNNNNNNNNNNNNNNNNNNNNNNNNNNNNNNNNNNNNNNNNNNNNNNNNNNNNNNNNNNNNNNNNNNNNNNNNNNNNNNNNNNNNNNNNNNNNNNNNNNNNNNNNNNNNNNNNNNNNNNNNNNNNNNNNNNNNNNNNNNNNNNNNNNNNNNNNNNNNNNNNNNNNNNNNNNNNNNNNNNNNNNNNNNNNNNNNNNNNNNNNNNNNNNNNNNNNNNNNNNNNNNNNNNNNNNNNNNNNNNNNNNNNNNNNNNNNNNNNNNNNNNNNNNNNNNNNNNNNNNNNNNNNNNNNNNNNNNNNNNNNNNNNNNNNNNNNNNNNNNNNNNNNNNNNNNNNNNNNNNNNNNNNNNNNNNNNNNNNNNNNNNNNNNNNNNNNNNNNNNNNNNNNNNNNNNNNNNNNNNNNNNNNNNNNNNNNNNNNNNNNNNNNNNNNNNNNNNNNNNNNNNNNNNNNNNNNNNNNNNNNNNNNNNNNNNNNNNNNNNNNNNNNNNNNNNNNNNNNNNNNNNNNNNNNNNNNNNNNNNNNNNNNNNNNNNNNNNNNNNNNNNNNNNNNNNNNNNNNNNNNNNNNNNNNNNNNNNNNNNNNNNNNNNNNNNNNNNNNNNNNNNNNNNNNNNNNNNNNNNNNNNNNNNNNNNNNNNNNNNNNNNNNNNNNNNNNNNNNNNNNNNNNNNNNNNNNNNNNNNNNNNNNNNNNNNNNNNNNNNNNNNNNNNNNNNNNNNNNNNNNNNNNNNNNNNNNNNNNNNNNNNNNNNNNNNNNNNNNNNNNNNNNNNNNNNNNNNNNNNNNNNNNNNNNNNNNNNNNNNNNNNNNNNNNNNNNNNNNNNNNNNNNNNNNNNNNNNNNNNNNNNNNNNNNNNNNNNNNNNNNNNNNNNNNNNNNNNNNNNNNNNNNNNNNNNNNNNNNNNNNNNNNNNNNNNNNNNNNNNNNNNNNNNNNNNNNNNNNNNNNNNNNNNNNNNNNNNNNNNNNNNNNNNNNNNNNNNNNNNNNNNNNNNNNNNNNNNNNNNNNNNNNNNNNNNNNNNNNNNNNNNNNNNNNNNNNNNNNNNNNNNNNNNNNNNNNNNNNNNNNNNNNNNNNNNNNNNNNNNNNNNNNNNNNNNNNNNNNNNNNNNNNNNNNNNNNNNNNNNNNNNNNNNNNNNNNNNNNNNNNNNNNNNNNNNNNNNNNNNNNNNNNNNNNNNNNNNNNNNNNNNNNNNNNNNNNNNNNNNNNNNNNNNNNNNNNNNNNNNNNNNNNNNNNNNNNNNNNNNNNNNNNNNNNNNNNNNNNNNNNNNNNNNNNNNNNNNNNNNNNNNNNNNNNNNNNNNNNNNNNNNNNNNNNNNNNNNNNNNNNNNNNNNNNNNNNNNNNNNNNNNNNNNNNNNNNNNNNNNNNNNNNNNNNNNNNNNNNNNNNNNNNNNNNNNNNNNNNNNNNNNNNNNNNNNNNNNNNNNNNNNNNNNNNNNNNNNNNNNNNNNNNNNNNNNNNNNNNNNNNNNNNNNNNNNNNNNNNNNNNNNNNNNNNNNNNNNNNNNNNNNNNNNNNNNNNNNNNNNNNNNNNNNNNNNNNNNNNNNNNNNNNNNNNNNNNNNNNNNNNNNNNNNNNNNNNNNNNNNNNNNNNNNNNNNNNNNNNNNNNNNNNNNNNNNNNNNNNNNNNNNNNNNNNNNNNNNNNNNNNNNNNNNNNNNNNNNNNNNNNNNNNNNNNNNNNNNNNNNNNNNNNNNNNNNNNNNNNNNNNNNNNNNNNNNNNNNNNNNNNNNNNNNNNNNNNNNNNNNNNCAUCCAAUUUAAAUAUUGACCCAAUUGGGAUGGUCCCCAAAAAAAAAAUUCGUUAAAGGAUAAUUCUAAUUAUUUUUACUUCUCAAACGUUAGUGGGACGUUUGUAUUAGUGCACUCGUAAGCCAAGUGGUCAAAUAUUUAUAUUAAACUACAAUUGCUGACAAGAAAAAUCAAGAUCGUGUUACGCAAGUGGGUCCCGAAUAGGACGUGCCUAAAUCUCUCGUAAGCCAAGUUGUCAAAUAUUUAUAUUAAACUACAAUUGCUGACUAGAAAAAUCAAGAUCGUAUUACAAGUGGGUCCCGAAUUGGGACGUGCCUAAAUCUUUUUAUAAUUUUCCCAGUGUAGCGGACAGAGGUCAUUACUAAAUUUCUCUUCCACACGCCACAGCAGCUUCGGUUAAUCAAACUCAAUCAAUUUUCUUGGCUUCUCCGCUUAUCAAUAUUACAAGGUAUGGGUAGCAUUUUUCAAAUCACAUGCGAUGGUACUAUUUUCAAUCGUUGCUUAGAUUGCUUUCUUGGAAAAGCAGCAUACAUAAGUAACCUCCAAGAUAAUCUCGUUGCCUUGGAGACUGAACUAAGGAAACUAAUCGCAGCAAAGAACGAUGUGAUGACGGCGGUUGUCAAUGCUGAACGGCAACAAAUGAGAAGGCUGGACCAAGUGCAAGUGUGGGUUUCGAGGGCGGAUGCUGUUAAAACUGAAGCUGAUGAACUUAUCAGAGGCGGCUCUCAAGAAAUUGAAAAAUUAUGUCUUAGAGGGUUCUGUUCCAGGAACUGCACGUCAAGCUACAAGUUCGGAAAACAAGUGGCUAAAAAGCUACGAGCUGUGGAGACUUUAAUCGCCGAAGGAGUUUUUGAGGCGGUGGCUGCGGAGGUGGUGCCUGAGAGAGCUCCAGAGCCUGUAGCAGAUGAAAGACCUACCGAGCGAACAGUAGUAGGCUUGCAAUCACAACUUGAACAAGUCUGGAGAUGUCUUGCAGAAGAAUCAGCGGGAAUCAUUGGCCUAUAUGGUAUGGGCGGUGUUGGUAAAACUACACUAUUGAUCCAUAUCAACAAUAAAUUUCUCGAGAGUCCAACCAACUUUGAUUGUGUGAUUUGGGUAGUAGUUUCAAAAGACCUGCGACUUGAAAAAAUUCAAGAAAAUAUUGGGAAAAAGAUCGGUUUGGUUGAUGAUUCAUGGAAGAGUAAAAGUGUAGAGGAGAAAGCUCUCGACAUCUUCCGGAGUUUAAGAGAGAAGAGAAUUGUAUUGCUGUUAGAUGAUAUAUGGGAGCGGGUUGAUUUAACAAAAGUGGGCGUUCCACUUCCAGGACCACAAAAUACUACCUCAAAAGCCGUAUUCACAACCCGUUUGAUCGAUGUUUGUGGUAGCAUGGAAGCUGACAGGAAGUUCAAAGUAGCAUGCUUAUCAGAAAAGGAUGCUUGGGAACUGUUUCGAAAAAAAGUUGGGGAAGAAACUCUUGGAAGUCAUCAUGAUAUCGUUGAGCUAGCCCAGACUGUGGCCAAAGAGUGUGGUGGUUUGCCACUCGCACUUAUUACUAUUGGUCGAGCUAUGGCCUUCAAAAAGACAGCCGAGGAGUGGAGUCAUGCAAUUGAUGUGCUAAGAACAUCAGCUUCUGAGUUUGCAGGUUUGGGAGAAAAGGUGUAUCGUCUUCUAAAGUUUAGCUAUGAUAGUUUGCAGAAUGAGACGAUUAGAUCUUGUUUCUUAUAUUGUUGUUUAUAUCCCGAGGAUUAUGGCAUUCUUAAAUGGGACUUGAUUGAUUGUUGGAUUGGUGAGGGAUUCUUAGAGGAAUCUGACAGGUUUAGUGCAGAAAACCAAGGAUACUACAUUGUGGGCACUCUUGUUCAUGCGUGUUUACUAGAAGAGAUAGAAGAUGAUAAAGUAAAAAUGCAUGACGUUGUUCGUGAUAUGGCUUUAUGGAUAGCUUGUGAAAUUGAGAAGGAGAAGAGAAACUUUUUGGUUUGUGCAGGUGCUGGAUUAGAAGAGGCACCGGAUGUUAAAGAAUGGGAAAAUGUGAGAAGAUUGUCAUUGAUGCAAAACCAAAUUGAAACUCUGUCACAGAUUCCCGCAUGCCCUCAUCUCCAUACUCUAUUUCUUGCCUCUAAUAGGAAUUUGACGAUGAUCACGGAUGGUUUCUUUCAAUUUAUGCCUUCUCUCAAAGUUUUGAAGAUGUCACUCUGCGAUAACUCAACUUUGAAAUUACCUUUGGGGAUGUCAAAGUUAGGUUCACUAGAACUUCUUGAUAUUUCAGAUACCAGCAUAAGACAGUUACCAGAAGAGUUAAAGUUGUUGGUAAGUCUGAAAUGUUUGAAUUUGAGGUGGACAGGUGCGUUAAUUAGAAUUCCACGGCAACUAAUAUCAAAUUCUUCAAGGUUACGUGUGUUGAGAUUGUUCGCUACUGGCUAUUUGUGUCUUCAGGGAGCAUCAGAAGACAGCGUUUUAUUUGGCGGGGGUGAAGUUUUGAUACAGGAAUUGCUUGGUUUGAAAUAUUUAAAGGUAUUGGAGUUGACCUUGCGAAGUUGUCAUGCUCUCCAAUUUUUUUUGAGCUCAAAUAAGUUAAAAAGUUGUAUUCGAUCUCUUUUCCUCCAAUUGAUCAGAGAUAAAAAGUCGAUUAUUGAUGCUACGGCUUUCGCUGAUCUAAAGCACCUCAAUGAAUUAUGGAUCGAUAGAGCUAAGGAGUUGGAAGAAUUUAAGAUUGAUUAUACAGGUAUAGUUCGAAAAAGGCGGGAACCUUUUGUUUUCCGCAGCCUUCACUAUGUGACCAUAUAUAGGUGCUAUAAAUUGAAAGAUUUGACAUUCCUCGUUUUUGCUCCAAGCCUCAAGUCUCUUUUGCUAACCUGUUCCUAUGUUAUGGAAGAAUUAAUCAGCGUUGGAAAAUUUGUUGAGGUUCCGGAGAUGAUGGGACAUAUAAGCCCUUUUGAAAAUCUCCAAAGGCUUGAAUUAUGGGAUUUGCCAGCUUUGAAGAGCAUCUACUGGAAGCCAUUGCCUUUUACUCAUCUGAAAGAAAUGGAGGUAAGUGGGUGUGAUCAGCUUAAAAAGCUUCCACUCGAUUCCAACAGUGCGAAAGAGAGUAAAUUUGUUAUUCGUGGAGAAGCACACUGGUGGAACCGUCUUCAAUGGGAGGAUGGAGCCACUCAAAUUGCUUUUCGUUCCUGUUUCCAAUCUCUUUAAUAUAAAUUCCUAAGCGGUGGUUGCAAAAUUUGAUUUCUGGUGAGUGCUAUUUCCUUAACUUUAACAUUUAUUCUCGUCGUUUGCUCCGUGCAAAAUACUAGGUCUUUUGUUCUCUGUCUUUAUUUCUUUUUUGGGUCUUCUGCAAAUCACAAUCAAAUGUUGAAUUAUAAAUUUGCCAGCAUCGCCUUUUUUUUUUUUGGGCCGGGGUUGGUGUCGAAUUGAUGCUCCGGUUUUUGACUUUUUGUUGUCAAAUUUUACUCUGUUUUUUCAAAUUGAUGCUUGAAUAGUUGAAUCAAAUUAAUGCUCACGUAAAUUUGUCCAGUUGCCGUAAAAAGAUAUAAUUACACUGAAAUGCACACCUCUAGAAUGAAUAGAAUUAAUCAGAGAAAACAUUAAUAAGUGCAGAGUUAGAAUAUGGAAAAGUUCACUGGCAAAUACUUUGUAAAACUUCGGAGUGAAACAGGGAAUGCACUUGCAACUAAGGACAAAUUGGUGGCCAGCUAAUGCCUUCAUUUUAUUUACAUUCAUCUUUUUAAUUAUUGAAGAUAAGUGGUUCGUUGCUUUUGUUGUAGAUAAAAUUCAGACGACCUCAAUUGUGACAUGACAAUAUUUAAAAUAUCUCUUAAAUUAUUAUAAACUUUAAUUUAUCUUAAUUUUAUUUAAAAGAUAAAAGAAAAAUGUGGUAUAUGGAUUAAAAUUUUUUUUAUCUUCUUAAUCAAAUGAAAUAAAUUACAAUUUACAAUAAUUUAAAAUAUUUUAAAAAUUAUUAUUUCAUAAGAGAUUAAUAUGAAAUUAAUCGUUUUUACUUUUUGAAUGUGAAAGGACAAGAAAAGAGAAAGCAGGUGUCCCUGCUUUUUAUUUUAUUUGAAAUCGGAGUUAUCCCAUAUACUUUACUAAUUUAGCUCCAACAUUACAAUGUUUUUAGGCUACACUUUUAUUUUUCUUUUACCCCCUUUUUUUAUACAUGCAUGUGGAUUACUUUUCUCUAAGCUCCUUAAUAUUUAAGACAAAUCAUAAAAGCGAUUGAAGUAUAACAAGAUGAUCAAAACAUUUAACCCAAAAAAAAAAAGAAAUAAAGAAAUAAAACACUGAAAAUGGAGAUGUUGAUUAAUUUAGAAAAGAUACAAGCAAAAGAUAUUCCCAAAAAAAAGAAAAAAAGAAAAAAGCAACGUUAGUUCAUCCAUGUCUGUCAAUAUGUUUUUUAUGGUUUUUUUCCAGUUGUUUGUUGUUAUAGAUUGAUUGUAAAUUGAUAUGAACUUGGUGUUGUAAUAUGUUCGUUUUUGUGGAAUUAAAUUUGAAUAUUCAAGAUUAUUCAAGUCUUAUCUAGUAUGUGUUCAGUUGUGUUGUCGAUAAUUUUGCAUUCGAAUAAGUUUUCACCUAAAAUAUUAGCAUGAGUAGUAGUCCUUGAAAUUUUGGUCAAAAUUAUUGUUAUCGUUUGUUUUAGAGGAAAUUUUUUUAUUAAAGCCUCGUUAACACUAUUCCUUAUUAAGAUUAUAAGUUAGUGUCGGUGCAGGAUUUGCAGCAACAAAUCUUGUCUAGCCACGUGUCAAAAAGUACAAAUAAAUCAAGGGAAAGCACAUGACAUGGAUUAGGAUCCAAUAAAAUUUAAAUCCCAAGGAAAAAGGACAACUGUAUCCUAAAGUUUCAAUAAGAGAUACUAAGAUAUCUUUUGACUAAUGUUAUUUUUUGGCUUUAUUAAUAAAAAGAUCGAAUAGUUUAUAACAAAUAAAAAUAUAGUAUUAAGCUAAAUGUGAUAAUUUACACAUUUUACAUAAUUUCAAUAAAAAAAAUAUUUUAAUGUUUUACAAUCUAUCAGACAUAUUUUAUUAAAUUAAUAAGAAUUUUCUUAUAAAUAGCAACAUAAUAUUAAAAUAAAUUUAUAAAGAUUUAAAUGUAAAAUAAUUUUAGUAUAAUUAAUACGUGGGAUAUAUUUUGUAAAUUAUAAAAUUACUUAACCCAAUGAUUUUUAAAAAUCUUUAAAAUAAAUAAAAAUAAAUUAUUCACAUUUUGAUGUAAAUAUUUAAAACAUUUUUAUACAUUAGUCCACAAUUAUUUAUGUUAUAUUUGUAUUUAUUAGAAAAUUUGAAAGUCAAAUGUUUUUCACCUCUAUCUUAUUAGAAUUAUUGCACACAGAGAAAGAGCCAUAUAUGCUUUAUAGCUUUAAAAUCGAUUUGUUUUAUAGCUGGGAACAGAGAUGAUCAUUAUUAUAAGGAUUAAAAAAAAGAUAAAGAAUGUUAAUGAUUAGCGAAAUCUCUAUGGAAAUUGAAUUUAGUAAGAAAAAAUUGAGCUGAUUUUAGUGGUAUAGUAAUAUUUUAUAUAGAGAAAAGUAAAAGCUGCACCCCAAGGUUAAGAGAAAUGGUCAAAACUCUUUUUUAAUCAUAAUACCCUUUUUUCCUAGAUAAUUUAAAAAUUUUACUCUAAUAUUUUAUAAUAAAUAAAAACAUAUAAUCCUAAAAUAAAUAAAAUAAUAUAUAUUUUAAAAUAAUCUCAAUAUUUAAAAUAUAUUUUAACAUUUUAUAAUCUAUCAAAUAUAUUUUAUUAUAUUAAAGUAAAUUUUAUAAUAAAUACAAAACAUACUAUUAAAAUAGAUAUAAAAAUUUUAAAGUAUUUUGAAUAUUAUAUAAAAUAACUUUAAUAUUGUUAAUGCGUGAGAUGCAUUUUAUUAAUUAAAAAUUCUAUUUAACCCAAAGAUUUAUUUAUAAUAAAUUAAUAAUCAUAUUUUUGAAAUUAUUUUAAAUAUUAAAAAAUAUUUUAAUAUUACUAACUAUUAGAUAGACUAAACUAUUUAUAUUAUUUUCUAUUUAUUAUAAAAUUUCAAAGUUAAUCUUUUUAACUACUAUUCAAAAGAUAUUAUGAUAAAAACAGAAUUUUUCUGUUUUAUUAAAAAUUUAGAGUUUACACCUAUUUUUUCAAAUAUUCGGGGUGUAACUGUUUUAUUUAAAUAAAAUCUCAGUUAAAAAUGUACAGAGAAGAAAUUUCUGUUGGUAUUUUAGUCUUUUACCAAUUAUCACGAUUAGGCCUUGGCCUUGAAACAUUAAUUGUUUCACUUUUAGCGCUAGUGGCGUUGAAAGUUGUCAAGAAAAAGCAAGACCAUAUUCCACAAAAGCAGCUCUUUUAUUAAAGGCAAAGUAUAAAGUAGUCAAGAAUCGAAUAUCCUGUCGUCUACUCUUUUUUAAAUUCUUCUUUUAUUAUCUUUUAGAAUAGUUUUUGGUAAUUACAAUCAUUAUUCAGAGUUAUUGUUAUCUUCUGGGGCAGUCUCUGUUCAUCGAAGUCGUUACCUUUUUUUCAUGGAUCAGUUCCAGUGCCAAGCAGUAAUUUUCUUAGAACUCGGAUCUUUAAUUCGAGUUUCUUUGUGAAUUAAUAAUAAAAAAUUUUCAUUACACGCAAUUUAAGCUACGAAUUACUUUUUGCAAAGUUGAAUAUGAAAUUGGAGAAAUUAAAUAAUUUAGAAUGUUGGUAAAAAUUGACUAACAUAUCCCCAAUUACAGUAAAACCUCUCUACAGUCAUAACAUUAUAACAAAAUUAAUUUUAUUACUAUGUUGAGGUAAUAUAGGUUUAGUUACAAAAUUAUUGUUUUAAUAUGGUUAGUGUCAAGUGAUAUAAAGGUUAAGUAUGCAGUACAUUGAUAAUUAAAUAAUGAAGCGUGUCAAAUCUAACGUAUAUAUAUUAAUGAUAUAGAUAGACAUAGUUUUAAAAAACUAAUUAAUGUAUAUUUAUGUAGUGUUAUGAAUAUGGAAAGUCAAGCCUACACUUUACAUUAUCCUUAAUUUUUUCUGUCAGUUAAAUUCUACAAAUAUUGUACAAUGAUUGGGUAAGAACUCUAAAUUAAGAAUAAAUUAUUGUCACAAAUAAUUUUAAAAAAUAUUUUAUUUCAUCUUAAACCUUUAAUGUAAGUAAAUAUAUAUAUAUAUAUGUGUGUGUGUGUGUGUGUGCAUAUUUUGCAACGUAUAGAUAAUUGUUAGUAUAUGGAGACAAGUCUUUUAAGGUAGGACCUAGGAAAAUUUAUAACUUACUACACUGGGGAGUUUUUAUUCCUUUUUAUAAUUGUCUCAUAUUGAUACAUUCUUACACAAAAUAUUACCAUUGACAUAUGUUGAUGCGAGAUUCUGGUUACCCUCUUCCUACGACCAGGAUAUCUGCUCGACCAACUUCACCUCUAUCAGGAUCUCUCCUCGUAUGCUUUUUUCUCCAAAUAUUCCUGCGUCCACAGAAACAAGUCAGAGCACGCCGGUUGUUUUCCCGGCGUAAACCCUCUGACGCUCAAGUCAGAUAUGAAGGCUCUGGGAAUGCUUGCCACAGAUCUUAUGGUUUUUCUGUAGUUUCUAUUCUUUAGAGUUUCAUUUAUCUCUGAAUAUAAUCUCAAAAAUGCUAACCCUUUUACCUUCCUUGGCUACCUUUUUAUAGGCUUCCUCUGAAUCCCGGUCUUCCGUAGUCCACGCCCGUUAUUCUCCCCACCCUCGGAUGUGGAUGCCCCAUUAUCGCCAUUGUGGGCGAAUGGAGAUGGACUUCGUGCCUUGAUUCUCGGAUAGGAAUGCACGUCUUGCCAACUGUCGUUGACUGGGUCUCCUCGCCUCUCGACCUCUAGCCGGAAUGGCCUUAUGCCUCUAACAAGAGUUCGACCUCGUGAAUGGCAUACUCGCGGACGAGCCGAAUAUUUCUGCUCAUGUUCCCCUGCUACCUGGCUCUUACAGGACAUACCUGUUCGCAGAACUCCGCCAUCAAAUAUCUGCUCAUCACGUCUGGUCUCGUUGAAGUAUUUCCCUCAAACAACAUAUUUUACUACAAUUAGUUUAGAACAUUUGUUAGGAAAAAAAAAGAAAAGAAAACAUUCCUUGGAUGUAGCUCUCCUGACUAUUUAAAUCUUUUAAGGAAAAAAAGAAAAAAGAAAAACUGACACAUUCAAAUCUUGAAGCAAUUACAUUAAAACCUCUCCAUAAUGAUAGGAAUAAUCUCCAUUUAGUAAUAAAAAAUUUUGUUCGCAAUCUAGGCAGAGUUAUAAAUAAGAAUAAAAUCCUCAUUGUAAUAAGUUGUAUUUAUUAUGGAUCCCAUCCUAAGGAACUUGUCUCUAUAUAGUAAUAAUUAUUUGCAUAUUAUAAAUAUAUAUGUUGCAUUAGAUUAAAUGAACUUGUCUCCACAUACUACUUAGACAAUGAGAGAAAGUUAUUAAAGAGAACACAAAUAUUUAGAGAUUUUUAAGAUUACUUUGCAUGUUUAUAACAAUAAUACAUUGAUAUAUGUAUUAGUUUUUUGAUAUAUUAGAUUUGACAUGCUCUAUUAAUAAAUUAUUAAUACGAUGCAAACUUCAUCUCUCUAUCCUUGCAAUAAAAGUAACUAAGUUAUAACAAUAAUUAUUAAUAAAUUAUUAAUACGAUGCGUACUUCAUCUCUAUAUCCUUGCAAUAAAAGUAACUAAGUUAUAACGAUAAUUUUUGUAACUACAUGCUUAUUAGGUUUUAACUACUUCAUAAUAAUAAAUUAGUUUCGUUCUAAUAUUAUAAGGGAGCGCCUAAGUUGCGAUCAAUGUACCUUACGUUUUUUGUUUUAUUCUUCUUGGUAGUUUUCAUUUGAGUCCCUUGAUGUUUCUUUAUUUGAAAGAAUUUUAUUUGAAAGAAUUUGCAAAUACAUGUUAUUUGAAAGAAAAAUUUUAUUUUUCUUUAAAAGAAAAAUUAUUAUAUUUUUUAUAUCUCUUUUCUUUAUUAUAAGAUUUUCUUCGUUUUUUAUGGGGUACAUAACAUCCCCAUUGGGUAGGCAUAUCUGUCUUUUCACAACAUAUUUUUGUUAUAUUUUUACUCUUUUUUAUUAAACUUCUUUGGAUACAAAUUUCACUUAAUCUGUUAUUUAAAAAUCUAAUCCUAGAUCCUAAUGUAUCUGGGAUUCUACUAUCGCUUUUAUUAGUAUGUUUUUCAUAUUCAUUUAUAAAAUAUCCAUUCCAUGGAUAAGGUAAUUUAGAAUAAUAUAAAUUUUUAUAAAUGUUCUGGUCUUCAUGACUCAUGAAUUGUGUAUAAUAAUAUUUACUAAAUUCACAUGUAUAUUCUUUUACAAAACACAUAUUACAGAUUGUCAGGUUUAUUAAUUUCAUUCUAGCAUUUAAUUUAUCAUUUUUUGCUUCAUUUUCUGUAUUUUGUAACCAAUCUUCUCCUAAGAAUUCACUAGCAAUAUAUUCGAUUAUUCUUUCUAUUCCUAAUCCCUUAUCUUUUCCUAAUGCUAUUUUGGUUGAAUCUCUUAUUAAUUUUUGUGUAUCUUCACUUAAUCCUUUCCACCAAUUAAAUACAUUUCCUGUAAAACUUGCUAUUAGAAUAUCUGUUAAUAUAUUUAUUUUUUCUUCUUCAGUGUCUACAUUCCAAUCAUCUUUAGAUCCAUUGAAUAUAAAAAAUAACUUCAUUUGCAUUCCCCAUUCUACUAAAGCUUUUCGGGGGUCUAUUUUGCAAUCUAAGUCUAAAAAUGUACCUGCAUUGCUUAUUGGCAUCAAAUGGUCAUUAUUAGGUUGGUAAUCUUUUUUCCAAGGGGUAUUUUUAAUGGGUGGAUAGUAUUCAUAAAAAGGUCUAUUUUUCUUUUUAUUUGUUUCAUAUCUGUGGCUGGGUUCUCCAAUAUCAGGUUUCAAUUCUGGACCUCCAGCGAAAUUCAUCUUUAUUUGAUAUUCUUUUUCAAAUUCUUCUAAAUCACUAAGGUUAAUAUCACUAAAUUUUUCUGUUAAUUCUUCUAAUGUAUUUUCCAUUAUUCUGUGUCACUAGGUGUACUUUCUUUUAUCUCUAAUUUUUCUUUUCCCUUUUCUUCUCUUUUUAAUUCUGCUUUUAACUUUUCUGAUUCCUCUAAUAUUUUUGGAUACUGGGUUUUUAUAAACCAGUCAUCAUAGCUUCCUGGUUGAGGUUUUGUCAUAUGUUUUUCAAUGCUCGUCCCUAUUAUUCCUGAUUUUAUUAUUUCAAGUUUCUCAACUUUUUUAUUUUUCUUUCGACUUAUCUGAAUUGUUGAUAAUUCUAUUUUUAUUUUUCCUAUUUCCUGUUUUAUUUCUCUCAUUUCCUCUUUAAGAUUUAAAAGUAUUUCUUUUAAUUCAAUUAAUGUAGUUUCCAUAAAAUGUAGGGGUACUAACAGCUAUUUUUACCUUUGAGUGUAUGUUACAUCCAAUCGUAACAUAGGGUUAGCCAUAUUAUAAUUAUGUAGAGUUGUAGUGUAUAGACACACCCAAUUUAAAUAGUAAAUCAAAUAAAAUUGUCCCCACAAAAAAGAAAAAAGGGGUAAAGGAUUGUUAUUUCUUCAAACAUUAGGAGCACGUUUGUUCAAGUGCGAUGCCUUUCUUUUGAAGGCAACGUCAGUGGGUACCCAAUAGGACGUGUGUAAAUCUUUCCAAAAUUUCUCCGGUAUAACGGACAGAGAUCAUUACUUUUCUCUUCCAUAGACCACAGCAGCUUCAGUUAAUCAGACUCAAUCAAUUUUCUUGGUGUCUUCGCUUAUCAAAAUUCCAAAAUAUGGGUAGCAUAUUUCAAAUCACAUGCGAUGGUGCUUUUUUCAAUCGUUGCUUGGAUUGCUUUCUUGGAAAAGUAGCAAACACAAGUAAGCUCCAAGAUAACCUUGUUGCCUUGGAGACUGAAUUGGGAAAACUAAUCGCAGCAAAGAACGAUGUGAUGAUGAGGGUUGUCAAUGCUGAACGGCAACAACUGCGAACGCUGGACCAAGUGCAAGUGUGGCUUUCGAGGGUGGAAGCUGUUAAAACUGAAGCUGAUGAAUUGAUAAGACACGGCUCUCAAGAAAUUGACAAAUUAUGUGUUGGAGGCUACUAUUCCAAGCACUGCGCGUCAAGCUACAAGUUCGGGAAACAAGUGGCUAAAAAGCUACGGGAUGUGCAGACUUUAAUCGGCGAAGGAGUUUUUGCGGCGGUGGCUACUGAAGUGGUGCCUGAGAGAGCUCCAGAACCUGUAGCAGAUGAAAGACCCACUGAGCCAACAAUAGUAGGCUUGCAAUCACAACUUGAACAAGUUUGGAGAUGUCUUGUAGAAGAAUCAGUGGGAAUCAUUGGCCUAUAUGGUAUGGGCGGUGUUGGUAAAACUACACUAUUGACCCAUAUCAACAAUAAAUUUCUUGAGAGUCCAACCAGUUUUGAUUGUGUGAUUUGGGCCGUAGUUUCAAAGGACUUGCAACUCGAAAAAAUUCAAGAAGAUAUUGGGAAAAAGAUCGGUUUGGUUGAUGAUUCAUGGA